CCUGGGUACUUCUUCUUUCUCUUUUUCUUCUUGAAUGAUGAUGGAAGGAAGGUUGGGGCUGAUAUUCCUGUGGAAGUCUAAUGGUGGCGCCUCUGUAUGUGUAUACGAAGAGAUAUGUAAUAAAGCAAAGAGAUUAGCCUGGGGAGAUAUCCUUUCUGGUAGCAUAUCAGCGAGUCUUCAGCACCUGACUGCUUAGCUUUGGAGGAGACAGCGAACUGAACAGGUAGAAGUCAGUAGCUGUGGCAUAUGGAUGAGCUGAGUAGGAAAGUAGUGCACAAAGUUCUGUGGAUAAGUUGGACCUUUUUGUUUGGGGUACUAUCUAGGAAAAUACUUUGAACUUGUACUUUUACAAGAUGGGCCCACCCUCCUUUUGGAAUUGAAGCUAAACGUGUGGGAGUGAAGGGUUGAAAAAUAAAAGAAUAUCCUUGGUCUAUGAUGACAGAGAAAAAGGCGCUUUGUCUUAGUCAAGUAGUUUUAUUUUGUUUUAUUGCCUUUUCAAGGUUUAGUGAAGUCGGGAGUUGGGGCUCCUCUUUGUUUUUAUUCUGCUUAGUAGAUUUUUUUUUUGGGGUUUGCAUUGUCUUUUUAUAGAGAUGGAUNNNNNNNNNNNNNNNNNNNNNNNNNNNNNNNNNNNNNNNNNNNNNNNNNNNNNNNNNNNNNNNNNNNNNNNNNNNNNNNNNNNNNNNNNNNNNNNNNNNNNNNNNNNNNNNNNNNNNNNNNNNNNNNNNNNNNNNNNNNNNNNNNNNNNNNNNNNNNNNNNNNNNNNNNNNNNNNNNNNNNNNNNNNNNNNNNNNNNNNNNNNNNNNNNNNNNNNNNNNNNNNNNNNNNNNNNNNNNNNNNNNNNNNNNNNNNNNNNNNGAGAAUUGAGAUUGAGUGCUGGAGGAGCGAUUCAUAAUGCUAAUUUGGGAAUUGAUGUUCGUCUACCCAUUGACAAACUAAUAUACAAUCAAUUAACUAUGAAUUGUGAUUACAAGUGGUACCUCUCCAUUGCAAUUAGGGUGUGCUGUGGAGUUUCUCCGUUGCAUGAACAACAACAUGUUAUAGGUUUGUUGGUGGUGAAAGUCAUAUUAAAAAUGCAGGAGCCAAGAUUUCUGUGUUCAGCUGUGUACCUAGUUCUUGGGGCAUGAACUUUUGUCUUCCCAGCUCAAAGCACUCUUUGCCUUCCUCUUCAAGUGAUACAAAGGAGUCAAAAUUAUUUGAUGACAUUGAUACUGGGAUAUUCAUCCAUGUUAAAUUGUUUUCCCUGUAUUUUCUUGUUCCUGAACUUUCUUGUAUAAAAGAAGCAUCUUGUACACAUUGUUAGGAGUGAAUGGGGUCAUCGAGGUUAACCUAUGUCCAAGUAUAUGCCUUCUCAUCUCUACUUUUGGGUCACGGUUUGCUGAAAGCUGAUAAGUUACUCCUGGAUUAGCCAGAGCAUUAUAAUUAGUGGCUAUUAAUUAUACCUAUGCAAGAUUUAAAAAUUGUUUUAGGAUUGCUACCUGUGUAGGAUGCAAUUAAAAGAUGGAACUUGGUCACAUCAAAAGUCAUUCCCAGUUGGAAUCAGGAGUAGGAUCAUUGGAGAUGUAGGAGGGGAUUUCUAAUCCCAGUCCUAAAUAUUCUAUUUGGCCUAUUUAUUUAGCAAUCAAUCUCAUAGUAAACCAAAUUAGGCUCCAGUUCUCAUUGUGCAUGACCCAUUGUACGUCUAAAACAAUAUCUAAAGGCCAAACCUGCUAAUUAGGGCUAACUUUGGGGAUUGAACUAUAAGGGAAUUAUAAAUGAGAAUGAGGUGUUGCCCUCAUCUUGAAUUAGAUUGGAUGGAAGAUUUGAUUGGUAGUUGUGGUGAGGCUGAAGAUACUUUCUAUACAGACUUGGGAGAAUCCAUAAGCUUUUUGCCGGAGUAAGAAUAACCUUCAUGAGAGGUUGGGUUGAGGUAAAUGGACCAUCUGCUGUGCCUCCACAAACAACAGUGCAGCCCAAUGCCAACACCAUUGUACAGCAACCACCUCUACUGGCUGGGGACGGAAUUCUUUUUCAUGUUACAGCAUAUAGCACUUUACCUUGCCUAUUUCUUUCAUUUUCCUCUCUUCUUCUUUUCACUGCCAUCAUCCUCUUUUGCAUUUGUUUUAUUCUCUUCUUUACUUUUGCCUUAGAUGCUUCUCUAGUUAACUUUCUUUAAGAGGUACAAGAGCUCCUUCAGUGAUGUGCUUCUGCUAUGGUGAUAAUAUAGUGCUUUUGUCUUCUACUUUUGAGCUUCAUUCCCUCUUUUCAAAGAUAACAUACAGGUGAUAGUACAGAAAAAAGAUAAAGGAUCUAUCACUUUAGACCUUAACUUUUUGUAGGGUCUUACAAUCAUUGAUCCAAAGUAUGGUCCAAUUUCUAUUAUUUUGGGAUCACUCUUAACAACCUUUACCUUAAGGGGUUGAUUUUAUACUGCAGGGAUUGCGUCCCAUAGAUGUAUUGAUUAGAUCAUGAACUGUCGUUUUGUGUAGCUUUGACAUGCCAUCUAUGUAUAACUAUCUAAAAAAAGAAUGCGCCUGGCAUAUUGACAUGGGAAUUGGCUCUAGGCAAUCUAUUGGGACGCGAGAUCUCUGGCCUGGUGCUUGGGCUCUAGAAUCUAGUAUUGUGGAAUCCUCUUCAUUUUCUCACCUUCUAUUUCUGGAUUCUCUCCCAUGAUUGCCCCAAAUUUUUACUUUUUGUUCCCCUAUUCAUUUAUGAGUCGCAUUACUUCCUUUUCAUGUCUAGUUCACAAUACAUUUCAUGACAUAUCCUUUAGGGGGAUCUUAUAGUGCUUGUGCUGUUUGCGAGUUUUCAAUUGGCUUGUAUCCUCUUCAUAGAGAUACCUGUAUUUGUAUUGUACCUUGCUAUUGUCCCUUUUGGUUCCUUUUUUUACCAAAAUCUCAUUCUAGAGUGACAAAUUUUCCGUGCUGUUAAUCAAAUAGUUCAAAUCAAAGUUUUAAUUGUGAUCUAGGCAUAAUCAAGUCAUUGACUUGAUUGGAUAGGGACCUACAUUUCACUGUUUUCUUAUCCACAGGCUGUGACAGCAAUGGUGCAGCAAGCUUUGUAAUAUGUUGACUAGACACCUGAUCAUGAGACCAAGAUAGAGCUUAUUAAGACACUUAACUCUGUUGUUGCUGGGAAGCUGAAUAUAUGAGAAAUCACAUCCUCUUGCAGCUUAUGUUCAUCAGCAAUCUGCUUUUAUUUCGUGAUUUCUGUAGCUAGUUUCGUAACUCAAGUAUAUGUCGAAAUUGAGAGAGCACGGUUGAUCAAGAAACUUGCAAAAAUAAAGGAAGAACAGGGUUGUGUAGCAGAAGCUACUGAUUUGAUGCAAUAAUUGAGGAUAACUAGAAGUUAACUUCUGUUGUCACUGAUCUUGUAAUUGGUUUUCCCUCGUCCAACAUUCCUAUGACGGGUUUGAAAUGUGGGUAGAAACUUUUGGAGCAAUGGCAAAGACGGAAAAAAUUGCCUUUAUUUUUGAACAAGUGCAGGUAUUUUGUAUUGCUUUUAGCCGUUUAUCCAUUAUGACUGUGGUGGUUUCUGAUCGAUGGAUUUUNNNNNNNNNNNNNNNNNNNNNNNNNNNNNNNNNNNNNNNNNNNNNNNNNNNNNNNNNNNNNNNNNNNNNNNNNNNNNNNNNNNNNNNNNNNNNNNNNNNNNNNNNNNNNNNNNNNNNNNNNNNNNNNNNNNNNNNNNNNNNNNNNNNNNNNNNNNNNNNNNNNNNNNNNNNNNNNNNNNNNNNNNNNNNNNNNNNNNNNNNNNNNNNNNNNNNNNNNNNNNNNNNNNNNNNNNNNNNNNNNNNNNNNNNNNNNNNNNNNNNNNNNNNNNNNNNNNNNNNNNNNNNNNNNNNNNNNNNNNNNNNNNNNNNNNNNNNNNNNNNNNNNNNNNNNNNNNNNNNNNNNNNNNNNNNNNNNNNNNNNNNNNNNNNNNNNNNNNNNNNNNNNNNNNNNNNNNNNNNNNNNNNNNNNNNNNNNNNNNNNNNNNNNNNNNNNNNNNNNNNNNNNNNNNNNNNNNNNNNNNNNNNNNNNNNNNNNNNNNNNNNNNNNNNNNNNNNNNNNNNNNNNNNNNNNNNNNNNNNNNNNNNNNNNNNNNNNNNNNNNNNNNNNNNNNNNNNNNNNNNNNNNNNNNNNNNNNNNNNNNNNNNNNNNNNNNNNNNNNNNNNNNNNNNNNNNNNNNNNNNNNNNNNNNNNNNNNNNNNNNNNNNNNNNNNNNNNNNNNNNNNNNNNNNNNNNNNNNNNNNNNNNNNNNNNNNNNNNNNNNNNNNNNNNNNNNNNNNNNNNNNNNNNNNNNNNNNNNNNNNNNNNNNNNNNNNNNNNNNNNNNNNNNNNNNNNNNNNNNNNNNNNNNNNNNNNNNNNNNNNNNNNNNNNNNNNNNNNNNNNNNNNNNNNNNNNNNNNNNNNNNNNNNNNNNNNNNNNNNNNNNNNNNNNNNNNNNNNNNNNNNNNNNNNNNNNNNNNNNNNNNNNNNNNNNNNNNNNNNNNNNNNNNNNNNNNNNNNNNNNNNNNNNNNNNNNNNNNNNNNNNNNNNNNNNNNNNNNNNNNNNNNNNNNNNNNNNNNNNNNNNNNNNNNNNNNNNNNNNNNNNNNNNNNNNNNNNNNNNNNNNNNNNNNNNNNNNNNNNNNNNNNNNNNNNNNNNNNNNNNNNNNNNNNNNNNNNNNNNNNNNNNNNNNNNNNNNNNNNNNNNNNNNNNNNNNNNNNNNNNNNNNNNNNNNNNNNNNNNNNNNNNNNNNNNNNNNNNNNNNNNNNNNNNNNNNNNNNNNNNNNNNNNNNNNNNNNNNNNNNNNNNNNNNNNNNNNNNNNNNNNNNNNNNNNNNNNNNNNNNNNNNNNNNNNNNNNNNNNNNNNNNNNNNNNNNNNNNNNNNNNNNNNNNNNNNNNNNNNNNNNNNNNNNNNNNNNNNNNNNNNNNNNNNNNNNNNNNNNNNNNNNNNNNNNNNNNNNNNNNNNNNNNNNNNNNNNNNNNNNNNNNNNNNNNNNNNNNNNNNNNNNNNNNNNNNNNNNNNNNNNNNNNNNNNNNNNNNNNNNNNNNNNNNNNNNNNNNNNNNNNNNNNNNNNNNNNNNNNNNNNNNNNNNNNNNNNNNNNNNNNNNNNNNNNNNNNNNNNNNNNNNNNNNNNNNNNNNNNNNNNNNNNNNNNNNNNNNNNNNNNNNNNNNNNNNNNNNNNNNNNNNNNNNNNNNNNNNNNNNNNNNNNNNNNNNNNNNNNNNNNNNNNNNNNNNNNNNNNNNNNNNNNNNNNNNNNNNNNNNNNNNNNNNNNNNNNNNNNNNNNNNNNNNNNNNNNNNNNNNNNNNNNNNNNNNNNNNNNNNNNNNNNNNNNNNNNNNNNNNNNNNNNNNNNNNNNNNNNNNNNNNNNNNNNNNNNNNNNNNNNNNNNNNNNNNNNNNNNNNNNNNNNNNNNNNNNNNNNNNNNNNNNNNNNNNNNNNNNNNNNNNNNNNNNNNNNNNNNNNNNNNNNNNNNNNNNNNNNNNNNNNNNNNNNNNNNNNNNNNNNNNNNNNNNNNNNNNNNNNNNNNNNNNNNNNNNNNNNNNNNNNNNNNNNNNNNNNNNNNNNNNNNNNNNNNNNNNNNNNNNNNNNNNNNNNNNNNNNNNNNNNNNNNNNNNNNNNNNNNNNNNNNNNNNNNNNNNNNNNNNNNNNNNNNNNNNNNNNNNNNNNNNNNNNNNNNNNNNNNNNNNNNNNNNNNNNNNNNNNNNNNNNNNNNNNNNNNNNNNNNNNNNNNNNNNNNNNNNNNNNNNNNNNNNNNNNNNNNNNNNNNNNNNNNNNNNNNNNNNNNNNNNNNNNNNNNNNNNNNNNNNNNNNNNNNNNNNNNNNNNNNNNNNNNNNNNNNNNNNNNNNNNNNNNNNNNNNNNNNNNNNNNNNNNNNNNNNNNNNNNNNNNNNNNNNNNNNNNNNNNNNNNNNNNNNNNNNNNNNNNNNNNNNNNNNNNNNNNNNNNNNNNNNNNNNNNNNNNNNNNNNNNNNNNNNNNNNNNNNNNNNNNNNNNNNNNNNNNNNNNNNNNNNNNNNNNNNNNNNNNNNNNNNNNNNNNNNNNNNNNNNNNNNNNNNNNNNNNNNNNNNNNNNNNNNNNNNNNNNNNNNNNNNNNNNNNNNNNNNNNNNNNNNNNNNNNNNNNNNNNNNNNNNNNNNNNNNNNNNNNNNNNNNNNNNNNNNNNNNNNNNNNNNNNNNNNNNNNNNNNNNNNNNNNNNNNNNNNNNNNNNNNNNNNNNNNNNNNNNNNNNNNNNNNNNNNNNNNNNNNNNNNNNNNNNNNNNNNNNNNNNNNNNNNNNNNNNNNNNNNNNNNNNNNNNNNNNNNNNNNNNNNNNNNNNNNNNNNNNNNNNNNNNNNNNNNNNNNNNNNNNNNNNNNNNNNNNNNNNNNNNNNNNNNNNNNNNNNNNNNNNNNNNNNNNNNNNNNNNNNNNNNNNNNNNNNNNNNNNNNNNNNNNNNNNNNNNNNNNNNNNNNNNNNNNNNNNNNNNNNNNNNNNNNNNNNNNNNNNNNNNNNNNNNNNNNNNNNNNNNNNNNNNNNNNNNNNNNNNNNNNNNNNNNNNNNNNNNNNNNNNNNNNNNNNNNNNNNNNNNNNNNNNNNNNNNNNNNNNNNNNNNNNNNNNNNNNNNNNNNNNNNNNNNNNNNNNNNNNNNNNNNNNNNNNNNNNNNNNNNNNNNNNCUCCAAGUCAAUACCCAAUAGGGUAUGGACCUUGUUCUCUAAAAUUCCAGCUCCUUCCCUUUCUUCAUGGAAACUGAAAAGAUUGGGAAAGUCUGUGGCCACGGCAUCUUUGGGUUAUGCAAAUAGUUAUGCCCACUAAGUAAAAAGAACCCUUUUACUUUCUUCACAAAGCAAAUGUACAAAAACACAUAGGCAAAGGAGGGAGAUCAGUACAGCUGGAUUUAUGGUGCUCUCAAUCCCCAAAAUUCGCCUUGUUCUUUCAAGCUCUAAGGAUAUGACUUCCUAGUUUCAAAGUCAUUUCAAAUUCUCGAUUAACUUUUUAUGUGUUGAGUUCGAUCCUAAGAAGAUACACUUCGUUUCUCCAAUUACGAGAUUUACUCUUCAGCUCGUUAGUCAUUCCAAUGCUGGGAUUUUUUUCACUAUUGGAAGAAGAUUUUGUUCCAAUGAGUGAUGUUCUGUUUCAACUUUCCAGUAUGCAAGUUUUGAUCUCCUGAUGCUUUCUUUGUUUUUUUCUUUGAUAAUCUUGGUCUUCAUGAUAUUGGAACUGCAAAUAGAGCUGAAUUCCAAAAUUUUAGAGGUAGAGCCAUUUAAAGAUGCAAUUGCAUCUUGCCAAAGUCGCCUAAAAAAUCGAACCAAACGCGUUUGCAUUUGGCCAAGGGACUUUAGAGUCCCAAAGCUCAUUCCAAAUGCCGAACCAAACGGGGCCUAUGAACCACUUCAAGUUUGAGCAAUUUUAUCUAUAUGAAUCGUACAGGAAUUGUAAAAUUUCCAACCACCCUUUUGAUUUCCGUCCACAUGCAAAGUCAAAUCAAGUGUAAAAUCUGAAUGGUUUUCGAUGGCUGCAACUCACCAGUCGCCUUGAAGGAAAAGAAAACAAAGGAAAUCUCAUCUUCAUUGCAAAGAAGGCCAGCCAGGCCCACGUAAUAUCAGGCUCCAUGGGCCGUUUGGCAAAUUUUUGGGCUGGAAUCUACAUCUGCAGCGAGUAAUUGGCUGGUCAAUUGCUGGCUCACCUGAUAGUCCUAGGUGGGUGGCAUUGGGCCAACUAAAUAAGGGGGUUCUUAGCGUGUUUUCGCCUGAACUUGGUGGUUUAGUACCAUGAGUAUUGAAUGUGCAUGACAUUGUUGAAUUAGCGGAUGCGCUAUAUUGUAAAUGAUUUUCUUUCAAGGUCGGACACCUUUUUUUUUUUGGCAUUAUCUAUUGAAUUUAACUUCUCACGGGUAAUGAAUUAUUCGAGUUGGCAAGAUUUGGAAGAAUUGAUUAAAAAGAUGUGCUUUUGGAACCCUUUUGCGGAAGCUUGGAGUUUAUUUCUAUGGAAGAAUUGAUAAAAAGAUGUCUUUUUGAAGUUUUACUCAAGGAUUACCUUGAAGAGACUUGCAGAGCUGUUAUAUCUCAGCACACAGGUUGAUUAUGUUGAACAUUUGUUUAUAUUCUUCAUCAAUGUCGAUCUUUAUGAAUGAUUGCCUAGAGCCCUCAUUUAACCCUGAGCAGCCUCUCUGCCUAUGAUCCCUGUGGGGCAUGGUUGCUGGACUUGGAUACAAGUCCCAAAAGUGGAAAAGAAGUUUUGGUGCCUUAAUAGUUAAAGGUUGUCAUGAGGUUGAGAAUGUUGUCUUCAUAGUUUCAUUUUGUAUACAUUUCUGACCAAUAUAUAUGUGUGGACUUCACUUUGUCAACUUCUGCUCAUAAAAUUUGUAGCUGUAAGUGUCAUUGUCUGGCAUUUUGAAACCAUUUCUUGUCCCAUGGAGCCUAAAAUUCCGAUGCCCUUUAGAAGGGUAGGAGGAGUUUUGCUAUCACUCACCAUUUCUUGUGUUACCAAAGUAUAUCUUGCGAUUAGAGCUUUCUUACUGUGUUCUGAAAAUCUAUGUAGCUGAAUCACUCAAGGAAAAGAGCUUUGUUUUUGGGUUAUGUUAUCACUGUUGUAGAGAGCUUUGAUUGUUCUAUAUUACCAUUUUAGGAAUCUUAAAAGUAUCUCUCCAAAAUGGUUGUUUCCAAGUCCCUAGUGGCACAGAUAGACUGGCUGAUGGGAGUUGUCUGUUUCCAGAUGACAAAGGACAGCAAUAUCAUCUUGAAUUUGUGGGCGACAAAUUUAGAAAAGCUCCUCGAUCUUGUCAAGAAAAGUUGCCACCAAAUCCACAAGGAAACCUUGGUUCAUAAGGCUGCUUUGAGAGCUUGAUAAUGUUCUUAGUUGAAUGAAUGAUCUCUCUCCCCUUGAGCGUCCCUCGAUCUCUCACCAAAAGAGAAGUGGAAUAAUGCUAUUUCACAUUGUGGCCUGAAGUGGGACUGAAGAUGUUUAUCGUAUCUCUCGUGCAGCUGGGUUUAAUUUGAUAGCUUAUUUUGCAGGGGGGCCAAAUUUGGGCCUUGUGUGGACUGAAAUGAUACAAGGAGGAAUUUAUGUUGGUCUUUUCAUCUUUCCUCUUCAUCCCUCCUUUUCAUUGAAGAUUUUUGAGCUCUCAGGAUCCAGAACUUGUGCUAAUGGAAUUAGUAUCAGCACAAGAUGUGCACUCAAUGCAACAGAAUGAGCAUGUUAAAAUCUGUUUGCUUGUGCUUAUAUUUUUUUAACAUUGGGGAUUACAUUAGCUCUCCAUAGAAAAGGCGAAUGGAUGUUAUUUUUUUAUAUCAUUUCACAUUUGAAUUUCAUCUUCAGCAGAGAGAGCGUGUUUCUUUUGGACCCAAUCUUGACCAUCGGCGGUUCAAGAAACCUGUUUCUGGGGAGCUUCAUUCAAUUAGAUGACUGCAUUUUUUUAUCUCCUGAAGAGAGACAUAGUUUCUCUCCAAGUUGAUGUUUUGAUGUCAUUUCCAUAAGACACUCCAUUGUGAUGUCAUUUCUCUAUAUAGUUUUUGUUACUGAAAUGUGUUUGAUUCCGACUGGUUUUGACAUCUCUCUCAACUCUUGGCAUGUGUGUGUAAUAUAGUGAGAAGCUUUGAAAUAUUGAGGAUAAUGUGUUUCUUUGACGAUCGUAAAAUUUCAGAUUUGAUGGAAGUUAUCUUUACAUAGUCUCUUCCCAUUUUCAAUUUACUAUAGGUGCUUCUAAGAGGCAACAUAGGAUUAUCUUUGUCCAAUUUGUUUUCGCCUUUAUCUUUUGACACCAUCGCAUAUUUCCUAUUAAUCUCAGCAUUUGAUUGAUUUCACCGUUCAAUUGUUGUAUGAAAUCCCUUUCUUUACCGAAGAAAUGUAAAGGUUUUGAAUAUCGUGUCAUAGAGUGAAAUGAGAAAAGAGUGACUCCUAUGGGAACCAUCAGGUAGUUCUUUAACUUUAUUCAUUUUUUUCGACCAAAAAAAAAAAAAACUUUGUUCAUUUCAUGGAACAUGUUUGGAUGGAACCAGAAAAAAAUAUGAUCCACUCCUUAAGUUUUUUAUAACACUAAUAUUCAUGCAGAUCUCUGAGUCCAAUAAAUAUUAGAUGAAUGGCACUCUCAUGAAAGGAUGAGAAGCAACUCGAGUGAAAAAACCCCUCGUCUCUACCCUCUGAAAGCUGAUUACUUCAUUAAUAUCAUUAUGUAGAGUUUUCGAUACUUCAUCUCUUUUCAUUUUUUGCAAGUGUACCAAAAAAGCUCAUGUCAAGUACCAAAAUCCAAAGUUUACAUCAACGCAAAUAAUAUAGAAGAAAUAGAGCAAUUAUUUAUAAGUUGCUCAUGAACGUUGUGUUGAAUGCAUUUUCCAAUUUUGCGCUUGAUUGAUAGAAGAAUAGUUCCGAGUAGUAAAUCUCUAACCAAGUUGAAUCCGAUCAAUUCCAUUCAUAUUCUUAUAAAUUAGCAAAAAGUAAAUUUCUAUGUUUUGUUGUUGGGAUUUGCACAUCAUUACCAUGCCAAAGAUCAUGUGGGUUCAACUGACAUUGUAGAUCAAUUUAUAGGUCUCAAAAUCGUAAGUUAGAGUUAAAGUGGACCGUAAAAUGUAUUGUAGGAAUUUAGAAAGUACACAGCAAGAUGGGCACUCAUUCGUACUGAAAUAAGCGCCUCACUAAAUUCUGUUUUACAUUAUGAAUUUUGCCGGCGCUUUCGAGGCUAAUGAAUGCUAUUUGUCAUUUCUCUUCAAGGGAGAACGUUUUUCUUGAAGUCGAUACUUCAAUAGGGAAGGGGCCUUUGUUCUCUGGAGUUCUAGCUCCUCCAUUCUUCGUCACGGAAGCUGAAAAAUAUUGGGAAGAGGAAAUGAUUGGGGCAAUCCUUGGUCUAUUUCAGCAAUAGGCUAUCUACACACUUGGGGAGUUUUGUUUGUUCAUAGAGAAAAAGCUGUGGGCACAUCUUUAGCUUUAGCUGUAGAAGUAAUAAUGCCCAAUAAAUAACUGAGUACUUUCCUAACAAAAUGGAUUUAUUAUCAUUUUAUUGAAGAAUGCCACCGUGAGAUUUGCUUAGCAAUCAGCAUAAGUUAGACAAAAAAUAUUGGUGAUUUUCAAUACUUUUUCCUGUUAUUCGAGUAGUCAAUGAUUUGAAAAUUACAUCAAAUAUUAUAAGAUAUACUUAAAAGUUAUUCAUGCAGUCAAUAAAUAUUUUGGUCAUUAUUGGAAGAUCUUUUUUCGUCAUGUACUUAGAAACUAAUUAAAAUUUUAAAAGAAAAAAAAAUAGCGGCUAUAAGCAUGAUAACAUUUUGUUGCAAAAGUAGAUAUUUAAAAUUUUCAAAANNNNNNNNNNNNNNNNNNNNNNNNNNNNNNNNNNNNNNNNNNNNNNNNNNNNNNNNNNNNNNNNNNNNNNNNNNNNNNNNNNNNNNNNNNNNNNNNNNNNNNNNNNNNNNNNNNNNNNNNNNNNNNNNNNNNNNNNNNNNNNNNNNNNNNNNNNNNNNNNNNNNNNNNNNNNNNNNNNNNNNNNNNNNNNNNNNNNNNNNNNNNNNNNNNNNNNNNNNNNNNNNNNNNNNNNNNNNNNNNNNNNNNNNNNNNNNNNNNNNNNNNNNNNNNNNNGCAGCUGAUCAUUGAGAAGAUCAUGACUCCGAUGUUGCGAGUCGAGGACUGACUUGACUCUGAGACGUGAGGGCGGGUUUGGGUCGACCAGGUGUAAGGCCAUGUGCUAGGUUUCGGUUGCAACUUUGUUCUCUGUAAGUUUGUUUUCAUUGGGGAUGAGGUUGUGCCUGGGAUGAACGCAGGUCUGUUAGGAGCAUUUUCUUGGUGAGAAAUUUUGUUGAACAAUUGGCGGGUAAAUAUUUGCUAAUUGCUAUGUGUUCAGCCAAGCUUUUGAAGUAUCUCCUUGUGCUCUGCCUGUCUGUUUAAUUGUGAAAUUUGGAUCCUGCUUUUCGAGUUGCCAGUCUGCUGGGGUGAGCCUUGCGGCAAGUAAUUAGCUAGUUGAUUGCUGGCUUACGUAUUAGUCCUAGAUGAUGGUAUUGGGCAACUAAGUAAGGGGAUUUCAGUGUUUUUACAUAAACUUCUUAGUCUGUGAUGACAGAGAAAAGGCAUUUUGUUUAAGUUAAGUAGUUUUAUUUUGUUUUAUCAUCUUUUCAGGGUUUAGUGAAGUCGGUGAUCGGUGCUUCACUUUGUUUUUAUUCUAAUUAGUAGAUUUGUUUUAAGAUUUAAGUUCUCUUGUAUAUGGAUAAAUUCUUUUUGUUUUUGAUGGAUAGUUAUUUCCUUGGUGCCUUACUUAUUAUACCUUUUACACAACAAUGAAACCAGGGAGAAAAGAAAUUGAGAUUGGGUGCCAGAGGAGUGAUUCAAAAUACUAAUCAACCGAAGAUGAACAAUAAGUAUGGGUUGUACCUCUCCAUUUGUGGAUUUUCUCCCUUGCAUGAACACAGCAUGUGUCAGGUUUGCUGGUGGCGAAAGGAAUAUUAAACAAGCGGAGCCAAGAUUAUUGUGUUCAGUCGUCUACUGAUAUCUGGGCAUGAAUUUUUGUCUUCCUAGCUCAAAGCACUCUUUGCCUUCCUCGUCAAGUGCUUGAGUCAAAAUUAUUUGAUGACACUGAUACUUAGAUAUUCAUACCUGUUAAGUUUUUUUUCCUGUAUAUAGUUGCUCCCAAACUUUCUUGUAACAAAGGAAGUAUCUUACACUCCUUUGAUAUGAGUGAAUCAGAUUGUCAAGAUUAAUCGAUGUCCAGAUGUUUGCCUUUUUAUCUCUGCUUUUGGGUGAUAAGCUGGUGGAAAUUUUGCUCUCCAUUGGGUGUAUUUCAUUGUUAUGCUAUGCUGAAUGCUGAUAGUUUCGUCCGGAUUAGUGAGAGCAUUAUGACUGAUGGCUAUUUAUUAUACCUGUACAAGAUUUUUACCUUCCCGAUUGUUAUUAGGAUUGCUAAAUGUAUAGGAGGCAAUUAAAAAAAUGCAAGUUGGUCACAUCGACAAUCAUUCCCAGAUUGGAUCAGGAGUAAGAUCAUUGGAGAUGUAGGAUGGGAUUCCUAAUCCCAGUCCACCUACUUUGCCUAUUUAAUUAGGACUCAACCUCAUAGUAAAUCAAAUUAGGCCCCAUUUCUCAUCGUGCAUGACCAAUUGUACGUCUGAAACAAUAUCUAAAGGCUGAACCUGCUUAUUGGGGCUAACUUUAGGGAUUGAACUGUGAGGGGAUUAUAGAUAAAAGUGAGGUAUUGCCCUCAUCCUGAAUUUGAUUGGAUGGAAGAUUUAAUCGGUGGUUGUGGCAAGGCUGAAAAUACUUUCUAUGCAGACUUGGGAGAGUCCGUAUGCUUCCACCUGGAUUAAAAUUAACCUUUUAUUGUUGGAGUUGGAUGUAAGCUCUACUUUCAUGAGAGCUUCGGUUGGGGCAUAUGGGAGGUUCGCUGUGCCUCCACAACCAGCAGUGCAGCACAAUGCCAUCACCUUUGUACUGCAAUUAUCUCUUCUUGCUAUGGAAUUUAUUUUUAGGUCAUAGCAUAUAGCUCUUCACCCUUUUCACCCUCCGCUCUUCAUAUUUUCAAUGCCAUCAUCUGGCUUUGCUUUCAUUUUGUUUUCUUCUUUUCUUUUGCCAUCAUCAAUAGUGCAGUCUUAUGAUUAUUGAUCCAAAGUGUGGUCCGGUUUCAAUCAUUUGGGAUCGAUCUUAACAACAGUUACCUUAAGGGUUUUAUUUAUAUGGACGUAUACUAUUGCCUCCCAUAUGUGUACUGAUUAGAUCUUAUACUGUCGUUUUGUGUAGUCGUAAUAUGCCAUCAUGUAUGACUAUUUGAAAAACGAAUCUCAUUGGCAUAUCUAUACGGGUGUUGGUUCUUGGCAAGCUCUAGAGAUGCUAGAACUCAGGCCUGGUCCUCAUGCUGUUUGCAAGUUUUUUCAAUUGGUUGGGAUCCUCGUGAUUGUAUUUGUAUUGCACCUUGCUAUUACCCCUUUAAUUCCUUUCUUUACUCUAUUUUCUUCCUAGAUGAAUAUUUUUUCUUGCUGUUAAUUAGAUAGUUCAACUGAAAGUUGUAAUUGUGCUCCAGAGAUAAUCAAGUAAUGAAUUAUUUUGAUGGUGACACUUAACUCUGUUGCUGCUGGGAAGGUGAAAAUGUGAAAUCAAACUCUAUUGCGGGCUCGUGUUCGUGAGCAAUCUGUUUUGAUUUCGUGGUUUCUAUAGCUAGUUUCAUUAUGCAGUUAUAUGUCGAAAUUGAGAAGAGUGCGGUUGAUAAAGAAACUGGCAAAAAGCAAAGGAAGAAAGUCUUAUAGUAGAAGCUGCUGAUUUAAUAGAAGAAAUUGCAGGAGCUAGAAGUUGAAUUCUGGGGUCUUUGAUCUUGUAAUUGGUUUUCCCUUUGUCCAAUAUUACGAGUGGUCUAAAUUGCUAUGGAAACUUUUGGAGCAUUGGUAAAUACGGAGAAAAUUGCCUUUAUUCUUGAACAUGUACGGGAUUUUAGUAUUGCUUUUAGCCGUUUAUGCUCUCUUACUAUGAUCAGUUUUCUGAUGGAUGGUUUUGCAGGUUCUUUUAAGCUUAGAUCGCCAGGACUAUGUCCAGGCACAGAUCCAGAAAAUCAGCCCCCCGGUGUAUGAUCCAGAUCCUUCCAAAGAGAAGAAAAAGCCUAAAGAAGGGGAAAUUUUUGUGGAAGAAGCGCUAGCUGAUAUGCCGUCACUUCUGGAGCUGAAAUGGAUAUAAUAAGAACCCACGAUAUGGUGAAUUGGUGCUUUACUUAUUCUAAUGUUGUGUCUACUAUUCUUAACUAGAAUUUUUUUGCCGAUCAAGCGCUUCCUGGUAUUCAGAUUGUGGUUCAAGCCAUGGUUUUAUUCAUCUGUCGAAUUCUCUUUUUCCUUUCUGUCUUUACUGCAAACUCUGAUGUUAGAACUGUACUUAAUGGAUUUGAACACACAUCUUACCUUGCAUUCAUGUGGUUAACAAUGAAAUUAUUACUCUCAUUACAGUGGUUUACUAUAUGGCGAUAUAUGAGAUUCCAUCAGCAAAGGGGAAACCCAGAGUUGUGGAUACCAGUGAAGCUCUUUCAUAUGAGGCUAUGUCAAGUCUUCACUGGAUUUUUCAAGGCACAGCUAUUCAUUCCGUGAUUUAAUUAGUCACAGGUUCUAAGGAAAAUCUGUUGGUAUGUAGCUCGGUUACCACAUGAUCGGUUACAGUCAAGCUUUUGCAAUACUUUAGAAGAUAUAAAUAUCUCAGAAAUUCCCCAAAUCAGGUACAUCUUUGAAUUGCUUCGAGUAUUUGAUUGUACAUUUUCUUGCAAUAGAUCGAUAAUCUGCCAUGGAAUUUGGUUGCCGUACCUUUAUUAUUUUAAUGCAGGCUGCGGCUGAAACAAUUGGUCACAAUGGAGGUUAUCCAAUUAACUGCUCUUUGAAGUAAUUUCAGAGAUAAAUUUGAGAAUGAGAAAACCAUGCUCGAAGGUGCACUUGUUGAGAAGGCAGCAUAAGAUCUUAGACAAAGAAUAUGCAAAUAUGUAAUUACAAAACUUUGUCGUUUUUUUACCCUUGCUUUCUUUAGAUCAUCAUGCUGAUGCGACUUACUCUAUUUUCUACAUAAUGUUAUUGUCGUUUUGAAGUAUUACUUGAGGAUUACCUUGAGGAAACUUGCAUAGCUGUUAUGCCUCAGCAUCCAGGUCGAUUAUGUCGAACAUUUAUUUAUUUCUCUUAUCAAUGUCAAUCUUUAUGACUGAUUCCCUAGACCCCUCAUUUAACCCUGGGCAGCCUCUCUACCCCUGAUACCUGCAGGUUGUGGUUGCUGGAUUUGGAGACAAGUUCCAAAAAAUUGGUUGCUACCAAUGUCAAUGUUUGGCAUUGUGAAACCACUUCUUGUCCCAUGAAGCCUGAAAUUCUGAUGCGCUUUAGAAGUGUGGGAGGAACUCUGCUAUGAUUCGGCAUUUCUAGUGUUACAAAAGUAUAUCUCGUGAUUAGAGCUUUCUUAAUUUGCUCCGAAAUCUAUGUAGCUGAAUCACUCAACAAAAGGAACUUUGUUUUUGGGGUUUUGUUACCACUGUUGUAGAGAGCUUUAAUCAUUCAUAUGCCUCAAUCUAUUAAAUCAUCACAAUUAUCUGCUAGAGAGACAGCAUAGUAGUAAUUAUACAAGCCUGUAUGAUAUUCUAUUAGCACGACCUGUUAGUUCUAUGACCAUUCUAGGAAGUUGAAAAGCAUCUCUCCAAAAUGGUUGUUUCCAAGUCUCUACUGGGAAAGAUAGACCUGCCGAUGGGAGUUGUAUGUUUCCAGACAACAAAGGAGAGCAAUGACAUCUUGAACUUGUGGGCUACAAAUUUGGAAAAGCUCCUUGAUCUUGUUGAGGAAAGCUGCCACCAAAUCCACAAGCAAACUAUGGUUCAUAUGGCUGCUUUGCGAGAUGUUCUUAGUUGAAUGAANNNNNNNNNNNNNNNNNNNNNNNNNNNNNNNNNNNNNNNNNNNNNNNNNNNNNNNNNNNNNNNNNNNNNNNNNNNNNNNNNNNNNNNNNNNNNNNNNNNNCUUUUUAUAGGUUCCAACGUUAUGGUUGGCGUUGGUGACUUAUCAGCCCAGCAAAUCUCUGAGAAGCUUUGCAGCCCUUUAGCCGUGUUCACUCAAGUUCAUCCACGACGACUCCCUGCCAUUUGUUGUCCUCCUUCGCUGCCUGCUUGUUAUAGUUUCGUCCAUAGUCGGCGAACCACUCCCGUUGCAAAUGUGAAGUCCGGUAAAGCCCCAACACCCGCUAGCAAUGACGUUGCUGCUGCUGCUGCUGGUUUUCCGAACCACCACGUGAACAUCACCGUCAGCCCCCCACCGAGCUGAGAAGCCCCCUGAGCACCACCCCACGGUCGUCACACCACGUCGGGGUCACCAUCAUUGAGCCAAAGCACCAUGAUCGAUCCACUGUGAUCCACAACCGUGAUUCCCGUAUCUAUUGGUCUGAAUUCAAAUUUGGAACGUUGAUAUUUGAAAUAGGUAACGAUUGAUAUCGAUUUGAAUAUUUCGUUAUCUAAUUUGAUUGAUUUUUGUUAUCUUCGUUAGUAUUGUCAUAUCCAAAAAAAAUUUCGAGCAUUGGUGAAGUAGAAUAAUUUCCUAAUUUUUACAGUCUUAUUUCAUGCACGGAAUACAACUCACGAUCGCAUGGAAAAUCGGUCAAUCCAAUCUCACGCUUGAGAUACGACUCGCGAUUGCAUGGAAAAGCACAUGAUUUGAUUUGUUUCGACUGAUUAUCUUAUUUUUCGUUCAGUUGGUGAUGGAGUUUAGAAUUAAAAUGAUAAAUUCAAAUAUGCACGAAUUCACAUUAGUAUUAUGAUGCAAUUAAAUUAUUUUUUUUCUCAACAAUUUUGAAUGAAUAGGUCUCUCUCUAUAUAAUAUAUUUAAAAAUAUUCAUGUUCAAAAGACCUAGUGAAGUCACAGCCAGACUUGCUGAAAGCAACAGACGCGUGGGGCCUGGAAUCGAAAAGUGGCCAAAUAAGAUCGACUGUGUUUAAUUGUAAGAUGAAAAUUACGAAAGUUAUAAGCCGCUAAAGUUAGAUGCCACACACUUCUUAUGGAAGAAAUCUUAUAAAUUUCUUAGGUAAUAUUAUGCUAAUUAUUUGGAAAUUGCGUGCUUGGGUUUCGAAACUAAGUUAAUAAUUUUAUUUUUGAAUUAAAAGAGAGAGAGAGAGAGAGAGAGAGAGAGAGAGAGAGAGAGAUUUUGACAAAGGGUUGGGCUUAAACCAGCUCUCACUUGGUGUAAUUAAUUUAGUUUAAGUCAAUUUAGGUUGAUUCAGGCUAAAAACACUCUUAAGCUAUAUUGGUAGUCUAGAUUUUUUAUCAUAAUAUAAAUUGAUAUGAUAAGAUAUGAAAUCUAAGAAUUUUAUUAUAUCCCAUUCACUUUUUGGUGAUUAUAGUAAUAAAAUCAUAUAUAUUUACAUCAUAUUAUGUACAUUAUUUGGUAUAAAUGGCAUAUUAAUAUAAAAAAAUUACAAACGAAAAUGUUUAAAAAUCUCUCAGAACACUCUUGUUUACUCUAUUUUAUUUGCUUGUUUAUUUUAUUUUCCUCUCUUUUAAUUUCUUUUUUAUUUCUUUUUUACCCUCCCAUCAUUCUCUAAUAAAGAAAAGCUUCAACCUUCAAAAAUGUUAGGAAGGACUUCAGUUAACACAGAAAUUUUAUAAUUAAAGAGAAAUGAUUUGGUGACGGUUUUUAAUCUACAAUGAGAAUAAAAAUAUGUUCUAGACCACAAAAAACCAAAUAACAAAUAAUUAUAAAUUGCAGUGGGGUUCAUUCCUUCAAGAAUUUGGGGCUCACAACAAGUUGUUAUUCUCACCAUGGCCUAGACGAUGUUAUGCUAACAAAGCUCUUAAUUAAAUAAUGAAUUUUUGUUCCAUGGUAUCCAAUGUCACAUCAUCCAGAAAAAUUGAAAUUUGAUAAGGUAGAACCUAGCUCUAGAGAAUCAAUUGGGUAGAGAGUGAGAGAGGGGAUAAUAUAAGCCGAUUGCUUAUAUAAAUUAGUUGGGCAUGAAGGCCGACUGCUUGAUUAUCAAGGCCCAUUAAACACCACUAUCUGAUUUAUAAAUAUGAAAAUAUCCGAUUUCUCAACCAACUACACAAACCUUAAAAGGGAUUGAGCUUACAAUUUAUGUUGACUUAAUUAACACGUGGCCCAAAAUAUAUUUAACCUUUGUGUCACCUUUUAUAUAAUUUCACACAUUGCUCUAGUCAAAACCAACAUUUUUUAUUUAUUUAUUAAGAAGAUGUGCAGAUAUCUUUGGUUUUCUUUCAUAAUCCAAUUUCAAACCCACCCAAUUACCACAACCCAUGGAAGAUCCACAGCUUUCGUGCUUUCUUGAAUGUCGGAGAAUCAUAAUGACAUUCAGGUCCGCACAUCCAUAAAACCGAAUAAUGUGAACCCAGCAUGGAGGUGAUGAGGGUUUCGAGGGAGCUCACUCGAAAACCCGCCGGAUGUUUCUUGCAUCUUAUUGGAGCAAAUUCAUGGUGUCUUGCUCACUUCCCUUCACCUUCCCAUUAGAUUUCCCCAACGAUUCCAUUUAUUUAAUGGAAGAGCAAGUCAAGUCUUGCUGGAUCUCAAAUUUCAAUCAAAGAAUUUGCGUAGGUGACACGCAGUGGCACCUUCCACAUAAUGAUGACGAAAUCACCGAUGAGUAGCUCAGCAUUCUUCAAGCACUCAGCAUUGUUCAGGAGCGCACCGUAAAAAAAGCAGGGAUUAGGAGCAUCUUUAUUGCAAGUUGGUCUUCUUUUCUACUUCUUUUCUACUUUUCCUUUAAAAGAAAAAGAAAGUGAAGAAGCACUUGCAUAGGUUCCCCGCAACUUCCGCAUAAUGCUGCGAAUAUUACGCAUGUGAUGACUCAGCAUUCUUUAAGCACUCAGCAAUCAAUACUCUUCAAGCACGCACAGUAAAGAGUGUCUUGUGUUGGUAAUCCAACGUCUAAGGCUGAGGAUCGGAGGAGAUGACAGCACUGAGUGGGUUGUUUUGUUUGAACACUUCUCAGGUUGAUUGAUUUUCGUCAUCUUUGUCGGUCAUAUCCAAAAAAAAAAAUUGAGUUUUGGUGAAAUAGGAUAAUUUCCUAAUUUUCACGGUUUGAGUUCAUACCCGAAAUAUAAUUCACAAUCGCGCAGAAAAUUGUCCAAUCCGAUUUUAUGCUCAAGAUACGACUCGUGAUCACGUGGAAAGCACAUGACUUAAUUUGUUUUGACCAAUUAUCUCAUUUUUUGUUUAGUCAGCAAUGGAGUUUAGGAUUAAAUUGAUAAAGUCAAAUAUGCACGCAAUUCACAUUAGUAUUCUGAUUCAAUUAAAUUAUUUUUUCUCAAUAAUUUUGAAUGAAAAGGUCUCGUGAUCAUGUGGAAGCACAUGACUUAAUUUUGUUUAAAAAUAUUCAUGUUCAAAAGACCUAGCGAAGUCACUAGAAACUUGCUGAAAGCAGAAAACGCGAGGGUGCCAGAAUCGAAAAGUGGCCAAAAUGAGGUAAACUGUCUUUAACUUUAAGACGAAUGUUAUGAAAGUUAUGAGCCGUUAAGGUAGGUGGCACACACUUCUUAUGAAUGAGAUUUUAUAAAUUUCUUAGGUAAUAUUAUGUUAAUAAUUUGGUAACUGCAUGCUUGGGUUUCGAAACUAAGUUACUAAUUUUACUUUUGAAUUAAAAAAGAAAAAGAAAUUUUGACAAAGGGCUGGGCUUAAACCAGCUCUCACCUUACGUAUCUAAUAUGAUUUGAAUCAAUUUAGGUUGUUCAAACUUGAAACACUCAGUCUAUAUGUUCUUGUGUCUAGAAGCUGGGUAAUUCUGAUCAUAUUUCUUUGUAGAAGUCUGCACUUUCGUAAUCUAGGAUGUAGUAAGAGAUACUCGUGUUUUGUAGAAUCAUCUACUGAGUUAUGUAAAAGUAGCAUCCUUUACAAAAUUGUAAAAUCUCGAGGGUUACUCAGCCUUGUCGCGAGAGGAGUAGGUCAGGUUGAAGUUCAAGCCACUAUAAAUCUGUUUUGCAUAUCUUUGAUCUCUCUAACUCCUUUAUUAUCAUUUGGACAGAAAGGUACUGCUUCUGCAUGACUGUUUUCUUCUUACACUAAUACACAAUACACGUUCCUCAUUAAAAAAAGUUUAAUUUUCUUAGAACAACCAAUUUACCCUCCUACAACAGCAUAUUACUUCACAGCUUUUCCACGAAAAAGUUUCAAUUUUCUUUAAACGAUCAAUUCAACUCCCCUCAAUUGUUGCGUUAAUCGUUUCAUUAAUUUCUUUUGUUAAUAAGAGCAAUGAAAGAUCUAUCUCACUGACCAAAAUGAAUCUCUUAAAUAAUCCUAUCUAGAUGACCAUCUUAGUAAGUGGGAAAUUACCAAAAUCAUACGACAAUAUCUUUUUGUUCUUGGCUAAUUUAAGGGAACUCACAUGACACAUACCAUGAUUGACAUUUAAUAGCAUUAGAAUUCAAUAAUUAUCUAGUCUGACAUUAUACAGGACAAUGAAAAAAAAGAAGAAGGAGAAACCUCUUUGAAGCUUCUUAUAGUUGGAGCUACCGAUUGAAAAGAACAAUGCCUGUAGCUUAAAAGAAAAGCUUCAACCUUCAGAAAUGUUGGUAAGGACUUUGGUUAACACAGAAAUGCUUUAAUUAAAUAAUGAAUCUGUGUUCCAAAGCAUCCAAUCACACAGAAUCAGAAAAAGGGAAAUUUGAUCGGGCUGAACCUAGCUCUGGAGAAUCAAUUGGGUAGAGCUAGAGAGGGGAAAGUAUAAGCCAGCUGCUUGUAUAAGAUAGUCAGGCACAAAGUCCGACUGCUUGAUUACUUGAAGGCCCAUUAAGCACUACACUUCAAUUUAGAGCAGUUUUAAAUAUGAAAAUAUCUGACUUCUCAACCAACUACGCAAACUCUUAGAAGGGAUUGAGCUUACAGUUUAUGUUGGCGUAAUUAAUACGAGGCUCAAAAUAUAUUUAACCUUUGUGUCACCUUCUAUAAAGUUGGACAAACCAGAUAUUUUUCAAAUAUUAUUCCCUGGCAUUGAUAAAAAAAUGGACAUUUUUUUUAUUAGAGAGAUGUGCAGAUAUCUAUGGUUUCCUUUCAUAUUCCAAUUUCAAAUCCACUCAGAGCACAACCCAUGGAAGGUUCACAAGAAGUGGAAGAUGCUCUCACUUUAUCAUCUUUUUUUUUUAUAAAUAAUUUCUAUCGAGAAGAAGGCAGAACUAAGGCUCAUUUUUAGUCAUCAUCCACAGCACUCGCGCAUCCAUUUCCUGCGGAACUUGCGUCUUGAUUUUGUUCAUCUUCCCAAAAUAUUUAGUCGCCAAUUCUCUUUUGUGGGCCUGAUCCCAUAGCUUUCGUACAUUCUUGAACAUCGGAAAAUCACAAAAACAUUCAGGUCCGUAUAUCCAUAAAACGGAAUAAUGUGACCACAGCGAGAAGGCAAUGGGGAUUUCGAGAAAGCUCACUCGAAAACCCACUGGAAGUUUCUUGCAUCUUAUGGGAGCAAAUUCAUGGCCACUUCAUGACCCUUUCUGGUGUGGUUUGACAAGUGAUUUUCGUGAACAAUGUCUCGAAAUUAAAACUGAAAUCAGCUAAAUGUGUAACAGUUGAAAAAAUAUAGCACUUAAAUAGAUCAGUUAUCACCCAAAAUAAACCCAACAUUCAUUUCAUCAUUUAAAUAGGCAAUGUGAGAUAAUAAUUUCACUAGCGGAGUUUACGCAACAACGUAUAUUAAUUUAACAAUCAAUGUUUAGGCAAUGACCCAUAUUUGAUUUUUAUUUUUAGCAAGCAUUUCCAUUCCAUAAAUGAAGUGAUAUUCUAUUUGUUCAUGUAAAUUGUUACCUAAAUAUAAUUGCCAUCUCUUUAUGUAAAAAUCCUCUUUUGAAAAUCUCGAAAGUCUAUUGAUUGAUGCGGGACAAGUUGCAAACAGUUUCCUAAAAUGAUUCAAUCAACAAAUGAAUAGAGUUUAGCAAGACAUUUAUCAAAAUGAACAGACAAAGAUCAGCCUGCUACGAGCGAGAGCUAUGGACAAUCCAACAUAAAUUAUGUUGACAAGAUUUUUUGUACGAGAGCCACAGGUUUUAGUUACAGAUACCACUGAGAUGCUGAAAAUCAAUUUGUCCAAGCCUUUAAGUUAGGAAACUGGUGCAGGCGCGAGUGAGGCGGCGGGAGCAGCGAUGGCAGCGAACAGUGGCGUCACGGGCUGCUGCAGGGGCGCGGAGGCGCGGCGAUCAGCUCGGGCUGCUGGCGGAGGGAGGCGCGGCAGCAGUGGCGAUGCUCGAGUGAGCUGCUAGUGGUCGCUCAGGCGAGGGGCACCGAGCGGCGGUGACUGGCAGCAGCGACGGCGGGCGUUCGGGUCGUCGUGUGCUGCCGGUGGAGGCGGAGCAGGGGCGUCGGCGUCGGGGCUUCUGGCGUCCGGCGCUACGGAGACGCGGAGGUCACUGGGUGCGCGAGCGGAGGCUGUCUGGACGGCGGCAAUUGGCGACGUUGGGUUGCAGACGGCGUGCGGCAAAGACUGGCGGCCCGGCGACUGGCUCGGAUCUGCUGGCGUCGGGGAUGGUGGUGCGGAGGUGCGGCGACCAGUGGCAACGAACGGGUGAGCUGCUGUGACGGCGCUGGUGCAGAGGCGGGGGCGUCGGGAUCGGCUCAGGAUCGCGGACCGGCGGGCAGAGAGAGAUGGAGCGAGCGUCGCAGCGGCGGCAAGCGAGGCGGCGACUGUUGCAAAGGCGCGGGGGCUUCGCGAACGAACGACGACGGCUGGCGGAGGAGACGCCGGUGCGGUGGAACGGCGAGGAAGAUGAACAGUAUUUUUGGUUUUUUUUUUUUUUUCUCUCUCCUGACCUGCCUCUCGCGUCACUUCUCUCUCUCUCUGCACUUUUUUCUCUUUUUUACUGACUUUUCCUUUCUUUUCUUGCAGGUUGUCAGGAGAGAAAACUCUUCUUGGACGGCAAAAAGGGGUUUCCUCUCUUCUGUUUUUUUUUUCUUCUCACUUUCACGAAUUCUCUUGCUCUUUUUUACCAUUUUUUUUUUUUGGCGAAUUCUUCCCUCCAUUCUUUUAUAAAGAAAACCUCCACUUACGUUUAGAAAGUUCGAAGCUACGCUUCCUUAAUUGUGGAGAUUACCGAAUUUCAGCCCUGAUGAGUAUAAUUUUUUCAUAUUUUCUCUUCAAUUUAUCAAUCUGGCCAUUAUCAUCGCCGAUUUUGGUUUGAGUUUCCAUUUUGACUUUUAUUCUCUUGAUUUUUUGAUCUUUGGCUGGAAAUUCGGCUUCACAUUUACCAAGAUUGAAUAUCUAAUUGAAGCAAUAAUAGCUAGUUAGAAUUCUCACAUUCCAUGCAUAAUUGAUCAUCCCCUUAUUUUCCAUUUUUUUUUCACUUUAUUUGUUAUGAUGCAUUUUUUUUAAGGGUUAAAAUUAAUCCCUAAUUUUUAUGCAAAAAAUCAAUGAUUAAGUCGCCAAAAUUUAAGUGUCAACAUUGUGUUUACAUACAAGAUUGUAUGGAAAGCUUGCAACUUUUGCUAGCCGUUAGGAACCCAAGACAUUAGUCCUUUGAUCCUCAGGCCUAAUAGGGUUGACACAUCUCUGUCCGACCCUUGUUGAGAAUGGUUACUAUUUUAAAAGGCUUCUUCUUGCUCUUUUGGCAUGGAAUUUCUUUUUUUCAUUUGAAUACCAAAAAUGACAUAGAUAGUAGUCUCGUACCAUAUUAAGAGGAAAAUAUAUCAAUUGGCUCAAAAUUCACUAAUAUAUUGGAUUCAAGCGAUUUAAAUUUCUAAUCCUAUUUAAUUUCUAAUUUUAUAUUGAUCAAGAGCUUUCGUUUCUCGCCUUUACUCAAAAUUUCCAACCAUCCUUUUGAUUUCCGUCCACAUGCAAAGUCAAAUCAAGUGUAAAAUCUGAAUGGUUUUUGAUGGCUGCGACCCACCACUCGCCUUGGAGGAAAAGAAAAGAAAGGAAAUCUCAUCUUCAUUGCAAAGAUGGCCAGCCCAGCCCACGUAAUUCUCAGGCUCCAUGGGCCGUCUGGCGAAGUUUUAGGCCGGAAUCUCUAUCGGCUGUUGGAUCUUUUCCAAGGACCGGGACGGGCCAAUCCGAUCCGGAUUCGAUUCGCUUCUAUUUCGGAUCCCCGAUUUCCCCUCCAUUUUCAUCCAUUUUCAUUUUUAUUCCCCCCUGCUCUUUUAUUUAUUUAUAUUAUUUAUGUUUUGCUCUUCUAUUUAUUUAUUAAUUUAAUUUGCUCUCGCAUCAGUGUGUUCAAAGAGGAGGAGAGAGUAGAUGGAGAAACAGAAGAGUGGAAGUUUUCGGUUGCAACUUUGUUCUCUGUAAGUAUGUUUUCAUUGGGGAUGAGGUUGUGCGUGGGAUGCACGCAGGUUUGGUAGUUGGUGAGAAUUUUUGUCGAACGAUUGGUGGGUAAAUAUUUGCUAAUUGCUAUGUGUUCAACCACACUUUUGAAGUAUCUCCUUGUGCUCAGCCUGUCUAUGUUUAAUUGUGAAAUUUGGAUCCCGCUUUUCUCGAGUUGCCAGUUUGCUGGGGUGAGCCUGGCGGCAAGUAAUUAGCUAGUUGAUUGCUGGCUUAUGUGCUUGUCCUAGAUGAUGGUAUUGAGCAACUAAAUAAGGGGAUUUUAAUUGUUUUUACAUAAAAUUCUUCGUUUAGUGCCAUAAUUAUUGAAUUUGUGUGACAUUGUUGAUUUAGCGGAUGCACUAUCUUGCAAAUGAUUUUUUUUUUCCAGGGUUUGACACCAUUACCUAUUCACUGUUAACUUUCCAUGGGUAAUAAUUUAUUCAAGUUGGCGAGAUUUGGAAGAGUUGCUUAAAAGAUGUGCCUCUGGAACUCUUUAAUGAAUGAAGGUUGGGGUUUAUAUUCCUGUGGAAAUUUAAUGGUGUUCAUGUGCAAACAAAGAGUGGGUAAUAAGCACAAAGUUAACCUUGAGAUAUCCUCUCUGGCAAGGUGCUUGUAUUUACUUAUGGAAGUGAAAUUAAUUAACAUCAGUGAGUAUUCAGCACCCAAGUAGUGCAAAGUGAGUUUCCAACAAUUAGCGUUGUGGCUUUCUCUCAAAAGAUAAAAAAUGGAGGAGAUAGCAAACUCAAUAGGUAGAAGUUGUUGAAAGAUUACUGGAUAACUUAAAGGAAGCACUUAACCAAGAUUAAUUAUCAAUAAGUAUCUCCCUGAUCCAUGAAGUCAAUGUAAGAUCACAUGAUGUUGCAUCCUAUCAAGAACACUAAUUGGAAGUUCUCAUUAACGAAGAACGGAAAUAACUCUUGCAGCUGAGUAGGAAAAUAAUGCACAAAGCUAUGUGGAUAAGCUGGACAUUGUGGUACUAUCUAGUAGGCAAAGCUGGUAAUAGCAAGAUACGUUGAUGUACUUUUACAAGAUGGACCCUGCCUUUGGAGUUGAAGUAAACAUGUGUGUGAGAAUUGACAAAUAGAGAUCCUUAGUCUGUGAUGACAGAGAAAAGGCAUAUUGUUAAAGUUAAGCAGUUUUAUUUUGUUUUAUCAUCUUUUCAGGGUUUAGUGAAGCCGGUAAUCGGUGCUCCACUUUGUUUUUAUUCUGGUUAGUAGAUUUGUUUUAAGAUUUGAGUUCUUUUGUAUAGGGAUAAAUUCUUUUUGUUUUAGAUGGAUAGUUAUUUCCUUGGCGCCUUACUUAUUAUACCUUUUACACGACAAUGAAACAGGGGAGAAAAGAAGUUGAGAUUGGGUGCCAAAGGAGUGAGUCAAAAUACUAAUCAACUGAAGAUGAACGAUAAGUAUGAGUUGUACCUCUCCAUUCCAAUAAGAGUUUCUUAUGGAUUUUCUCCCUUGCAUGAACACAGCAUGUAUCAGGUUUGCUGGUGGAGAAAGGAAUAUUAAACAAGCGGGAGCCAAGAUUAUUGUGUUUAGUGGUCUACUGAUUCUUGGGGCAUGAAUUUUUGUCUUCCUAGCUCAAAGCACUCUUUGCCUUCCUCGUCAAGUGCUUGAGUCAAAAUUGUUUGAUGACACUGAUACUUGGAUAUUCAUACCUGUUGUUUUUCCUGUAUAUAGUUACUCCCAAACUUUCUUGUAGCAAAGGAAGUAUCUAACACUCCUUUGAUAUGAGCAAAUUAGAUUGUCGAGAUUAACCGAUUUCCAGAUAUUUGCCUUUUUAUCUCUGCUUUUGGGUGACAAGCUGGUGGAAAUUUUGCUCUUCAUUGAGUGUAUUUCAUUGUUAUCCUAUGCUGAAUGCUGAUAAGUUCCUCUGGAUUAGUCAGAGCAUUAUGACUGGUUGCUAUUUAUUAUACCUGUACCAGAUUUUUACCUUCAUGAUUGUUAUUAAGGAUUGCUAACUGUAUAGGAGGCAAUUGAAACGAUGCAAGUUGGUCACAUGGACAAUCAUUCCCAAAUUGGAUUAGGAGUAAGAUCAUUGGAGAUGUAGGAUGGGAUUCCUAAUCCUAGUCCACCUACUUUGCCUAUUUAAUUAGGACUCAACCUCAUAGUAAAUCAAAAUAGGCCCCAUUUCUUGUCAUGCAUGACCAAUUGUACGUCUGAAACAAUAUCUAAAGGCUGAACCUGCUUAUUGGGGCUAACUUUGGGGAUUGAACUAUGAGGGGAUUAUAGAUAAAAUUGAGGUGUUGCCCUCAUCCUGAAUUAGAUUGGAUGGAAGAUUUAAUAGGUGGUUGUGGCAAGGGUGAAAAUACUUUCCAUGCAGACUUGGGAGAGUCCAUAUGCUUCCACCUGUAUUAAAAUUUACCUUUUAUUGCUGGAGUUGGAUGUGAGCUCCACUUUCAUGAGAGCUUCGGUUGGGGCAUAUGGGAGGUCCGCUGUGCCUCCACAACCAGCAGUGCAGCACAAUGCCAUCACCUUUGUGCUGCAACCAUCUCUUCUUGCUAUGAAAUUUUUUUGUUUUUCUUAGGUCAAAGUAUAUAGCUCUUCACCUUGUUUAUUUUUUUCACCCUCCUCUCUUCUUCUUUUCAAUGCCAUCAUCUGGCUUUUUUUUCAUUUUGUUUUCUUCUUUUCUUUUGCCAUCAUCAGCAGUGCAGUCUUAUGAUUAUUGAUCCAAAGUGUGGUCCAGUUUCAAACAUUUGGGAUCGAUCUUAACAACAGUUACCUUAAGGGUUUUAUUUAUAGGACUUAUACUGCAGUGAUUGCCUCCCAUAUGUGUACUGAUUAGAUCUUAUACUAUUGUUUUGUGUAGUUGUAAUAUGCCAUCAUGUACAACUAUUUGAAAAACGAAUCUCAUUGGCAUAUCUAUAUGGGUAUUGGUUCUGGGCAAUCUCUAGGGAUGCUAGAACUCAGGCCUGGUGCUCAUGCUGUUUGCAAGUUUUUUCAAUUGGCUGGGAUCCUCAUGAUUGUAUUUGUAUUGCACCUUGCUAUUACCCCUUUAAUUCCUUUUUUACUCUAUUUUCUUCCUAGAUUAAUAAUUUUUCUUGUUGUUAAUCAGAUAGUUCGACUGAAAGUCAUAAUUGUGCUUUAGAGAUAAUCAAGUAAUGAAUUAAUUUGAUGGUGACACUUAACUCUGUUGCUGCUGGGAAGGUGAAAAUGUGAAAUCAAACUCUAUUGCAGCUCAUGUUCAUGAGCAAUCUGUUUUGGUUUCGUGGUUUCUAGAGCUAGUUUCAUUAUGUAGCUAUAUGUCGAAAUUGAGAGAGUGCGGUUGAUAAAGAAACUGGCAAAAAGCAAAGGAAGAAAGUUUUAUAGCAGAAGCUGCUGAUUUAAUACAAGAAAUUGCAGGAGCUAGAAGUUGAAUUCUGGUGUCUUUGAUCUUGCAAUUGGUUUUUCCUUGUCCAACAUUAUGAGUGAUUUGAAUUNNNNNNNNNNNNNNNNNNNNNNNNNNNNNNNNNNNNNNNNNNNNNNNNNNNNNNNNNNNNNNNNNNNNNNNNNNNNNNNNNNNNNNNNNNNNNNNNNNNNNNNNNNNNNNNNNNNNNNNNNNNNNNNNNNNNNNNNNNNNNNNNNNNNNNNNNNNNNNNNNNNNNNNNNNNNNNNNNNNNNNNNNNNNNNNNNNNNNNNNNNNNNNNNGCAGAUCCUUCCAAAGAGAAGAAAAAGCAUAAAGAAGGGGAAAGUAUUGUGAAAGAAGCGCCAGCUGACAUUCUGUCACGAUUUUCUGAUGGAUGGUUUUGCAGGUUCUUUUAAGCUUAGAUCGCCAGGACUAUGUCCAUGCACAGAUCCAGAAAAUCAGCCCCCUGGUGUUUGAUGCAGAUCCUUCCAAAGAGAAGAAAAAGCCUAAAGAAGGGGAAAGUAUUGUGGAAGAAGUGCCAGCUGAUAUUCUGUCACUUCUGGAGCUGAGACGGAUAUAAUAAGAACCCACAAUAUGGUGAAUUGGUGCUUUACUUAUUUACUAUUUUUAACUAGAAUUUUUUUGCCGAUCAAGCGCUACCUGCUAUAUGGUGAUAGUGAGAUUCCAUCAGUGAAGGGGAAACCCGGAGAAUACCAGUGAAGCUCUUUCAUAUGAGGCUUUUUCAAGUCUUCCCUGACUUUUUCAAGGCAUGGCUGUUCAUUAUGUGAUUUAAUUAGUCGCAGGUUCUAAGGAAAAUCUGCUGGUACUUAGUUCGGUCACCACAUGAUCGGUUGUAGUCAAGCCUUUGUAAUACUUUAGAAGCUAAAAAUGUCUCAGAAAUUCCCCAUAUCAGGUACAUCUUUGAAUUGUUUCUAGUAUUUGGUUGUACGUUUUCUUGCGAUAGGUUGAUAAUCUGCGAUAGAAUUUGGUUGGCCGUGCCUUUGUUAUUUUAACACAGUUUGCAGUUGAAACAAUUGGUCACAAUGGAGGUUAUCCAGUUAACUGCUCUUUGGAGUAAUUUCAGAGAUAAAUUUGAGAAUGAGAAAACCAUGCUCGAAGGUGCACUUGUUGAGAAGGCAGCAGAAGAUUGUAGAUAGAGAAUACGCAAACAUGUAAUUACAGAACUUUGUCAUUUUUUUUCCUUGCUUUCUUUGUAUCAUCAUGCUGAUGCGACUUACUCUAUUUUCUGCAGAAUAUUAUUGUCGUUUUGAAGUAUUACUCGAGGAUUACCUUGAGGAAACUUGCAAGGCUGUGCCUCAGCAUCCGGGUUGAUUAUGUUGAACAUUUAUUUAUUUCUCUUAUCAAUGUCAAUCUUUAUGACUGAUUGCCUAGACCCCUCAUUUAACCCUGGGCAGCCUCUCUGCCCUGAGACCUGUAGGUUAUGGUUGCUGGACUUGGAUACAAGUUCCAAAAAAGUGGAAAAGAGGUUUUGGUGCCUUGAAGGCCAAGGCUUGUCUUGAGGUUGUGAAUGUUGUGCUUCUAGUUUUUUUCUAUGAAUAUUUCAGACCGAUAUAUAUGCAUACACACUAUGCUUAGUCAACUUCUCAUAAAAUUUGUCGUAGCUAUCAGUAUCAAUGUCUGGCAUUGUGAAACCAUUUCUUGUCCCAUGGAACCUGAAAUUCUGAUGCGCUUUAGAAGUGUGGGAGGAGUUCUGUUAUGACUCACCAUUUCCAGUGUUACAAAAGUAUAUCUCGUGAUUAGAGCUUUCUUAAUUUGCUCAGAAAUCUAUGUAGCUGAAUCACUCAACGAAAGGAACUCUGUUUUUGGGGUUCUGUUACCACUGUUGUAGAGAGCUUUAAUCAUUCAUAUGCCUCAAUCUAUUAAAUCAACACUAUCAUCUGCUAGAGAGACAGCAUAAUAGUAAUUAUACAAGCCUGUAUGAUAUUCUAUUAGCAUGACCUGUUAGUUCUAUGACCAUUUUGGGAAGCUGAAAAGCAUCUCUCCAAAAUGGAUGUUUCCAAAGCCCUGGUAGGAAAGAUAGACCUGCCGAUGGGAGUUGUCUGUUUCCAGACAACAAAGGAGCGCAAUGAUACCUUGAACUCGUGGGCCACGGAUUUGGAAAAGCUCCUUGAUCUUAUUGAGGAAAGCUGCCACCAAAUCCACAAGCAAACUAUGGUUCAUAUGGCUGCUUUGAGAGCUUGGAGAUGUUCUUAGUUGAAUGAAUGACCUCUCUUCCCUUGAGCCUCCCUCUUUCUUACCAAAAGAGAGAAGCUGAAGAGUGUGGUUUCACGUUGUCCUCUGAAGUGGGGACUAAAGAUAUCAUAGAACUAUCUUGUAGCUUUCUUAAAUUUGAUAGCAUAUUUUGCAGGUGGACCAGAUCUGGGCCUUGUUUUGGACUUACACUUUCUGCAUAGGAAUAUAUUUUGGUCUUUUCAUCUUUCCUCUUCCCCCUCCUCGUAAUUGAAGAUUUUUGGACUAUCAGGGUCCAGAACUUGUACCAAUUGAAUUGGUAUCAGAACAAGAUGUGCACUCGUUAUAACAAAAGUGUGCGCCUUAUUACUAAAUUCUGUUUCUCUUUACAAAUUUUGCUGGUGUUACUAUUUUUCUAACAUCAGGGAUAACAUUAGCUCUCAAAAGUAAAGGUGAAUAAAUGUUAUUUUGUAUUUCAUUUCACAUUUGAAUUUUGUUUUCAGCAGAGAGCCUGUUUCCUUUGGACUUAAUCUUGACCGUUGGCAGUUCUAGAAACCUCUGUUUAGGGAGCUUAUAUGUUGUCAAUAGACUUAGCUUUUUUCUCCAGGAUGAUGUUGUGAUGUCAUUUCAAAAAGACACUAUUGUGAUAUCAUUUCUCUCUGAACUUUCAGUCACCGGAAUGUGUUUCGAUGUCAACUAGUUGACGUUUCUCUCAACUCUUGGCAUGUAUGUGAGUAAUAAUACAGUAAGAAGCUUGAAAUAUUGAGGAUAAUGUGUUUGUUUUACAACUCUGUUAACAUUUGGACUUAAUGGAAGUUCUCUUUACAUAUUUGAUUCCCAUUUUCAUUUUACUAUUGAUGCUUCCAAUUGGGAACUUACAACGAUUUCUUCUUCUAAUUUGUUUCCGAUUUUAUUUUCUGGCUGGCAAAAUAUAGAAACCAUCACAUUUUGCUUAUUAAUCUCGACAUUUGAUUGAUUUCAUCAAUCGGUCGUUGUCUCAAAUCCCCUUUCUUUACAAGAGAAGAUGCUGAGGGUUUAAACAUUGGGUCUCAGAGCAAAGUGGGGCAAGGAUGACUCCUAUAGAAACCAUCAUAUGGUACCCGAACUUUUAUUUGAUUCAUGGGACAUAUUUAAUUGAUGAAUGAAAGAUUAUUAUUUUUUUUGUUUUUUUUUUUUUUGGGGGGGGGGGGAGGUGGAAGGAAUUAGGAAUUCAAAUUGUUUGUGCUGGUAGUAGGUGUCAAAUAUUUAUCUGAUUUAACAUUGCCCAUGAUUAGAUAGUAAAUUGAUAGAUAAGCAUCACUAUUAAUACCUAAAUUUUGGUGGCCCAAUUAGUUGUUUAUUGCAUGAAAAAAUUAGGGAUUAAUUUUUAAUACCUAAACAAAAAUAUUAGAAUUAAAUUGCAUAACAUAUAGCUUUUAGAGCAUUUAUUAUUUGGUUUAUUUUUUUAUUGUAUUUGCAUUGGACCAGUGAUGGAUGGAUUCAAAGUGAUGGUUCUGAGCUUUAAUUUAGCAAGUUUGUCCAAGCAGAUUAUUCUUUGAGUGACCGAAAUCAUGUGUGCCACGUUAGUAAUUUCAUAUUAUUGCCAAGAUUUGAUCAUUAAUGCUCAGCAAUAACCCCUGGGGUAGAUGUGCGUACGUGCAUUUUGGAAAAUUCGGUCAAGAUUAUGGAAUGUGAGAAGAGAAGUUGUGGGAGGUGUGGAGCCCAAUAGAGAGGAAGGCGAUUUCUCUGGAGGUCAGCAGCAAGCUCUGGCACUCGUCCAAGCCACGCCUCGUGCCCGACGCGGCACUGCCCGUCUCCUUGCCGCUGCAGUUCAUCAUCUAAUUUUGCCCUUGUCUGAUCUGGGGAAUUUCCGACAACGAUGAAGCACCCCUCAGCGAGUCCUUUGCAUGCCACAGCAGCCCCCGUGGUCUCUUGAUUAAUUCUUUGCAGGUUCCCGGCGAAAUUACAAGCACUUGUCGAACCCUUUGAGCGAACUACUGGCCAGGCCACCACGCUUCUGCUGUUGUCCCGUUUCUUUAAACCUGACACCGCCGCCUGCUGUUUUGUCUGUCAUGCUCGACUGUUCUUUCACAGGCUGUCCAGAACAAACCAACGCCCCUGCUUCAAUCCAAGCGAGUGCAAGACGGCUCCUGUAACGAUGAAUCUUCAUCAACAUUAGCGGAUUUAAUGAUGCUUUAUGAAUAACGCUUUUUAUAGGUUCCAGCUUUGGUGACAUAUCAACCCAGCAAAUCUCUGAGAAGCUUUGCAGCCCCUUAGCCGUGUUCACUCAAGUUCUCCGUAGAAGUGUGCUUUCGUGAUCUAGGAAGUGAGUGAGUCAUAGUGUUGUCAAAGGUACACGUUUUAUAGAAUCAUCUACUGAGCUUUAUGUAAGAGUAGCAUCCUCUACGGACGGUAAAAUCUCGAGGAUUACUCAGCCUUGUUGUGGGAGGACUAGGUUAAGUGGAAGUUCGAUUCAGUACAAAUCUGUUUUGCAUCUCUUCAAUUUCUCUUAACUCCUUUAUUGUCAUUUGGAUACAAGGUACUGCAUCUGCGUGAUAGUUUUCCUCCUAUAGCAAUACAUGAUCCACGUUCUUCUUGAAACAAAAAAUUAAUUUUCUUAAAACAACCAAUUCACUCUCUUAUACCAAGACACUAUUGUACAAGUUUUACAUGAAAAAGUUUCAAUUUUCUUAAAAUAAUCAAUUCACACUCUCUCAACUGUUGCAUUAAUCAUUUCAUUAAUCUCUUUAUACUCUAUUUGUGUUUGUUAGUAAGAGCAAUGAAAAACCUAUCUCUUUUACCAAAAUGAAUCUCUUAGAUAAUCCUUUGUGGAUGACUAUUUUAGUUAGUGGGAAAUUACUAAAAUCACAAUAUCCUAUUCUUCUUGCUUAAUUAAAAGGGGACUCACAUACCAUCAUUGACAUUUAAUGGCAUUAGAAUUUAAUAAUUAUCUCCUCUAACAUUAUAAAGUACAAUGAAAAAAAAAAUUGAGGAAACCUCUCUGAAGCUACUUGUAGUUGUAGCUACCGAUUGAAAAGAACAAUGCCUGUAGCUUAAAGAAAAGCUUCAACCUUCAUAAUGUUAGGACGGAUUUUGGUUAACAUGGAAAUGCUUUAAUUAAAUAAUGAAUUUGUGUUCCAAAGUAUCCAAUCUCACAUCAUAAAAAAAAAUGGAAAUUUGAUCGGGCUGAACCUAGCUCUGGAGAAUCAAUAGGGUAGAGAGCCGGAAAAUAUAAGCUGACCGCUUAUAUAAAAUAGUCGGGCACAAGGUGCAACUGCUUGAUUACUUGAAGGGCCAUUAAACACCACAUUCCCAUUCCCGUUCAGAACAGUUUCAAAUAUGAAAAUAUCAUUUCUCAACCAACUAUGCAAACUCUUAAAAGGGAUUGAGCUUCCAAUUUAUGUUGACGUAAUUAAUAUGAGGCCCAAAAUAUAUUUAACCUUUGUGUCACCUUCUAUAAAGUUGGACAAACCAGACAUUUUUCAAAUAUUAUUCCAUCGCAUUGGUCAAAAUGAACAAUUUUUAUUUAUUUAUUAGAGAGAUGUGUAUAUAUCUUUGGUUUUCUUUCGUAUUCCAAUUUCAAACCCGCUCAAGGUGCACAACCCAUGGAAGGUCCAGAAGCAGCGUAAGAUUCUCUCAUUUUAUCAUAUAUUUUUUUUUUUUUUUUUUGGAAUAAUUUCUACCGAGAAGAAGGCAGAAUUAAGGCUCAUUUGUAGUCAUCAAUCCACGGAAAUCGUGCAUCCAUUUCCUGCGGAAUUUGUGUCAGUGUUGAUUUUAUUCGUCUUCCCCAAAUAUUUAGUCGUCGAUUUUCUUUUGUGGGUUUGAUCUCAUAGCUUUCGUACAUUCUUGAACGUCGGAGAAUCAUAAUAACAUUUUGGACCCCACAUCCAUAAAACCAAAUAAUGUGAGCACAGCAUGGAGGUGAUGAGGGUUUCGAGGAAGCUCGCUCGAAAACCCGCGGGAAGUUUCUUGCAUCUUAUGGGAGAAAAUUCAUGGUCACUUCAUGACCCUUUCUGGUGCAAUUUGCCAAGUGAUUUUCGUGAAAAAUGUCAUGAAAUUGAAAUCGAAAUUAGCUGGAUGUCUAACAUUUGAAAAAAAGUAGCACUUGACUAGAUCGGUUAUCAUCCCAAAAAAAAAAAAAUCACAUUCAUUUCGUAAUAUAAAUAAGCAACGCAAGAUAAUAAUUUCAUUAGUAGGUUUUGUGCAACUACAUACAUUCAAUUUAACAAUCAAUGUUUAGGUAAUGACCUAUAUCCGAUUUUUUUUUUUAGCAAACAUUUCCAUUCCAUAAAUGAAGUGAUAUUCUAUUAGUUCUUGUGAACAAUUAUCUAGAUUAAUUGCAAUCUCUUUAGGUAAAAACAUUCUUUUGAAAAUCUUAAAAGUUUAUUAGUUGAUGUAGGACAAGUUGCGAAUAGUUCUUAGAAUGAAUCGAUCAACAAAUGAAUAGAGUUUAGCAUGGCAUUCAUCAAAGUGAGUAGAUAAAGGUCGGUCUGCUACAAGCAAGAGCUCCGGACAAUCUAGCGUAAAUUAUGUGGAUAGGGAUUUUUCAUAGCAAUGCCACGGGUUUUAAUUAUAGAUACCGGUGAAGAGCAGAUGCUGCUGAAGAUGCAUUUGUCCAAGUCUUUAAGUUAGCUUUGGAACUGUUCUUGUCAAUCCUUCACACACAAUCUUUACCGAAAUUCACUACUCCAUUCCCUUCCCUGUUUAGUCACGCCAAUUUUCCCAAACUCCUCACUUGGCUCGUGCUUCACACUACUUUACCCUUCUGUUUUAGCCUGCAAUUACGUAAUCGUGCUGUCCUGCUCGCUUCACCUUCCCAUGACACUUCCCCGAUGAUUCCAUUUAAUAAUGGAAAAGCAAGUCAAGUCAAUCAAAGCACCUGCGUAGGGGGCACGCACCUUCCGCAGGACAGCAAAAGAGUCAUUUCCCCCUAAAAUGAAAUGGGGCAGAAGUAAAAUUCUGUAUUUAAAAUGGACACGGUGAGGCAUCCUUAUUGUUUUGUUUCCUUAAAUAUGUCUUAACUUAUUUAUGCUCCUCAGAGAUCAAACGACUCUGUACCUGUUCUGCAUGUUGGAUGAUUAUUCAAAAUCAUUGACUGGCUUGAUCUUUUUAUAAGCAAUUCUUGUUUGAUCCUGUGCAAAGUUACUGUGAGAUAGCUGGUUGUCAGACACUUACCAAGAUGAAAUUUGGGGUUGUGUAGCUAGAUUCUGUGAAAGGCUUGCUCACAAUAUGCAACUGCAGACUCACUUGCGCUACAUGAUUUCUUUUUCGUUUUUCCUCCCUAGGUGGGAGAAAUAGGCCAAGCUACUAUCAAGGCAAUGGAAUGACCGAGAAGGAAGAUUUGCGAAAGCAAGUGCCAGACUCUCCUCUGAUUUCAACUCAAAUGAUACAUUUGCUUGAUGAUUGGACAUAUGAAAUUUACUGAUGAAGGACUCCAAUGGAAGGAUAUAAUAAAAGCAGAUCCAUCCGUUUUAUUUCUGAAUUUCAAACAUGUAACUGUUCAAGCAUAGUAUCAACUGCAUGUGAAUCGCAAAGUUUUCUGGACUUGACAUGUCAACAACUUCAACUGAUAAUGCACAAUGGUAAUUGCUUCAAUCGACACGUCUGACAAUGCUCAACUACAAAAAUAACAAAAGAAAGGCCGACGAUGCCUUGGAAAGAAAAAGGAACUCUCUUUAGCCCUUCCCUGGGUUAAUGAUUAACCCACCUACAGUGAUUGCCCUUUGCUUUUUAUUUUCUAAUUGCUCUAUUAAUAGAAAAAGCAAGUCAAAUUGACGUCAAGUCAUUGCUUUCGAAAAAGAGCGCCUUCGUAGGCUCUACGCCCCUCCCACGCAAUCCCGUAGAAAUUAUGCGUGCAAUAAUUGCUCGCAUAGAGUGUUGCGAUAUCAUUUCUUUAUUAACUUCAUCAUCUUUUUCUUUUUUUUUAUUCUAUUCAUCAUCCGAAAAUACUCGGGCGCACAUCCAUGUUUUGCAUCAUAUCAACACUUGGUUACGGUAAUACAUGGUGAUGUCAUAAAACAAUUUUAUUUUACAUUAUAUUCUCAUUAUUAAUUAUUAUGACAUGUCGUAAUAUAGUACGUUGCAAUAUAUAGCAGUGGCUUUAAACCUAACGAUUUUAUUAUGCUCAAUUGAUAGUUGACACUAACAAAAUUUUGAUUGAACAGUUGAUGACACGAAUUAAAUAGACGGAUGACAUUGAAACACGUGCAUUGGAUGGAUGACAAGGGAUAUGGCAUGAUCAAUGUGCAAAAACCACGAGUUCAAAAAACAGCCCCAUCUUCCUCAUAGUCAGAGAGGCCCGAGAAUCAAUGUUUCUUUCUUUCUAUUUUCUUUGUGCUCCCACGAUUCUGAUGGCACGAACAGGAAAGCAAUCAACAGCAUGACUUUCGGUGCCCGCUAGUCCUGUUAAUUUUCAGGCAAAAAAAAAAAUCUUGUUAAUUUCAACCAUGGAAAACAUAAUCGAUAUGAGAUUCACAUAAUUGACUCUUUUAAAUGAAUGCUUGAAGAGCAAUUUUUACGUAUAUGUAAGAAACGAAUUUUUUUUUAUUAUUUUUGCUAUACUAAUUAGACAUAAUUAGUAUUGUCCUAGGUGCUCAUGCCUGUAGAUUAAAGAGAAAUCAUUGUCAUUCCUGGAUAAUUCAUUCCAACUCGUCUUGUUACAGAUCCAGCACCACAGAAUAGCCUUAUGAUUUCUUCCUUGGUAAUUUCGUGCACAGAGAAAAGAAAUUGUUUUCUUUUUUAUCCAGUAAUACUUAUUUGGGCCCAAUCCGAUAGGACACUUUCGUAAGACCGGUCUAUUAGGAAUUGGUUUUGUGGAUUUUGAAAGAUUUUUUUUUUUUAUUUCAUUCAUUUGGAAGCAUUCUUGAAAUUGAGACGAAAUUAUUUAUAUUUCUUUUGAGUAUGUUCUCCUUAAAUUGUAGCUAUUUUUUUUAUUGAUGGUAAACAAUGGAUAAAUAGAGCAUGUAANNNNNNNNNNNNNNNNNNNNNNNNNNNNNNNNNNNNNNNNNNNNNNNNNNNNNNNNNNNNNNNNNNNNNNNNNNNNNNNNNNNNNNNNNNNNNNNNNNNNNNNNNNNNNNNNNNNNNNNNNNNNNNNNNNNNNNNNNNNNNNNNNNNNNNNNNNNNNNNNNNNNNNNNNNNNNNNNNNNNNNNNNNNNNNNNNNNNNNNNNNNNNNNNNNNNNNNNNNNNNNNNNNNNNNNNNNNNNNNNNNNNNNNNNNNNNNNNNNNNNNNNNNNNNNNNNNNNNNNNNNNNNNNNNNNNNNNNNNNNNNNNNNNNNNNNNNNNNNNNNNNNNNNNNNNNNNNNNNNNNNNNNNNNNNNNNNNNNNNNNNNNNNNNNNNNNNNNNNNNNNNNNNNNNNNNNNNNNNNNNNNNNNNNNNNNNNNNNNNNNNNNNNNNNNNNNNNNNNNNNNNNNNNNNNNNNNNNNNNNNNNNNNNNNNNNNNNNNNNNNNNNNNNNNNNNNNNNNNNNNNNNNNNNNNNNNNNNNNNNNNNNNNNNNNNNNNNNNNNNNNNNNNNNNNNNNNNNNNNNNNNNNNNNNNNNNNNNNNNNNNNNNNNNNNNNNNNNNNNNNNNNNNNNNNNNNNNNNNNNNNNNNNNNNNNNNNNNNNNNNNNNNNNNNNNNNNNNNNNNNNNNNNNNNNNNNNNNNNNNNNNNNNNNNNNNNNNNNNNNNNNNNNNNNNNNNNNNNNNNNNNNNNNNNNNNNNNNNNNNNNNNNNNNNNNNNNNNNNNNNNNNNNNNNNNNNNNNNNNNNNNNNNNNNNNNNNNNNNNNNNNNNNNNNNNNNNNNNNNNNNNNNNNNNNNNNNNNNNNNNNNNNNNNNNNNNNNNNNNNNNNNNNNNNNNNNNNNNNNNNNNNNNNNNNNNNNNNNNNNNNNNNNNNNNNNNNNNNNNNNNNNNNNNNNNNNNNNNNNNNNNNNNNNNNNNNNNNNNNNNNNNNNNNNNNNNNNNNNNNNNNNNNNNNNNNNNNNNNNNNNNNNNNNNNNNNNNNNNNNNNNNNNNNNNNNNNNNNNNNNNNNNNNNNNNNNNNNNNNNNNNNNNNNNNNNNNNNNNNNNNNNNNNNNNNNNNNNNNNNNNNNNNNNNNNNNNNNNNNNNNNNNNNNNNNNNNNNNNNNNNNNNNNNNNNNNNNNNNNNNNNNNNNNNNNNNNNNNNNNNNNNNNNNNNNNNNNNNNNNNNNNNNNNNNNNNNNNNNNNNNNNNNNNNNNNNNNNNNNNNNNNNNNNNNNNNNNNNNNNNNNNNNNNNNNNNNNNNNNNNNNNNNNNNNNNNNNNNNNNNNNNNNNNNNNNNNNNNNNNNNNNNNNNNNNNNNNNNNNNNNNNNNNNNNNNNNNNNNNNNNNNNNNNNNNNNNNNNNNNNNNNNNNNNNNNNNNNNNNNNNNNNNNNNNNNNNNNNNNNNNNNNNNNNNNNNNNNNNNNNNNNNNNNNNNNNNNNNNNNNNNNNNNNNNNNNNNNNNNNNNNNNNNNNNNNNNNNNNNNNNNNNNNNNNNNNNNNNNNNNNNNNNNNNNNNNNNNNNNNNNNNNNNNNNNNNNNNNNNNNNNNNNNNNNNNNNNNNNNNNNNNNNNNNNNNNNNNNNNNNNNNNNNNNNNNNNNNNNNNNNNNNNNNNNNNNNNNNNNNNNNNNNNNNNNNNNNNNNNNNNNNNNNNNNNNNNNNNNNNNNNNNNNNNNNNNNNNNNNNNNNNNNNNNNNNNNNNNNNNNNNNNNNNNNNNNNNNNNNNNNNNNNNNNNNNNNNNNNNNNNNNNNNNNNNNNNNNNNNNNNNNNNNNNNNNNNNNNNNNNNNNNNNNNNNNNNNNNNNNNNNNNNNNNNNNNNNNNNNNNNNNNNNNNNNNNNNNNNNNNNNNNNNNNNNNNNNNNNNNNNNNNNNNNNNNNNNNNNNNNNNNNNNNNNNNNNNNNNNNNNNNNNNNNNNNNNNNNNNNNNNNNNNNNNNNNNNNNNNNNNNNNNNNNNNNNNNNNNNNNNNNNNNNNNNNNNNNNNNNNNNNNNNNNNNNNNNNNNNNNNNNNNNNNNNNNNNNNNNNNNNNNNNNNNNNNNNNNNNNNNNNNNNNNNNNNNNNNNNNNNNNNNNNNNNNNNNNNNNNNNNNNNNNNNNNNNNNNNNNNNNNNNNNNNNNNNNNNNNNNNNNNNNNNNNNNNNNNNNNNNNNNNNNNNNNNNNNNNNNNNNNNNNNNNNNNNNNNNNNNNNNNNNNNNNNNNNNNNNNNNNNNNNNNNNNNNNNNNNNNNNNNNNNNNNNNNNNNNNNNNNNNNNNNNNNNNNNNNNNNNNNNNNNNNNNNNNNNNNNNNNNNNNNNNNNNNNNNNNNNNNNNNNNNNNNNNNNNNNNNNNNNNNNNNNNNNNNNNNNNNNNNNNNNNNNNNNNNNNNNNNNNNNNNNNNNNNNNNNNNNNNNNNNNNNNNNNNNNNNNNNNNNNNNNNNNNNNNNNNNNNNNNNNNNNNNNNNNNNNNNNNNNNNNNNNNNNNNNNNNNNNNNNNNNNNNNNNNNNNNNNNNNNNNNNNNNNNNNNNNNNNNNNNNNNNNNNNNNNNNNNNNNNNNNNNNNNNNNNNNNNNNNNNNNNNNNNNNNNNNNNNNNNNNNNNNNNNNNNNNNNNNNNNNNNNNNNNNNNNNNNNNNNNNNNNNNNNNNNNNNNNNNNNNNNNNNNNNNNNNNNNNNNNNNNNNNNNNNNNNNNNNNNNNNNNNNNNNNNNNNNNNNNNNNNNNNNNNNNNNNNNNNNNNNNNNNNNNNNNNNNNNNNNNNNNNNNNNNNNNNNNNNNNNNNNNNNNNNNNNNNNNNNNNNNNNNNNNNNNNNNNNNNNNNNNNNNNNNNNNNNNNNNNNNNNNNNNNNNNNNNNNNNNNNNNNNNNNNNNNNNNNNNNNNNNNNNNNNNNNNNNNNNNNNNNNNNNNNNNNNNNNNNNNNNNNNNNNNNNNNNNNNNNNNNNNNNNNNNNNNNNNNNNNNNNNNNNNNNNNNNNNNNNNNNNNNNNNNNNNNNNNNNNNNNNNNNNNNNNNNNNNNNNNNNNNNNNNNNNNNNNNNNNNNNNNNNNNNNNNNNNNNNNNNNNNNNNNNNNNNNNNNNNNNNNNNNNNNNNNNNNNNNNNNNNNNNNNNNNNNNNNNNNNNNNNNNNNNNNNNNNNNNNNNNNNNNNNNNNNNNNNNNNNNNNNNNNNNNNNNNNNNNNNNNNNNNNNNNNNNNNNNNNNNNNNNNNNNNNNNNNNNNNNNNNNNNNNNNNNNNNNNNNNNNNNNNNNNNNNNNNNNNNNNNNNNNNNNNNNNNNNNNNNNNNNNNNNNNNNNNNNNNNNNNNNNNNNNNNNNNNNNNNNNNNNNNNNNNNNNNNNNNNNNNNNNNNNNNNNNNNNNNNNNNNNNNNNNNNNNNNNNNNNNNNNNNNNNNNNNNNNNNNNNNNNNNNNNNNNNNNNNNNNNNNNNNNNNNNNNNNNNNNNNNNNNNNNNNNNNNNNNNNNNNNNNNNNNNNNNNNNNNNNNNNNNNNNNNNNNNNNNNNNNNNNNNNNNNNNNNNNNNNNNNNNNNNNNNNNNNNNNNNNNNNNNNNNNNNNNNNNNNNNNNNNNNNNNNNNNNNNNNNNNNNNNNNNNNNNNNNNNNNNNNNNNNNNNNNNNNNNNNNNNNNNNNNNNNNNNNNNNNNNNNNNNNNNNNNNNNNNNNNNNNNNNNNNNNNNNNNNNNNNNNNNNNNNNNNNNNNNNNNNNNNNNNNNNNNNNNNNNNNNNNNNNNNNNNNNNNNNNNNNNNNNNNNNNNNNNNNNNNNNNNNNNNNNNNNNNNNNNNNNNNNNNNNNNNNNNNNNNNNNNNNNNNNNNNNNNNNNNNNNNNNNNNNNNNNNNNNNNNNNNNNNNNNNNNNNNNNNNNNNNNNNNNNNNNNNNNNNNNNNNNNNNNNNNNNNNNNNNNNNNNNNNNNNNNNNNNNNNNNNNNNNNNNNNNNNNNNNNNNNNNNNNNNNNNNNNNNNNNNNNNNNNNNNNNNNNNNNNNNNNNNNNNNNNNNNNNNNNNNNNNNNNNNNNNNNNNNNNNNNNNNNNNNNNNNNNNNNNNNNNNNNNNNNNNNNNNNNNNNNNNNNNNNNNNNNNNNNNNNNNNNNNNNNNNNNNNNNNNNNNNNNNNNNNNNNNNNNNNNNNNNNNNNNNNNNNNNNNNNNNNNNNNNNNNNNNNNNNNNNNNNNNNNNNNNNNNNNNNNNNNNNNNNNNNNNNNNNNNNNNNNNNNNNNNNNNNNNNNNNNNNNNNNNNNNNNNNNNNNNNNNNNNNNNNNNNNNNNNNNNNNNNNNNNNNNNNNNNNNNNNNNNNNNNNNNNNNNNNNNNNNNNNNNNNNNNNNNNNNNNNNNNNNNNNNNNNNNNNNNNNNNNNNNNNNNNNNNNNNNNNNNNNNNNNNNNNNNNNNNNNNNNNNNNNNNNNNNNNNNNNNNNNNNNNNNNNNNNNNNNNNNNNNNNNNNNNNNNNNNNNNNNNNNNNNNNNNNNNNNNNNNNNNNNNNNNNNNNNNNNNNNNNNNNNNNNNNNNNNNNNNNNNNNNNNNNNNNNNNNNNNNNNNNNNNNNNNNNNNNNNNNNNNNNNNNNNNNNNNNNNNNNNNNNNNNNNNNNNNNNNNNNNNNNNNNNNNNNNNNNNNNNNNNNNNNNNNNNNNNNNNNNNNNNNNNNNNNNNNNNNNNNNNNNNNNNNNNNNNNNNNNNNNNNNNNNNNNNNNNNNNNNNNNNNNNNNNNNNNNNNNNNNNNNNNNNNNNNNNNNNNNNNNNNNNNNNNNNNNNNNNNNNNNNNNNNNNNNNNNNNNNNNNNNNNNNNNNNNNNNNNNNNNNNNNNNNNNNNNNNNNNNNNNNNNNNNNNNNNNNNNNNNNNNNNNNNNNNNNNNNNNNNNNNNNNNNNNNNNNNNNNNNNNNNNNNNNNNNNNNNNNNNNNNNNNNNNNNNNNNNNNNNNNNNNNNNNNNNNNNNNNNNNNNNNNNNNNNNNNNNNNNNNNNNNNNNNNNNNNNNNNNNNNNNNNNNNNNNNNNNNNNNNNNNNNNNNNNNNNNNNNNNNNNNNNNNNNNNNNNNNNNNNNNNNNNNNNNNNNNNNNNNNNNNNNNNNNNNNNNNNNNNNNNNNNNNNNNNNNNNNNNNNNNNNNNNNNNNNNNNNNNNNNNNNNNNNNNNNNNNNNNNNNNNNNNNNNNNNNNNNNNNNNNNNNNNNNNNNNNNNNNNNNNNNNNNNNNNNNNNNNNNNNNNNNNNNNNNNNNNNNNNNNNNNNNNNNNNNNNNNNNNNNNNNNNNNNNNNNNNNNNNNNNNNNNNNNNNNNNNNNNNNNNNNNNNNNNNNNNNNNNNNNNNNNNNNNNNNNNNNNNNNNNNNNNNNNNNNNNNNNNNNNNNNNNNNNNNNNNNNNNNNNNNNNNNNNNNNNNNNNNNNNNNNNNNNNNNNNNNNNNNNNNNNNNNNNNNNNNNNNUCCUAAUACCUACUCUCUAUCCUCGAAACUCACAUAUUUUUCUAUUUUAAACAAUACAAAAGAAAUAUCUAUGGGGUCCGGGAUAGUAAUGGAAUCUAACGUUAUUUUCUAACUCUUUUUAUGUAAUUACUUGCUAUUUUAAAAAUAUCUCCUAGGAGUAAGCAAAAGCAAAUGGGAUUUUUGCGUCUUCUGGAUGAGAACUUAAAGAUCUCUCUUGAAGCUAUUUCUCAAAUUAGACUUCUCUAUGCCACACCAUACUUUUAAGAUAGCAUAGUCAUCACACCUUUAUCCCAAUCACAUCCACAUCUCUCUCAGAAUUAAUUUUUAACAUUUUGCAUAACCUUUCUUUUUUUUUUAUUAACCUAUCACAAAUAAUUAUUCCCAAGUAAGAUUUGCACACAUUAAACCGAGUUUUAAUUUAUUGACUUCUUACUCCACAAAGUUAAUAUAUUAUUGAGUUUGAAUUCAGAAUUUGGAUGGCAAUAUUUUGAAGCACAGUUUAUGAAUGUGGAAUCAUUAAUUUUGAAUCAAUAAAUGGCUAAUAAAUGUAUAUUGAAAGUCUGUUUAUAUACAUUUAUUUCUUAUAUACAUUUAUUUCUUUAUCGCAAGAAUUGCUCUUAAAAUAUCAAUCAUACUUAAUGCAUGACUAUAAUAAAAUUAACAGUCGGAAAACGGAAGAAAUGCAGGCCCCACCUCGAGAAAACUAGCCUAACAAGUCACUAUCAAGAAACUCCAUUUUAGAUAUAUAUGGUGUUAAUAGAAAAAUAUUAAUGACAAAUUUUUUUUUUUUUUUUUUGCUCUAUACACUAUACAAUGUGAAAAUUGCAUUUCAUGUUUUUUCCUAUAAUGUCUUUUGCAUUCUCGAAACUUCUAUCGCUACAUCCCAGCAAAAGAAGAGAGUUCAUCUUUUCUGGGAAUUUGAAUAGGAGCAUCCUAUAAAUUGGGAUUUAGUCUAGGAAAGGACGUGUAAAUAGUAACUUUUGCAUCUGAUUGGCCAUUUGCAAAUUUAAGUAGAAAGAUCGGGAAAAAUUAUAAAAUCAAGGCUUGGAGCAUGACAUGACAAUUAUUUUCUGGGAGUCUAUUAUUAUCAUGAAAAAAUAAUUUUGGUAUACCUAUACCUUAGAGCAUGACAUUAAGGAUUUCAUGAUUUAGGCAAGUAUGGUUUCAAGUACGUAAUAUGUCAUAAGUCCAUGACAAAAGCCCGUGUCCUCCAUUUUGGUUGUGUUUUAUUAAAUAGAUAAAGGCUGUUGUAAUUUCUUCUCUUGGUCAAUUAAAUAAAGCCAGAUUUUAAUAGUUUGCUGUUGCCUGCUUGCUCCUAUUCGAAUUUGCCCCUUCGAGAAGGACUCAAAUGUAACACUUUUGAGUUUUGCCAUUUUGCACAAACCAACCUGAAUUAAUAUUCGAUGGAGGCAAUUUCCCUGUUCAUAACGCCUAUCUAAAUUUAUGCAAUAUUCCUGCAGGUACGAGGAACGUAUUAUAAUCCGAGUUAGUUAGCAUAUGUUAAGAAUUUAAUCAACUCGAGGCCUUAUUCGGGUAGACAGUCUUAUGGGAAGAAAGCAAGGCCGCCCUAUAUUCAGAAGGCGCUAACUAGAUUGUAGGAUGUCAUCUUUUUCUGCUUUUUCGUUGGAACAAGCAGUCAGCGUUUUGAGAAACACUUCACUUCUUGGCGAGCGGAUUUAAUGGGAACAUUCUCUUCAUUCUUCCUAUGGAAAGAGGGAUCCGUUUCCUCCCUCUCGUUUUCUUGACAUGAAUGACGGUCAUGAGGUUUUCCGUUUUGCCAGUAUAAUUGAUAGGAACAUUUCUUGUUAUUAAUUGCUCUCCUAGAUAGAUGAUAUGCUUCCCUGCGGACCUUACUAACCCUCUUUCCGUUCACUCUCUUCGUCGAUUUCCACAUUUAAGCAUGUAUUGAAGGCUGACUUCUUACAUCCCCUCUCAUACGGUUGGAUUUGGAAGAGGCACAUCUACUUAUGUUAGGAGCUUGCGGGAGAUUGCAGGUCAUUGAAUGCAUACCAUGAUGCUUCAACUGCUGCUAGAUGACUUAACUUGUCGAGGAUGAAAAAAGACCGUGGAAAGUGGUUCAGCUGGCAAAAGUGCAUUUGCUUUUAGAUUCAAUCAAGCCCAUUCUCAGCUGAUUAGCCAUGAUACAUGUUCGUUUUGUUCCUUCAAGCAGAUAAGUUACAUAUGCUACUGUCAAGAGAAUGGCUUGUCAUGCUANNNNNNNNNNNNNNNNNNNNNNNNNNNNNNNNNNNNNNNNNNNNNNNNNNNNNNNNNNNNNNNNNNNNNNNNNNNNNNNNNNNNNNNNNNNNNNNNNNNNNNNNNNNNNNNNNNNNNNNNNNNNNNNNNNNNNNNNNNNNNNNNNNNNNNNNNNNNNNNNNNNNNNNNNNNNNNNNNNNNNNNNNNNNNNNNNNNNNNNNNNNNNNNNNNNNNNNNNNNNNNNNNNNNNNNNNNNNNNNNNNNNNNNNNNNNNNNNNNNNNNNNNNNNNNNNNNNNNNNNNNNNNNNNNNNNNNNNNNNNNNNNNNNNNNNNNNNNNNNNNNNNNNNNNNNNNNNNNNNNNNNNNNNNNNNNNNNNNNNNNGCAAGCCCGAGCUCGCCCAGCCUUGCCCCACGUCCACGAGGCUCGGCCUCGCCUUGGCUGGGUGAGCUCGGGCUCGCCCAGAUUCGGUGAGCCCGAGCUCGCCCAGCCACCGGCUCGGCCUCACCGGGCCACCGCCAGGCCAGCGAGCCUCGCCCAACCACGGCGAGGCUCGGCCUCGCCAGGGGCCGGCAAGCCUCGCCGUGGCUGGGCGAGGCCGGCGACCGGCCAAAAAAAAAAGAAAAAGAAAAGAAGAAAAAAAAAGAGAAGAAAAAGAGAAGAGAGAGAAAAUUUGUUCUUAAAAAUUGUUUCAGAAACAAUAAAUACGUUUUUCUUGUUUCUUGUUUUUGUUCCAAAUGUGUUCCUGAGAACAAAAAAAUAGAUUUGGAACAAAAACGCAAACAAACGCGUUUCUGUUCUUUUUUUGUUCCCUGAAACAAAAAAACAGAAAUUUUGUUCAUAAACAGAAACAAAGAACAUUAACAAAUAGACCCUAAGUGGCUAUUCAACUAUCAAUAGUCGCAUUCACAUCUAUACAAGCACGGGGUACUGCUCAGGGAAUGUCCCACUCUCCCUUCACGUGAUGCACGAGUUUUGCUGACCGAACAUAUGUGACAAUCUUUGCCAGCCCAAUUCCAACCUGUCCACUCGUCGGCCGAAAGAAAGAACCUGUUCAACUAUUGGGCAUCACAACAUGAUCGUACGGCUUGUAAUGAUGUCUUACUUGACUAUGCAAAAGAGGUUGUGAGAUCGUUAUUGUCUAUAAUAAGGCAACUCUGAAUUACUUGACUCACUUUGCUCUUGCUUUUUGAGAGGAAACCUUUGAAAGCUCUUUAAACCAAGAUUGUUAUGCUUCCUUCAAUUCAUGCCUCAUAGUCUUAAGCUGCAUGCCGUUUUUCAGGUGUAUUCUGGAUAAUCUUAGUGUGAUUUUGUGUUCCCAAGCAUAAGAAAUUCUUCUAUUUAGUAUCUAACAAGAUACAAGGGCAAAAUGUAUAUUUAUGCUUUAUUUGGGAAGGAGGGGAAGAGGAGCAAAAUGAAGUAAAUUUUUGUAACCUUUACGAGAAUAAGUGGGAGAAAAUUCAUAAUUCUUCUCUAUUCCUUUACUUGAUGUAUCCAAGCAAAGCAAUCUUUCCUUUAUCAUGAAGGUGCUUGCUUGCUAAAUAGACCACAAGCAUAGGGUAAAUCAUGCGUUGUUGCUAUCAUAGGAGUCAUUAUCAAUUGAAAUCAACUAAACAUUAAUUUCAUUCUUCAAAUGCAUGGAACUUCACUUGACUUCCAAUUGAUGCAUAUCGGCCAUUAUCCACAAGAUGCUCCGAUGAACAAUUGAUGUGUCCAUUCAUGUGGCAAAACGUAUUAUGGAGACGAACAUAUGAAGUUGAUCCUUGGAAGGCGGAGGUGUUGCGCAACCUGGCAAUUCAGUCAUUCGAAUCCUCCCCUCCAGCUUGUUCUGUCUAUAUGUUUUAAGAGGAGGAGGAUCUGACGGCACGAAGGAGUUUGUAGACCAACUAAUGGACUAGUUUAAGAAAGAAAGGGAUUCUACCGCACAGUUUGCUUGGAGACUGAAAGGAAUAAUAGGGGAGAGGGGUACUGACGGUCAUGUGACCGUCAAGUUUCCAAUUAGUACAUGUUUGAAGUGCUUGGCAUCGUGGGCCUGAGAUUUUUUAUUUUGUCGUGGAUUCUCUUUUGCGGUUCUGAGCCGACGAGAAAAUAUUGGGUGGUCCGGGACCUCCACGUCAGCGUGGUCCCCGGCCACUCACGAGGUGCCAUGUGGAGAGGUGGGCCCCACUUGAUGUCCUCUUCGGAUUUUCUCUUGCUCCUUGACGCAGCGCUCCUCUCUCUCCUCUCUCUUCUCACUCUCUCCCAAAUAAUUCUCGGCUGGUGGCUCGGCUCGGCUCAGUUGGCAAAAGAAAGCUCGGGUCAAUGGAUAAUAAAUGCGCAGCACUCCCGCUUAAAAUUUCUCUCUCCUCACUUGAAUAUUUUCUGGGCUCUCUCUCUCCUCGCGGACGAGCUGCACUUCCUCUGUUUCCUUCUCAGCGCAUCCCACCCCCUCCGCCUCCGCCUCCCCAAAAAGCCUCGCCGGUCUGUCGCCUCCUCCAAGAGCCCCGCCAGUCGCAGCUGGUUCCCGACCCCUUUGCCUCUGACUGUUUCCAACGCCGAGAUCGAGCGUAAGGUUUGUGCUCGCCUUGAUCUCUAGGCAACUUCUGGGCCUCCGUCCGAUUGCCUCCCUCCGACGAACUUGUCAUCAACUCCGACUCCGAGCCGCCGUUGCCACCACCGAUGGCGUCCUCCGUCUCUGCCAUCUACUCGUCCUCCCCCUCCCUCAAGCUGAAGACGCUGCCAGCCUCCGCCGCGAAGCCGUCGGCCUCCGGCAGGAGGGAGGCGUCCUCGGUCUCGUUCCCAAGUGGCGCCAGGCUCCCCGCCGUCGACUGGGUGUUGUCCCUGUCGCUGGCCCGAUCAAUUGCGAGGGAGAUCUCGGUGGACCUGGGCAGGGCCGACGGCGCGGCGAAGAAGGAGAGGCACGGGCUAGAGGGCUGGAGAAGGAUUCCCGCUCACUGUGGACGAGGUACGUGGACUAGCUGCACCGGCACUGGAGCUAGGGCUUUUCCUUGGAUGUGAGCCGAAUCGGGUUCACGGACGAGUUCGUGGAGAAGAUGGAGCUUCGGUUCCAGGCUGCGUUCAAGGCGAUGGAGGAGCUGGGGAAGGGUGCGAUCGCAAACCCGGCCUGUGCGAGGGCCGCAUGAUUGGGCACUACUGGUUGAGGAAGUCGGAACUCACGCUGGCCCGGUUCCUGAAGGAGCAGAUUGAGAGCACGCUCAACACCGUCUGCAAUUUCACUGUCGACGUGGUUAGCGGUGAGGUCAGUUCGUGAAUUCCGGUCGUUGUUGCUUUCCUUGCGUUCUUGUUUUUUUUUUUUUCCUGGGAAUCUGUUGUCGUAGAUGCUUGCAUCAGUUUUCUGGUAAAUGCCAGCAUUGUCUUAGUAGCUUGAGGAAAGCGACGCCGGGGAUAAAUUGAAUUGGUUUCUGGUUGAAGAGAUGGAGAGCUCGUUUACGUAUUAUUCACUUGAAAUGACCAUGUAUGGAAAUUUACGACUCUGAGACGCAGCAUUUUCAAAAUUUUCUUCAGGUUUUUCGAUUAAUGUCAGCAUGAAAUUCGGUUUUUGAUCGUUGGUUUUCUUUCAGUGUGCUUAGCUGAUUGCAUCUGACACGGAUGGAUUGAUUGACUUGAUUAUGUUUGAUGCUUAAUUUGCAGAUUAAGUCCCCUCCUACUUCUCCCGUGGAUCGCUUUACUCAAGUACUUUCAGUUGUUCAGCUCUUGGCCCACGGUUUGUUGCAGAGGCAUUGGCUCCCAAUAAUCCUCCAUUGAAUUGUUAAAGACCGGAGUGUCUAUCCUCCUCUCGCAAUCUACCCUUCAGGUAUUUAGCUUCAUGGAAUUGCUGCUCUUUUAACGUUUUAUACCUUCAUUGAUCUAUUCAUUUAAGUUGUCGGUCGAUGCACAUUGCACCGUUGAUAGUGGAGGUGAGCACGGCCCUUUUUCAUUCAGUUGGGCACCGAACCAAACAAACUGCAUUAAUAUGGUUUACCAAACCAAACCACACUAUGUUCUUUUUGGUAACUUUUACUCCAUCCUAUUUUUCAAUGCAAGCUGAGCUGCUCACUUCCUUCAGUUUUGUUGGCAAAUUGUGCGGCAAGCCAGACUCUGAUUUUCUGCUUAGCGCAUUCCUUCCCCCUCAACAAAAAAGAGUCCCUCUAAAAUCUAUGGCAUGGACAAAUAUGUGCACUAUUUGGUGGUUUAAAUCAGCACCUAACCUAGCUUUUCACCGUAUGUCAUUUUUUAUUGUCUUUAUUAGGAAGCAGCCUUGCAGGAGUUGGUAUUGCUCUAUGCUGAAGAAGUGGACGAAACUGAUGUUCAAGGUGAAUCUGAGUUCAAAUCAUUGGAUGCAUCUAAAUCCCUAUUUGAGCUCUGCCGUUAAAUUCUUUUUGAUAUCUGACAUUACCGUGUUUUUCGUUUAUUUAAUUUUUCCACAUGAAUCGAUGAGCUCUAAACUUCUAGAAUUGAAUUCACUGCAUUUUUUUUGCAAUUGAUUAAGAUAUCAAUCCUCGCAAAGUAUCAUUCCGUAUCAUGGACACGGCAUGUAGAAGAUCUACUCUCAUCAUGUCUAUGCUCUCAGCAUGUUCCGAAUGAACUUCUUUUAUACUUCUCUGAUUUAUUUCUUCCUUCAAUGAAGUAGUUUAGAGUUUAAUAAAGAAAGUGAUCUAUCUAAAUUACUUCCAUUCACAUCAUCUACAGCUUCAUGGUUAAUUGCCAGAAUCAAAAUUUGUUACCUGUUUUAUCACAUUUCAAGUAAAUUCAAUGGUUAAUUGUAAUAAUUAUAGAAAAACUUUCAUGGCUAAUCACAUUUUAAAUAAAGCGAGGUACAGAGGAUGUAUAUCCACUGGAUAAGAAGACCUUAAAUCCCAGUACUCAUUUCAAAUCGUUAAGUUGCUCAACAUUUGACGCUCAUAAUAAUCUUUUAGUAUCAGGGAAAGGUGUUGACAGAUGAGAAUAUGAGCCCCAAAUCUAUUAUUUGAUACUCCUGAUAAUGNNNNNNNNNNNNNNNNNNNNNNNNNNNNNNNNNNNNNNNNNNNNNNNNNNNNNNNNNNNNNNNNNNNNNNNNNNNNNNNNNNNNNNNNNNNNNNNNNNNNUCCUUUAUCAGAAUGACUGUUCUGUAACUAUAAGUAAGGAGAAAAUAUGGGCCUCCAUCUUUCAAGAUUCUUGCUCUUAAUGCUUUUUAUGAUCACUUGUGUUUUGUAGAUGGGAGAAAUAUCAAAGUGAGGAGGAAGCGGCUCUUGGUUGGGGAAAGCGUGUCAGAGAAGCUGUUUCUUACAAAGAAGCAUAGGCAGCACAUCCAAGUGAAAUGGCCAACAAGGUAUUUUAUCUAAAUUGCCUUCUCUUAUGCUGUUAGGGCUAGAAACUUUAGAAUAAGAGUGCACCUGAUGGUGUUAAAUAUUGACCAAGGGAUUAUGAUGGUGAUCUAAUGGUUAUUUCUUUGAUAUGCUGAAGAAACUCUCUGUUGUGCUGAAGAGCAACUUCAUGGAUCCACUUUUAACCAUGCUCCUUUAAUGGAAAGGGCAACUAAAUAAAUCCCUUUAUGUUUUUCUUCUCAGUGCAAGUUUUUGGCUGCUAAUUCAAUUGAUGAAAGGGAUGCCAAUGCUAAUUCAGUUGAUGAAAGAGAAGUUGUGACUACUCCUCCGCCCCCACCAGAUCCUGAGCUGCCGCCCACAGUGAGACUGUUAUAUGGGGAAGAUAAGUCUACCAUUCCUCCUUUUGUGAUACCAGGCCCUCCUCCUUCUUGACCUAAGGAUGCAAGACUCAUUCUUAAAAAGAGAAAGAAGUUAGAGCAAAUGUUGCCCAUCCAAGCAAAAGUCCAGGAGAGCAAGCAACUCCCUCUGCAGAAUUUCUUAGGUGAUGAUGCUUUUUCAAGUUCUAUCCCUCUGGUCCCUAAGCUUAAUGCAUUUCCACCAUCGGUGGCCACAAUGCCAGGUCCUGCUCAAAAGGAGGCUCCACUUAACACAUCAACUUCAGCGAUGCGUCAACCUUCUUGGGAGAAAAUGAAUGCGGAACUGUCCCCAUCAUCUGAAGUACUUCAGUUGGUCGCGUCGAGCAUUGGUCCAGAUCAGCAGCUUGCCCUUUUUCUAUCCGCGAAAAACUUAGAUCUCCCUAGAAGUGAUGUAUCCUCAAUGAAACACAGUCUUGACCCUACACGUAAUUCUGAACCAAAUCAUGCUGGAGGCAAGGAGCAAUCACAUCCCAUUGAUGGGCUUGCAGCAGAUCCCCAGAAGUUAGACCAGCUUGAAAGUGGGAAUUCUUUCAGUAAGACUUGGUCGGUUCUUUCUCGAACUGAUCAUUUUGAUGCAGAGGAAGUCUUGUCUGAGGAGACUAUUUUGGGUCAUCCCGAGAGUGACACUGAUCUGUAAAUUCAAGGUAGGGGAGUGACAAUCUAUGGAAAUCACAAUUCUUUCAUGGGACUGGAAGCGUUAGAGUACUUUGCAGAUAAUGGCAUAAAUUCUUUUCUUGUAGACUUUGAGCAGUGAUGGUGAGCAAUGAAACUGCAAAGAUAGGGAUGAUUAGCCAAAUAAGGACACCCUUGUGUAAAGCUUUUGUUAUAGAAAAUGAGAUUGUAGUGUUAGUCGAUGUACAUUCGUCUUACUCAAAUGUUGCAAGUGCUAGAUUAGCAUAAAGAUGAGUUAGUGCAGGCGUUUAACCAAAGUAAGGUUGUUGAGUGGCUCUGUCCAAUACAUCACCCUUAGAUCAAGUCUAACUAAUGCAUUUACCUUUCUUUCUUCACUUGCCUUGUUCUAUCUCCCCAAGCUUUUAGAAGGUUCUUCUGUAUGAGACUAAAAGCUUGUAUCAUAUAUAUUGUAUCGUCAAAAUAUCACAAAUUUUCUAUGUCAAUAAGGGUUCGUUUUCAAGUGGUAGUGUGAUGAAUUUUUUGCAUAAUGAGCAGUAUUAGCAACCAUGAAAAGCCAUUGUUAAAACUCUGCCAAGCUUUCAAGAGGACAAAAGGGAAACACGCAUCUAGUUUACCUGAUUUGUGCAUCAUUUCUUAUAGAUUCAUAUUAAUCAAAAUCGGGACUAUGAGACUGUAGAGUGUAGAGUUUUAUCCCUUCAGGCAUAGAAACAUACUUGGUGAAAUUGAGUUUUACUAUGAUGACCAAUCAAAGGAAGGAACGGGGUAUGGAAACUACUAAUGAGAUUGCUGAAUUGAGAGCUUAAAGGACCAAAGUGAACGGACUUAUAACUUAUUAAACCAACAUCUCGUUAGAGUUGAACAAUGCUAUGUCUUCUCACCCACAUCAUCAUGCAAAAUCAAAGUAGUGUAUUUUGUAUGAUAUUAUUAUUUUGUAGUCGAGGACCAGAAAGAACUCGAACAUAGCAUUUCGAUGUUUGAAUAACAAAGUUUUCAAGAUAUCUUCCAACAAUAUAAAGAGUGAGAAUUAAGAAUCACCAUAUUCUUUAUAACAAGAAUUAAAAAUUCAAGAUUGUUAUGAUUUCCAAAACUAACGGAAAUUUCCAAACAACAAAGUUGGUCAUAGGUAGAUUUACCCGGUGAAUUUCACUCUAGAAGUGUAAAUGGCGCGCUGAGCACCAGCAUGUUAGGCAUGAGAAAAAUAAGGACUAGGGGAGAGAGAGGGAGUAGCAUUUAUACCGGGUACUAUAACUGUCUCAUAUUCAUGUGGUCCAAUUCUCUCUACACUUAAUAUGCACAGCUCAGUACAUCCUCCCACAGGAUGGCACACCCCUCAAGCGUAUAGUAUCUUCUUUUAUACAGAAUAUGCAUCCCACUAGCUAACUCAGGUUAUAUGCCUCUCACUAGCUUAGUCACAUAACUGAGACCUACUUCACAACCGAGCAGCACAACAUCUAGUUUCUCUGGACACAGAAAAGCCGUGAAAACAGCAAGGUUGUGUAUGGAUUUAGCUAGCUUUCUUCUGAAUCGCACGUGCUAUGACGUCUGUGACUCCACCGGCCUUCUUUUUCCUUGUUUUCUUCCCAAACCACAGUUCCAUCUUUGAUUGUUGCGUUUUUCAGUAUGACUGUUAUCCCUGACCUGAUGUAGAAUCCUUCUUCUGGUCUAUCUGCUUCUUGAACACCCUGUAAAUGGAAGGAUCACAUCCAGUCAUAAAUCCGGAUGGAAUUGAAGUAUCAGGAUUGCAAAAGGCAAUACUUACAUCGGUGUUGUGAAUAACCACAUUUUUUCCUAUCCGGGCAUUCUUAUUAUGCAGUUCCUUGAGAAAGGAAAAGCAAGGGAAUUUGUCAGUGGAAGGAUUGCGGACUAUUCUAUUAACAAGUCGUCGAUUCAGAAUUUCCUGUAGACAUGCCUAUUCAAAGAAUGAAUAAUUACCUGAUUUUAGUAUUUUGUCCGAUCCCAAUAGGAACCUUCCCUUGUGCCAGAAGAGAUGCGAUUUCAACUUCAGUCUGAUAGUAAUCUGAACCCAUCAUCACGGUAUCCUGCAAAUUCAAACGUGUCCCAAAAACUAGCACCCAUUAAAGUAUGUUGCCAUUGCUACAGAAAUUGGCACACGAACUAACCCCAGUAUUGUGAACUUUUAGCAAAUUUGGAAUGUCUAUACUGAUGACUUGCUUAGUACAUUAGCUUGACAAAGGAAAUUAGUGUCUAUAAAAAAGGACACGUAAAAUGACCAUCAAGUAAUCAAAAGAAUUGUAUUAGAAGCAUCCUGACUUGUUCUAAGUCCACUAUACCUUCAUCUUGAGGAAAUACAACCAAUAGAUGAAGAUAUAGCAAUUCAAAAAUAUCACUGUACACCAGAGUUAUAUGAACAAAUUGAAUGGCAUCAUUUGCCCCUGUUAAAUCUGGUCUACCACCUCAAAAUGUUCUGAUGGGAUCUAUUAACCCAAAAAGUUGAAAGCUGAAAAUGUCAACAUUCCAACCAAAUCAUCCAAGAAUCUGAAAAUUAAUUUUCUCAAGCAAUCACCAUUAUGAUCUUCAAAAGGUCAAAGAAUGUAUACGAAAGCAGCACACCUUAAAAUCAACAUCAUAGUCUAGACGCAAGCGCACACCAACAAUGGAGUGUUCAAUGCUACAUUCUUGCAAGAAGCAACCGUGAGAGAUUAUUGCACCUACAAUCUGCAGAAACAGUUCAAAUAAGAGACAGUUUAGACCAUUACAAAAACAGAGACUUAUCGUGUUGACAAGCUUACCCUGCAUUUCUCAACUUUACUGGGGGGUAAGAAUCUUGGAGACGUGUAGAAAGGUGUUUGCAGAUCAUAAAAUUCGAACUUUGGAGGCUGCAUUACAGGAAAUUAACCCACUAUUAGAAAAGCCACUGUCUCCUCAAAGGACAAAUAGUAUCGCUUUAUGACAGCCAAAGUUUUAACUCGAAGCUUCUAUGAUUUUUCUGAGAACGUGAUUGAGAUGAGGCCCCAGAUUGACAAAGAAAUUGUAGCCAAAAAGAUCUAAAGAGUAAGUAUUUUUUCCAGCCCUAAGGUUAAGCCAGCAUAUCAAGUGAUUAACAAGUAUAGAAGGUGAUGACUGAAUUAUCAGAUGACACUGACAUCUCCAAUUUUGAGUUAUCGAGCAGAAGAUGCAAUACCACACACACACCUGCUCUGUUAGGGCCAAAUUAGUGUCAAAGAAUGACUUGAUUGUUCCAAUGUCCUCCCAGUAGUCAUUAAACAGAUAUGCCUGACAAAUCAAUGCAUCCAGAUAAGUCAGCAUUUCUGUUAAGGUAGCUUGCAAGUACAAGUUACAUAUAAACACACAUCUCUAAUGAAGGGGAGAGAGAGACAGAGAGAAAGCCCGCAGCUUAGUCUAUGUUAAAGAAGAGGUCCUGACCCGGACAUUAUGCUCUGCAACAGCUGAUGGAAUUAUUUCGGAGCCAAAAUCAUUGCAUGAGGGGUAGCUCCAUCUCAGAAGCUUUAAUAACACGUCAGUUUUAAAUACAUAUACGCCCAUUGAGGCAAUGUAUGGCAAGUUCACUGCAUCUUGCUUUGAUAGCCCAAGAAGAGUACUGUCAACUUGCUGUGGGCAGAGGUUUGUGCAGGAGACGAGAAUCCAAAUAAGAUUAGUAACUAGUUGAUGCGUUACAUGAUGUGCAGAGAUGAUGUCUGCUAAGGAAACAACCAAAGCAGUCAUGUCAAAUGAUAGGAAGUGUUUAUUGCAUUAAUGAUACCAUUGCUUUCAGCUCAUUGCCCUUCGGUUUUCCGGCAAAUUGGAUAAUCCGUCCAGUUCUGUCAAUCUUCAUUAGUCCAUAACCCCAAGCACAUCUGCAGCAACAAAAACCAGAAAGGGUUAGUUGCAAAACUCAUCAGUAGCUCUAAAUUUAGUGCAACUAAAAACGGACGUAAGAAACAAUAUAAUCACAAAAAUUUGGUUCUUCCCAACCAUAAGUGGAAUGUCAAGGAGAACUGAGCUUUAUAUGCUCUUAAAUCUUUUAAGGCAAUAUAUUUAACCACAAUAAGAACCUGUCAUCCAUUGGGACACAUGAAACUGUGAUAUCCAUUUGUAUCAAUAUGCUUCUGCAAUCAAGCCACAACUGGUCAGUUUAAACUCACAAAACAUAUUAGAUGAAGGAGUUUACGAUGAAAUCUUCUAAGUACCUGCACAAAAUUCAUGUAAUUCAUCCGGUACAGGUGGUCACCAGACAAAAUCAAGAUAUUCUCCACAUUCUUGUUCUUGGCAUCCUGCAGAAAUAAUUUGAAACCAACAUUCAACUUCAAGAGAAACUCCAAAAAACUUUGCACAAGUAAUUGCCAAAACCCUAAGCACUCGCCUCAAAGACCCAUAUGAAUUGCCUAACAACAUCAGCAGUCCCCUAGAACCACCUCUUUCGAGCUUCACCUGGAGUUUGAGUUGCCACAAGGACCUAUAAGUGUUAGCAAAUUUUUUUCACAUUAACUUCAGUCGUUUCUUGAGUUAAGUCAUCAGGAAUCCAAAAUAAUAAAUCGGAAAAAAAUUAUACCUCCACAAAUCCAUCACCAAAACUAACGCCAUUAUCAAAGUUGUAUGUCCAGGAAAGGUGGCGAUUGAGGGAAAAGGAAUUAAACUGCGUUAAGAUGAAUAUGUUUUUGAUACUACUGUUAAUGCAAUUGCUCAUUGGGAUAUCAAUCAACCGGUAGCAUCCUCCUAUAGGAACCUGCAGAUUUAAAAUAACCACAUAAUUAAUUAUAUAGUUGAGAGAGUGCUAUGUGGGUAAACAAUGUGCAUAUACAAAUAAUCACUGACCGCCAGCNNNNNNNNNNNNNNNNNNNNNNNNNNNNNNNNNNNNNNNNNNNNNNNNNNNNNNNNNNNNNNNNNNNNNNNNNNNNNNNNNNNNNNNNNNNNNNNNNNNNGUGGAAACAAUCAUGUUCCAGCACCUCCUCCCAGUAUAAUUAAAGCAACACUCUUCGGGUCUGCGUCUUGGAGUUUCCAACAUUGGAGCUUGAAGAGUCUGAAAUCACAGUUCAAGGAAAGUAACAAGUAACCCACAUUAGGGAACAACAUAUUGGGAUCAAAAGUAAAUCUCAGAUAAGAGGACAGAGAGGAGAGCAUCUUCAACUGAGAACUUCCCCAUUUUUAGACAACUAAAUUAUCUCAAUCAAGUAUGAUAAGACAAAUGACAGCAAUUAACACAUCGAACUCAAGGCAAGAUCCCUCAAAUAGCUAUCAACUACCUUGAGAGGAGGAUCAAGGCACUCAAUAUGAAAGGUCUGGGGAGCUAUCACAACAUAACAAGUUGCCUCCAAGAUCACAAAUAACGCCUUCAUAGUAAUACUGCAAGACAAAAUGUUACAAAAACCACCAGUCAGAGAACAAUAGAUGGUCCUCAACAUUGAAAUGAUACGAAUCCUCAAGACAUCUAAUUGACACAAAAGAGGAUAAAAUUUUAUCCAGUAGACAAAAUUUUGCCUAUGGUCACUAUUAUGAUUCAACAAGGGUUUAGUGUAAAUAUAAAGGAAAACUAGAAGGUGCCUCACAACUCAAGAAACAACAUAGUUACAAAUAAACAUAAGUGGCUUGUGAUGCCAAAGCAAUUAACAAUAUACUACCCCAUCAAUUCCUUUCUUCUCCAAUGAAUACCAAUCCGGAGAAAUUUCAGAUUUUAGCUUGUUCCUCACAGAAGUAGUCUCUGGGACCUCCAAGGCUAUUGAAUUCUGUUCUUUAUCAUAUUUCUGAGUGUCAGGACUGUUCUUAAGUACUUGGGACAAAAGCCUCGAGCUACAGCUUGCCAUGUAAGCUCGAGACUGAAAAACUUCUACGAACUCCAUAAUUUAACAGCUGAUUCAUCUCGAUCCAAGGGCAAAUAAUACAUUCCUCAGGGAUAUCUAUGAGCUCAAGACAAGGGAUGAGCAAGAGAAGACGACGGCGAGAGAGAAAGCGAUCCACGGGAGAAGUAGGAGGGGGCUUAAUCUGCAAAUUAAGCAUCAAACAUAAUCAAGUCAAUCAAUCCGUUUGUGUUCAAUGCAAUCAGCUAAGCACACUAAAAGAAAACCAACGAUCAAAAACCGAAUUUCAUGCUGACAUUAAUCGGAAAACUUGAAGAAAAAUUUGAAAUUACUGCAUCUCAGAGUCGGAAAUUUCCAUACACGGUCAUUUCAAGUGAAUAAUACGUAAACGAGCACUCCAUCUCUUCAACCAGAAAGCAAUUCAAUUUAUCCCCAGCUCGCGCUUUCUUCGAGCUACUAAGACAAUUCUUGCAUUUACUAGAAAACUGACACAGGCAUCAGCAAACCGAUUCCUAGGAAAAAAAAAAGAACGCAAGGGAACUACAGACUCUUACCACACGAAGAGCAACAACGACUGGAAUUCACGAACUGACCUCACCGCUAACCACGUCGGCAGUGAAAUUGCAGACGGUGUCGAGCGUGCUCUCAAUCUGGGCCUUCAGGAACCGGGCCAGCGCGAGUUCCAACUUCCUCAACCAGUAGUGCCUGACCAUGUGGCCCUCGCCUAGGCCAGGUUCGCGAUCGCGCCCUUCUCCAGCUCCUCCAUUCCCUUGAACGCGGCCUGGAACCGAAGCUCCAUCUUCUCCACGAACUCGUCCGUGAACCCAAUUCAGCUCACAUCCAAGGAAAAGCCCUAGCUCCAGUGUCAGUGUAGCCAGUCCACGUACCUUGUCCACAGCGAGCGGGAAUCUUUCUCCAGCCCUCUAGCCCACGCCUCUCCUUCUUCACCGCGCCGUUGGCCCUGCCCAGGUCCACCGAGAUCUCCCUCGCAACCGAUUGGGCCAGGAACAGGGACAGCACUCGGUCGACGGUAGGGAGCCUGGUGCCGCUCGGGAACAGGACCGAGUCCGCCUCCCUCCUACCGGAGGCCGACGGCUUCGCGGCGGAGGCUGGCGGCGUCUUUGGCCUGAGGGAGGGGGAGGACGAGUAGAUGCCAGAGACGGAGGACGCCAUCGACGGCGGCAACGGCGGCUCAGAGUCGGAGUUGAUGACGAGUUCGUCGGAGGGAGGCAAUCGGACGGAGGCCCAGAAGUUGCCUAGAGAUCAAGGCGAGCACAAACCUUACGCUCGAUCUCGGCGUUGGAAACAGUCAGAGGCAAAGGGGUCGGGAACCAGCUGCGACUGGCGGGGCUCUUGGAGGAGGCGACGGACCGGCGAGGCUUUUUGGGGAGGCGGAGGCGGAGGGGGUGGGAUGCGCUGAGAAGGAGGAAGUGCAGCUCGUCCGCGAGGAGAGAGAGAGCCCAGAAAAUAUUCAAGUGAGGAGAGAGAAAUUUUAAGCGGGAAUGUUGCGCAUUUAAUAUCCAUUGACCCAUGCUUUCUUCUACCAACCGAGCCGAGCCGAGCCGAGCCGAGUCACCAGCCGAGAGUUAUUUGGGAGAGAGUGAGAAGAGAGAGGAGAGAGAAGAGCGCUGCGUCGAGGAGCAAGAGAAAAAGCGAAGAGGACACCAAAUGGGGCCCACCUCUCCACAUGGCAUCUCGUGAGUGGCCGGGGACCACGCUGACGUGGAGGUCCCGGACCACCCAAUAUUUUCUCCUGAGGCGACAGCUUUUGUAUUCUCUUGAACGUUGGAGAAUCAUAUUCACAUUCAGGUCCCCACAUUCAUAUGACAGGAUAAAGUGAGCACAGCACCUUUCGGUGGAUGAGGUGAUGAGGGUUUCGAGGAAGCUCAAUCUAGAGCCCUUGGGAAGUUUCUUGCAUCUUUAUGGGGAAGUUUCUUGCAUCUUUAUGGGAGCAAAUUCAUGAUUACUUCAUGAUCCUUUCUAGUGUGAUUUGCCAAGUGUUUUUUGUGGAAAAGGUCAUUAAACUGAUACCGAAACCAGCUGAAUGGGUAACACUUGGAAAAACGUAGCACCUAAAUACUGAAUAGAUCUUCUGUCAUCCAAAAUAAACUAAACAUUCAUUUCAUCAUUUUAUAGGCAAUGCAAGAAAAUAAUUUCACUAGCGGAAUUUACACAAUAACAUACAUGCAAUUUAAGAACCGAUGCUUAGGCAAUGACCAUAUUCGAUUUUUAAUUUUGGCAAGCAUUUCCAUUCCAUAAACGAAGUGAUAUUCUAUUUGUUUGAGUAAGCGGUUAUCUAGAAAUAGUUGCAAUUUUUUCGUGUAAAAAUCCUCUUUAAAGAAUAUGAAAAGUCCAUCCUUAUUGAUGUGGGUGAAGUUGUGAAUGAUUUCCUAGAAUGGAUUGACCAACAAAUGAAUAAAGUUUAGCCCGACAUUUAUCAAAGUGAAUAGAUAGAGGUCGGCCUGCUAUGAGCAAGAGCUAUGCACAAUCUAGCAUAAAUUAUGCUGAUAUGGAUUUUUCAUAGGAGCAGAACUGGUUUCAAUUACAAGUACAAGUUAAGAGCAUAUGCCGAAAAUACAUUUGUCCAAGUCUUUGCAUGUUGACCAUUCACAACCUCUGCCGAAAUUCACUACAAAAUUCCAAAGAAUCCCUGCUCAGUCACACCAAUUUCCCAAAUUCCUCGCGUAGCUUGUGCUUCAUAUUACUUUACCCUUCUGUUUUAGCAUGCAGCGACGUAAUCGUGGUGUCCUGCUCGCUUCACCUUCCCAUUAUAUUUCCCCAAAGACUCCAUUUAUCGAUGGAAAAGCAAGUCAAGUCAAGUCUUGCUGGAUUUCAAAGUUCAAUCAAAGCACCUAUGUCGGUGGCACGCACCUUCUGCAUAAUGCUGUUCAAAUUAUGCGGGCAAUAACCCAUCGUUCGAUUGCGCACAGUAGAAAAAGCAAGGACAAAGAGCAUCUUUAUUGCAAGUGGCUUUUCUUUUCUACUUUUUUGUUAAAAGAAAGGGACAAUUAUAUAAACAGUUUCUGAACUUUAACCUAAUGUGCAAUUUGAUCCAUAAACUUUUAAUCUACUCAAUGAGAUCCUUAAUCUUAACUCAAUGUGCAAUGUGGUUCCUGAACUUUUAAUUUGUUCAAUGCAAUUCCUGAAUUUUUUUGUACAUGUUCAAUCUAAUCCCUGAACUAUAUGAAAAUAUUUAGUAUAGUUCUUAAUCUUGAAUAAUUAUUGAAGGACUACAUUGAAUAUUUUUAUACAAUUUAGGGACUGGAUUGAACUUUAACACAAAGUUGAGGGACCGCAUUGAAUAAAUUAAAAGUUUAUAGAUCAAAUUGCAUGUUAGGCCAAAAUUCAAGGACUAUUUAUAUCAAUUUCCCAGGAAGAAAAAGCAAGUAAAGUCAAGAGGCACCUGCAUAGGUUCCCUGCAACUUCCGCAUAAUGCUGUUAAUAUUAAGCGUGCAAAGACUCCGAAUUCUUUAAGCACUUCGCAGUCAGUUUUCUUCAAGCAUGCUCAAUAAGGACAAACAAAGCUUAACAAUAUGCAAAGGAAAAAAUGCACUUUGGCGGAGAAGCCAGUGGCUGAAAAUGUCAGCAUGAAGUAAAAAGCUAAACACCAAAUGAAAUAAAAAGGUAACUGGCAUUCACUAAAUAAUUAUUCGACAGCGCAAAGAACCCUUUGGCUAUAAUCCGACAAUUCCAUCCACUCGGCAAGAGCCAACUUUAAUGCCUUGUGACAUAAUAAAAUGGAUUUAAAAUAACACAACAGCUCAAUUGGUUAUUGAUUGUACAAACAAGAUCAUUGUAGUUUUCUAAUUUGCCCACAAAGUCUCUAGUAUUUACUAUCAAUUAAUUAUCAGUUGUCUCAACUAUUCUCAUAUAUUAUAGAUUCUUCCGUCAUUAUUCAUAUAUUAAAUGUCUAGAUAUUCUUGUAGUUUCAUUCAAAUCGGGAUACAGAGUCUCGCCCAAAUCCACUCUUUCCUAGAUUGUGUGCACUAAUCUUCGGCUGACCUUAUACUCGGGGCAUCAACAUUGCUCGGUGGUUUUCUUUUCAAUUUCUCAUUUACUCGGAAAAGCAAGUCAAGUCAAGGUGCACAUGCAUAGGUAGGUUCAACGCACCUUCCACAUAAUGACGUAGAAAGUGCGCCUGAAAUAAUUGCCCUUUGCCUUUUAUUUUCUAAUUAUUUUAUUAAUAGAAAAAGCAAGUCAAGUCAAGGUGCACCUGCAUAUGUAGGUUCAACGCACCUUCCACAUAAUGACGUAGAAAGUGCGCCUGAAAUAAUUGCCCUUCGCUUUUUCUUUUUCUAAUUGUUUUAUUAAUAGAAAAAGCAAGUCAAGUUGAAGUCAUGCUCGCUUUAGAAAAAAAGCGCCUACACAGGCUCUAUGCCCCUUCUGUGCAAUGCCGUGGAAAUUAUGCAUGCAAUAAUUGCCCUUUCCAUGCAGGAUAUAUGAAAUAUUGAGGAUGAUGUGUUUCUUCAGCUACUCUUAUCAAAUUUCAGAUUUGCUGGAAGUUCUCUUUACAUUGUCUCUUCCCAUUUUCAAUUUACUAUUGAUGCUCCAAGUGGCAACUUUUUUGUCUAAUUUGUUUUCGCUUUUAUCUUCUAACUAGCGAAGCAUAGAAAUCAUCACAUAUUUCCUACUAAUUUCAAUAUUUGAUUGAUUUCAUCUGUUCUUUGAAAUCCCUUUUCCUUACAAAUGAAAAUGUGAAGGGUUUGAUUAUUAUGUCAUAAAGAAAAAUGGGAAAAGAGUGACCCAUAUGGAAAGCAUUGAAUAGUUCUUGAACCUUAAUUUGUUUCGUGGAAAAUGUUAGAAUGGAACAACAAAAAUAUGGUUCACUCCUUAAGUUUUUUAUUACAAUUUUAUGGAGAUCUCCAAGUCUAAUAAGUAUUAGAUGUAUCGCAAACACUCAUGGAAGUAUGAGAAGCAACUUAAGUGAAAAGUCAUCAUCUAUUCUUCACUCCAAAAGCUGAUUACAUCAUUGAUGUCAGGGUGUAGGGCUUUGGAUACUUCAUUUCUUUUCAUGUUUUGCAAAUUAAGUGUACAAAAAGCCUUAUGUUGAAUAUGACAAUCCGAAAUUACAUCGACUCAAAUAAUAUAAAAGAGAAUAUGCCACAAAUAGGAAUUAGUUGAUUAGGAACCUCACGUGUUCAAAUAUACACUUGAGUUGAUAUAAUGUUUAUACCUAUGAGUAAAGAAGUGAGUUUAUGCUCUUAAGAGGUUUUAUGAGCUAAGCUGGCUGUCAAAGCGCCAAAAGUAAGCUAAUACUAUACAGCUAUAAAACAGUAGGUGUCAACGUAAUCACUCGUUGGUGUCGUGUUUAAUUCAAUCCCUCUCCAUUUAAUAGCUUCAAUUUUUCAAAUCACAUCUUCUAAUGCUAAAUAAGCUAACAUUGAAUCCUCCUCUAUUGUGCUGUGAAAAAUUAUAUUUUGGUGAAGUCCCCGUGGGCCAAGAAUAUCAACAUGAAAUAAAAAGUCUAACAAAAGAUGACAUAAAAAGGGGGGAAAAUAUCACUAAAUUAGGGAAAAGAACACUAGAAGUGCCUUAACUUGUGUAUGGCACUCAAUUUAGUGUUACAAAUUUUCGUUGGCUCACUUAAGUGUCACUUUUUUUAUAAAAAAAAAAAAAAUCAUUUAAGUAUUAGCUCCUAUCUGAGUCACCAAAAAUAUAAUGUGGCAAUAUUUUAUUAAUUUCUCAAUCCUACGUGGCUUAUUGAUGUGCCCAGUUAGCAUAUAAUCUCUAAACAACAUCGUAUAACAAGUUAAAAAGUGAUCACUUCAGUGCCAUUCGUUUAAAAAAAAAAUGAUCACUUCAAUAUCAAUUGUUAUUAAAAAAGUAUCACUUCAGUAACAAUCUUAAUGAAAAAGUGAUUACUUCAGUGCCAAAAAAACCCCAAACGACGUCGUAUAGCAAAUUAAAAAGUGAUCAUUUUAAUGCCAGUUAUUAUAAAAAAAAUGAUUACUUCAGUACCAAUUGUUGUUAAAAAAUGAUAACUUUAAUGCCAAAAAAGCCAAAGUCACGUAAUUUCCCUAGUCGAAAUUUUUCGCUGGAGGUAUUUAAGUACUCUAGUGAAAAGUUGUGAUACUAAAGUGUAUGCCGUACGCAAAUUAAGGCAUUUCUAGUGUUAUUCUCCCCACUAAAUUAUUAUUUGAUUACGGAGAAUUGUUAGCUGAAUUUACUAAUGCAAUACCGAAACAAUAAAAUUGAUGUAAAAUGUUAAAAACUAUUAAUUGUGGAGGGUAACGGUUUGAUAAUUUUUAAGCAAAGUAGUAUGAAGAAAUCUAAUUUUAGAAAAUUAUUUUGAAAAAAGAUUUAUUUUGGAGUUACUUUCUAGACGAGUAAGAAAAGGCAAUGCCUCAUGCAGCUUUUCAGCAACAAAGUCCUGUACAUUAGCACGGGGAUAGGCUCCAAGCACCGCAGGAGCAUGUGAGUAAUGCUCGUCAGUUCUCUUUUCUACUUUUUCUUAUUAAUAUAAAAGGCAAGUCAAGUCAAGUCAUGAUCUGCGGAAAUUACGCGUGCAAUGAUAGUUCUUUCCGUGGCAUGCCCUGCAGCGAUUUGAUUAGCUUGAAGAGUCUUGGACCAUUGGAUAGCAAGAACUCAAACAUUGUUCAAGCACACAUAGAGAAUGUUUUGUGUCGGUAAUCCAACUUCAAAGGCUGAAAAUCGGAGGAGAUCCCGAGGCUCUGUUGUUUGAGCAUUCGUCAGGUAGUCGACAACGUCUUACUCUUUCUCCGUUUCCUGUUCUGAUUGCUCCAUUUUCUUUUGAUGAGUUAUGUAAGAGUUUCUAUUUUUGUUUGAAUGUAGCUUCGAGUUUGACUACCGAGAGACAUUUCUGCUAUUCCCAGAUCUGGGAUUUUGUGUAUCUCUCCUCCGUUUCCUACUCCAUCAGUCUCUUUUAAAAUCCUCUUGAGAUGAAAAGAAGAGAACCCACUCAUUCAAAAGAUUCGAUCUACGAGGCGUCUUCCUCAUCAACCUCUCCACUUUUAGGUGAUUAUGAAGGAAAAACUAAAAGGCCAAAAGGAAAUUACUACGAUGUGUUCUUGAGCUUCAAUGGGAAAGACACUCGCAAAAUGUUCACUGAUCAUCUCUAUAAAAGGCUUGUCAAGGCAAAAAUUUGUGUGUUCAGAGACGACGAUAAGCUCCCUGUUGGUGAGGAGAUUGGUCCAGAACUUCUUUGCAGCAUUAGGCAGUCCAAAAUUUCGAUUCCGAUUAUCUCCACGAACUAUGCUUUCAGCAAAUGGUGCCUUCGGGAGCUAGCUUGGAUGUUGAAGUGUAAGAGAAGCGGAGGGCAUUUAGUGUUGCCCAUCUUUUACAACGUGAAUCCCUCGCAUGUGCGCCAUCUUACAGGAAGAUUUAGAAAGGGUAUCGAGGCACAUAAAGACAGUAUAGAUGAAAAGGUUUUGAAGGAAUGGAAAAAAGCGCUCAAAGAAUUGAAGGAAUGGGAAGAAGCACUCCAAGAAGUUGGUUCUUUGAAAGGAUGGGAAUCUAAGAAAAAUGAAAACGGGUACAUUAUUCUCAACCAAAUCGUUGUUUAAUUUCUCACAAAUAGAUUUUUUUUUUUUGAAAAAGGAUAUAAAAUAAAUAUAUAUCCCCUCAUAUGCUGAAAUUCAUUGUUAUUUGAUAGGUAUGAAGGAGCAUUGGUCGAAAAGAUAGUCAAAUAUGUUCUGAAUGAAUUGAGAAGAACUUCUCAGAUAAUUGUUCCCCAACAGUUGGUUGGAAUUGAUGACCGUAUUGAUCUAAAGGAUUUAAAAAGAACUUUUCAACUAAUUGUUCCCCAACAAUUGGUUGGAAUUGAUGAUUGUAUCGAACAUAUUAUGAGCUUCAUAGAUGCCAAAUUCAAUGGUACAUGGAUUAUUGGAAUUUAUGGGAUGGGCGGUAUCGGUAAGACGACUCUUGCAAAGGCGUUAUACAACAAACUCUUCAGUCAAUUUGAGUAUCAUAGCUUUGUGGCAGAUUACCGGGAAACAUUGCAGUGCAAGGGUAUUGCAUGCCUACAAAGGCAACUCUUAUCUGGCCUUGGAAGUGCAUGUGAUGUGUCUAGUGUGGAUGAGGGAACCAAUCUUAUCAAAUCUCACUUUGCACAUAAGAAAGCCCUCAUUUUUCUUGAUGAUAUAGGUGACGAUGCUCAAUUGAAAUAUUUGGUCGACCGUGCUUGGUUUGAAGCAGGAAGUAUAAUCAUCAUAACAACUAGAGACAAGAAUACUCUUAAUAAAAUUAGGGCAGACCCAAUGUACGAACUCCUUGAGUUGUCUCAGGAUAAAUCAUUGAUUCUUUUUAGUAGACAUGCAUUUCAACAGGAUUUCCCUCCGAGUGAUUAUGAGGCUCUCACUCAUGAUGUCGUAUCUACCACUGGAGGGCUUCCAUUAGCUCUUGAAGUUAUAGGCUCAUUGUUAUAUGAAAAGAAAAUAAAAGUAUGGCAAGAUAUAUUACAGAAAUUGAAAAAAACGCCCAAUAAGACAGUGCAAGAGAAGUUGAAAAUAAGUUAUGACGCAUUAGAAAAGGAUGAGAAACAAAUAUUUUUGGAUAUUGCAUGUUUUUUCAUUGGGUCAAAUAAACAAAAUCCCAUUUAUAUGUGGGAUGCUUGUGAGUUUUACCCGUGGGCGGGGAUUGAUAGAUUGAGUCAUAUGUCCCUAAUUAAAAUUAGAGAAAAUGGCAACCUAUGGAUGCAUGAUCAACUUAGAGAUUUUGGAAGGAAAGUUGUUCGUCUAGAAAAUCCAGAGCCUCAAGAGUGUAGCAGAUUGUGGAUUCAUGCAGAAGCCCAAUAUGUGCUCGAGAAUAACAAGGUAAGAAUUUUCUCUACUUAUCUUAGUCAGUGAAUGUGAGUCUAUCCUCCUUUUCUUGUUUAAAUAAAAAUAAUCGUCGGUCUUGAGUCCCCAAGACUUUCUGGUUUUACUAGCAAAAGAGCUCCUUUUGUUAAUUGUUGUCCUUGCCUGAUUCUUAAACAUAAUGGAGGAGCAAUUUCUUGGUUAUUGAUUAUUGAUAUAUAUACACUUGGUAAUAUUAUGAUGAGGAAACUCUCCUUUUGGUAACUUCAAUGCACCAACAAAACCAAAAAAAUCAGAAUAUUAGACAAAGUACUUUUAGAGAAAACCUGGCAUUUAUAAAUUUAGGCGGCGAUGCUUUUCCCACAUAUUUGUUUGAUGCAUAUGUUUGAUGUUUGGAUUCUUCUUUUGGUUUCUUGUGAGGUAUUUUCUUUAUUUUUUUUCUUUUACAAAUUAUUGCCUUCUUAUGAGUCGUUUGGUACGAUAAAUGAGACAUCCAUUCAUUUGUGACGAUUUAGCUAUCUUGGUUUCUGCAUUUUUUUAAAGUUGGUUUUAGUGUAUUCCCCUAGGUAUUAUUGGUUACAAUUUAGUCCCCCAUCUAUUUUUAUUUUUGCUCACUAUAGUCCUCUAACUUUUACUUUUGUAUGCAAUCGAGUCCUUUGUGGUCAAUUGUUAGUUGACACCAUCAAUUUGUUGAUAUAGCGUUCGUUUUUAUUUAUGAUAUAUGAGCAACCAUAUAACAUAACCCUUAAAACACAUUAUUUUUGUUGUUAGACUUUUCAUAAUAGCGGAUAGUUUCUUUCUAUGAAUAUGCUAAUACCUUUUCUUUUUGUAACAAUGGAUGAUUUUAAUAUUAAUCCCCUUCAUUUUUUUUUUUGUUUAAUAUAGGGUAUCAUUUUAUAACAAUAAUUUGUUUAUUAUUCAAUUCUUAGCGAGCAUCUUAUUUAGCAAAGAUUUAGUUAACAUUAAUAACAUCAUCUAAUUUUUGUGAAACAAAAAAAAUUAGUGUGUGACAUGAAAAUUAGUGUGGGAUAAAUAUGCAACAAGUCUACCGGUUUGGAAUUUUUUGUAUUAUUAACCGAAGUAAAUAUAAUUUUGAAUUUUGUGUGAUGAUAAAUUUUCAUUAUUAGCAUGUAGUUAGAAGGUAAUCUAUUAAAAGCAAUUAAAACAUAUGGGAUGAUUUGUACAAAUAUCAAAUAAGCAUGUGCAAAUUUUAUGAAAAUCCUUGAUUAAGAAAAACUAGACAUAAACAUCGGGAUGCAAAAUAUAAUGAUAUACCAAGACUAUUGAAAAAUAUGGUACCAAUACCUUUCAGUGAGCAUAUUUUCGCACGUAAUCAACUCAAUAGAACAUUGCUUAGAAGUGAAAAAAAAUGGUAUCUAUGAAGUUGUUGACAAAAAUACAAUAAAUAUAUAAGAAACUUUUAAUGCAAAAACAAGUAGGGACUCAUAUGAAAGAAUAAAAGUUUGAAGGAACUAGUGACUCAUGAUUUGCACUCAGUGUGCAAUUCGUCACCUAAAACGAAAAACGAAUUUGAGUUCCUAAAUUAAUGGGUUGCAACAACGGAAAAAUGCAGAAGACUUAAGUUCCUUAAGAAUAUAAUUUUAUUAAUCUUCAUGUCCAAUCAGUUCAUACAGAAGAUCUCAUUAAUCUAUGGGAAAAUUGAUCAAAAUUUAGAUGACUACCACUUCAAAGUGAAAAAAUCAGCGCGACAAUAAAAAUAUAGCAUCAAACAUCUAUAGUGAUAAAAAGAAAAGUAAGGAUCAUGUACAGAACAUUUGACGUUGUCAAUUUUCCUUCCACAUGCAAUGAAAAACCCUCAUCGAAUAAACAGCUGAUAUGAAAGGAACUUAAAACAAAUGCGUCACUUUUUGUAAUGACAUUCUUGUUUUCAUUUUGAUAUUUAGAAUUGCAAACCAGUGUAUCCAAACAAGUGGGGGAUUCUGCAAUUGGGAUUCUUCAAUUUUGACAAUCAUAACGAUGGCCAGUUUGAUAGAUGUAUGUGGAUGGUUAAAAUUGUAUUAGUUCACAUAUACAUGAUAGGAGUAAAGGUAAGGUUAUUUCAUAUGUAAAGGGCAUGGAUUUUGAUAGAUAUAUUUGAACUAGGGUAUGCAUGAAGAGAGGCCUUCCGUUGUAGUUGCAGAUGGAUGCAAAUUUUGGAAAUUUAGAAGGUGCAAAUUGCGAAAGGGUAUAGUUAGAUGAGGAAAAUGUUUAGAAACAACUGCUUGAGCUUCUCAUCCUUACAUAGAUUAGAUAAAUAAUAUGCAACUACAACCUUUCAUUUCACAAAAAUCAAAGUGAGAAGUCUAUGUCAUAGUAGUAUGACAGCAAAUUGAAAUCAAUGCAUUUUAUUUUUAUAUCAAUUGGUGUCAUCUCAUCAUUCAAAACUUAUGGUUUACAAUGUUUCCAAGCUGCAGGGCACCAAAAAGAUCGAGGCCCUUUCUCUUGGCAAAUGUAGUGAGGGAAAAAAAUACGCAGCUGAACAAUUUAAAGAAUUGACUAACUUGAGGUUCCUUCAAGUGGAUGGUGCAAAUUUCACCGGAGAUUUCCAAAGCUUACUUCCUGAAUUAAGAUGGCUUCAGUGGAAGAAGUGUCCCUCGUAUUUCACUGCAAACAACUUUCAUCCGAAAAAACUUGUUGUACUCAAUCUAUCAUACAGUGCCAUUUCGGAGGAUUGGGGAGGAUGGGAUCCACUCAAGGUAAGACAUAAAUAAGGCAUUGAAGUAUUUUUUAACAUAACAUUUUUUCUUUGUACAUUUGAAAAUUGAUUUUCACAAUUAAACUAGCCGUUUCUCUUUAAUUUGAUACUACUGAAGGAAAACAUAGUGCCUGAUGAAUGCAUCUCUCUUCCAUUUGAAUUUGUCAUCGGUUUUUGAUAAUAAAAGUUGCUUAUGUCUAAUCAGAAAAUAUCUCCUUUGAAAUUUUAUUUGAAAAUAAAUGCAGUUUGCACUCGUACACUCUAAAAUUCUUUUGCAAUCGAUGUGCUUAAAAAACAUUUAUCUAUUGACGUGGCCAAACAUUACUAAAAGAGGCAUUUAAAAUUAAAUAAGACAACCGCGAAGGAGUAGAGGAGCAUGCAUAAUUUUUGAGGAAUUCUAAAAAGUCGAAAACAUGAGGAGGAGCAAAAAAUCACAGAUUGCGAUAGUCCAAUUACAUUGACGUAUGAUAUCUUUCUUCCAGAAGGCGAUCGAGCUCAAAGUUCUCAAUCUCCACGGGUGUCUAUCUUUGAAAAGAACUCCUGACUUGUCCACUUUCACAAGGUUGGAGGUUUUGAAUCUCGAUUAUUGUUCGAAUUUGAAAGAGCUUCAUCCUUCUAUUGAAAUUCUGGCAUCAUUGGUUGAGCUAAAACUUUCGGAUUCAAAGAUUACAAAAUUGCCUGAUGCCAUUGGAACGUUGACAAAACUCCAACAGUUUAAAGUUUCAGGUUGUGAUAACCUUGAGCGACUACCUAGUAAUAUAUGCAAACUGAUUUCGCUAGGGGAGCUCUCCCUUUUGUAUUGUGAAAAGCUUCAAGAAUUACCUGAAUUGCCCUCCGGCUUAAGGGGACUAUAUAUCACCUGCCAAGGGCAGUCUUUGCCCCAUCUUUCCCAGCUAACCCGUCUCAAGACACUCCAUCUUAGCUAUUGCCGUCGGCUUGAAUGUGUCCCAGAGCUUCCCAUUGAACUAUCGGUGCUUUCUAUCUAUCGUUGUGGAGAAUUGAAAGCCUUCACGAAUUUGUCAGACUUGAAAAAAUUGCGACGUGUCAGUAUAUCUAAAAGCUCAUCUCUCGAAGGAUCGCCCGACGUGUCUAUGCAGAUGAGAGAACUUGGCUUUAAAGAGUCCGAGGACUUUUUUGGGGGCUUAAUAUUUGAGCGUUAGCAGACGUGAAGAGCUACGGGGGGCAGAAGAGAAGGACGGCUCGACGUCCAUGGAAUCUCUCUCUGUCUCUCUCUCUCUCUCUCUCUCUCGCUACUAGUCAGUCGCCCUGCUGGUUUCCCAGGCUCGAAGAUCGAAGCCACCGUUCGCGUCGCCCAUCCACUGCAGGCAGGCGGGCAGGUCAAUCGGCGCGGUGGAGAUGACGACGGCGACGGCGACGAGGCGACGCCACGGCUGGCAACGCCCUCUCCAUCCGCUCCAGGUAAACGCACGCACGCGUCUUUCCUGUGGUCUCUCAGCUUCAUCUGCAUUUUAGAAACACGUCGCUCCGGCAUGCGAGCUCAUCGAUUGUUCGGAUUGGAGAUUUUAGUUUUCUCAGUAGUAAAUGUGUAGGGCGUGAUGCAGAUGAUCGAUCAAUCGCAUUUGAAGUUUAGAGUCGAUCCAUCUCAUGUCGUAAAUUUGCAAUUGCAGAUAGUUGGGAUGGCGGUGUUCAGUUUCUACAUCUUCCUGGGACCGUUGCUUGGGAGCGGGGCUGCUGAAAUCACCGUGACGACAAUAUUCUCUUUUGUGGUAACUCCCUUAGCGUUUACUUUGUGCCAUCAUGAUAUUGAUUGCUUUUCUUUCGUCAGUUUUCUGGGAAUUGAUGGGAUUUUCCACAUAUUUCCCCCGAUUUUCGAGUGUUCUCGGCGAUGUUUCUUUUCAUCUGCUGUACUGUGAUAGAUCCGAUGGAUAAGACCAGUUAUAGAAAGAAGAAGAGAGGCUCUGAAGCGAUGGUGCUCACGGACUUUUGUGCCAAUUCCUCAAGCUCGCUCUUCCAAUUUCGAUGCUUGAUUUGCCUACCUGGGUACUUCUUCUUUCUCUUUUUCUUCUUGAAUGAUGAUGGAAGGAAGGUUGGGGCUGAUAUUCCUGUGGAAGUCUAAUGGUGGCGCCUCUGUAUGUGUAUACGAAGAGAUAUGUAAUAAAGCAAAGAGAUUAGCCUGGGGAGAUAUCCUUUCUGGCAGCAUAUCAGCGAGUCUUCAGCACCUGACUGCUUAGCUUUGGAGGAGACAGCGAACUCAACAGGUAGAAGUCAGUAGCUGUGGCAUAUGGAUGAGCUGAGUAGGAAAGUAGUGCACAAAGUUCUGUGGAUAAGCUGGACCUUUUUGUUUGGGGUACUAUCUAGGAAAAUACUUUGAACUUGUACUUUUACAAGAUGGGCCCACCCUCCUUUUGGAAUUGAAGCUAAACGUGUGGGAGUGAAGGGUUGAAAAAUAAAAGAAUAUCCUUGGUCUAUGAUGACAGAGAAAAAGGCGCUUUGUCUUAGUCAAGUAGUUUUAUUUUGUUUUAUUGCCUUUUCAAGGUUUAGUGAAGUCGGGAGUUAGGGCUUCUCUUUAUUUUUUAUUCUGCUUAGUAGAUUUGUUUUUGGGGUUUGCAUUGUCUUUUAUAGAGAUGGAUAGAUAUUUCCUUGUUGCUUUACUUAUUAUACUUAUUGCAUAACAAAGAAACCAGGGAGAAGAGAAAUUGAGAUUGAGUGCUGGAGGAGCGAUUCAUAAUGCUAAUUUGGGAAUUGAUGUUCGUCUACCCACUGACAAACUAAUAUACAAUCAAUUAAAGAUGAAUUGUGAUUACAAGUGGUACCUCUCCAUUGCAAUUAGGGUGUGCCGUGGAGUUUCUCCGUUGCAUGAACAACAGCAUGUUAUAGGUUUGUUGGUGGCGAAAGUCAUAUUAAAAAUGCAGGAGCCAAGAUUUCUGUGUUCAGCUGUGUACCUAGUUCUUGGGGCAUGAACUUUUGUCUUCCCAGCUCAAAGCACUCUUUGCCUUCCUCUUCAAGUGAUACAAAGGAGUCAAAAUUAUUUGAUGACACUGAUACUGGGAUAUUCAUCCAUGUUAAAUUGUUUUCCCUAUAUUUUCUUGCUCCUGAACUUUCUUGUAUAAAAGAAGCAUCUUGUACACAUUGUUAGGAGUGAAUGGGGUCAUCGAGGUUAACCUAUGUCCAAGUAUAUGCCUUGUCAUCUCUGCUUUUGGGUCAUAUGGUGGAAUUUUUGCUCUUUGUUCAUGGUAUUUCAUUGUCACGGUUUGCUGAAAGCUGAUAAGUUACUCCUGGAUUAGCCAGAGCAUUAUAAUUAGUGGCUAUUAAUUAUACCUAUGCAAGGUCUAAAAAUUGUUUUAGGAUUGCUACCUAUGUAGGAUGCAAUUAAAAGAUGGAACUUGGUCACAUCAAAAGUCAUUCCCAGUUGGAAUCAGGAGUAGGAUCAUUGGAGAUGUAGGAGGGGAUUUCUAAUUUCAGUCCUAAAUAUUCUACUUGGCCUAUUUAUUUAGCAAUCAAUCUCAUAGUAAACCAAAUUAGGCUCUAGUUCUCAUUGUGCAUGACCCAUUGUACGUCUAAAACAAUAUCUAAAGGCCAAACUUGCUAAUUAGGGCUAACUUUGGGGAUUGAACUAUAAGGGAAUUAUAAAUGAGAAUGAGGUGUUGCCCUCAUCUUGAAUUAGAUUGGAUGGAAGAUUUGAUUGGUAGUUGUGGUGAGGCUGAAGAUACUUUCUAUACAGACUUGGGAGAAUCCAUAAGCUUUUUGCCAGAGUAAGAAUAACCUUCAUGAGAGGUUGGGUUGAGGUAAAUGGACCAUCUGCUGUGCCUCCACAAACAGCAGUGCAGCCCAAUGCCAACACCUUUGUACAGCAACCACCUCUACUGGCUGGGGACGGAAUUCUUUUUCAUGUUACAGCAUAUAGCACUUUACCUUGCCUAUUUCUUUCAUUUUCCUCUCUUCUUCUUUUCACUGCCAUCAUCCUCUUUUGCAUUUGUUUUAUUCUCUUCUUUACUUUUGCCUUAGAUGCUUCUCUAGUUAACUUUCUUUAAGAGGUACAAGAGCUUCUUCAGUGAUGUGCUUCUGCUGUGGUGAUAAUAUAGUGCUUUUGUCUUCUACUUUUGAGCUUCAUUCCCUCUUUUCAAAGAUAACAUACAGGUGAUAGUACAGAAAAAAGAUAAAGGAUCUAUCACUUUAGACCUUAACUUUUUGUAGGGUCUUACAAUCAUUGAUCCAAAGUAUGGUCCAAUUUCUAUUAUUUUGGGAUCACUCUUAACAACCUUUACCUUAAGGGGUUGAUUUUAUACUGCAGGGAUUGCGUCCCAUAUAUGUAUUGAUUAGAUCAUGAACUGUCGUUUUGUGUAGCUUUGACAUGCCAUCUAUGUAUAACUAUCUAAAAAUAGAAUGCGCCUGGCAUAUUGACAUGGGAAUUGGCUCUAGGCAAUCUGUUGGGACGCGAGAUCUCUGGCCUGGUGCUUGGGCUCUAGAAUCUAGUAUUGUGGAAUCCUCUUCAGUUUCUCACCUUCUAUUUCUGGAUUCUCUCCCAUGAUUGCCCCAAAUUUUUACUUUUUGUUCCCCUAUUCAUUUAUGAGUCGCAUUACUUCUUUUUCAUGUCUAGUUCACAAUACAUUUCAUGACAUAUCCUUUAGGGGGAUCUUAUAGUGCUUGUGCUGUUUGCGAGUUUUCAAUUGGCUUGUAUCCUCUUCAUAGAGAUACCUGUAUUUGUAUUGUACCUUGCUAUUGUCCCUUUUGGUUCCUUUUUUGACCAAAAUCUCAUUCUAGAGUGACAAAUUUUCCGUGCUGUUAAUCAAAUAGUUCAAAUCAAAGUUUUAAUUGUGAUCUAGGCAUAAUCAAGUCAUUGACUUGAUUGGAUAGUGACCUACAUUUCACUGUUUUCUUAUCCACAGGCUAUGACAGCAAUGGUGCAGCAAGCUUUGUAAUAUGUUGACUAGACACCUGAUCAUGAGACCAAGAUAGAGCUUAUUAAGACACUUAACUCUGUUGUUGCUGGGAAGGUGAAUAUAUGAGAAAUCACAUCCUCUUGCAGCUUAUGUUCAUCAGCAAUCUGCUUUUAUUUCGUGAUUUCUGUAGCUAGUUUCGUAACUCAAGUAUAUGUCGAAAUUGAGAGAGCACGGUUGAUCAAGAAACUUGCAAAAAUAAAGGAAGAAUAGGGUUGUGUAGCAGAAGCUACUGAUUUGAUGCAAGAAUUGAGGAUAACUAGAAGUUAACUUCUGUUGUCACUGAUCUUGUAAUUGGUUUUCCCUCGUCCAACAUUCCUAUGACGGGUUUGAAAUGUGGGUAGAAACUUUUGGAGCAAUGGCAAAGACGGAAAAAAUUGCCUUUAUUUUUGAACAAGUGCAGGUAUUUUGUAUUGCUUUUAGCCGUUUAUCCAUUAUGACUGUGGUUGGUUUUCUGAUCGAUGGAUUUUGCAGGUUUGUUUGUGCAAGGAGUAUGUCUGUGCACAUGUCUUUUCCAGGAAGAUCAACCCCCGAGUGUUUGAUGCAGAUCCUUCCAUACAGAAGAAAAAGGCUAGAGAAGGUGAAAACAUUGUGGAACAAGCGCCAGCUGAUAUUCUGUCUCUCUUGGAGUUGAAACGGAUAUACGAUGACUCAUGAUAUAAUAAAUUGGUGUUUUGCUUUUUUAAUGUUGUGUCCACUAUCUUUUAACUAAUUUGCUGUUGCUGAUCAAAUGCCACCUAGUAUUCAGGUUGUGGUUCAAACCAUGAACUUAUAUGGCUUUAUAUAUCUGGCAAAAACUCUUCUUUCUUUCUAGCUUUAUCGCAAAUUCUGAUGUUCCAGAUGUACUUGAUAGAUUUGAACUUGCAUCUUAGUUUGCCUUUCAUUCAUCUGGUUAACCAUGUAGGCAUUACUCACAUAACAAUGAUUACCUUAAAAAUUGUCGAUACUAUAAGGCGAUAUAUGAGAUUCUAUCAGUAAAGGGCAACCCAGUGCUAUGUACAUGGGUGAAGCUCUUUCCUUGUUAAGUCUUCACUGAGUUUUUCAGGGCACAACUAUUCAUUCUGUGAUUUAAUUAAAUGUAGGUUCUAAGGAAAAUCUGCUGGUACUUGGUUCUAUCACCACAUGAUCCUACGUAGUCAAGCCUUUUUAAUUCAACUUCAAUAAACAUCUCUCAGAAAUUCCCUAAUUCAAGUACCAUCUUUGAAUUGUUCUUGGUAAGUGAUUGUAGAUCUUGCAAUAUCUCAAUAAUGUGCCAUAGGAUUUGGUCGACCAUGCCUUUGAUAUUUUUAACAUAGGUUGCUGCUGAAAUAAUUGGGUACGGUGGAGGCUCCAACAGACUCCUCUUUAAAGUACUUUCAAAGAUGAAUUGGAGAAUGAGAAAACAUGCUAGGAGGUGCACUUGUUUAGAAUUAGACGGGGCCCAAUCAUAGUCAAAAGAAGAAUUUUGGCUUCUCCUUGGUGAGACAAACUACCUUUAGCUAGAAGCCUCUUCAAAGAAUCAUUGAACAUGUAAUUACAGAACUUGUCUUUUUUCUUCUUUUCAUUGGAUCAUCACUCGAAUGUGACUUACUUUAUUUCUGCAGAAUAUUAUCGUGGUUUUGAAGUAUUGCUUGAGGAUUACCUUAAAGAGACUUGCAGAGCGGUUAUGCCUCAGUAUCCAGGUCUGAUUAUGUGGAACAUUUGUUGAUAUUCUUUAUUAGUGUCACUUUUUAUGAACGAUUGCCUAGACCCCUCAUUUAACCCUGAGGAGCCUCUCUACGUGUGAUCCCUGAUUGGGGCAUGGUUGUUGGAUUUGGAUACAAGUUCCAAAAUAUAUGUAAAAGAGAUUUUGGUGCGUUGAAAGCAAAGGUUUGUCAUGGAUUUGAGAAUGUUGUCUUCAUAGUUAUGUUUUGUAAACAAAUCUGGCCGACAUAUAUGUGUACACUUUUUUUUUUUGGGGCUUAGUCAAUGUCUGCUCAUAAGUUUGUUGUAGCUGUAAGUGUUGUCUGGCAUUGUGAAACCAUUUCUUGUCCCACAGAGCCUGAAAUACUAACGAGCUUAGCUUUUUCUGCUAGUAUUGACGCUCACCAUUUCCUGUGUUACAAAAGUAUAUCUUGUGAGAGAUCUUGAUUAAUGUGUUCAGAAAAUCUUUGUUGCUGAAUCACUCAAGAAGAAGAGCUCUGUUUUUGGGUUCUCUUACUGCAGUUUUUAAGAGUUUUAAUCAAUCGCAUGCCUAAAUUUAUUAAAUCAACACUAUCAUCUGACAGAGAGAUCAUAUAAUGAUAAUUAUACAAACUCGUAUGAUAUUCUAUCAUCAUGAUUGCUUACUUCUAUAUUACCAUUUUAGGAAGCUGAGAAGCAUCCCCUCUUAGUGUUUGUUUCCAAGGACCUGGUGGCGAUGGCAAAGAUAGACUAGCCAAUGAGAAUUGUCGGUUUGGAAACGGCAAUGGACAUCAAUGAGAUUUUGAACUUAGGCGACAAAUUUGGAAAAGCUGCCUGACCUUGUUGAGAAAAGCUGCCACUAGAUCCCCAAGGAAACCAUGUUUCAUAAGGCUGCUUUGAGUGCUUGAAGAUGUUUUUGGUUGAAUGAAUGAUCUCUCUCCCCUAAGGCCUCCCUCCCUCUCUCUCUCUCUCACUGAAGAAUGCUGUUUCACAUUGUGGUGGGGACUGGAGAUAUUGAUCAUAGAACUCUCGCGUAGCUGUCUUAAAUUUGAUUGCAUAUUUUGCAGGGGGGCCAGAUCCUGGCCUUGUUUUGGACUGAAAUGAUAAACUGAAUGCACUUUCUGUAUAGGAAUGGAGUUUGGUCUUUUCCUCUUUCCUCUUUCCCCCUCCUUUUAAUUGAAAAUGUGUGGGCUUUUAGGGUCCAGAACUUGUACCAAUGGAACAGGUGUCAGCAGAUGAUGUCACUCAUUUGGAUUUAAAUAAGCGCCUUGUUACAUAAUUGUGUUUUGCAUUACAAAUAUUGCUGGUGCUUGCAUUUUUUUCUAACAUUGGGGAUAACCCUUCCAUUUCAUUUCACAUUCGAAAUUGGCACAUGUUUCCAGGGAGCUUCAUUUCAAUAAUAUAUAUGCACUUUUUGUCUCCUCAAGGGACGUUAUCUUUCUCCAAGUCAAUACCCAAUAGGGUAUGGACCUUGUUCUCUAAAAUUCCAGCUCCUUCCCUUUCUUCAUGGAAACUGAAAAGAUUGGGAAAGUCUGUGGCCACGGCAUCUUUGGGUUAUGCAAAUAGUUAUGCCCACUAAGUAAAAAGAACCCUUUUACUUUCUUCACAAAGCAAAUGUACAAAAACACAUAGGCAAAGGAGGGAGAUCAGUACAGCUGGAUUUAUGGUGCUCUCAAUCCCCAAAAUUCGCCUUGUUCUUUCAAGCUCUAAGGAUAUGACUUCCUAGUUUCAAAGUCAUUUCAAAUUCUCGAUUAACUUUUUAUGUGUUGAGUUCGAUCCUAAGAAGAUACACUUCGUUUCUCCAAUUACGAGAUUUACUCUUCAGCUCGUUAGUCAUUCCAAUGCUGGGAUUUUUUUCACUAUUGGAAGAAGAUUUUGUUCCAAUGAGUGAUGUUCUGUUUCAACUUUCCAGUAUGCAAGUUUUGAUCUCCUGAUGCUUUCUUUGUUUUUUUCUUUGAUAAUCUUGGUCUUCAUGAUAUUGGAACUGCAAAUAGAGCUGAAUUCCAAAAUUUUAGAGGUAGAGCCAUUUAAAGAUGCAAUUGCAUCUUGCCAAAGUCGCCUAAAAAAUCGAACCAAACGCGUUUGCAUUUGGCCAAGGGACUUUAGAGUCCCAAAGCUCAUUCCAAAUGCCGAACCAAACGGGGCCUAUGAACCACUUCAAGUUUGAGCAAUUUUAUCUAUAUGAAUCGUACAGGAAUUGUAAAAUUUCCAACCACCCUUUUGAUUUCCGUCCACAUGCAAAGUCAAAUCAAGUGUAAAAUCUGAAUGGUUUUCGAUGGCUGCAACUCACCAGUCGCCUUGAAGGAAAAGAAAAGAAGGGAAAUCUCAUCUUCAUUGCAAAGAAGGCCAGCCAGGCCCACGUGAUAUCAGGCUCCAUGGGCCGUUUGGCAAAUUUUUGGGCUGGAAUCUACACCUGCAGCGAGUAAUUGGCUGGUCGAUUGCCGGCUCACCUGAUAGUCCUAGGUGGGUGGCAUUGGGCCAACUAAAUAAGGGGGUUCUUAGCGUGUUUUCGCCUGAACUUAGUGGUUCAGUACCAUGAGUAUUGAAUGUGCAUGACAUUGUUGAAUUAGCGGAUGCGCUAUAUUGUAAAUGAUUUUCUUUCAAGGUCGGACACCUUUUUUUUUUUUUUUGGCACUAUCUAUUGAAUCUAACUUCUCAUGGGUAAUGAAUUAUUCGAGUUGGCAAGAUUUGGAAGAAUUGAUUAAAAANNNNNNNNNNNNNNNNNNNNNNNNNNNNNNNNNNNNNNNNNNNNNNNNNNNNNNNNNNNNNNNNNNNNNNNNNNNNNNNNNNNNNNNNNNNNNNNNNNNNNNNNNNNNNNNNNNNNNNNNNNNNNNNNNNNNNNNNNNNNNNNNNNNNNNNNNNNNNNNNNNNNNNNNNNNNNNNNNNNNNNNNNNNNNNNNNNNNNNNNNNNNNNNNNNNNNNNNNNNNNNNNNNNNNNNNNNNNNNNNNNNNNNNNNNNNNNNNNNNNNNNNNNNNNNNNNNNNNNNNNNNNNNNNNNNNNNNNNNNNNNNNNNNNNNNNNNNNNNNNNNNNNNNNNNNNNNNNNNNNNNNNNNNNNNNNNNNNNNNNNNNNNNNNNNNNNNNNNNNNNNNNNNNNNNNNNNNNNNNNNNNNNNNNNNNNNNNNNNNNNNNNNNNNNNNNNNNNNNNNNNNNNNNNNNNNNNNNNNNNNNNNNNNNNNNNNNNNNNNNNNNNNNNNNNNNNNNNNNNNNNNNNNNNNNNNNNNNNNNNNNNNNNNNNNNNNNNNNNNNNNNNNNNNNNNNNNNNNNNNNNNNNNNNNNNNNNNNNNNNNNNNNNNNNNNNNNNNNNNNNNNNNNNNNNNNNNNNNNNNNNNNNNNNNNNNNNNNNNNNNNNNNNNNNNNNNNNNNNNNNNNNNNNNNNNNNNNNNNNNNNNNNNNNNNNNNNNNNNNNNNNNNNNNNNNNNNNNNNNNNNNNNNNNNNNNNNNNNNNNNNNNNNNNNNNNNNNNNNNNNNNNNNNNNNNNNNNNNNNNNNNNNNNNNNNNNNNNNNNNNNNNNNNNNNNNNNNNNNNNNNNNNNNNNNNNNNNNNNNNNNNNNNNNNNNNNNNNNNNNNNNNNNNNNNNNNNNNNNNNNNNNNNNNNNNNNNNNNNNNNNNNNNNNNNNNNNNNNNNNNNNNNNNNNNNNNNNNNNNNNNNNNNNNNNNNNNNNNNNNNNNNNNNNNNNNNNNNNNNNNNNNNNNNNNNNNNNNNNNNNNNNNNNNNNNNNNNNNNNNNNNNNNNNNNNNNNNNNNNNNNNNNNNNNNNNNNNNNNNNNNNNNNNNNNNNNNNNNNNNNNNNNNNNNNNNNNNNNNNNNNNNNNNNNNNNNNNNNNNNNNNNNNNNNNNNNNNNNNNNNNNNNNNNNNNNNNNNNNNNNNNNNNNNNNNNNNNNNNNNNNNNNNNNNNNNNNNNNNNNNNNNNNNNNNNNNNNNNNNNNNNNNNNNNNNNNNNNNNNNNNNNNNNNNNNNNNNNNNNNNNNNNNNNNNNNNNNNNNNNNNNNNNNNNNNNNNNNNNNNNNNNNNNNNNNNNNNNNNNNNNNNNNNNNNNNNNNNNNNNNNNNNNNNNNNNNNNNNNNNNNNNNNNNNNNNNNNNNNNNNNNNNNNNNNNNNNNNNNNNNNNNNNNNNNNNNNNNNNNNNNNNNNNNNNNNNNNNNNNNNNNNNNNNNNNNNNNNNNNNNNNNNNNNNNNNNNNNNNNNNNNNNNNNNNNNNNNNNNAAUGAAUUUCUUACCUGCUUUCCCAGAAUACAUGGAGUGCAUGGAUCAGUCUUUUGAUAAGGUAAUUUGGGUAGUCCUCGAACAAGCUGUUUUGAUGAGAUUUUGGCUAAUUGCUUCAUGUUGACAUGACCAAGCUUUCUGUGCCAUAAGCUUGCUUCAUCUUGAAUUGAGAUAAAACAUUGCGAUUCAUUUGGUUUCACAUCCAGAAGAUAGAUGUUUCCAUGUCUACGACCCAUGAAAGAUUGAGUAGAGUCUUUACUGAUUCCAGAACAUAUUCCUUCUUGAAAGAAGAUCUUGAAACCAGUAUCACACAAUUGACUAAUGCUGAGAAGAUUGUAAUUGAGUCCUUCCACUAAGGAAACAUUACUUAUUGUGAGAUUUCCAAUUUUCACAGUUCCAAAUCCCACAAUACUUCCUUUGCUGUUUCCUCCAAAUGAAACUUUUCCACCAUUUACUUGAGCAAGCUUUAUAAAACAAUUUGAGUCUCCUGUCAUGUGUCUUGAGCAUCCACUGUCAAGAUACCACUUUACCUUUUUCUUGACGGUGACCUGCAUUUAAAAAAGAGUCUCAAGCUUUCUUUGGUACCCAAACUUUCUUGGGUCCUUUGGAGUUAGUAACAUAAGCAGUAUUAGCCCAUAUUUUCUUAACAGGUUUCCAAACCAUAGGACACUCUUUUUCAAAGUGAUCCGGACUGUUGCAUUUUGAACAUCUGAGAGCAUUUCUUCCUACAGAUUUUAUAAAAACUUUCUUGAAGUGAUUUUUGUAAGCCUCUCUCGAGAGUCUUUUCUUAAUUCUUUCUUUUACUUUAGGAAAAUCAAUCAAGGGAAUUGUUUCUGCUGUCAUACCUAGACCGGACUUAUUGAAGUAAGGUCUUUGUGCUGAAAGAAUUUUCUCAAGUUUUUCAGACCUUAUUGAAAAUUUCUUUGAUAUAUUUGAUAAGUCUGUUUUUAAAAAAACAUUUUCUUUUAAAAGAUUAUCUUCAUUUUCUUUAAGAGUGGAAACAGUCAAGUCUAGACUUUUAACUCUUUCUACUAAAACAUUUUCCUUUUGCUUUAGAGCUGAGUUUUCCUUUUUCAGUUCGGAAAUUUUUUUGAGAGAAGUCUUAAGACUAAAACACAGUUCAUCAAUGUAUUUAGAAACUUUGACAGGAAUUUUAAAAUUACUUGCCUCAAAUUCACUGUCUGAGUCUGAUCCAGAGUCUGAGUCUGAUCCAGAGUCUGAGUCUGAUUGUGCCAUCAAACAUAAAUUGGCAUAUUCAUUAUCACUUUUCUCACACUCUGUGUCACUCCAGGUUUCGGCUUUGAGAGCUUUUCGAAAUUUUUCAGCUUUUCCUUUCUUCUUCUUCAGAAGAGGACAGUUGGGUCUGAUGUGUCCCUUUUUCUUACAUUCAAAGUAGACUAUGUCUUUGUUCGGUUCCUCAUCAUCAACAGACUUGGUCUGCUGUCUUUGAAAGCUUUGUUUCUUUGAGUUGAACCUUCUUCCUUUUCUAUUCAGUUUUCUGAAUCUUUUUAUCAUUAGAGCAAGCUCCUCAUCAUCCAUAUCUUCUUCAGAAUCUGUAUCAUCAGAAUCAUCAUUAGAUUUUAAUGCAAUGGAUUUCUUACCUUUUGGAUCUUCAUCUUCAUUGAUCCGUUCCACUUCAUAAGACUGAAGAGUUCCAAUUAGCUCGUCGACAGAUAGUGGCAUAAUUCUCUGCGUCUCUCUUAUCGAAGUCUUUAUGUGAUUCCAAUCCCUGGAGAGUCCACGCAGUAGCUUGUUUACCUUCAUGGGAUCAGAAGUUGGUUGACCUUGAUUUUCAAAACCAUUCACAAUAUCUGUAAAACGACUAAACAUGUCAGAUAUUGAUUCUCCUGGUUUCAUUCUGAAGGCUUCGUAUUGACCGAGAAGAAUGUUGAUUCUUGUUUCCUUCACUCGAUCUGUUCCUUCAUAGGUGAUAUGCAAUCUGUCCCAAACUUCUUUUGCUGUACCACAAGAAGAUAUUCUAUUAUAUUCAGUUGGUGAUAAAACACAAUAUAAGGAGUAAAUUGCUUUUGCAUCGAGUGCUUGUCUCUUGAUUAUUUCUUUCUGAGACAUUCCGCUGGUUUCAUCAGUUUCUUUUCCUCUUUCAGAGACUGAUGCAGUGGUAGGAGUAAUUCCUUUUUCUACAAUGUCCCAUUCCAGAGGAUCCUUUGAUCGUAGGAAAGCUUUCAUCUUGUUCUUCCAGAUGUUGUAAUCCUUUCCAUCAAAGUAGGUGGUCUGGUAUUGCUUUGCCCUUCAUCAGCCCUGGUGCUAGCAUACUAGCCAUGGAUCUUUACUACGAAGUAAAACACUUCAANNNNNNNNNNNNNNNNNNNNNNNNNNNNNNNNNNNNNNNNNNNNNNNNNNNNNNNNNNNNNNNNNNNNNNNNNNNNNNNNNNNNNNNNNNNNNNNNNNNNCUGUGGAAGAAUUGAUAAAAAGAUGUCUUUUUGAAGUUUUACUCAAGGAUUACCUUGAAGAGACUUGCAGAGCUGUUAUACCUCAGCACACAAGUUGAUUAUGUUGAACAUUUGUUUAUAUUCUUCAUCAAUGUCGAUCUUUAUGAAUGGUUGCCUAGAGCCCUCAUUUAACCCUGAGCAGCCUCUCUGCCUAUGAUCCCUGUGGGGCAUGGUUGCUGGACUUGGAUACAAGUCCCAAAAGUGGAAAAGAAGUUUUGGUGCCUUAAUAGUUAAAGGCUUGUCAUGAGGUUGAGAAUGUUGUCUUCAUAGUUUCAUUUUGUAUACAUUUCUGACCAAUAUAUAUGUGUGGACUUCACUUUGUCAACUUCUGCUCAUAAAAUUUGUAGCUGUAAGUGUCAUUGUCUGGCGUUUUGAAACCAUUUCUUGUCGCAUGGAGCCUAAAAUUCCGAUGCCCUUUAGAAGGGUGGGAGGAGUUUUGCUAUCACUCACCAUUUCCUGUGUUACCAAAGUAUAUCUUGCGAUUAGAGCUUUCUUACUGUGUUCUGAAAAUCUAUGUAGCUGAAUCACUCAAGGAAAAGAGCUCUGUUUUUGGGUUAUGUUACCACUGUUGUAGAGAGCUUUGAUUGUUCUAUAUUACCAUUUUAGGAAUCUUAAAAGUAUCUCUCCAAAAUGGUUGUUUCCAAGUCCCUAGUGGCACAGAUAGACUGGCCGAUGGGAGUUGUCUGUUUCCAGAUGACAAAGGACAGCAAUAUCAUCUUGAAUUUGUGGGCGACAAAUUUAGAAAAGCUCCUCGAUCUUGUCAAGAAAAGUUGCCACCAAAUCCACAAGGAAACCUUGGUUCAUAAGGCUACUUUGAGAGCUUGAUAAUGUUCUUAGUUCAAUGAAUGAUCUCUCUCCCCUUGAGCGUCCCUCGAUCUCUCACCAAAAGAGAAGUGGAAUAAUGCUAUUUCACAUUGUGGCCUGAAGUGGGACUGAAGAUGUUUAUCAUAUCUCUCGUGCAGCUGGGAUUAAUUUGAUAGCUUAUUUUGCAGGGGGGCCAAAUUUGGGCCUUGUGUGGACUGAAAUGAUACAAGGAGGAAUUUAUGUUGGUCUUUUCAUCUUUCCUCUUCAUCCCUCCUUUUCAUUGAAGAUUUUUGAGCUCUCAGGAUCCAGAACUUGUGCUAAUGGAAUUAGUAUCAGCACAAGAUGUGCACUCAAUGCAACAGAAUGAGCAUGUUAAAAUCUGUUUGCUUGUGCUUAUAUUUUUUUAACAUUGGGGAUUACAUUAGCUCUCCAUAGAAAAGGCGAAUGGAUGUUAUUUUUUUAUAUCAUUUCACAUUUGAAUUUCAUCUUCAGCAGAGAGAGCGUGUUUCUUUUGGACCCAAUCUUGACCAUCGGCGGUUCAAGAAACCUGUUUCUGGGGAGCUUCAUUCAAUUAGAUGACUGCAUUUUUUUAUCUCCUGAAGAGAGACAUAGUUUCUCUCCAAGUUGAUGUUUUGAUGUCAUUUCCAUAAGACACUCCAUUGUGAUGUCAUUUCUCUAUAUAGUUUUUGUUACUGAAAUGUGUUUGAUUCCGACUGGUUUUGACAUCUCUCUCAACUCUUGGCAUGUGUGUGUAAUAUAGUGAGAAGCUUUGAAAUAUUGAGGAUAAUGUGUUUCUUUGACGAUCGUAAAAUUUCAGAUUUGAUGGAAGUUAUCUUUACAUAGUCUCUUCCCAUUUUCAAUUUACAAUAGGUGCUUCUAACUUUUUCAAUACUUUUUCCUGUUAUUCGAGUAGUCAAUGAUUUGAAAAUUACAUCAAAUAUUAUAAGAUAUACUUAAAAGUUAUUCAUGCAGUCAAUAAAUAUUUUGGUCAUUAUUGGAAGAUCUUUUUUCGUCAUGUACUUAGAAAACUAAUUAAAAUUUUUAAAAAGAAAAAAACAAAUAGCCGCUAUAAAGCAUUGAUAACAUUUUUGUUUGGCAAAAGUAGAUAUUCAAAAUUUUCAAAACAUUUUGUUUGACCAAAUUUAACGUAAGAAAAGGUUUAUUAUAUUCAUUACGACAAGGACCAACUAAUUAUAAAAUCAAAAUUUUCAUUGAUCAAAAAGAUCAAUUCUCUUUGUACCUUGUUUUGGAUAAUCGACGAGGGUUGAAUCGAAUUGCUUGUACAUUUGUUAUUCCAGUGCCUAGAUUGGGUUUGGCAUGGAAGUAUUCGAUCGGCGUCAGUGCGGGUGGGUCACAGAGGAUGUCGACUUUGAAGUGAAGGUGGGCGAAAGGAUCGCGCAGCUGAUCAUUGAGAAGAUCAUGACUCCCGAUGUUGCGGAGGUCGAGGACCUGGACUUGACUCUGAGACGUGAGGGCGGGUUUGGGUCGACCAGGUGUAAGGCCCAUGUGCUAGGUUUCGGUUGCAACUCUGUUCUCUGUAAGUUUGUUUUCAUUGGGGAUGAGGUUGUGCCUGGGAUGAACGCAGGUCUGUUAGGAGCAUUUUCUUGGUGAGAAAUUUUGUUGAACGAUUGGCGGGUAAAUAUUUGCUAAUUGCUAUGUGUUCAGCCACGCUUUUGAAGUAUCUCCUUGUGCUCUGCCUGUCUGUUUAAUUGUGAAAUUUGGAUCCUGCUUUUCGAGUUGCCAGUCUGCUGGGGUGAGCCUUGCGGCAAGUAAUUAGCUGGUUGAUUGCUGGCUUACGUAUUAGUCCUAGAUGAUGGUAUUGGGCAACUAAGUAAGGGGAUUUUCAGUGUUUUUACAUAAACUUCUUAGUCUGUGAUGACAGAGAAAAGGCAUUUUGUUUAAGUUAAGUAGUUUUAUUUUGUUUUAUCAUCUUUUCAGGGUUUAGUGAAGUCGGUGAUCGGUGCUUCACUUUGUUUUUAUUCUAAUUAGUAGAUUUGUUUUAAGAUUUAAGUUCUCUUGUAUAUGGAUAAAUUCUUUUUGUUUUUGAUGGAUAGUUAUUUCCUUGGUGCCUUACUUAUUAUACCUUUUACACAACAAUGAAACCAGGGAGAAAAGAAAUUGAGAUUGGGUGCCAGAGGAGUGAUUCAAAAUACUAAUCAACCGAAGAUGAACAAUAAGUAUGGGUUGUACCUCUCCAUUUGUGGAUUUUCUCCGUUGCAUGAACACAGCAUGUGUCAGGUUUGCUGGUGGCGAAAGGAAUAUUAAACAAGCGGGAGCCAAGAUUAUUGUGUUCAGUCGUCUACUGAUAUCCUGGGGCAUGAAUUUUUGUCUUCCUAGCUCAAAGCACUCUUUGCCUUCCUCGUCAAGUGCUUGAGUCAAAAUUAUUUGAUGACACUGAUACUUGGAUAUUCAUACCUGUUAAGUUGUUUUUCCUGUAUAUAGUUGCUCCCAAACUUUCUUUUAACAGAGGAAGUAUCUUACACUCCUUUGAUAUGAGUGAAUCAGAUUGUCAAGAUUAAUCGAUGUCCAGAUGUUUGCCUUUUUAUCUCUGCUUUUGGGUGAUAAGCUGGUGGAAAUUUUGCUCUCCAUUGGGUGUAUUUCAUUGUUAUGCUAUGCUGAAUGCUGAUAGUUUCGUCCGGAUUAGUGAGAGCAUUAUGACUGAUGGCUAUUUAUUAUACCUGUACAAGAUUUUUACCUUCCCGAUUGUUAUUAGGAUUGCUAACUGUAUAGGAGGCAAUUAAAAAAAUGCAAGUUGGUCACAUCAACAAUCAUUCCCAGAUUGGAUCAGGAGUAAGAUCACUGGAGAUGUAGGAUGGGAUUCCUAAUCCCAGUCCACCUACUUUGCCUAUUUAAUUAGGACUCAACCUCAUAGUAAAUCAAAUUAGGCCCCAUUUCUCAUCGUGCAUGACCAAUUGUACGUCUGAAACAAUAUCUAAAGGCUGAACCUGCUUAUUGGGGCUAACUUUAGGGAUUGAACUGUGAGGGGAUUAUAGAUAAAAUUGAGGUAUUGCCCUCAUCCUGAAUUAGAUUGGAUGGAAGAUUUAAUCGGUGGUUGUGGCAAGGCUGAAAAUACUUUCUAUGCAGACUUGGGAGAGUUCGUAUGCUUCCACCUGUAUUAAAAUUAACCUUUUAUUGUUGGAGUUGGAUGUAAGCUCUACUUUCAUGAGAGCUUCGGUUGGGGCAUAUGGGAGGUUCGCUGUGCCUCCACAACCAGCAGUGCAGCACAAUGCCAUCACCUUUGUACUGCAAUCAUCUCUUCUUGCUAUGGAAUUUUUUUUUAGGUCAUAGCAUAUAGCUCUUCACCCUUUUCACCCUCCGCUCUUCAUAUUUUCAAUGCCAUCAUCUGGCUUUGCUUUCAUUUUGUUUUCUUCUUUUCUUUUGCCAUCAUCAAUAGUGCAGUCUUAUGAUUAUUGAUCCAAAGUGUGGUCCGGUUUCAAUCAUUUGGGAUCGAUCUUAACAACAGUUACCUUAAGGGUUUUAUUUAUAUGGACGUAUACUAUUGCCUCCCAUAUGUGUACUGAUUAGAUCUUAUACUGUCGUUUUGUGUAGUCGUAAUAUGCCAUCAUGUAUGACUAUUUGAAAAACGAAUCUCAUUGGCAUAUCUAUACGGGUAUUGGUUCUUGGCAAGCUCUAGAGAUGCUAGAACUCAGGCCUGGUACUCAUGCUGUUUGCAAGUUUUUUCAAUUGGUUGGGAUCCUCGUGAUUGUAUUUGUAUUGCACCUUGCUAUUACCCCUUUAAUUCCUUUCUUUACUCUAUUUUCUUCCUAGAUGAAUAUUUUUUCUUGCUGUUAAUUAGAUAGUUCAACUGAAAGUUGUAAUUGUGCUCCAGAGAUAAUCAAGUAAUGAAUUAUUUUGAUGGUGACACUUAACUCUGUUGCUGCUGGGAAGGUGAAAAUGUGAAAUCAAACUCUAUUGCGGCUCGUGUUCGUGAGCAAUCUGUUUUGGUUUCGUGGUUUCUAUAGCUAGUUUCAUUAUGUAGUUAUAUGUCGAAAUUGAGAAGAGUGCAGUUGAUAAAGAAACUGGCAAAAAGCAAAGGAAGAAGGUCUUAUAGUAGAAGCUGCUGAUUUAAUAGAAGAAAUUGCAGGAGCUAGAACUUGAAUUCUGGGGUCUUUGAUCUUGUAAUUGGUUUUCCCUUGUCCAAUAUUACGAGUGGUCUAAAUUGCUGUGGAAAAUUUUGGAGCAUUGGCAACUACGGAGAAAAUUGCCUUUAUUCUUGAACAUGUACGGGAUUUUAGUAUUGCUUUUAGCCGUUUAUGCUCUCUUACUAUGAUCAGUUUUCUGAUGGAUGGUUUUGCAGGUUCUUUUAAGCUUAGAUCGCCAGGACUAUGUCCAGGCACAGAUCCAGAAAAUCAGCCCCCCGGUGUCUGAUCCAGAUCCUUCCAAAGAGAAGAAAAAGCCUAAAGAAGGGGAAAGUUUUGUGGAAGAAGCGCUAGCUGAUAUGCCGUCACUUCUGGAGCUGAAAUGGAUAUAAUAAGAACCCACGAUAUGGUGAAUUGGUGCUUUACUUAUUCUAAUGUUGUGUCUACUAUUCUUAACUAGAAUUUUUUUGCCGAUCAAGCACUUCCUGGUAUUCAGAUUGUGGUUCAAGCCAUGGUUUUAUUCAUCUGUCGCAUUCUCUUUUUCCUUUCUGUCUUUACUGCAAACUCUGAUGUUAGAACUGUACUUAAUGGAUUUGAACACACAUCUUACCUUGCAUUCAUGUGGUUAACGAUGAAAUUAUUACUCUCAUUACAGUGGUUUGCUAUAUGGCGAUAUAUGAGAUUCCAUCAGCAAAGGGGAAACCCAGAGUUGUGGAUACCAGUGAAGCUCUUUCAUAUGAGGCUAUGUCAAGUCUUCACUGGAUUUUUCAAGGCACAGCUAUUCAUUCCAUGAUUUAAUUAGUCACUGGUUCUAAGGAAAAUCUGUUGGUAUGUAGUUCGGUUACCACAUGAUCGGUUACAGUCAAGCUUUUGCAAUACUUUAGAAGAUACAAAUAUCUCAGAAAUUCCCCAAAUCAGGUACAUCUUUGAAUUGCUCCUAGUAUUUGAUUGUACAUUUUCUUGCAAUAGAUCGAUAAUCUGCCAUGGAAUUUGGUUGGCCGUACCUUUAUUAUUUUAAUGCAGGUUGCAGCUGAAACAAUUGGUCACAAUGGAGGUUAUCCAAUUAACUGCUCUUUGAAGUAAUUUCAGAGAUAAAUUUGAGAAUGAGAAAACCAUGCUCGAAGGUNNNNNNNNNNNNNNNNNNNNNNNNNNNNNNNNNNNNNNNNNNNNNNNNNNNNNNNNNNNNNNNNNNNNNNNNNNNNNNNNNNNNNNNNNNNNNNNNNNNNGUAAGUACACAGGCUCUGAUACCAAUUGAUAUUGCUAAUAUGAGUACCUAGAGAGGGGUGAAUAGGUGCACAAACAAUUUAUCGAAAUACGGAAGCGAUUCUUAGCAUAUGAUAGAAAGGAAAUUCUCUCUUAAUUAACAAAAUGAAAUACGAUCGAGGUAGAGAGAGUGAGGAAGAGAAAAUUGAACACAGGAUUUAUAGUGGUUCGGCUUAUUCCAAGCCUACGUCCACUCUUCCGCACUGACAGCCCACCGGCUGGAUUUCACUAUGAUCAAAAGAGAAGUUACAGCACAGCUUUGCCUUGAUUCCACAGUGUAGAUGUUCUACCACACCUCCUCAAGGUUUCUCACAAAUAUAGACUCUCUUUUGUAUACAAGUAUUCGCUCAAAGGAUUUGUCUAAACAGAAAGGAGCUUCAGACUUUGGAAUUCUUCUAUCGCGCACACCUUGAACAACUAAGACAGUCUUCCUUAUAUACUCCUUUAUGCCAUCAUACCCGUUGGCACUUACCAAAGGAAUUCCUCCAAUCUACCCGUUGGACGGAAUCAAUUAGGAAGAUUGUUCAAGCUAUUAAAGGAACGUGUUGAUAGCCCAUCAAUCCUGUUCGCCCAUACAAUCAGGAUCUCGGUUUCCAUAAGCAGAACCUUCCAAUAAUAAUUAGGCAAUCACCGGAUCUUCAAUUAUCGAGUCAAUCUUCGAUCAAUCAAAGGACUCCGUUAUGUCUUCUCCAGCCACGAGAUCUUCUCCAGUUGAUAAGGUUAAAUCCUUAACGAAACAUCCAGUUCUGGAUAACCUUUCUUCAACGGAUUAGAGACUGUCAAUGAGGAUAGAGUUUGAGUCUUGAGUCUGGCUGUCCGGAGGUCUUCAGACUUUAAAUAGCAGAGUCUGCAAGCCUUCAGACUAGACUGAUAAAAACGUUUUGUCAACUUCAAAACACUUCAAGAAGAUUUCUCCAACAGAUGUUACAUUCCGAACCACCACGUGAACAUCACCGUCAACCUCCCAUCGAGCUAAGAAGCCCCCUGAGCACCACCCCACAGUUGUUACACCACGUCCGGGUCACCAUCAUUGAGCCAAAGCACCAUGAUCGAUCCACUGUGAUCCACAACCGCGAUUCCCGUAUCUAUUCAUCUGAAUUCAAAUUUGGAACGUUGAUAUUUGAAAUAGGUAACGAUCUUGAUGGUUUUAUUAGUGAUGGGCUUAAGGCCCGUCCGCCCAUGUUAGGCCUAAAAACCCAGCCCACAGAAUUAGGGCCCGUGGAUGGAGGGAUGUAUAAAAGGGAGGAGAGAGAGGGAGAACGCACCUUUUGGAAAUCAGAACGUACGUACGUCUCCCUCUCCCUCUCUCUCUCUCCCAAAAGGAAAACAGUAAGGCUCCGGCAACGUUUUUUCUUCCCUUCAACCACGAUUUGGCGUCAUCGGAUCGAACAAGGGCCAAAUUAUCUUCAUCUUAUCGGCGUCGGUGUUUAAUCUGUGGCUAACAAGGUACGCUCGAAUCCGUGGUGUGCUUUAGGAUCGGUGAUACGUGAUUUUCCCGGACUUGUCUUCCGCAUUCGUUUUAGGAGUUCGAUUUAGUGUCGAAUCCGGUUUUCGGGGAUCCGUUAAUUCCCAACAUUGGUAUCAGAGCCCUAGUUCAUGUUUUCCCGACCCUUUUCAUGUUUUUUUGAUUGAUUUUUCGCAAAGAAAUUCGGCCGACACGGAUCGGGGCGAGAAAUCCCGACACCUGAGCACUGUUUGUCCGUUUUUUCGAGUUUCUGUAAGUUGAAAUCGAAUUUUGAUGCCAUGGGGUGAAAGGGCUCGUCGAGACGAGUCCGUCGAUAGGUCGUGCGCCGCCGGGCGACGCCAGACGCGCCCACACGCGUGGCCAGAAGCCACUGCGCGUGGGCGCGACGCGCCCGAAGCACUGGCUCGGUCAACACGUGCGGCACACGCGCCGGUCGGCGAACCGGCACGUGCGCGCCGCCGGCCGGUGAACCGGCACGCGCCAGUCGGUGAACCGACGCGUGCUGACGUCACCGUGACGUCACGGUAACCGCCGGGAUGAUGACGUCAUCGCCGACGACUGUUGGCCAGCCGGUGACCGGCCGGCGACCCGACCCGACCCGCAUGGAAGCUGGCGCAUGCCGCGCACGUGCCGGCUGACGUCUGCGUGAUGUUAGCCCGCGCACGCGUGCGGCACGUGCCAGUCGGUUCGUCCGACCCGGCUCGACCGGUCCGACCGGUCCGUCCGGUCCGACCGGUCCGAUGACCCGGCGACCUGACCGUUGACCCAUUGACCGACGACCAUUGACCAACGACCGUUGACAAAAAAAAAGAAGAAGGGAAAAGAAUGUGUUUCUUUUUCAAUUAAGUCUAUGUGGAUUAUAUGUGAUCCCUUAUUUGUUUUGCAUUUGUUGCAGGAACAGUUCUGCAUUUGUUGCAGGAACUAUGCCUCCCCUCAGAUUGCGCACACCUAUUCGCGCAGUUACCGAUGAACAAAAGGAAAUGCUUUCUAAGUUGAUAGCUGAGCUGACUGAUUAUCGAUGGGAGAGUGGUGACUUAAUUGAUCAUAUCCUUGAAGUCAACGGGAAAAUUCAAAAGGUCAUAUGGAAUGGUCGUCCUAUGUCACAGUUAGAGAUGGUGCGAUUUUUCAUGAACACUCUUCCACCUAAAUGGCAAGAAGUGUUGAAUCGCAUAUGGGAUGUCAACGGAGCUGCUUCAUGUAAGAAAAUUGUGAUGGAUUUUGUAUAUGAAUAUUACUGGAUUAUUACAAGGGAAAAGAUCAAGAAAUUGAACAAAAAAGGAUCUUUCCUAGUUCGUGUGCUGACUUGGUGUUAGUUGUAUUGGCUAAUCUUUGUUAAGUGUGCUUUGUGGACACAUAAUGUAAUGUUUACUACCUUAUUGUUGUUGAUGUAGCAACCGCUAUCUUGGUUGUAUUAGUUGAAAGCAUUAUUGUUUUAUUGGAUGUCAAUUAUCUGUUGCUUUCUGUUAUUGCUGGUUGCUGUGGGUAGUUAGCUAUGGGUAGUUAUAGAAGUUUUUGUAAAUUCAUAGAAUUUAUUUUGCAUAAGACAAUUAUAUUAAUGAUAGUUUUAAGUUAGGAUUUUGGAGGAUGAUUGGAAACAUAGUGACAUUUUGAUUCUGAAGUCUUACUUGAAAUUAUUCAUUAAUAUGAUAGGUCUAUGCAAAUAGGGAUGCAUAAAUGAUAGGCAUUAAUAAUUUGUGCAUAUAUGUCUGAUGUGUUCAGAUCAAUGGCUUCAGCCACAAAGAGCAUAGUUGCCGAGCUGAACAAAGGUAAAAAGCUCAAUGGUGACAACUAUGAAAUUUGGCACAUGAAAAUCCAGUAUGUGCUGGAAGAGCAAGAAGCACUGGAAGCUCUUAACCUGACCAUGGUUAAACCUGAAGAAGGAAACAUUGCACAGCACAAGAGAGAUAAGGAAGCUUUUGCUGCAUGGAAAAGAAAGAACUCUCUUGCUCGCAUCACGUUGCUGAGCAGCAUGGAAAAUGAUGUCAUGCGAGAGUUUAGGCGUUUUGACAAUGCCAAGGAAAUGUGGGAAGCAUUGGCAGCUAGAUUUGGUCAUACUUCGGUGACCAGACUGAGACGGCUCACUAUUAGGUUUGACUCUUAUAAGAAGCCUCAUGGUCAGACCAUGAAGCAAAAUCUUAGAAAGAUGUCAAACAUGAUAAAUGAGCUGAAAGAUGCUGGCCAUGUCCUGACAGAUGAGCAGCAAGUGCAAGCAGUGAUUCGUUCCUUGCCUUAGAGUUGGGAGCAUAUGAAGGUGCACCUGACCCAUAAUGAAAAUAUCAAAACCUUUUAGGAUGCAGUGCGCCAUCUUGAGCUGGAAGAGGACCGCCUUUUGGUGGCUAAGCCGGAUGCUGAACUCUAUCAUGCUAGUUCUAGCUCACAUGGAGCUUCGAGCUCCAAGCGCAAACGCCCUAACUGGUUUGAUAAAGGGAAAGGCAAGGAAGCAGGUCAUUCAGGGAAGAAACCCAAGUUUAACCAACAUGAAAGAGGAAAGCAUCCUCGCAUGAAAAAGCUUGCAAGGGUGAAAUGCUACAACUGUGACAAGAAGGGUCACUAUGCUCGCGACUGUCGUGAGCCAAAGAAGGUAUGCACCCCUUGUACUUUUUAGAACUUUGCUUUUGUGUCGAGUUCAGUAUUCUUCACUGACCCUUCUCCUUUGUUUUGUACAGUUUCCGGAGCGACUUACCAAGUAGCGCAUGAUCGAGGAACCUUCGGGCAAUUCACUUGAGUGAGCUCCUGAUAUGACUGGAUCUAGGUGGGAAACAGCUAUGGACCAGAAAUGAAAGGAAGUCGCACAAGCCAGGGAGCUGUUUCAUCAGUAACCAGCCGAUACAUCAUUCAAUCUUCCCCCCUCAAAAAAUUCGUUAGGAGCUGAUAGGUUCUCUACACUAUGUUUUUUUGAGACUUCCGAUGGAACAACGGCCAGACUUUCCCGCGCUAAGUCAAAACGAAUNNNNNNNNNNNNNNNNNNNNNNNNNNNNNNNNNNNNNNNNNNNNNNNNNNNNNNNNNNNNNNNNNNNNNNNNNNNNNNNNNNNNNNNNNNNNNNNNNNNNGGUUGAUUAUGUCGACAUUUAUUUAUUUCUCUUAUCAAUGUCAAUCUUUAUGACUGAUUCCCUAGACCCCUCAUUUAACCCUGGGCAGCCUCUCUGCCCCUGAUACCUGCAGGUUAUGGUUGCUGGAUUUGGAUGCAAGUUCCAAAAAAUUGGUUGCUACCAAUGUCAAUGUUUGGCGUUGUGAAACCACUUCUUGUCCCAUGGAGCCUGCGAUUCUGAUGCGCUUUAGAAGUGUGGGAGGAACUCUGCUAUGAUUCACCAUUUCUAGUGUUACAAAAGUAUAUCUCGUGAUUAGAGCUUUCUUAAUUUGCUCCGAAAUCUAUGUAGCUGAAUCACUCAACAAAAGGAACUCUGUUUUUGGGGUUCUGUUACCACUGUUGUAGAGAGCUUUAAUCAUUCAUAUGCCUCAAUCUAUUAAAUUCAUCACAAUUAUCUGCUAGAGAGACAGCAUAGUAGUAAUUAUACAAGCCUGUAUGAUAUUCUAUUAGCAUGACCUGUUAGUUCUACGACCAUUCUAGGAAGUUGAAAAGCAUCUCUCCAAAAUGGUUGUUUCCAAGUCUCUACUGGGAAAGAUAGACCUGCCGAUGGGAGUUGUAUGCUUCCAGACAACAAAGGAGAGCAAUGACAUCUUGAACUUGUGGGCUACAAAUUUGGAAAAGCUCCUUGAUCUUGUUGAGGAAAGCUGCCACCAAAUCCACAAGCAAACUAUGGUUCAUAUGGCUGCUUUGCGAGAUAUUCUUAGUUGAAUGAAUGACCUCUCUUCCCUUGAGCCUCCCCCUCUCUUACCAAAAGAGAGAAGCUGAAGAGUGCGGUUUCACAUUGUCCUCUGAAGUGGGGAGUAAAGAUAUCAUAGAACUCUCGUGUAGCUGUCUUAAAUUUGAUAGCAUAUCUUGCAGGUGGACCAGAUCAGGAUUGAAAUGACACAGAAUACACUUUUUGCUUAGGAAUCUAUUUUGGUCUUUUCAUCUUUCCUCUUCCCCCCUCCUUGUAAUUGAAGAUUUUUGGACUAUCAGGGUCCAGAACUUGUACCAAUAGAAUUAGUAACAGAACAAGAUGUGCACUCAUUACAACAAAAGUAAGCGCCUUGUUACCAAAUUCUGUUUCUCUGUACAAAUUCUGCUGGUGUUAAGUGUUUUUCUAACAUCAGGGAUAACAUUAGCUCUCAAAAGUAAAGGCGAGUGAAUGUUAUUUUGUAUUUCAUUUCACAUUUGAAUUUUGUUCAGUAGAGAGCCUGCUUCCUUUGGACUUAAUCUUGACCGUUGGCAGUUCUGAAAGCCUCUUUUUAGGGAGCUUAUAUAUUGUCGAUGGACUUAGCUUUUCUCUAGGAUGAUGUGAUGUCAUUUCAAAAAGACACUAUUGUGAUAUAAUUUCUUUCUAAACUUUUAGUACCGGAAUGUGUUUCAAUGUCAACAAGUUGACAUUUCUCUCUACUCUUGGCAUGUAUGUGGGUAAUAAUACAGUAAUAAGAAGCUAUAUUGAGGAUAAUGUGUUUGUUUUACAACUCUGUUAAGAUUUGGACUUCUGGCUGAGGAAUAGAAACCAUCACAUUUUGCCUAUAAAUCUCGGCAUUUGAUUAAAUUGAUCAAUCAUUUGUUGUCUCAAAUCCCCUUUCUUUACAAGAAGAUGUUAAGGUUUUAAACAUUGGGUCUCAGAGCAAAGUGGGGCAAAAAUGAGUCCUAUAGAAAGCAUCAUAUAGUACUCGAACUUUUAUUUGAUUCAUGGGACAAAUUUAACUGAUGAAUGAAAAAUUGUUUUUGUGCGCGCCUGCGGGGAAGGGGGGGGGGAGUUUGAAUGAAUUAGGAAUUUAAAAUGUUUGUACUGAUGAUAGGUGUCAAAUAUUUAUUUGAUAGCACAUUGAUAGAUAAGCAUCGCUAUUAAUACCUAAUUUUUGGCGGCCCAAUUAGUUGUUUAUUGCAUAAAAAAAAUUUGGGAUUAAUUUUUAACAUCUAAAUAAAAAUAUUAAAAGUAGAUUGCAUAGCAUAUGGUUUUAGGAGCAUUUAUUAUUUAGUUGUUUUUUUUAUUGCAUUUGCAUCGGAUCGGUGAUAGAUGAAUCUGAACUUUAAUUUAGCGAGUCCAGUCCCAUGUUAGUAAUUUUAUGUUAUUGCCAAGAUUUGAUAGUAAAUAGUCGGUCAAGAUUAUGGAAUAUGAGAAGUUGUAGGAGAUGUGGAGCCCAAUAGAGAGGGAGGCGAUUUCUCUGGAGGUCAGCACUGGAACAAGCUCCGGCACUCCUCCAAGGCACGCCUCGUGCCCGACGCAGCACUGCCUGUCUCCUUGCCGCCGCAGUUCAUCAUCCAGUUUUGAUCCAGUCUGAUCUGGUGAAUUUCCGGCAACAAUGAAGCACCACUCGGCGAGUCCUUUGCACGCCACGGCAACCUCCCCGUGGUCUCUUGAUUAAUUCUUUGCAGGUUUCCGGCAAAAUUACAAGCACUUGGCGAGCCCAUCGAGCGAACUACCCGCCAGGCCACUACGCUUCACGCUGUUGUCCCGUUUCUUUAAACCCGACACCACCGCCUGCUGUUUUGUCUGUCAUGCUCGAUUGUUCUUUCACAGGCUGUCCAGAACAAAUCAAGGCCCCUGCAUCAAUCCAGGCGAGUGCAAGACAGCUCCUGUAACGAUGAAUCUUCAUCAUCAUUAGCGGAUUUAAUGAUGCUUUAUGAAUAACGCUUUUUAUAGGUUCCAACGUUAUGGUUGGCGUUGGUGACUUAUCAGCCCAGCAAAUCUCUGAGAAGCUUUGCAGCCCUUUAGCCGUGUUCACUCAAGUUCAUCCGCGACGACUCCCUGCCAUUUGUUGUCCCUUUGCUGCCUGCUUGUUAUAUUUUCGUCCAUAGUCGGCGAACCACUCCCGUUGCAAAUGUGAAGUCCGGUAAAGCCCCAACACCCGCUAGCAAUGACAUUGCUGCUGCUGCUGGUGGUUUUCCGUGUCACGCCCCGAUCCUCCGGGAUGCGCCCAUCCUUCUAUUUGGUUGAUUUUAAAGUGCGAUAUACCAGGACUAAGUAUCGCCGACCCUUUCAUUUUAUUACGCAGGCGGAAGCAAUUAUAAAUCCCCAGACAAUAAAAUAAUGGGAUAGAAAAGCAGGCCAUAUAUUUCAUAUUGAAAUUCACAACCACACUUUCAGUAACAGCACAACUCAUAGUAUAUUUACAAUACCAUUCACAACAUACUUGUCUCACACCUAUCUACACUAAGACAGGGUUUACAAAAAGGAUGGGAUCUCAGUCCACAUCCGGGUUAUACUCAAAAUCCCUCUUUGGAUCAUCUUCUUCUUCAAAAGUCUUUCUUCCCUUCAGGUUCCUCCUCCUCAGCUUCUCCUCAGGGUCCUGAAAUGGUUAUUCAAUAACCAAUGAGACCACGUCUCAGCGAAUUCUACCCCCUAAUACCCAAUUAGUAAGCCAAUACACCUUAGGCUGCCUAAGCACAUCACGAGUCAAAGGACUUACCUUGGCCUCAGCUCCUUUCUGCAAGUUAGUAUAUAUAUCAAAUAUACAUCAUCACAUCACAUCACCCAAUCAGAUCGAAUCAUCGAUCAAUCGACCUAGUCGAUUACAUGUCAUCCAAAUUAUCUCUUGAUCAACCCCUUUCAUACCUUCUAUAAGUCUGAUUAACAUCCAAGACUACUCACCCUUGGUGAUAUAUAGAUAGUAUGUUAUCUUAUCUCCAGACAACAUAUAGAGUCAUCGAGCUAUCAAAUCAUACCGUACUGUCUCAAGAUGAUCUGUAGAAUUAUCGAGUCGGUAUAUCAUACUGUACUGUCUCAAGAUAAUCUGUAGAGUCACCGAGCCGGUAGAUCAUACUGUCCUGUCUCAAGAUGACAUAUUAAGUCACCCAGCCGGUAUACACGCAAUUUAUCAUACCGUACUAUCUCAAGAUGCUCCGUAGAGUCAUCGAGAUCAUACCGUCCUGUCUCAAGAUGCUCCGUGGAGUCAUCGAGCCGGUAUACCGUACUGUCUCAAGAUGCUCCGUAGAGUCAUCGAGCCGGUAGAUUAUACCGUCCUGUCUCAAGAUGCUCCGUGGAGUCAUCGAGCCGGUAUACACACAAUUUAUCAUACCGUACUGUCUCCAGAUGCUCCGUAGAGUCAUCGAGUCGGUAUACAUGUCAUUCCAAGCAAACAAUCAAAUAACUAGUUUUAUCAUUCUCGAUAAAAUGCCAUGAGUGGGUACUCAAUCGGCCCUAGCCAAAAUAUAAUAGUUUCUUUUUUAUAAAUCUCAACAUUUUCUGUAGUCCACUAAAACAGUUUUGGUAUCAUUAACUGAUGCCCGGUUAAUUUCUAAUUAAUUUUCCAAGAUUAUUUAAAUUAGGGAAUAAAUCCUAAAUUCACAAAUAAAUCAUUUCCGCACAAAAUAAAGCUUAAUUAAAUAAACGAACUGCACCAUGACAAUCAGCAUAAAAUUCCGGUCACCGGCCAUCCCGGUUGAAUUUCCGGAAAAAUAAAUAAAUAAUUAAUUAAUUUCGAAAAAUAAAUAAAUAAAUACUAAAAAUCCAAUUUAUGCCCAUAAUGCCUGAUUGGACGCCAGAACGGAUCGGGAAAAAUCCCGAGAUACGUUCAAUAAAUAAUAGAAGCUCUCUACUUGCUAAUGACUAAGUCUAACCACCUAACAUGCAUAAUUAAGUCACUAAUUUAAUUGUUCUAAACUAAUCUAACCACAUAAUUGCACUUAAUUAAAUCUAAUCAACCCUUAGGCAUAAUUAGCAAACUAAGAAAGCAUUAGUGAGUAAAACUCACUUGACAAAAGCGGAGACCGAAUCACCGCGAUGGCGACGCGAUGGCAGCCGAAAUUGGGCUUUCGACAACACCGGCGGGCUUGGACCGGGCCUUGGACUGAACUUGGGCCUGAGCUUGGGCUGACUUGCUUCGCGGGCUUGGGCUUCAAGAUUGGGCUGCUGAAUUGGGCCUCAAAUUACUGGGCUGAUCUUGCUUUAAAGAAACUGUUGGGCUGAUUUCUUGUGGGCCUGACUUUGUUUGGGCUUCAAAUGGCGUGGGCUCAAUGAAGCUGCUGUUCACUUGGGCUACGAUGUGGACUACAAUUAGGCUGAAGACACGGGCUUGAAUCAAGCUGGGCCACGACAAUUUCGUGUGGGCUGCUGUACGCUUGUCUUCGGAUGAGAUGGACUCGGACGAGAUGACCGAUCGAAGAAGCAGCAAAGGCUGCUGUUGGGCCACGAAAAUUGAAGACCAACGUUGCUGGAGAAGGCGGUUUCGCUGGCAGCUUACUUCGGCAAGGAAAUCCACGGAUACGGGGUCAACGACGAGGAAAGCAGCUGGAUUCUUGGCCGCGUGGAGUGAAGAUCGGUGGGGGAGUGAGAGACGUGCGCAGAGACGAGCAGAGGUGGGAGCUUCGAGCGGUUUGCUGGUCAACAACCGACAGAAGGGGCAGCUUCGGUUGACUUGCUUCGAUGAAGCUAGAUACGGAGGAGUCAACGUGGCUGAGGGAGCUCACUUGCUGGUUGACUCGGCAGGAAACAAAGCUUAGUGGAGGAUGGGCGUGGGCUGCAGAGCAGCGAAGCGGUGGAGCUGCAGGUGAUGGCUUCGGUCAACAGAACAUGGAGUCAGUCUCGAUGGAAGACUUCGCGCGGAUGGAGGAACACGCGGACGCUGUUGUUGCUGGGGAAACUUCGAUCGUUGCUGGACACGCACAACCCCGAAAGAAAAAGAAGGGCAGCUGGCGUUGGGCUUCGUGGGCGUGGAGAUGCAGAGGAGUCAACUUUACUGGGGUUUUCUUUUCUUUGAUUGACCAAGGAAGCUAGGUAAUGGGACGUGUGGCAAGAAGGGAGUUCGGUGGAGAUGGGAUCGCACGAAAAUAAAACUAUUGGACUGCUCGGUGGAAAGAAAUAAAAUGAUGGUGUUGAGUGCAUGAAAAAGGAAAGAAGAAGCAAGUGUGCGAAGGAGGAGGAGUCGUGCACGAAGAGAUGAAGACCGGCAGAGCUUGUCCAACAAGCUGGAUGAGAGAGAGAAAGGCCAAAAAGUCCAAAAUCUUAGUCAAUGUCUUAAAUGCUUGGUCCCCUUAUCUCCUCAUACUUAUCCCCUUACCCAAUAAUACUUUCCAACAAAUAUAAGUCCACUAAUUAACUUGAUUUGAAGCCAAAAUUCCAGCUCUAUUUAAAGCUCCGAAUUUUCAAUUUCCGGACUUCAAUAUCUUCGACUAAUUCUCCGUUCAACGUCCAAUUUAGCCAAGGAAAAAGCCCAUAUGAUUUUCUGUAAGUGCCCAUCGCCAGAAAGCUCGGCCUGAAAGUCAAAACUCCUUAAAAUUUCGGCCCGUACGAAUUUCCGUUAAUUUUCCGCUACGUCCGAUUCGAUUUUCCGCAAAAAUCUCAUAAUCUCUUAAAAAUCUUCUGAGACUGAGUCGACGUUCUUAAAUUAGCUCGUGACACCACAUAACUUUCAAUUUCUGAAACCGGGUUCGAAUUCAUGGUUAAUUUCCAUUCGACGCGUUUUUAGCGUGACCUAGACUACCGGGUAACUUUCAGAACCUUUCAGUGCAAAUGACCCGUGGUCGAUUUUCUUCGAGCCACUAUGAACCCACUUGACUCAUUGGCGACUUUCGAUUGUCGUGAAAAUCUCGAGAAUUCAAGUACGGACACAGGGUACCAAAACGAUAAGAAAAUCAGUUUAGUGUUGGUCGACGAGAAUUUUCCAAUUUAGUGGUGUCACCCACGAUUAGCCACACAUCUCAAUCGAACCAACAUGUAUAUGAUCUCAAAUCAAUUUAUAUCUGUGCCGUAAUGGUCUUGACAGAUGAGCACGGUCGAGAAGUCGAUUCAUGGUCGAAUUCUCAAGUCUAUUUGCCUUAAAAUUCUUAAUGGCUUUUCCAGAUAGUCUAGUUAUCUCGAGAGUGAUCAGCUCUGAGAACAACUCUAUAGACACGUCAAUGAAAUGCCCGAUUGAUUCAGUAGAAAACAUGGUCGAAAAUCUGGGAUGUUGAUAUUGCUAGUAUGAGUACCUAGAGGGGGUGAAUAGGUGCACAAACAAUUUAUCGAAAUACGGAAGCGAUUCUUAGCAUAUGAUAGAAAGGAAAUUCUCUCUUAAUUAACAAAAUGAAAUACGAUCUAGGUAGAGAGAGUGAGGAAGAGAAAAUUGAACACAGGAUUUAUAGUGGUUCGGCUUAUUCCAAGCCUACGUCCACUCUUCCGCACUGACAGCCCAUCGGCUGGAUUUCACGAUGAUCAAAAGAGAAGUUACAGCACAGCUUUGCCUUGAUUCCACAGUGUAGAUGUUCUACCACACCUCCUCAAGGUUUCUCACAAAUAUAGACUCUCUUUUGUAUACAAGUAUUCGCUCAAAGGAUUUGUCUAAACAGAAAGGAGAUUCGGAUUUUGGAAUUCUUCUAUCGCGCACACCUUGAACAACUAAGACAGUCUUCCUUAUAUACUCCUUUAUGCCAUCAUACCCGUUGGCACUUACCAAAGGAAUUCCUCCAAUCUACCCAUUGGAUGGAAUCAAUUAGGAAGAUUGUUCAAGCUAUUAAAGGAACGUGUUGAUAGCCCAUCAAUCCUGUUUGCCCAUACAAUCAGGAUCUCGGUUUCCAUAAGCAGAACCUUCCAAUAAUAAUUAGGCAAUCACCGGAUCUUCAAUUAUCGAGUCAAUCUUCGAUCAAUCAAAGGACUCCGUUAUGUCUUCUCCAGUUGAUAAGGUUAAAUCCUUAACGAAACAUCCAGUUCUGGAUAACCUUUCUUCAACGGAUUAGAGACUGUCAAUGAGGAUAGAGUUUGAGUCUUGAGUCUGGCUGUCCGGAGGUCUUCAGACUUUAAAUAGCAGAGUCUGCAAGCCUUCAGACUAGACUGAUAGAAACGUUUUGUCAACUUCAAAACACUUCAAGAAGAUUUCUCCAACAAUCUCCCCCUUUUUGAUGGUGACAAAACUUUCCUGCAGAUUUGGAUAUCUUUGACCUGCAAAACAUUUCUCACACAUAUGCAUAUCUUAUAGAGAUAAAUGGCUAACAGAAUAACACUAGAAUCUGCAACCACAGAAAAUAGGUUAGUUAGUAUAUGAUGAAGCCAUUCAUAAGAUAUCAAUAUUGGUUAAUAGAAGCAGUCAAGUCCAAGUCUAGUUCAGUUCUCAUCCAGACACAAACCAAAGUCAAACAGAUUCAAACCACAAAACAAUCCAACAAACAAUUAAAAGUUUAAUGAAAAGUUUUUGAUCAAAUCUUGCAUCUCUCCCCCUUUUUGUCAUCAUUAAAAAGGAUGAGAUGAAGUCAAGAUUGCUUGGGAACGCGGACAAGCUGGAAAUCUUCCAUAGACUGAACGAUGCCUUCCAGCCUUUUAAAGUCUUCCUUUAGCUGUGCAAUCUCCUCACUCUUGGCAUUGGCCUGAUUCUGAACAAAGAGGGCUUGCAUCUUAUCAUUCAAUGAACAGGAAGAAGCUUGACCUUCAUUCUUCAAGCCUUGAACUUCGCAUCCCAAGGCAUAAAUCUGACCUCGCAUCUCCAAAAGAAUAUCCAUGAUUCUACGAAAAUCUGCUCCAUUAUUAGUUUGAGUACUUGCUUCGGCUCGAUCUGAUGGAGUAAAUGCAGACGAUGGUAGAUCAACAAAAUCUUGCAGGUUUGGCGAUGAAACUUCAUGACCUUCCUCUGGAAACUGAGAUGCAUAAACAUCCUCUGGGUCUGCUGGUGAGCGACUGACUCCUUCACUUGCAUCAGGACAUGAAGACUUCACACCUUUCUCCUGAUCUCCCCCUGUUUCAAUGCCUACAGGUGGAGAAGAGUGUUCUUCAGGUUCUCCUUCUUCUCUUCUUUCUUCUUCAGGUCUUUCCUCCUCUGUUUCUUUUUCAGCUUCUAUUUCUUCUUCUUCCUUCUCCUCUGCUUCUUUCGUCAUUUGUUCCGAUUCUUUCUGAGGAACAGGAUGACUUAAAUUCUUCAAAGCCAAUGCAGAGAUGGUGAUGUCUUCCUCAUCAUCUUCAUCCUCAACAAGGAGAGCUCUUCUUCUCUUGGAUGGAGCAACCAUGGGCUCCUUCCCUUUUCUUUUAGCUGCAGAAGAUAUUUGAUGAGAUUUUGCAGGAGUCUUCUCCUUGAAUUUCUCCAACUCCUUGCUCAGUUCCUUCAGACGCAUUUUGGUCACCAUUUUCAGACCUACCACCAUAUGAUCGCAUGGUCGAACACAAAAGAUUUGUGGAGGCUGAAUAUUCAGAUGUCUGAAUAACUUCGUAACAAGGCUUGGGUAAGGGAGUUGACCUCUGUCCUUCAUCAUUGCUCUAUACAUGUGAAACAUCACAGUGUGAGGGAGAGAAAACCUUUUUCCAAAGAGAAUGGCAUACAUCAGCUUGGCCUCUGAACUUGAAACAUCAGUCUUGGAAGUUGAUUUCGGUCGGAGGCAAUUAAUCACAAUCUUAUGAAGCAAGAUGUUGAAUGCACCCAUCCUUAAGUAGGUGAUCUUUUCAUCUGUUCUCCUGUCCUUCACCAGUUCAAGUGUGGCCCGAGCAAUGGAAACUUUGAUUGGCUGAUAUCUUCCUCUUUCUACUUCUAACACAUCUACCAGCAUAUUCAUAUCCACAACAUAGUCUUGGUCUUUAACGCUGAAAGAGAAUCUAUUCGCAUCUAAAAAGCUUAGAUUUGAAUAGAAAUAUGCAGUAAAUUCAGCAUAUGCCUCUGUAGAGUCAGAGCAGAACUUUUCAAGUUGAAGAUAACUGAACUUUUCCCUCAAGUUCAUAUUCAUAGCAUCUAGAAAAUCAAAAUAACACUCCUAGGGUUUAUUACCCCACGCUUUAGCAAUUUCGAGUACACAUCCUUUUGCUCCUUAGAUCUGAACAAAUCUCCCCUUUUUCCUUGAUUUUCAACCGCAACACCCAUUUUUGGUUGAAAUUGACUGUAUAAUUUGUCAUCAUCAUUCCCAUCUACAGGAUUCGGCCCCCAAUCACGAGGAUCACUUGGGAUAUUUGCAAGGGUUUUCUCAGCCACCCCUUUUCGAGCAAUUCCCAAACUUUCCAUUUUUUCAGAAAGAUAUAUUCGUUCCCAUGUCCUUUGUCUUUAAGAAACUCAUCAAUGUAGUUCAAAGGAGCACGAAUUCCUUUUAGGGCACGAUAUAACUGGUAAAUAUAAGCGGGCUUUUGAACUCUUACAGGGUCUGCAUCCUCGAUGAUUUCUUCCUGUUGUUGAUGAUCAACGCCUUGAGGACUAGAUGGAGGAGAAUGACGCUGUUGAGAAUGUUGUGGGCUCGCUUGCUGUUCUGGAGUCACUUCAUCUUCAGUAAGAUCGAAGUGCGUAGGCCCCUCACUCAUCCGCCAUGGUCCCCUGCUUGCGAUUCUUGAGAACUUUCUUGAAGAUGACAUCUUUCUCAGUUUUUGGAAGAUUCCUUGCUUGACUUUCCUAGGAAAGAUGACAACUUUUUGAGGAUUAAACGAAGAAGACAAACGGGAAUGGAGGAUCGAUGCUUUCUAGGGUUUUUUGAGAGAAAAGUGAAGAGGAAUCGACAGUGCACGAUCGGUUAAAAAGAGAGAUAAACGAACCAUCACAAAGGAAAUAAAAAUAUGCCUUUUCAAAAUAACUGUCUUUUUCCGCAAAAAUAGCCAUUUCAAAAAUAACUUCAUUUUUGAAAAUGAAACGAUGCAAUAUUUACGUCAAUUAAAUAUAGCAACAAUUUAAGCACAGUCUGACGAUCGUACCUUUUCAAGAUGAGAUUCAAGAGAGAAAGAUUUAUAGUCUGACGGACGUACCAAGACUGUCUUUCAGAUAAAGUCUUGUAAGUCUAAGUCUGAAAGUCUUUAGACUUUGAUAUCCUCAUACCUCAAAAUGUUGAGUCUGGAACGAAUAGACUCAAAUUGAUUUUUCUCCAAAGGCUUUGUGAAUAUAUCCGCCAGUUGAUUCUUUGAGUCAACAAAUUGAAUUGAAACAUCCCCAUUUUGAACAUGGUCUCUAAUAAAGUGAUGUCGAAUCUCCAAAUGCUUUGCUCUUGAGUGGAGAAUUGGAUUUUUGGUGAGGUUGAUAGCGCUGGUGUUGUCGCAAUUAAUCUCCGUGCAUGAGUCUUCAAUUUCAAAGUCUCUUAGCUGUUGUUUUAUCCAUAGAAUUUGCGAACAGCAGCUUCCCAGGGCUACAUACUCUGCUUCUGUUGUUGAAAGAGACACAGUGCUUUGUUUCCUUGAAAACCAAGACACUGUCCUGCUUCCAAGCAACUGGCAGGUUCCCGAAGUGCUUUUUCUAUCAACUCUGCAACCGGCCAGAUCUGCGUCUGAAUAUCCCAGAAGAUUAAAGUCUCCUUUCUUAGGAUACCAAAGACCGAUGCUUGAUGAUGAAGCCACGUAUUUAAUGAUGCGUUUCGCAGCACUGAGAUGGGAUUCUCUAGGAUCUGAUUGAAACUUAAUCUGUCAUACCAAGCUCGAGGUGCUUGCUUUAAACCAUACAAAUCCUUUUUCAGUCUGAAGACUCAGUCUGGGUUCUUUGGGUCUUCAAACCCUGGUGGUUGUUCCACAUAAACUUCCUCUUGGAUAAAUCCAUUUAGGAAGGCGUUUUUGACGUCCAUUUGGAAUAACCUGAAAUUCUUAUAACAAGCAAACGCAAGUAAUAGUCGAAUAGCUUCUAACCUUGCUACUGGAGCGUAAGUCUCAUCAUAGUCUAUCUCCUUCUUCUUGCGUAUAUCCCUUCNNNNNNNNNNNNNNNNNNNNNNNNNNNNNNNNNNNNNNNNNNNNNNNNNNNNNNNNNNNNNNNNNNNNNNNNNNNNNNNNNNNNNNNNNNNNNNNNNNNNGUACGACCGGAUGAUUUGCGGGCAUGACAUGGCAUGGAGAAAUCUAGUUGGAGAAAAUCAUUCUGAAAUAGAUUUAUUUUGAGAGUUACUUCCCUAGAUGAAUCACUUUCGAUGAAUAAAUAGUAGUUAGACUGUGCAUAGAACAAAUUCAUGCGUCCGCAGGACAUCAACAAAAUCCUCGAGGACAGAGGGAAUCUCUUGUGAGCACAAGGAGCAUGGCAGCAUUAGCUUUUUUUUCUAGGAGAAAGGGAAUCUCUGGUUAGCACGAGAAGCGUGGGAGCAUUUGCUGGUUAGCUUUCUUUUCUAUUAUUUUUAGUAAUAGAAAAGGCCAGCCAAGUCAAGACAGUGCCAGAUCUCAGAUCUCAAUGAAAGCACCGUCCGCAUGUACUGCUGAGAUCACGACAGGAGCAUGCGAGUAUUGUUCCUUAGUUUUCUCUUCUAUUUUCGUUCAUCAAUGUAAAGAGGCAAGUCAAGUCAAGUCGCGCUGGAUCUCGAGCUUCGAUCAAAAGCACCAGGAGCAUGUGAAAGUUGCACGUUGUUGCAUGUGAGUAUUUGCUCGUUGGGUUCCCCAAGAUGCUGCGGAAAUUAUGCGUGCAAUGACUGUUCUUUCCAAGGCACGCCUCACGGCGAUUCGAAUAGGAUGAAGAGUCUUGUACCGUUUUGGGAAUAUUCUAAGAUUUAGAAGAGAGAGGAAAAGAGGAUUAGUAAUAACUACAUCUCUACUCAAUUGGCUUCCCUUUACACUUUAUUAGAUAAUGGUAUUUAUACCCACACAAUGUGCCUGGGAAAUGAAAUAAUCUAAUCCAACAAGGAAAUUGAUUGUCUUAGAAAAUAAUGAAAGAAUAAAUAAUAUCCUUAAUAUCUAAUAAUAUCUCUAAAAAUAUUCUUUAAUAGGGAAAUCUCUAAUUUCCAUUUACAUACUUCAUCCCGUUGUUGUUGUUAGGCUUGGUAGAUCAUUGCCGUGCCAGAGAACAUGUGGGUUCAACGACAUUGUAGAUUCAUUCAAAGGUCUCAAAGUCAUUAGUUCGAGUUAAAGUGGACUGCAAAAUGCAUGUGAACGAAUUCGAAAAGUACACUUGUAGGAAUAAACCAGGUGGAGACGAUGUCAGGGCCAUCCAUGAAAUAUUUGAGUCGUAGGGACCAAAAUAUUUUAGAAAUUUGUGGCAUAAGUUUUGUUAUAUUGAUGCCAUUUCAUUAAUAACUUAGUUGGAUCUUGAGGAGAAGCUUCAAUGAUUGGACUUAUAGCUCAAGACCUAUAGAUGGACGUAAGUGAUCGCCAACGCAUUUUCUAGGAUUGCCUUUUCCACAUUUUUUUUUUUUUUUGAAUUUCCACCUCUUUUAACAAUAUUAUGGAAAAUGAAUGAGAAUAGGGGGGACUUUAGGAAUUCAAAUUGUUUGUAUUGGUAUUAGGUGUCAAAUAUUUAUCUAAUUCGACACUACAUGUGUUUAUGCGGUACACCAUUAGAUAAGUAUCACACAACUCAUGUCAACAUGAUUCGAGUUAAAUCCAUGAAGACUUAAGCGAACCAUUAUCAAAGCUGACAAUAUUUUAUCUAGUGACAACAAGGCUCAGGUGGAGUUUCUUGGCACAACAAUGUAAGAACUAGGAUCGGGAUGUUGAGCGUUUGAUCGGUGUUGGCAUUUGGUAUAACUCUUGUUUAUAAUUUUUUUUUUUUUUUUGGUGACCCAAGAUCUGCUGAGCUCAACUUUCGCUUACGCUAAUCGCCAACCCAUGGCCCGUACAGUGCGCGGUGCACCUCGGACCAAGCGUCAAUACCUAGGGAUAACUCUUGUUUAUAAUUGAUACUACUAAUUAUCCAUAUAAUCAUAACCCUAAAUUGGGGCUAUGCAUUUCAUAAAUUCUGUACAUCUCUAAUUAAAGGAAUCUGUUUGGACCUUGUCGUAGGACAUGUGAUUGUGAUCGUACAAUUUAGACUUCAAGCGUCAAGGGUUUUUUUUCCAUGUGUUGAAACUUUCAACUCCAGAUUGCUUCUGAAUUUGUGUAUCGUAUGACUUAUUGAGUUGUCGUUUCUUUUUUUUCUUUUUUUCUUUUUUCUUUUGGGCGGAUAGCGAGCAUACUGGGGUUCCUUCUCAAAACACAUGAUCAGGUGAUAUUAUGUUUAAUUUUAAUGCAUUUACUUGUAAGCUUUUGAUUCUAGAAUAAUGAGGUGGGGUUAGUCACUUACGUACUAAGCUGUUGAGCUUUUUUCAUGGCCGCUUAUCAUUUCGGAUUCUGAAGAAGCUUACAAGGCUAGAGAAGAAUGUUCGUAGUUAUGAGUAAAGAAGUUAGUAUCUGCUCUUACCUCAGGAGGUUUUAUGAGCUAAGCUGGUUUUCAGAGUAGAAAAAAAUAAGCAAACUAUAUAGCUAUAAUACCCUAGGUGCCAAAGUAAUCACACGUUGAUCUAGUGUUUAAUGCAAUCUCUCUUCAUUUAAUAGCUUCAGUCUUUCAAAUCACAUCUUCUAAUGCUAAAUAAGCUAAUGUUUGAAUACUCCUCUAUUGGGCUGCGAAAAAUCAUAUUUCGAUGAAGAACCCGUUGGCCGAGAAUGUCAGCAUGAGACAAAAAGUCCGACAAAAGAUUACAUAAAAAGGAAAAAAGAAUCACCGAAUAAUUAUUCGAUUACUGAAUAUUUUUUCGAUUACGGAGAACUGUUGGCCGAGAUUAAUGCAGCACCGAAAGAAUAAAAUCAAUGUAAAAUGUUAAAAUUAUUAAUUUAAGGAGAGAGAUAAAAGAGUGACUUGGGUGGAGGGUAGUGACUAAAUAAUCUUUAAGCAUGAUAUAGCAUGGAGAAAUCUAGUUUGAGAAAACCGUUUUGGAAGAGAUUUAUUUUGAGAGUUACUUUCCCAGACGAAUCUCUUUCACGAAAUAAAUGAUAAUCAGACUGUGGAUAGAACAAAUAUAUGCAUUCCCCAAACUUUCAUUAAAAAUAAUCCUCGGGGACCAACCGAAUCUCUUGUCCGCACAAGGAGCAUGGGAGCAUUGCCGGUUUGUUAUAUUUUCUAUGUUGUUUACUGAUAAAAAAGUCCAGCCAAGUCAAGACAGCGCUGGAUCGCAAAUCUCAAUGAAAGCACCUUCCGCAUAAUGCUCAGCAUCGGUGCAGAUCAAAUCACAGCAGGAGCAUGUGAGUAUUGCUCGUCAGUUAUCUUUUCUAUCUUUACUUAUUAACAUGCAAAGCAGAGCCGAGUGACGAUGCAUGUGAGCACGUGCUCACUUGCUCGUUGGGUUCCGCAAGAUGCUGCGGAAUUUACGCGUGCAGUGUCUCUUUCUCUCUUUUCUUUUUUUGCGGCAUGCCUCACGGCGGUUUGAUUAUUAUGAAGAAUAUUGGACCAUUGGAUGGCAAUAACUCAACAUUUUUCAAUAGAAAUGAGCGCGUUAUCAAUGAAUUCUGUUUCACAUUACAAAAUUUACUGUUGCUUGUGUUUUUUUAACAUCGGAGAUAACAUUAGCUCUCCAAAGUAAAGGCUUAAUGAAUGCUACUUUUCCAUUUCAUUUCACAUUUGAAUUUUGUCUUUGGCCGGAAAUUGGACCCAAUCUUGGUUGUUGGCAGUUCUAAAAACCUAUUCCUAGGAAGCUUCAUUUAAAUAAGACAACGUUACUUUUAUAUCCUCAUUCAUCUCCAAGCUGAUGUCGUGAUGUCAUUUCAAUAAGAAACUUUGUUGUGAUGUUAUUUCUCUUUGAAGUUUCUAUUGCGAGAAUGUGUUUGGUGUCAACUAGUUAUGACAUCUCUCAACUCUUGGUAAGUAUGAGGAUAAUGUGUUUCUUCGACAACUCUACUAAGAUUUGGACUUGAUGGAGGUUCUCUUUACGUAGUCUCUUCCCAUUUGCAUUUUACUAUUGGUGGUUCCAAAUGGCAACUUAGAAUUAUUUCUUUGUCUAAUUUGUUUUCUCUUUUAUCCUCUAAUUGGCAAAUUAUAGAAAUCAUCACACAUUCCCCAUUAAUCUCCACAUUUGAUUGAUAUCAUCAAUCGGUUGUUAUCUGAAAUCUCUUUUCUCUACAAAAGAAAUAGGAUUUGAAUAUCUGUCAUAGAGUGAAAUGGGAAAAGAGUGACUCCUAUGGGAACCAUUGAGUAGUUCUUGAACUUCAAUUCAUUUCAUGGAACAUGUCUGAAUGGAACGAAAACAAAAAUGCUUCGCCCCUUAAGUCUUCUAUUACAUUUUUAUGCAAAUCUCAAAGUCUAGAAAGCAUUAGCUGAAUGGCAGACCCUCAAGGAAGGAUGAGAAGCAACUUGAAUGAAAAGUUAUCUUGUUUUCACUCUGAAAACUCGUUACAUCAUUAAUAUCGGUGUCUGGAGCUUUGGAUACUUCUUCUUCUUUUUUACUUACUUUUUGCAAUUUAAUUGUACAAAAAAGCUCACGUUGAGGACGGCAGUCCAAAGUUGACAUAAGUGCAAAUAAUAUAGAUGAGAAUUGCACAAUUAUGUACAGUUGAUUAGGAACAUCGUGUUGAAUGCCUUUUCUAAUUUUACAUUUGAGUUAAUAGAAGAGUCGUCCCGAGUAGUAAAUUUCUGAUCAAGUCGAAUUCGAGAAAUUUUAUCCAUAAUCCUAUAUACUAGCAAUAAUGAACCCUCUAUGUUGUUGGAAUUCAGACAUCACUGCCAUACCCGGAGAACAUUUGGGUACAUCCGACAUUGUAGAUCGAUUUACAGGUCUCAAAGUUGUAAGUUUGGGUUAAAGUAGUGUACGGGAAGGAAUUUGAAAAGUACUCUUGUAAGAAUGACCAAGGUAAAGCCAAUGUCGAGGGCGUUAAUAAACAAAAAUUUGGGAUGGACGGACCAAAUUAUUGACGUUUUCCGUUAAUUAUUUAUCUGGACCUUGGGAAGCCUCAAUUGCUUUCAUUUACAGUUUGAGACCUAUGGAUGGAUAUAAGUGAUCGCUGACUCAUUUUCAUUGCUUUGUUUUCCACGUAUUUUUCAAAUUUCCAAUAUUUUGGAAAAAGAAUAAAAAAUAAGGGCAAAUUAGGAAUUCGAAGUGUUUGUCGAUUUUAGGGGUCAGAUAUUUAUCUCAUUCCACAUCACCUAUACUUGAAUUGUUGCACUGGUGAAUUAGUAUUGUACAAACUCAAAUCGACAUGACGCAAUUUAAAGCUGUCCAGACGUGAGUGAACCGCUACCAAAGCUGUGCAAGCGUGAUAGCAAGGCUUGGGUCGAGUUGCCUAAUACAACAAGAUUAGAAUCGGGACUAGGAUGUUGGGUGUCGUAUCUGUGUUGGCAUGCUAUGCUAUUUUUUCUAUUGCCAAUUAAUACUAUCUACAACAAGAUCUUCAACUAAUCAAAUCAAAUCGUGGCAUUUGGUAUAUCUCUUGCUUAUAGUAGAUAGUAUCAUGAUCCUUAGUUGGGGCUAUGCAUUUCAUGCGUUCUGUAAAUCUUCAAUUAAAGUAAUAGUUUGGACCUUGUCGUAGGACAUGUGAUUGUGAUCCUACAAUUGAGAUUUUGAGAGACAAGAUUUUACCUAUGUAUCGAAACUUUUUUUUUGUAAUGCCAAGGAUCCGGCCUAACUCAUCGGCCUAGUUCACAUUCGAGAGCACAACACCAACUAGACCUCGAGAGAAAUUAGCCCAGCAACCCACUGUCGGGGCUCCCUGCUUAAAUCACGGAACUAUUUUGAGAGUUGUGACAACUCAGGGAGUCAAACCCUUGACCUGGUGCCAAAUCAGGAGGUAUGCCUCAACCAGCGCAGCCAUGCGUGGGUGGGUUAUGUAUCAAAACUUUUAAUUCCAAGUUACUUCUGAAUUUUUGUAUUACAUAACUUAUUGGAUUUUCUUUUCCUUCUCUUUUUUGGAAAGCGAGCAUAUAGGAUUUCCUUUUCAAAUCACUUGUAGAUCAUGAAGUAUAACGUUCAAUUUUAAUCUUCUUACUCGUAAGUUUUUGAUCCUAGAAGGAUGGGUUCCCCAAGAUGCUGCGGAAAUUACGCGCGCAGUGAGUGUUCUUUCCAAGGCACCCCUUACGGCGAUUCGAAUAGCAUGAAGUAUUGUUGAAUUACUAUUCAAUUACAGAGAUUUGUGAGCCGAUAAUUUACUAACGUGACACCGAAAGAAUAAAAUGGAUGUAAAAUGUAAAAAACUAUUUAUUUAAGGAGAGAGAUAAAAGUGGCUUGGGGGUAGGGUAAUGAUUUGAUAAUUUUUAAUCACAAAGUAGUGUGGAGAAAUCUAGUUUUAGAAAAUUAUUUUGAAAAAGAUUUAUUUUAGUGUUACUUUUCUAGACAAAUAAAAAGAAGGUUAUGCGUCCUGAAGACUUUUAAUAACAAAAUCCCACGAUUGAUAUGCUUUUGUCAUUGGCUCAUGUAUAUUAGCGGCAUAUUAGAGAAUGAAAGCAAGUCAAGUCAAGAUAAUGAAAGCCCAUAGAUAGGUUCCAAGCUAGGUAGCAUGGACACAGUGUCAUGGACACGCGACGCGACAUGACACGACACGACAUGCGACAAAUCAUUUUUUAAAAGGUAGAGAAUUUCGAUACGUUUCGACACGUUAAGUAUUAAAUAAAUAUUUUUAUAUAUACUUGAUUAAUUAUUAUGUUUAAAUUAAUUUAUUCAAAUUCAUAAAUAAAUAAAUAAUAAAUAAAAUCUAUAAUAAAUCUAUACUAAUAACAUGUAUUAAUAAAGUUAUUCAACAUACGCAAAAGCUCUCGAUCCGUUUCUCUCAUCGUCUUGAAAAGAAAGAGCGAACUUUUACAGAAUUAAUAAAGUUAUUUAAUGUUUAAUAUUUCUUUUUAGGGUUAAAUGGUCCCAUCCAUUUAUUUCCCCCAACCCACCCACCGCCUGCACACGUCUCUUCCCAAAGUCACACUGCACGAGUGUUUCUUUUUUCCCCAAGAAGCCGUCGACACAUCCUCUCUCUCUCCUUGCUCUUCUUCCUAAAAUUGAAAACCCUAGCAAUUGGCGAUCGCCUUCCGUCUCCUCCCCCUCGCUCGGUCUCCACCUCUCUCACCGCUGCCUCGCCUCCGUUCCCCCCUUUGCCGUCUUAGCCUCGCAUCCAGCCCUCCAUCACGGCCUUUCCGUUUCAAAUCUCGGCUUUGCAGUCGGCGGUCGCAGCCAACCAAGACGAUCGAGAAGGCUUCUCAGUGUUGCAGUCGGCGGUCGGAGCCCUCCCUCGUCGUCGCUCGCGGCGUCGCCUCAGUUCCCUCACCCUUGCCUUCACCCUCCGUCACUUUCUUCCCUUCGCACCUGCGGAUCCGCCCACAAACCUCCGGACACGCGCGUCGGAAAGAGUUGACCACGUGUCGGAAACUUCGACACGUGAUAACCGCGUGUCCGAGCGUGUCCGACCGUAUCCGAGCGUGUUGGAUAGAUACGGAGGCCCUCUGAACGUGUCCGUGCUUCCUUGGCUCCAAGCACAGCAGGAGCAUGUGAGUAAUGCUCGUCAAUUCUCUUUUCUACUUUUUCUUAUUAAUAUAAAAGGCAAGUCAAGUCAAGUCACGAUGCUGCGGAAAUUACGCGUGCAAUGAUAGUUCUUUCCGUGGCAUGCCCUGCAGCGAUUCGAUUAGCUUGAAGAGUCUUGGACCAUUGGAUAGCAAGAACUCAAACAUUCUUCAAGCACACAUGGAGAAUGUUUUGUGUCGGUAAUCCAACUUCAAAGGCUGAAAAUCGGAGGAGAUCCCGAGGCUCUGUUGUUUGAGCAUUCGUCAGGUAGUCGACAACGUCUUACUCUUUCUCCGUUUCCUGUUCUGAUUGCUCCAUUUUCUUUUGAUGAGUUAUGUAAGAGUUUCUAUUUUUGUUUGAAUGUAGCUUCGAGUUUGACUACCGAGAGACAUUUCUGCUAUUCCCAGAUCUGGGAUUUUGUGUAUCUCUCCUCCGUUUCCUACUCCAUCAGUCUCUUUUAAAAUCCUCUUGAGAUGAAAAGAAGAGAACCCACUCAUUCAAAAGAUUCGAUCUACGAGGCGUCUUCCUCAUCAACCUCUCCACUUUUAGGUGAUUAUGAAGGAAAAACUAAAAGGCCAAAAGGAAAUUACUACGAUGUGUUCUUGAGCUUCAAUGGGAAAGACACUCGCAAAAGGUUCACCGAUCAUCUCUAUGAAAGGCUUGUCAAGGCGAAAAUUUGUGUGUUCAGAGACGACGAUAAGCUCCCUGUUGGUGGGAAGAUUGGUCCGGAACUUCUUCGCAGCAUUAGGCAGUCCAAGAUCUCGAUUCCGAUUAUCUCCACGAACUAUGCUUCUAGCAAAUGGUGCCUUCGGGAGCUAGCUUGGAUGUUGAAGUGUAAGAGAAGCGGAGGGCAUAUAGUGUUGCCCAUCUUUUACAACGUGAAUCCCUCGCAUGUGCGCCAUCUUACAGGAAGAUUUAGAAAGGGUAUCGAGGCACAUAAAGAGACAGUAUAGACAGUAUAGACGAAAAGAUUUUGAAGGAAUGGAAAAAAGCGCUCAAAGAAUUGAAGGAAUGGAAAGAAGCACUCCAAGAAGUUGGUUCUUUGAAAGGGUGGGAAUCUAAGAAAUAUAAAAACGGGUACAUUAUUCUCAACCAAAUCGUUGUUUAAUUUCUCACAAAUAGAUUUUUUUUUUUUGAAAAAGGAUAUAAAAUAAAUAUAUAUCCCCUCAUAUGCUGAAAUUCAUUGUUAUUUGAUAGGCAUGAAGGAGCAUUGGUCGAAGAAAUUGUCAAAAUUGUCAAAAAUGUUCUGAAUGAGUUGAGAAGAACUUCUCAGAUAAUUGUUCCCCAACAGUUGGUUGGAAUUGAUGACCGUAUCGAUCUAAAGGAUUUAAAAAGAACUUUUCAGCUAAUCGUUCCCCAACAAUUGGUUGGAAUUGAUGAUUGUAUUAAACAUAUUAUGAGCUUCAUAGAUGCCAAAUUCAAUGGUACAUGGAUUAUUGGAAUUUAUGGGAUGGGCGGUAUCGGUAAGACGACUCUUGCAAAGGCGUUAUACAACAAACUCUUCAGUCAAUUUGAGUAUCAUAGCUUUGUGGCAGAUUACCGGGAAACAUUGCAGUGCAAGGGUAUUGCAUGCCUACAAAGGCAACUCUUAUCUGGCCUUGGAAGUGCAUGUGAUGUGUCUAGUGUGGAUGAGGGAACCAAUCUUAUCAAAUCUCACUUUGCACAUAAGAAAGCCCUCAUUUUUCUUGAUGAUAUAGGUGACGAUGCUCAAUUGAAAUAUUUGGUCGACCGUGCUUGGUUUGAAGCAGGAAGUAUAAUCAUCAUAACAACUAGAGACAAGAAUACUCUUAAUAAAAUUAGGGCAGACCCAAUGUACGAACUCCUUGAGUUGUCUCAGGAUAAAUCAUUGAUUCUUUUUAGUAGACAUGCAUUUCAACAGGAUUUCCCUCCGAGUGAUUAUGAGGCUCUCACUCAUGAUGUCGUAUCUACCACUGGAGGGCUUCCAUUAGCUCUUGAAGUUAUAGGCUCAUUGUUAUAUGAAAAGAAAAUAAAAGUAUGGCAAGAUAUAUUACAGAAAUUGAAAAAAACGCCCAAUAAGACAGUGCAAGAGAAGUGAAAAUAAGUUAUGACGCAUAAUNNNNNNNNNNNNNNNNNNNNNNNNNNNNNNNNNNNNNNNNNNNNNNNNNNNNNNNNNNNNNNNNNNNNNNNNNNNNNNNNNNNNNNNNNNNNNNNNNNNNCGACAAGGAAACCAUUUGGAAAAGGUAAAAGAGCUGAAUUUCCUCUGCAUUUAAUCCAUUAUGAUGUAUGUGGUCCAAUGAAUGUGAGAGGAAGGCAUGGGGCUGUUUAUUUCAUCACUUUUAUAGAUGAUUAUACUCGAUUCGGAUAUAUCUAUUUGAUUUCUCAUAAAUCUGAAGCAAUAAGUUGUUUCAAAAUGUUUAUGAACCUGGUAGAGAAUCAAUUAGACAAGAAAAUAAAAGCAUUGAGAUCCGAUCGAGGUCGAGAAUAUUUAUCUGAUGAGUUCAGAAAAUUAUGUGAUGAAAAAGGAAUAGAAAGACAGUUGUCUAUUCCAUAUACUCCUCAACAAAAUGGUGUUGCGGAGAGAAGAAACAGAACCCUACUGGAAAUGGUUAGGUCCAUGAUGGCGCAUGCUAACUUACCUAUUACUUUUUGGAGUGAUGCGUUGUUAACUGCUGCCUAUAUACUUAACCGUGUGCCUUCCAAAUCAGUUACUUCCACUCCAUAUGAGUUAUGGACAGGUAGAAAACCGGACUUAAGUUUUCUUAAGCCAUGGGGUUGUGCUGCCUAUACACAUGAGUCAUUUCACAAGUUUGGGAAAUUGGGUCCCAGAGGAAAGAAGAGUAUUUUCAUAAGAUACUCGGAACACUCGAAAUGGUAUGUGUUCAUAGGUGAGCAGGAAAGUGGGAGUAUAACUGAAUUUGAAUCACGGGAUGUCACAUUCUUAGAGGAUGAGUUUCCUAAGAAGGGCGAAAUAGGGGAAGAUUACUCCAUAUUUGAAACCUUGGAUCAAGAUAAUGANNNNNNNNNNNNNNNNNNNNNNNNNNNNNNNNNNNNNNNNNNNNNNNNNNNNNNNNNNNNNNNNNNNNNNNNNNNNNNNNNNNNNNNNNNNNNNNNNNNNNNNNNNNNNNGUGGGAGCAUAAUGGGGAAUGAUGUACAAAGUGUACAAUCUCCCAUACGGCGAACAAAUCGCCAAAGUAUUCCCCGUCAACGGUUUGACAUUGAAGGGGAAACUUUUAUGGUUGCUCCACAAGAUGAGGAUGAGCCAAGAAAUAUUAAUGAGGCUCUGAAUUGCCCUAGUAAGGAAAAAUGGAUUCAUGCAAUGGAAGAGGAAAUGGAGUCAAUGAAAUCAAACCAGGUCUGGGAACUGGUUGAUCUUCCAAAAGGACGCAGAGCUAUUGGUAACAAGUGGAUUCUCAAAAUAAAGCGAAAGGCUGAUGGCUCGAUAGAAAAGCAUAAGGCUCGCCUUGUGGCGAAGAGGUAUAAUCAACAGGAAGGAAUUGAUUAUGAAGAUACAUUUUCUCCUGUAGUGAGAUUUACCUCGAUUCGCAUUAUUCUGGCAAUAGUAGCUAGUAUGGAUCUUGAGUUACAUCAAAUGGAUAUAAAGACUGCUUUCCUCAAUGGAGAAUUAGAGGAAGAAAUAUAUAUGGAACAACCUGCUGGUUUCAUAGUGAAAGGCCAAGAAGAAAGGGUAUAUCAACUUUUGAGAUCGAUAUACGGCCUUAAGCAGUCAUCGAGACAAUGGUAUAUACGUUUUCAUAAUGCCAUAAUGGCAUAUGAUUUUACGAUGAUUGAUGAGGAUCAUUGUGUAUAUAUCAAAAGAUCCAAGGAUCAAUUUGUGAUCAUAUCAUUAUAUGUUGAUGAUAUACUGAUUGCCGGAAGCAAUAUGGAGUUUGUUAAUACAGUCAAGAGUUGGUUGUCUUCCAACUUUGAGAUGAAGGAUAUGGGUGAGGCUGCAUACAUUCUUGGAGUUAAGAUUUCAAGAGAUCGUUGUCUCUUUCGCAAGAAACAUAUAUAAAUAAGGUUCUUGAACGAUUUCGUAUGCAAGAUUGUAAACCCAUAGACACUCCUAUUGCAAAAAUUGAAGGAUUGAGCCAUAGACUGUGUCCAAGGACUCCACAAAAUAAGGAACAAAUGAAACAUGUUCCUUAUGCUAGUGCUGUUGGGAGCUUGAUGUACGCUAUGAUGUGUACAAGACCCGACAUAUGUUUUGCAGUUGGAAUGGUGAGUAGAUACCAAUCCAAUCCAAGUCCAGCACAUUGGAAAGCCGUUAAGAGAAUACUGAGGUAUCUGAAGGGAACUGCUGAUUUCAAGUUGAAUUACCAAGGAAAGGAUCUGCGACUUGAAGGCUAUUCAGAUGCUGAUUGGGGAGGAGAUUUAGAUGAAAUGAAAUCUACCUCUGGAUUUACUUUCUUACUAAACAAUGGCGCCAUAUCAUGGAGCAGUAAGAAGCAAACGUGUAUAGCCUUGUCCACGAUGGAAGCUAAGUUCGUGGCAUUAUCAGCAGCGGUACAAGAAGGAGUUUGGCUUAAGAGAUUUUUGGAUCAUUUAGGUGUUAUUGAGAAAGUUGCAAAUCCAUUGUUUGUUAACUGUGAUAGCCAAGCAGCUAUAGCGUACACCAAAGAUCCAAAAUAUCAUGGCAAGGCCAAACAUAUAGAUACCAAGUAUAACUUUGUCAAGGAUAUGGUUGCACGAAAGGAUGUGAACUUACAGUACAUAUCUACGCAUAGAAUGGUAGCAGAUCCUAUGACAAAGCCAAUACCUAGAGAUGUGUUUUGUGGUCAUGUAAAAUCUCUAGGAUUGCGUAGAGUCUGAUGUACUGGAUUGUAAUUUCCCUGAGUUGUUCACAUUUAUGAACUAGUGUUGUUUCAUUAUUAAUGCCUAUGAAUCUUUGUUUGAUCUUUAUGCAUCUUAAUGCUCAGUGAAUUACUUUAAGUUGAGGAAGUAUGUCGGACAGAUAAAAGAUUAGCCCACUCACACGGGUAAUCGCCUCUAUUUACUGUGUGAUAAAUAGAGAUGAGACUAUAUUUAAGCUUAUUAUCUAGGCGAUAAUCGAGAGCUCAAGCUUAAAAUACAUAUGUCGCCUUAACUAAGUGUUAAGAUGAAGACAUAAUACUUACGAUGUCCAAAAGUAAAAUACCCCACAUAUUUUAUUUUAUCUGUCUAAGAUGCCAGAUGUGAGUUCUGAUGAAUUUUGUAAAUGAGUAGAUACGUGAACUCAAGUUAGACAUUGGGUAUGUCUGAACUAUCAUUUGUACGGUAUUGAAAAAUGUAGACAUACGCUCCAUGGGAAAGGAGUUAAUACCGUAAUACGUAUUUCAUACUACGUAUGCAUGAGACAACCAAUAAGAGUGGCAAAAAGUUUGAUCUCAACUUUUAUGACGUGUGAGACUCUUGAGGAAAAAAGUUCCUCAAUUUUUAGUGCCCUCAUGACUUUUACUUAUUCUCAAGAUUUCUAUUUAGUGUUUGCUAUCUUAGGAUGUUGCCAAUGGUCAUGAAUUGAUUCAAUCUAAUUGGACAUUUCUAGAAAAGCAAGCUAAACUGAAAUUGAGAGUUUGAAGGAAAGAGGAAGAUCGAUUUUGGAGAAUCACAUUGUACUUUUGUAUUCACUGGUCGACCAAUUAUGACUGUUUUUGUGAUAACUGUAAUUGUGAAUACAAUAUAUAUAUAUAUAUAUAUAUAUAUAUAUAUAUAUAUAUAUCAUUGUUUAAAGGAGAUCAAGAGAGAUAUAAAUGUGAUUGAUCGAUCUAGGGUACUGCAUACUAAAUCUACUCAGAGUAUGACGCCCAAUAUGAGCUGCUAUAUAUUCCUAACAGAUGUAUAGCAACGAGCUCUCAAAGUAUGCUGGUUGCACGGAUUAUUCACCGGUAUGAAUGUUGAAGAGAGGUCAAGAGAAUCAUAUUCCGCCCACCAUGUGCGAGUGGGAGAUGAUGGUUUUAUUAGUGAUGGGCUUAAGGCCCGUCCGCCCAUGUUGGGCCUAAAAACCCGGCCCACAGAAUUAGGGCCCGUGGAUGGAGGGACGUAUAAAAGGGAGGAGAGAGAGGGAGAACGCACCUUUUGGAAAUCAGAACGUACGUACGUCUCCCUCUCCCUCUCUCUCUCUCUCUCUCUCUCUCUCUCUCAAAAGGAAAACAGUAAGGCUCCAGCAACGUUUUUUCUUCCCUUCAACCACGAUUUGGCAUCAUCACAUCGAACAAGGGCUAAAUUCUCUUCCUCUUAUCUGCGUCGGUGUUUAAUCUGUGGCUAACAAGGUACGCUUGAAUCCGUGGUGUGCUUGAAUCCGUGGUGUGCUUUAGGAUCGGUGAUACAUGAUUUUCCCGGGCUUGUCUUCCGCAUUCGUUUUAGGGGUUCGAUUUAGUGUCGAAUCCGGUUUUCGGGGAUCCGUUAAUUCCCAACAGAUCUUGUGUGAUAUCAAUUUGAAUAUUUCGUUAUCUAAUUUGAUUGAUUUUUGUUAUCUUUGUCAGUAUUGUCAUAUCCAAAACAAAUUUCGAGCAUCGGUGAAGUAGAAUAAUUUCCUAAUUUUCACAGUCCAAUUUCAUGCACGGAAUACAACUCAUGAUCGCAUGGAAAAUCGGUCAAUCCAAUCUCUCGCUUGAGAUACGACUUGCAAUUGCAUGGAAAAGCACAUGAUUUGAUUUGUUUCGACCGAUUAUCUUAUUUUUCGUUUAGUUGGUGAUGGAGUUUAGGAUUAAAAUGAUAAAGUCAAAUAUGCACGAAUUCACAUUAGUAUUAUGAUGCAAUUAAAUUAUUUUUUUCUCAAUAAUUUUGAAUGAAUAGGCCUCUCUCUAUAUAAUAUAUUUAAAAAUAUUCAUGUGCAAAAGACCUAGUGAAGUCACAGCAAGACUUGCUGAAAGCAACAGACGCUUGGGGGCUGGAAUCGAAAAGUGGCCAAAUAAGAUCGACUGUGUUUAAUUGUAAGAUGAAAAUUACGAAAGUUAUAAGCCGCUAAAGUUAGAUGCCACACACUUCUUAUGGAAGAAAUCUUAUAAAUUUAUUUGGUAAUAUUAUGCUAAUUAUUUGGAAAUUGCAUGCUUGGGUUCCGAAGCUAAGUUAUUAAUUUUAUUUUUGAAUUAAAAAAAAAGAGAGAUUUUGACAAAGGGUUGGGCUUAAACCAGCUCUCACUUGGUGUAAUUAAUUUGGUUUGAGUCAGUUUAGGUUGAUUCAGGCUAAAAACACUCUUAAGCUAUAUUUGGUAGUCUAGAUUUUUUACCAGAAUAUGAUUUGAUAUGAUAAGAUAUGAAAUCUAAGAAUUUUAUUAUAUCCUAUUCACUUUUUGGUGAUUAGAGUAAUAAAAUCAUAUAUAUUUACAUCAUAUUAUGUACAUUAUUUGGUAUAAAUGGCAUAUUAAUAUAAAUAAAUAAAUAAAUUUACAAACGAAAAUGUUUAAAAAUCUCUCAGACCACUCUUGUUUACUCUAUUUUAUUUGCUUGUUUAUUUUAUUUUCCUCUCUUUUUUAUGAAUUUCUUUUUUAUUUCUUUUUAACCCUCCCAUCAUUCUCUAAUAAAGAAAAGCUUUAACCUUCAAAAAUGUUAGGAAGGACUUCAAUUAACACGGAAAUGUUAUAAUUAAAGAGAAAUGAUUUGGUGACAGUUUUUAAUCUACAAUGAGAAUAAAAAUAUGUUCUAGACCACAAAAAAUCAAAUAACAAAUAAUUAUAAAUUGCAGUGGGUUCAUUCCUUCAAGAAUUUGGGGCUCACAAGUUGUUAUUCUCACCGUAGACUAGAUACUGUUAUGCUAGCAAAGCUCUUAAUUAAAUAAUGAAUUUUUGUUCCAUGGUAUCCAAUCUCACAUCAUCCUAAAAAAUUGAAAUUUGAUCAGGCAGAACCUAGCUCUAGAGAAUCAAUUAGGUAGAGAGUGAGAGAGGGGAUAAUAUAAGCCGAUUGCGUAUAUAAAUUAGUUGGGCAUGAAGGCCGAUUGCUUGAUUAUCAAGGCCCAUUAAACACCACUAUCUGAUUUAUAGUUAUGAAAAUAUCCGACUUCUUAACCAACUACACAAACCCUUAAAAAGGGAUUGAGCUUACAAUUUAUGUUGACUUAAUUAACACGUGGCCCAAAAUAUAUUUAACCUUUGUGUCACCUUCUAUAUAAUUUGACAGACCAUGUAUUUUUCAAAUAUUAUUCCAUUGCUUUAGUCAAAACCAACAUCUAUUUUUUUAUUAAAAAGAUGUGUAGAAGUCAUUGGUUUUCUUUCAUAUUCCAAUUUCAAUCUCCCCCAAUGACCACAACCCAUGGAAGAUCCAUAGCUUUCAUACUUUCUUGAAUGUUGGAGAAUCAUAAUAACAUUCGGGUCCCCACAUCCAUAAAACCGAAUUAUGUGAACACAGCAUGGAGUUGAUGAGGGUUUCAAGGGGGCUCACUCGAAAACCCGUCGGAAGUUUCUUGCAUCUUAUUGGAGCAAAUUCAUGGUGUCUUGCUCACUUCCCUUCACCUUCCCAUUACAUUUCCCCAACGAUUCCAUUUAUUUAAUGGAAGAGCAAGUCAAGUCUUGCUGGAUCUCAAAUUUCAAUCAAAGAAUUUGCGUAGGUGACGCGGUGGCACCUUCCACAUAAUGAUGACGAAAUCACCGGUGAGUAGCUCAGCAUUCUUCAAGCACUCAGCAUUGUUCAGGAGCGCACCGUAAAAAAAGCAGGGAUUAGGAGCACCUUUAUUGCAAGUUGGUCUUCUUUUCUAAUUUUUUUCUACUUUUCCUUUAAAAGAAAAAGAAAGUGAAGAAGCACUUGCAUAGGUUCCCCGCAACUUCCGCAUAAUGCUGCGAAUAUUACGCAUGUGAUGACUCAGCAUUCUUUAAGCACUCCGCAGUCAAUACUCUUCAAGCACGCACAGUAAAGAGUGUUUUGUGUUGGUAAUCCAACAUGUAAGGCUGAGGAUCGGAGGAGAUGACAGCACUGAGUGGGUUGUUUUGUUCGAACACUUCUCAGGUUGAUUGAUUUUCGUUAUCUUUGUCGGUCAUAUCCAAAAAAAAAAUUUAGUACUGGUGAAAUAGGAUAAUUUCCUAAUUUUCACAGUCCGAGUUCAUACCCGAAAUAUAAUUCACAAUUGCGCAGAAAAUCAUCCAAUUCGAUCUUACGCUCGAGAUACAACUCAUGAUCACACGAAAAGCACAUGACUUAAUUUGUUUUGACCAAUUAUCUUAUUUUUUGUUUAGUUAGCAAUGGAGUUUAGGAUUAAAUUGAUAAAGUCAAAUAUACACACAAUUCACAUUAGUAUUAUGAUUCAAUUAAAUUAUUUUUUUCUCAAUAAUUUUGAAUGAAUAGGUCUCUCUCUCUCUCUCUCUCUCUCUCUCUCUCUCUCUCUCUCUCUCUCUCUCUCUCUCUCUCUCUCUCUCUCUCUCUCUCUCUCUCUCUCUCUCUCUCUCUCUAUAUAUAUAUAUAUUUAUAAAUAUAAUAAAUUUAAAAAUAUUCAUGUUCAAAAGACCUAGCGAAGUCACUAGAAACUUGCUGAAAGCAGCAAACACGAGGGUGCUGGAAUCGAAAAAUGGCCAAAAUGAGGUCAACUGUCUUUAAUUUUAAGAUGAAUGUUAUGAAAGUUAUGAGCCGUUAAGGUAGGUGGCACACACUUCUUAUGAAUGAGAGUUUAUGAAUUUCUUAGGUAAUGUUAUGUUAAUAAUUUGGUAACUGCAUGCUUGGGUUUCGAAACUAAGUUACUAAUUUUACUUUAGAAUUAAAAAAAAAAAAUCGACAUAGGGCUGGGCUUAAACCAGCUCUCACCUUAUGUAUUUAAUAUGGUUUGAGUCAAUUUAGGUUGUUCAAACUUGAAACACUCAGUCUAUAUGCUCUUGUGUCUAGAAGCUGGGUAAUUCUGAUCGUAUUUCUUUGUAGAAGUUUGCACUUUCAAAAUCUAGGAAGUUAGUAAGUCAAUAGUGUUGUAAGAGAUACUCGUGUUUUGUAGAAUCAUCUACUAAGUUGUAUGUAAAAGUAGCAUCCUUUACAAAACCGUAAAAUCUCGAGUGUUACUCAGCCUUGUUGCGAGAGGAGUAGGUCAGGUGGAAGUUCAAGCCACUAUAAAUCUGUUUUGCAUCUCUUCGAUCUCUCUAACUCCUUUAUUAUCAUUUGGACAGAAAGGUACCGCCUCUGCAUGACUGUUUUCUUCCUACACCAAUACACAAUACCCGUUCUUCAUGAAAAAAAAAUAUUAUUUUACUUAGAACAACCAAUUCACCCUCCUACAGCAGCAUAUUACUUCACAUCUUUUCCAUGAAAGAGUUUCAAUUUUCUUAAAACAAUCAAUUCAACUCUCCUCAAUCGUUGCAUUAAUCGUUUCAUUAAUCUCUUUUGUUAAUAAGAGCAAUGAAAGAUCUAUCUCACUGGCCAAAAUGAAUCUCUUAAAUAAUCCUUUCUAGAUGACCAUCUUAGUAAGUGGGAAAUUACCAAAAUCACAUGACAAUAUCUUUUUGUUCUGGGCUAAUUUAAGGGAACUCAUAUGACACAUACCAUGAUUGACAUUUAAUAGCAUUAGAAUUAAUGAUUAUCUCGUCUGACAUUAUAAAGGACAAUGCAAAAAAAAAAAAAAAAAUUAAGGAGGAAACCUCGUUGAAGCUUCUUGUAGUUGGAGCUACCGAUUGAAAAGAACAAUGCCUGUAGCUUAAAAGAAAAGCUUCAACCUUCAGAAAUGUUAGGAAGGACUUCGGUUAACACAUAAAUGCUUUAAUUAAUUAAUGAAUCUAUGUUCCAGAGCACUUAAUCUCACAUAAUUAAAAACAAGGGAAAUUUGAUCGGGCUGAACCUAGCUCUAGAGAAUCAAUUGGGUAGAGAGCUAGAGAGGGGAAAAUAUAAGCCGGCCGCUUGUAUAAGAUAGUUAGGCACAGAGUCCGACUGCUUGAUUACUUGAAGGCCCAUUAAGCACUACACUUCGAUUUAGAGCAGUUUUAAAUAUGAAAAUAUUCAACUUCUCAACCAACUACGUAAACUCUUAGAAGGGAUUGAGCUUACAGUUUAUGUUGGCGUAAUUAAUACAAGGCCCAAAAUAUUUAACCUUUGUGUCACCUUCUAUAAAGUUGGAAAACCAGAUAUUUUUCAAAUAUUAUUCCCUCGCAUUGGUAAAAAAAUGGACAUUUUUUUUUAUUAGAGGGAUGUGCAGAUAUAUAUGGUUUCCUUUCAUAUUCCAAUUUCAAAUCCACUCAAAGAUCACAACCCAUGGAAGGUUCACAAGAAGUGGAAGAUGCUCUCACUUUAUCAUCUUUUUUUUUAUAUAUAAAUAAUUUCUACCGAGAAGAAGGCAGAACUAAGGCUCAUUUUUAGUCAUCAAUCCACAACAAUCGCGCAUCCAUCUCUGCGGAACUUGCGUCUUGAUUUUAUUAAUCUUCCCAAAAUAUUUAGUCGCCGAUUCUCUUUUGUGGGUCUAAUCCCAUAGCUUUCGUACAUUCUUGAACAUCGGAGAAUCACAAUAACAUUCAGGUCCCCAUAUCCAUAAAACUGAAUAAUGUGAGCACAGCAUGAAGGUAAUGAGGAUUUCGUGGAAGCUCACUCGAAAACCCACCGGAAGUUUCUUGCAUCUUAUGGAAGCAAAUUCAUGGUCACUUCAUGACCCUUUCUGGUGUGGUUUGACAAGUGAUUUUCAUGAAAAAUGCCUCGAAAUUAAAACUGAAAUCAGCUAAAUGUGUAAUAUUUGAAAAAAUAUAGCACUUGAAUAGAUCUGUCAUCACCCAAAAUAAACCCAACAUUUAUUUCAUCGUUUAAAUAGGCAAUGUGAGAUAAUAAUUUCACUAGCGGAGUUUACGCAACGACAUACAUUCAAUUUAACAAUCAAUGUUUAGGCAAUGACCCAUAUUCGAUUUUUAUUUUUAGCAAGCAUUUCUAUUCCAUAAAUGAAGUGAUAUUCUAUUUGUUCGUGUAAAUAGUUAUCUAAAUAUAACUGCUAUCUCUUUAUGUAAAAAUCCUCUUUUGAAAAUCUCAAAAGUUUAUUGAUUAAUGUGGGACAAGUUGCAAACAGUUUCCUAAAACGAUUCCAUCAACAAAUGAAUAGAGUUUAGCAAGACAUUCAUCAAAAUGAAUAGAUAAAAGUCAGCUUGCUACGAGCGAGAGCUAUGGACAAUCUGACAUAAAUUAUGUUGACAAGAUUUUUCAUACGAGAGCCACGGGUUUUAUUUACAGAUACCGGUGAGAUGUUGAAAAUGCAUUUGUCCAAGCCUUUAAGUUAGCUUUGGAGCUAUUCUUGUCAAUCCUCCACAACCUCUACCGAAAUGCACUACUGAAUUCCAGAAAUUCCCUGCUUAGUCACACCAAUUUUCCCAAACUCCCCACAUGGCUUGUGCUUCACACUACUUUACCCUUCCGUUUUAGCAUGCAGCAGCGGAAUCGUGAUGUCCUGCUCGCUUCACCUUCGGCUUCCUAUUACAUUUCCUCGACCAUUCCAUCUAUUAAUGGAAAAGCAAGUCAAGUCAAGUCGUGCUGGAUUCCAAAGUUCAAUCAAAGCACCUGUUACGUGGCACGCACCUUUCGCAUGAUGCUGACGAAAUUACACGUUCAAGCGUGUACUGUAGAAAAAGCAAGGACUAGGAGCAUCUUUAUUGCAAGUGGGUUUUCUUUCCCACUAAGGCAAGUAAAGUCAAGAAGCACCUACACAGGGUCCCUGCAACUUCCACGUAAUGCCAUGAAUAUUACGCGUGCAAUGACUCAGCAUUCUUGGAACACUCUGCAAUCAGUAUUCUUCAAGCAUGUACAGUAAGGACAAACAAGGCUUAAUACUGUGCAAAGGACAAAUGCACUUUGGUGGAGAAGCCGUUGGCUGAAAAUGUUAAUAUGAAAUAAAAAGCUAAGCACCAAAUUAAAUAAAAAAAGGUAACUGGUAUUCACUAAAUAAUUAGUCGAUAGUGCAGAGAACCCACUGGCCAAGAAUUUCUAAAAGUGACACCAAAUGUAUAAACUCGCAACUCCACCAACUCAGGAGGAACCAACUCUAAAUGUCUUGUGAGUCCAUGAAAUGAAAAGAGAAUUGGCGGAGUCACCUCAUGUAAGUAAUUAGAUGGAUUUAACAUAACGCUAGUUGUUGAUUGUGCAAAUAAGAUCAUCAUAAUUUUCUAACUUGCCCUUGCCCAAGUGAUGACAAAUAAAACCUUUCAUAUUUACUAUCAAUCGACUAUUAGUUUCCCCAAUAAUUCUCGUAUAUGGUAGAUUCUCCGGUCAUUACUGAUAUAUCAAAUGUCCGAAUAUGCUUGUAGCUCGAUCCAAAUCUGGAAACAGUCUCACCCAAAUCCAGUCUUUCGUGGAAUGUGUGCACUAAUCUUCGGCCGACCUCACUCCGAGCAUCAGCAUUGGUCGUUGGUUUUCUUUUCAAUUCUUCAUUUACUUGGAAAAGCAAGUCAUGUCAAGGUACAACUACAUAGGUAGGUUCAACGCACCUUUCGCAUAAUAGUGCGGAAAUUACGCCUGCAAUGGUGCUGUUUGCUUUUUAUUUUCUAGUUGUUUUAAUAAUAGAAAAGUCAAGUCAAGUUGAAGUCGUGCUUACUUUAGAAAAAAAGCGCCUGCAUAGGCUCUACGCCCCUUCCGCGCAAUGCCGUGGAAAUUAUGCAUGCAAUAAUUACGCUUUUCGUGCAGCAUGCAUCGCAAUCGCAACGGUUCGAUUAGUUGAAGAUUCUCGGACGGUUGGAUGGCAAGAACUCAGCAUUGUUCAAGCACGCGCAGUAGAGAGCAUUGUGAUGUCAUUUCUCUAACUUGCUGUUGCCGGAUGUGUUCGAUGUUGACUAGCUUUGACAUUUCUCUCAACUCUUGGCAUGUAUGUGAGUAAUACAGAGAGAAGCUUGAAAUAUUGAGGAUGAUGUGUUUCUUCCACGACUCUUAUCAAAUUUCAGAUUUGCCAGAAGUUCUCAGUACAAUGUCUCUUCCCAUUUUCAAUUUACUAUUGGUGCUUCCAAGCGGCAACUUAAGAUGAUUUCUUUGUCUAAUUUGUUUUCACUUUUAUCUUCUAGCUGGCGAAGCAUAGAAACCAUCACAUAUUUCCUAUGAAUCUCAACAUUUGAUUGACUUCAUCAAUCAUUUGUUGUUUGAAAUCCCUUUUCCUUAUGGAGGAAGAUGUAGAGGGUUUAAAUAUCUGUCAUAGAGUGAAAUGAGAAAAGAGUGACUCCUAUGAAAGCCAUCAAAUAAUUCUUGAACUUUAAUUUGUUUCAUGGAACACGUUCGAAUGAAACAACAAAAGUAUGGUUCACUCGUUAAGUUUUCAAUUAUACUUUUAUGGAGAUUUCCAAGUCUAGUAAGUAUCAAAUGUAUCACAGACCCUCAUGGAAGUAUGAGAAGCAACUUGAGUGAAAAGUCAUCAUCUCUUCUUCACUCCAAAAGGUGAUUACUUCAUUGAUAUCGGUGUGUAGAGCUUCGGAUACUUCAUUUCUUUUUAUGUUUUGCAAAUUAAGUGUACAAAAAGGCUUAUGUUGAAUACGAUAGUCCGAAAUUUACAUCAACUCAAAUAAUAUGAAAGAGAAUAUGCACAAAUAUGAAUUAGUUGAUUAGGAACGUCAUGCAGGAUAUGUCUUCAAUUAUAAACUUGUGUUGAUAGAGUGUUUGUACCUAUGAGUAAAGAAGUGAAAACAUGCUGUUAGGAGGUUUUAUAAGCUAAGCUGGUUGUCAGAGCAGCAAAAGUAAGCUAAUAUUAUAUAGCUACAAUACACUAGGUGUGAACGUAGUCACUCCUUAGUGUCGUGUUUAAUGCAAUUCCUCUCCAUUUAAUAACUUCAGUUUUUCAAAUCACAUCUUGUAAUGCUAAAUAAGCUGAUAUUGAAUCCUCGUCUAUCGUGCUAAGAAAAAUUAUAUUUUGGUGAAGAACCUGUUGGCCGAGAAUGUACAUGAAAUAAAAUGUCUGACAAAAGAUAAAAUAAAAAGGGAACAAAAGUAUCACUGAAUUAUUAUUCGACUACGGAGAAUUAUUGGCUGAGAAUUUAUUAACGCGACACUAAAAUAAUAAAAUUUAUGGAAAAUGUUAAAAACUAUUAAUUUAAGGGGAGAGAUAAAAGUGGCUUGGGUGGAGGAUAUCCACUUGAUAAUUUUUAAGCAAAAAGUGGUGUGGAGAAAUCUAGUUUAAGGAAAUUAUUUUGAAAAAAUUUAUAUUGGAGUUACUUUUCUAGACGAAUAAAAAAAGGUAAUGCGUCCUGCCGACUUUUAAUAACAAAAUCCUCUAUAACCCCUAAUUUAUACGCUCUUGUCAUGGGCUCAUGUACAUUAGCAGCAUAUAAGAGAAUGAAAGCAAGUCAAGACGGUGAUGGAUCUCUCCAAUUUCAUUGAAAGCACGUAGAUAUGUUCCCAGUACCUUCCCCGUAAUAUGCUGAGAAUCGGUGGAGAUCACGGCAGAAGCAUGUGAGUACUGCUCGUCGGUUCACUUUUCUACUUUUUCUUAGUUAUAUAAAAAGCAAGUCAAGUCAUGAUGCUGCCGAGCAUUGCGUGUCUCCAAGUCAUGAUGCUGCUUCGACCCACAAAACGAAAAAGUCAUGAAGCUGCGGAAACUACGCGUGCAAUGAUUGUUCUCUCUCCGGCAUGCCUCACAGCAUUUUGAUUGGCCUGAAGAGUCCUGGACCACUGGAUGGCAAGAACUCAGACAUCAUUUGAGCACGCAUAUUAGAGAAUGUUGCGUAUUGGUAAUCUGACUUCAAAGGCUAAAAAUCGGUGGAGAUCCCAGGGUUCUGCUGUUUGAGCAUUCCUCUAGUAAUCAACGACGCCUUCCUCUUUUUCUGUUUCCUGUUCUGAUUGCUCCAUUUUCUUCUGAUGAUUUGUCUGAGAGUUUCUAUUUCUGUUUGAAUGUAGCUUCGUGUUUGACCACUGAGACAUUUCUGCUAGUCCUAGAUCUGGGAUUUUGCAUCUCUCCUCUGUUUCCUCCUCUAUCAAUCUCUUUACGAUCCUUUCGAGAUGAAAAGAAGAGAAUUCACUCAUUUAGAAGAUUCGAUCUACGAGGUGUCUUCCUCAUCGACUUCUCAAAAUGUAGGUGAUUAUGAAGGCGGAACCAAAAGGUUGAAAGGAAAUGAUUACGAAGUGUUUUUGAGCUUUAGAGGGGAAGACACUCGCAAAGGCUUCACUGAUUAUCUCUAUACUAGCCUUGUUGAGAAAGGAAUUCGUGUGUUCAGAGACGACAAUGAGCUUCAUGUUGGUGAGAAGAUUGGUCCGGAGCUUCUUUGCAGCAUUAGGCAGUCCACAAUUUUGAUCCCAAUUAUCUCCGAGAACUAUGCUUUCAGCAAAUGGUGCCUUCGCGAGUUGGCUCAGAUGUUGAAGUGCAAGAGAAGUAGACAACAAAUAGUGUGGCCUAUCUUUUACAAAGUGAAACCCUCGCAAGUGCGCCAUCUUAAGGGGAGAUUCGAAGAUGCUAUCAAGGCACAUAAAGAGAAUGGGGAUGAAAUGGUUUUGAAGGAAUGGAAAAAAACGCUCAAAGAAGUGAAGGAAUGGGAAGAAGCUCUCAAAGAAGUUGGUUCUUUGAAAGGAUGGGAAUCAAAUAAGAUUCAUAAUGGGUACAUUAUUCUUCACCAAAUUGUUGUUUAAUUUCUCACAAAUAGAUCUUUCGUGAUAAAGAACAUAAAUGUGGCCGUUCUAUACUAAAAUUAAUUGUUAUUGUGGCAGGCACGAAGGAGCAUUUGUUAAAACUAUUAUCACAAACGUUAUGAGCGAGUUAAAAAGGCUUUUUCUACUAAAUGUUCCCAAGCAAUUGGUGGGAAUUGAUGAUCGUAUCAAUGACAUUAUGAGCUCAAUAGAUGAUAAAUUAUAUGACACAACGAUUAUUGGACUUUAUGGAAUGGACGGCAUCGGUAAGACAACUCUUGGAAAGGUGUUAUACAACAAGCUCUCUAGUCAUUUUGAGUCUUGUAGCUUUGUGGAAAAUAUUCGAGAAACAUAUCAGCACCAGGGUUUUAAAUGCAUACUGAAAAAACUCAUUAAAGAUAUAAUAGGAAGUUCGAGUCACUUGUCUAGUGUUGAUGAGGGAAUAGGUGUCAUCAAAUCUCUAUUUACAAGAAAGAAAAUCUUAGUUCUACUUGAUGACAUGGAUGGUAGUACUACUCAGUUAAAUGCUUUGGUCAAAGACGGUAGUUGGAUUGGAGUAGGAAGUAUAGUCAUCAUUACAACCAGAGACGAGAGGAUUCUCGAUAAGGCUAAGGCAAGCUACAUGUACCCACUCAAUGAGUUGUCUAUAGAUCAUUCAUUGAUCUUAUUUAGUAGACAUGCAUUUCGAGAGGAUUCUCCUCCGAGUGAUUAUAAGGUUCUCUCUCGUGAUAUCGUAUCUACUACUGGGGGGCUUCCAUUAGCCCUUGAAGUUAUAGGUUCAUACUUAUGUGGAAUGAUAAGAGAAGUAUGGGAAGAUACAUUAGAAAAAUUAAAAAAGGCACCCGAUGAGAAAGUGCAAGAGACAUUGAAGAUAAGUUACGAAGCAUUAGAUCAUGAGCAAAAACAGAUAUUUUUGGAUAUUGCAUGCUUUUUCAUUGGAUCACAUAAAGAAGAUCCAAUUUAUAUGUGGGACGCCAGUGAUUUUCUCCCGAGGAGGGGGAUUGAAGUAUUGAGUCUUAUGUCCCUAAUUAAAUUUGACGAAUACAACAUGCUAGUGAUGCAUGAUCAAUUGAGAGAUCUUGGAAGGGAAAUUGUUCGUCAGGAAAAUCCAAAGGAGCCUCAAAAGCGUAGCAGAUUAUGGAAUUACAAGGAGGCCAUAGAUGUGAUUGAUGGAAACAAGGUAAGAGUUUUCUCUACUUGUUGUAGUAAGUGAAUGUGGUUUCAUCUUCCCUUUCUUGUUUGAAAUAAAUAUACUUGUUGGUCUUGACUCCCCAAAACUAACUGAUUCUACUAGCAAAAGAGUAACAUGAUUAAUUGCUAUUUUUGCUUGAUUCUGGAACAUAAUUUAGGAUCAAUUUCUUGGUUAUGGAUAAAGGAUAUAUAUCUUUGCCCGGUAGAAUUUUGUUCAGGAUACUCUGCUCUUGGUAACUUUAAUGCAACAGCAAAACUACAAAAGCAGAAUGUUUGACAAUUACUUUUAGAGAAAACCUGACAUUUAUAAAUUGUUGCAGCCAUAUUUGUUUGAUGCACAUGUUUGAUGUUUGGAUCCGUCAUUUGGUUUCCAGCGAGGCCUUUUUUUUAUUAUUUUGUGACGAUUUAGCUAUCUUGCUUCCUGUAUUUAUUAAGUUGGGGUAAGUUUAACCCCUAAAUAUUAUUGGCUGUGCAAUUUAGUCCCCCAUUUAUUUUUUGCUUUUACUCAAUAUAGUCCUCUAACUUUCACUUUUUCAUGCAAUUGAUUCAUUUGUGGUCAAUCGUUAGCACUGUCAAUUUGCUAAUGUGGCAUGAUUAACUGCGUAAUUUAACCCUCUAAACAUAUAUUAUUUUCAUUGUAUAUACUUUUUAGGAUAGUGGAUAGUUUCUUUUUAUGAAUCUGGUAAUACCUUUUCUCUUUGUGAUAAUGGAUGAUUUUUUUAUUAAUCUCCCAGUAUUAUUUAUUUGCUAAAUGUAGGCUAUCAUGUUAUAAUAAUAAUUUGUUUAUUGUUCAAUUCUUGGUGAGAAUCUUACUUAGCAAAGAUAUAGUCAACAUUAAAAACAUUAUCUUAUUUUUGUGAAACGAAAACUAGUUUGAGGUAAAUGUGACACGGGUCUAUCAAUUUGGAACUUUUUGCGACAUUAAAAUUAGUGUAUGGUAAAUGUGGAACAAAUCUAUGGUUUGAGACUUUUGGCAUUAUUAACCGAGGUAUAUAUGGUUUUGAAUUUUGUGUGAUGAUAAAUUUUCAUUAUCAGCAUGAAAGUUAAAAGGGAAUCCACUAAAAGCAAUUAUAACAUAUGGAAGAUUUGUACCAGCAUCAAACAAGCAUGUGAAAAUGGCCACGAAAAUCGUUAAUUAAGAAAAACUAAACACAAGCAUGGGGAUGCAAAACAUAAUGAUAAACCAAAACUAUUGAAUAAAUGCUUCCAAUACUUUCGGCGAGCAUAUUUUCGCACGAAGGAAAAUGUAAUUAACUGAAUAGAACAUUGCUUAGAAGUGAAAAAAAAAAUGGUAUCUAUGAAGUUGUCGACAAAAACAAUAAAGACACAAGAAACUUUUAAUGAAAAAACAAGUAGGGAUUCAUAUGAAAGAAUAAAAGUUUGAAGGAAAAGUUGAAACCACCAAUGUGUAAUUCGUCACCUAAAACAAGAAACAAAUUUGAGUUUGUAAAAGAUUAGGUUACAAUAAAAGAAAUAUGCAGAAGACUCGAGUUCCUUACUAAUACAAAUUUUAUCAACUUUUAUGUCCAAUCUGUUCAUACAGAAGAUCUCAUUAAUCCAUGGCAAAAUUGAUCAAAAUUAGAUGACUACCACUUCAAAAUAAAAAAAGCAACAUGACAACGAAAAUAUAGCAUUAAACAUUUGUAGUGAUAAAAAGAAAAGUAAGGAUCAUGUAUAGAACAUUUGAUGUUAUUAAUUUUCCUUCCACAUACAACGAAAACCCUCGUUGAGGGAACACACAAUGAGAAAGGAAUGUAAAACAUACGUAUCUUUUGCGAUGACAUUCUUGUUUUCAUUUUGACAUUGACAAUUGCAAACAAAGUAAACACCAAAAGUGAGGAAAUUCUACAAUUGGGAUUCUUUAAUUUUGAUACUUAUAUCGAUGGGAAGUUUGAUAGAUGCACUUGGAUGGUUAGAGUUGUAUUGGUUUGCAUAUACAUGAUAGGAGUAAAGGAAGUGUUAUUUCACAUAUAAAGGGUAUGAAUUUUGAUAAAUAUAUAUUUGAAUUACAAUAUGCAUGAAGAGAGGCCUUCAAUUGUAUUUGCAAAUGGACGCAAAUUUUGGAAAUUCAAAAGGUGCAAAAUGAGAAUGGUAUAGGUGGAUGAGGAAAAAGUUUGGAGACAACCACUUGAGCUUCUCAUCUUUACAUAUAUUAGAUAAAUAAAAUGCAACUACAACCUUUCAUUUCGCAAAAAUGAAAGGUAAAAGCUUACGCCAUAGUAGUAUGAUAGCAAAUUGAAAUCAAUGCAUUUUAUUUUAUAUCAAUUGGUAUCAUCUCAUCAUUCAAAACUUAUGGUCCACAAUGUUUCCAAGUUGUAGGGCACCAGAAAGAUCGAGGCCCUUUCUUUUAGCAAAUGUCGUAAGGGAAGAAGAUAUGCAGCCAAACAGUUUAAAAAAAUGACCAACUUGAGGUUCCUUCAAGUGGAUGGUGCUAAUUUCACUGGAGAUUUCCAAAGCUUACUUCCUGAGUUAAGAUGGCUUUGGUGGAAUGGUUGUCCCUCAUAUUUCACUAUGGCCAACUUUCAUCCAAAGAAAUUAGUCGUACUCAAUCUGUCAAAUAGUGCAAUUUCGGAGGAUUGGGAAGGAUGGGAUUCACUCAAGGUAAGACAUAAAGAAGGCAUUGAAGUAUUUUUUAACAUAACUUCUUUUUUCCUUGUACAUUUGAAAAUUUAUUUUCAUAAUUAAAUUAGCCGUUUCUCCUUAAUUUGAUACUAUUGAAGGAAAACAUAGUGCCCGAUUAAUGUAUCUCUCUUCCACUUGAAUUUGUCAUCUAGUUUUUUUAUAAUAAAAGUUGCUUAUGUCUAAUUAGAAAAUAUCUCAUUUGAAAUUUUAUUCGAAAAUAAAUGCAAUUAGCACUCGUACACUCUAAUAUUCUUUUGCAAUUGAUGUGCUUAAAAAACAUUUAUCUAUUGACGGGACCAAACAUUACGAAAAGAGGCAUUUAAAAUUAAAUAAGACAACCGUGAAAGAGUAGAGGAGCAUGGGUAAUUUUUUAGGAAUUCUAAAAUGUCAAAAACAUGAGUAGCAAAAAAUCACAGGUUGCGACAGUCCAAUUACAUUGACGUAUCCUUUCUUUCUUCCAGAUGGCAACCGAGCUCAAAGCUCUCUUCCUCGACUUUUGUCAAUUUUUGAAAAGAUCUCCCGACUUGUCCACUUUCAAAAGGUUGGAGAUUUUACAUCUUGCAUUUUGUAAGAAUCUAGAAGAGCUUCAUCCUUCUAUUGGAAAUUUGGCAUCAUUGAUCGAGCUAGAUUUAUCAUGCUCAUCGAUUAUGAAAUUACCCAAAAGCAUUGGGAAUUUGCAAAAUUUGAGGAUCUUACGUAGUGAUAUGUCUAACAUAACGGAAUUGCCUUAUGCCAUUGGGACGUUGGCAAAACUCCAACAGUUGGAAGUUGGUAAUUGCCCAAAUCUUAAGCGACUACCUAGUAAUAUAUGCAAACUGAUUUCGCUAGAGGAGCUUUCCGUUUCAGGUUGUAAAAAGAUUCAGAAAUUACCUGAACUGCCCUCCGGCUUAACCGACCUAUUGAUCACCUGCCAGGGGCAGUCUUUGCCCCAUCUUUCCCAGCUAAUCCGUCUCAAGAUACUCCUUAUUGUUGGUUGCGGUCGGCUUGAAUGUGUCCCAGAGCUUCCCAUUGGACUAUCGGAUCUUCAAAUUAGACAAUGUGGAAAAUUGAAAGCCUUGACGAAUUUGUCAGAAUUGAAACACUUGCGAUAUUUCCAUAUAUUUAAAUGCCCAUCUCUGGAACGAUCGCCCGACGUGUUGAAUUUUAGGCGUACGCAGAUGAGAGAACUUGGCUUGAAAGAGAUCCCCGACUCUUUUUGGGGCUUAGAAUUCAAGCGUUAGCAGACGUGAAGAGCUACGGGGGGGUGGGGUGCAGAAGAGAAGGAGGGCUAGACGUCCGUGAAUCUCUCUCUCUCCGUCGCUACUAGUCAGUCGCCCUACUGGUUUCCAAGGCCCGAAGAUCGAAGCCAUCGUUCACACCGCCCAUCCACCGCAGGCAAGCGGGCAGGUCUGUCGGCGCGAUGGCGACGGCGACGAGGCGACGGCGACGAGGCGACGCCACGGCUGGCAACGCCCUCUCCAUCCACUCCAGGUAAACGCACCCACGCAUGCGUCUCUCCAGCUUUCCUGCGGUCUCUCAGCUUCAGCUGCAUUUUAGAACCCCGGUCAGACUGCGUCACUUCGGCCCGCGAGCUCAUCGAUUGUUCGGAUUGGAGAUUUUAGUUUGCUCGUAGUAGCUAGUGCAGUAGCUUUCUGGGAAUUGAUGGGAUUUUUCCCCCAAUUUUCAGGUGUUCUUGGCGAUGUUUCUGUUCGUCUAGUGUACUGCGAUAGAUCUGAUGGAUAAGACCACUUAUAGAAAGAAGAAGAGAGACUCCGAAACGAUGGUGCUCGCGGACUUUUGAGCCGAUUCCUCGAGCUCGCCCUUCCAAUUUCGAUGCUUGAUUCGCCUACUUGGGUACUUCUUUCUCUUUUUUCUUGAAUGAUGAUGAAAGGAAGGUUGGGGUUGAUAUUCCUGUGGAAGUUUAACGGUGGCGCCUCUGUAUGUGUAUACAAAGAGAUAUGCAAUAAAGCGAAGAGAUUAGCCUGUGGAGAUAUCCUUUCUGGCAGGGUAUAAGUGAGUCUUCAGCGCCUGACCGCUUAGCUUUGGAGCAGACAGGGAACUCAACAAGUACAAGUCAGUAGCUGUGGCAUGUGGAUGAGCUGAGUAGGAAAGUGGUGCACAAAGCUCUGGAUAAGCUGGACAUAGUUGUUUGGGGUACUAUCUAGGAAAAUACUUUGGACUUGUACAUCUACAAGAUGGGCCCACCCUCCUUUUCACUUGAAGAGAAAAAGGCGCUGUCUUAGUGAAGUAAUUUUUUUUUGCUUUAUCGCCUUUUCAGGGUUUAGUGAAGUCGGGAGUUGGGGCUCCUCUUUGUUUUUUAUUCUGCUUAGUAGAUGUGUUUUUGGGGUCUGCAUUAUCUUUUAUAGAGAUGGAUAGGUAUUUCCUCGUUGCCUUACUUAUACUUAUUGCAUAACAAGGAAACCGAGGAGAAAAGAAAUUGAGAUUGGGUGCCGGAGGAGCGAUUUUUAAUACUAAUUCAGGGUAGAUGUUCGUCUACCCACUGACAAACUAAUAUGCAAUCAAUUAAAAAUGAACUAUGAGUACGGGUUGUAAUUGCAAUAAGGGUUUGCCGCUGAGUUUCUCCCUUCCAUGAACAUAGCAUGUGUUACGUUUGCUGGAGAAAGAAAUAUUGAAAAAAGUGCAAGCCAAGAUUAUUGUGUUUGGUCACCUACCUGGUUCUUGGGGCUUGAACUUUCGUCUCUGCCUUCCUCUUCAAGUGAUAUAAAGGAGUCACAAUUAUUUGAUGACACUGAUACUUGGAUAUUCAUACAUUUAAAUUGUUUUACCUGUAUUUAGUUGCUCCCAAACUUUCUUGUAAUGAAAGAAAUAUCUUACACACAUUAUUAGAGGUAAAUUGGUCAUCGAGGAUAACCUAUGUCCGAGUAUUUGCCUUCUCAUCUCUGCUUUUAGGUGAAAAGCUAGUGGAAUUUUCACUCUUCAUUGAUGGUAUUUCAUUGUUGUGGUAUGCUGAAUGCUGAUAAGUUCCUCUGGAUUAGUCAGAGCAUGAUGAUUGGUGGCUAUUAAUUAUACCCAUGCGAGAUCUUUACCUUGAAAGUUGGUUUAAGGAUUGCUAUCUAUCUAGAAUGCAAUUUAAAAGAUGGAAGUUGGUCACAUCAAAAUCAUUCCCAGUUUUGAUCAGGAACGGGAUCGUUGGAGAUGUGGAAUGGGAUUCUCACUCCUUGUCCCAGAUAUCCUACUUUGCCUAUUUAAUUGGGACUCAAUCUCAUAGUAAGUCAAAUGAAGCCCCAGUUCUCAUUGUGCAUGACCCAUUGUACGUCUAAAACAAUAUUUAAAGGCCAAACCUACUAAGUCAGGCUAACUUUGGGGAUUGAAAUACAAGGGGACUUAAAAUGAGAAUGAGGUGUUGCCCUCAUCCUGAAUUAGAUUGCAUGGAAGAUUUGAUGGCUGGUUAUGACAAGGCUGAAGAUACUUUCGAUACAGACUUGGGAGAGUCCAUAAGCUUUCAACUGGAUUAACCUUUUAUUGCUGGAGUUGGAAGUGGUAUCUACAUUCAUGAGAGGGUGCGGUAAAUAGAAGGUCUGCUGUGCCUCCGCAAACAGCAGUGCAGCACAAUGCCCUAACCUUUGUAUGGCAGCAUCUCUUCUGGCUGGGGACAGAGUUCGUUUUUCACAUCAUAUCAUAUAGCUCUUCACCUUGUCUAUUUCUUUCAUCCUCUUGUCUUCCUCUUUUCACUGCCAUCGUCUGGUUUUGCAUUCGUUUUGCUCACUUUUGUACUUUUGCCCCAAUGCUUCUCGAGAUAGCUUUCUCGAGAGGUACAGGAGCUUCCUCAGUGGUGUGCUUCUGUUGUGGUGGUUCUUGUGCUUUUGAUUUCUACAUUUGAGCUUCAUUUCCCUUUUUUAAAAGAUAACAUGUAGGUAUUAGUGCAGAAAAAAAGAUUAACAAUCUAUUUCUUUAGAACUUAAUUUUCUGUAGAGUCUUAUGAUCAUUGAUCCAAAGUAUGUUCCGAUUUCAAUCAUGUGGGAUUGAUCUUAACAACCUUUAACUUGAGGGUUAAAUUUAUAUGUAUUUAUACUACAAGGACUGCCUCGCAUAUGCGAACUGAUUAAAUCUUCAACUGUUGUUUUGGUGUAGCUGCGAUGUGACAUCUAUGUAUUACUAUCUGAAAAAUGAAUGUCCUUAGCAUAUCUAUAUGGGAAUUGGUUCUAGGCAAUCCAUCAAGAUUCAAUAUCUUAGUCUUAGGGCUUGUGCUUUACUAUGGUGGAAUCCUCUAGAAUCUAGUAUGGUGGAAUCCACUGGAAUCUAGGAUUGUGGAAUCCUCUUCUGUUUCUCACCUUGUGUUUCUUGAUUCUUUCACAAGAUUGCCCCAGAUUUUUACUGAUUCUUGUUCUUCUACCUUCGUGUGAAUCACAUACAUCUUUUCGGGUCUAGUACAGGACAUGUUUCAUGAUAUGUCCUUUAUGGGGAUAAUGGUGCAUGUGCCGUUUGCAAGUUUUCAAUUGGCUGGGAUUCUCUUGAUACAGAUACCUAUAUUCAUAUUGCACCUUCCUAUUAUCCCUUUUGAUUUCUUCUUUGACUAUUUCUUCAUGCUAGAAUGAAACAUCUUCCGUGCUGUUAAUCAAAUCAGUUCAACUCUAAUAAUUGUGCUCUAGGCAGAAUCAAGUCAUUGACUUGAUUAGAUGGUGACCAAUGUGCCGCUUUUUUCUCAUCAACAGGCUGUGACAGCAAUGGUGUAGCAGACUAUGCAAUAUAUUGACCAGACACCUGAUUUUGAGACAAUGAUAGAGCUUAUUGAGACACUGUACUCUAUUGCCCUGUGAUGGUUAGUAUGUGAAAAGAAACCCUAUUGCAGAUUAUGUUUAUGAGCAAUCUUUUUUUUUUUCCCCUUCCCCGUGGUUUCUAUAGCUAGUUUCGUUAUGCAGAUAUAUGUCAAAAUUGAGAGAGCACCGUCAAUUAAGAAGCUUGCAAAAGUAAAGGAAGAACAGGUUCUUAUAGCAGAAGCUAUUGACUUUAUGCAGGAAAUUGCAGUAACUAGAAGCUGACUACUGUUGUCCCUGAUCUUGUAAUUGAUUUUUCCUUGUCCAACAUUCCUAUGAUGGGUUUAAAUUGCAGGUAGAAACUUUUGAAGCAAUGGCAGAGACGGAGAAAGUUGCCUUUAUCCUUGAACAAGUAAAGGUUUUCUGUAUUGCUUUAAGCUGCUUAUGCACUAUUGCUAAGAUUGGUUUUCUAAUCGAUGGAUUUUGCAGGUUCUUUGUGCUUAGAUCACAGGGAUUAUGUCCAUGCACAGGUCCUUUCCAGAAAGAGAAGCUGUUGACUUUAUGCCGGAAAUUGCAGUAACUAGAAGCUGACUACUGUUGUCACUGAUCUUGUAAUUGAUUUUUCCUUGUCCAACAUUUCUAUGAUGGGUUUAAAUUGCAGGUAGAAACUUUUAUGUUGUGUCCACUAUCUUUUAACUAAAUUGUUUUCACCAAUCAAUUGCUACCUGGUAUUCAAGUUAGGGUUCAAACCAUGAACUUCUAUGGCUUUAUUUAGUUGGUACAUACUCUUCUUCCUUUCUAGCUUUACAGCAAACUCUGACGAUCAAGAUGUGCUUAAUGGAUCUAAACAUACAUCUCAGUUUACCUAGUGUUCAUGUUGUUAAUGAUGUAGGUAUUGCUCACAUCACAACAAUUACCUCAAGAUAUGUUGAUGCUAUAAGGCCACACGGUGAAGGGAAACCCAGAGCAAUUGAUACUGGUGAAGCUCUAUUGUUGUUGAGUCUUCACUGAGUGUUUUGAGGCACGGCUGUAGGUUCUAAGGAAAAUCUACUGGUACUUGGUUCUAUCACCACAUAAUCCUAUGUAGUCAAGCCUUCUUAAUGCCGCUUUAAGGAUCAAAAUCUCUCAUAUAUUACCCAAUUCAGGUACCAUUUUUGAAUUGUUCUGGGUAAUUGGUUGUACAUCUUGCAACAUCUCAAUAACGUGCCAUAGAAUUUGGUUGACCAUGCCUUUGUUACUUCAACGCAGGUUGCUUCUGAAACAAUUGGUCACACUAGAGGCUAUCCAAUGGACUGCUCUUUGGAGUACUUUUAAAGAUGAAUUUGAGAAUGAGAAAAACAUGCUCGGAGGUGCACUUGUUGAGAAGGCAGCAGAAGAUCUUAGACAGAGAAUCAUUAAACGUGUAAUUACAGAACUUUGUCAUUUGUGACUCACUCUAUUUUCUGCAGAAUAUUAUUGUUGUUUCAAAGUAUUACCCGAGGAUUAUUUUAAAUAGACUUCCAGAGCUGUGAUGCCUUAGUAUUUAGAUCUGAUUAUGGGGAACAUUGGUUUAUGUUUUCUUAUCAAUGUCAUCUUUAUGAAUGAUUUUCAAGACCCCACAUUUAACCCUGAGCAGCCUCUCUGCCUGUAAUCCCUGAUUGCGACAUGGUUGCCGGACUUGGAUACAAAUUCUAAAAUAGUGGAAACGAGGUUUAGGUACCUUGAAAGCCGAAGGCUUGUCAUACUAUUGAAAAUGUUGUCUUUGUAGUUUCGUUCCGUAAACAUUUCUGAUCGACAUAUACGUGUGCACUUGGCUUAGUCAACUUCUGCUCAUAAAAUUUUUAGCUGUGUGAUUGUCUGGUAUUGUGAAACCAUUUCUUGUCCCAUGGAGCCGAUGCCCUUUGGAAGGGUGGGAGGAGCUGUGCUAUAUUGCUAAAAUAGUUAAGCAAGUUUUUUCUGCUAGUAUUAGCACUCACCGUUUCUGGCAUAUAAAAGUAUGUCCCACUGUUGGAGCUUUCUUAAUGUGUUUAGAAAACCUACGUGGCUGAAUCACUCAGGGAGAAGAGCUCUCUUCUCGGGUUUCUAUUACUGCUGUUGUAGAGCAUUUUAAUCGUUCACAUGCCUCAAUUGAUAAAAUCAAUGCUAUCAUCUAAUAGAAAGAUCGCCCGACGUGUCGAAUUUUAGUAUUCGAGCGUUAGCAGACCUCAAGAGUUAACCGUGGGGGGGGUGUUGCAGAAGAGAACGACGGCUGGAUGCAACGCCCUCUCCAUCCGCUCCAGGUAAACACAUGCACGCGUCUCUCGAGCUUUCCUGUGGUCUCUCAGCUUCAGCUGCAUCUUAGAACCCCGGUCGGACCGCGUCACUCCGGUGCGCGAGCUCAUCAAUUGUUUGGAUUGGAGAUUUUAGUUUGCUCGUAGUAGGUAGCCCGAUAGUUUCGACAGCAAUUGGGUAGGCGGUUGAAGCAAAAAGUCGCGCUGGCUGCCAAGGUUCUGUCGAGAUUUGGUGAGUUGACCAAGGUCACGAGCUUAGGUUUGCUGUUUUUGAGCUGAGGCUAGCACGUACUGUUUAGUCAAAUUCCUGCAUUAGUGACGCUGUGAAAGCUCUAAAUCGGCCACGAGUAGAUGUGUGGGGGCGUGAUGCAGAUGAUCGAUCAAUCGCAUUUGAAGUUUAGAGUCGAUCCAUCUCAUGACGUAAAUUUGCAAUUGCAGAUAGUUGGGGUGGCGGUGUUCAGUUUCCUAGCAGUGGCCUUCUACAUCUUCCCAGGACUGUUGCUUGGGAGUAGAGCCGCUGAAAUCACUGUGAUGACAAUAGUCUCUUUUGUGGUAAUUCCCUUAGCGUUUACUUUGUGCCAUGAUGACAUUGAUUGCUUUUCUUUUGUCAGUUUUAGGGAAUUGAAUUAUAAGGGGAUUAUAAAUGAGAAUGAGGUGUUGCCCUCAUUCUGAAUUAGAUUGUAUGGAAGAUUUAAUCGGUGGUUGUGGCAAGGUAGAAUAUACUUUAUAUACAGACUUGGGGGAAUCCAUAAUAACCUUUUAUUGAUGGAGUUAAAAGUGGGCUCUACCUUCAUGAGAGCUUGGGUUGGGGUAGAUGGAAGGUCUACUGUGCCUCCACAAACAAUAGUGCAGCACAGUGCAGUACAAUGCCAACACCUUUGUACGACAGCCAUCUUUUCUGACUGGGGACAGAAUUCUCUUUUACAUCAUAGCAUAUAGCUCUUUACCUUUUCUAUAUUUUUAUCCUCCCGUCCUCUUCUUUUCACUGCCAUUGUCUGGUUUUGCGUUUGUUUUAUUCUCCUGUACUUUUGCCACAGAUGCUUCUCUAGUUAACUUUCUCUAAGAGGCAUGAGAGCUUCUUCAGCGAUGUGCUUUUGCUGUGGUGGUAUUAGUGCUUUUGUCUUCUACUUUUGAGCUUCAUUCCCUCCUUUUAAAGAUAACAUACACGUGUUAGUACAGAAUUAAGAAUUUGAGAAUCUAUCACUUUGCAUCUUAAUUUUCUGUAGUCUUAUGAUCAUUGAUUCAAAGUCCAAUUUCAAUCAAUUAGGAUCAAUCUUAACAACCUUUACCUUACGGGUUAGAUUUUAUACUGUAGGGAUUGGCUCCCAUAUGAGUACUGAUUAGAUCAUGAAAGGUCGUUUUUGUGUAGCUAUGACAUGCCACCUAUGUAAAACUAUCUAAAAACUGAAUGCGCUUGGUGUAUCUACAUAGGAAUUGGCUCUAGGCAAUCUGUUGGGAUGCAAGAUCUCAAGCCUGGUGCUUGUUCUCUAGAAACUAGUAUGGUGGAAUGCUCUAGAAUCUACUAUUGUGGAAUUGUCUUUAGUUUCUCACCUUGUGUUUCUGGAUUUUCUCCCAUGAUUGCCCCAAGUUUUUACUUUUUGUUCUCCUACUCAUGUAAUCUCAUUACUUUUUUUUCAUGUCCUGUUCAUGAUAUAUCCUUUAUGGGGAUCUUGUGGUGCUUGUGAUGUUUGCAAGUUUUCAAUUGGCUGGGAUCCUCUUCAUAGAGAUACCUGUAUUUGUAUUAUACCUUGCUAUUGUCCCUUUUGCUUCCUGUUUUUACCAUUAUUUCAUUCUAGACUGACAAAUUUUCCGUGUUGUAAGACCCUACUUAUAGCAGAAGCUACUGAUUUGAUGCAAAAAAUUUGAAUAACAAGAAGUUGACUUCAGUUAUCACUGAUCUUGUACUUGGUUUUUCCUUGUCCAACAUUCCUAUAAUGGGUUUGAAAUGCAGGUAGAAACUUUUGGAGCAACGGCAAAGACCUGGAAAAUUUCCUUUAUUUUUGAACAAGUACGAGUUUUUGUAUUGCUUUUAGCCAUUUAUGCACUAUUACUAUGAUUGGUUUUCUGAUUGAUGGAUUUUGCAGGUUUGUCUAUGCAUAGAUUGCCAGGAUUAUGUCUGUGCACACAUCCUUUCUAGGAAGAUCAGGCCCCAAGUGAUCAAUGCAGAUCCUUCCAAAGAGAAGAAUAAGCCUAAAGAAAGCGCCAGCUGAUAUUCCGUCUCUUCUGGAGUUGAAACAAUUAUACUACGACUCAUGACACGGUAAACUUGUGUUUCACUUUUUCUAAUGUUGUAUCUACUAUCUUUUAACUAAUUUGUUUUUGUCGAUCAAGUGGCACCUGGUAUUCUGGACCAUGAACUUGUAUGGCUUUAUAUAUCUAGCACAUACUCUUCUUCCUUUCUAACUUUAUUGCAAACUCUGACUUCCAGAUUUACUUGAUGGAUUUGAACUCGCAUCUCGAUAUAUCUCGCAUUUAUGUGGUUAACGAUAUCGGUAUAAAUGAUUACCUUGAGAUUUGUUGAUACUGUAAGGCGAUAUAUGAGAUUCCAUUAGUGAAGGGCAACCCAGAGCAGUGGAUAUCGGUGAAGCUCUUUCCUUGUUAAAUCUUUACUGAGUUUUUCAAGGCACAAUUGUUCAUUCUGUGAUUUAAUGAAAUGCAGGUUCUAAGGAAAAUCUGCUCGUACUUAGUUCUAUCACCACAUGAUCCUGUACAAUUAAGCCUUCUUAAUGCCACUUUAGAAAAUAAACAUCUCUCAGAAAUUCCCAUUUCAUCUUUGAAUUGUUUUAGGUUAUUGGUUGUACAUCUUGUAAUAUCUCAAUAAUGUGCCAUAGAAUUUGGUUGACCAUGCCUUUGUUAUUUUAACACAGGUUGCUGCUGAAACAAUUGGUCAUGGUGGAGGUUAUCCAAUGGACACCUCUUUAAAGUACUUUCAAAGAUGAAUUUGAGAAUGAGAAAAUGUGCUAGGAGGUGCACUUGUUGAGAAGGUAGCAGAAAAUCUUAGACAGGGCCCAAUCAUAGUCAAAAGAAGAAUUUCUGCUUCUCCUGGGUGAGACAAGCUACCUUUGGCUAGGGGCCUCAUCAGAGAAUCAUUGAACAUGUAAUUACAGAACUCGUUGUUUUUCUUCUUUUAAUUGGAUCAUCACUGAGAUGUGACUCACUCUAUUUUGUGCAGAAUAUUAUUGUCAUUUUGAAGUAUUGCUGGAGGAUUACCUUAAAGAGACUUGCAGAGCUGUUAUGCCUCAGUAUCCAGGUCUGAUUAUGUGGAACAAUUGUUUAUGUUCAUUAUCCAUGUCACUCUUUAUGAAUGAUUGCCUAGACCCCUCAUUUAACCCCGAGCAGCCUCUCUCCCAUGAUCCCUAAUUGGGGCAUGGCUGCUGAUCUUGGAUACAAGUUCCAAAUGUGUAAAGAGGUUUUGGUGCGUUGAAAGCCAAAGGCUUGUCAUGGAUUUGAGAGUGUUGUCUUCAUAAUUUUGUUUUGUACACUUGGCUUAGUCAACUUCUUGUUGUAGUUGUGUCAUUUUCUAGCAUUAUGAAGCCAUUUCUUGUGCCAUGGAGCCUGAAAUUCUAAUGCACUUUAUAAGGGUGGGAGGAGCUCUGUUAUAUUGCUAGAAAUAGCUAAGCUAGCUUUUUCUGCUAGUAUUAACACUCACCAUACCAUUUCCUGCGUUACAAAAGUAUAUCUCGCUGGAGAUCUUGAUUAAUGUGUUUAGGAAAUCUUUGAAGUUAAAUCACUCUAGGAAAAGAGCUUUGUUUUUGGGUUCUCUUACUACUGUUGUUGAGAGCUUUAAUCAAUCACAUGCCUCAAUUUAUUAAAUCAACGCUAUCAUCUAAUAGAGAGACCAUAUAAUGAUAAUUAUUCAAGCUUUUGUGAUAUUCUAUCAGCAUGACCUCUUACUUCUAUAUUACCAUUUUAGGAAGCUGAGAAGCAUCUCUCCUUGAUGGUUGUUUCCAAGUCCCUAAUGGCAAAGAUAGACUGGCCAAAGGGAAUUGUUAGUUUCAAAAUGACAAAGGACAGCAAUGAGAUUUUAAACUUAGAGGAGACAAUUUUGGAAAAGCUGCUUCUUUUUGUUAAGAAAAGUUGCCACCAAAUCCCAAAGGAAACUGCAGUUCAUAAGGCUGCCUCAAGAGCUUGAAGAUGUUUUCAUUUGAAUGAAUGAUCUCUCCUCAAUGAAUGCUGUUUCACAUUGUGGUCCAAAGUGUGGACGGGAGAUAUUCAUCAUUGAACUCUCACAUGGCUGUCUUAAACUUGAUUGCAUAUUUUGCAAGAUGACCAGAUCUUGGCUUUGUUUCGGAUAUACUUAAUACGCUUUCAAAAUAGGAAUGUAGUUUGGUUUUUUCAACUUUCCUCUUUCCCCCAUCAUUUUAAUUGAAGAUUUAUGGGCUCAGGUCCGAAACUUAUAUCAAUGGAACAGGUAUUAGCACAAGAUGUGCACUCAUUUGGACUGAAAUAAGUGCCUCGUUACUAAAUUCUGUUUCGCAUUACAAAUGUUGCUAGUGCUUGUGUUUUUCUAACAUCGUGAAUAACAUUAGCUCUCCCUAGUAAAGGCUUAACGAAUGGUACUUUUUCCAUUUUAUUUCACAUUUGAAAUGAGCACCCUGUUUCUAGAGAACUUCAUUCCGAUAAGAUAACUGCACAUUUUAUCUCUUCGAGAGACGUUUUUUUUCUUCAAGUUGAUACUUGAUAGAAGAUGGAGCUUGUUUUUUAGAUUUCCAGCUCCCUUAUUUUCUUCAUGGAAACUGAAAAAUUUGGGAAAAGCUAUGGCCAUGAUAUCUUUUGGCUAUGAAAAUAGUUGUGCCCCAUAAGUGAAAAGCACCAUUUUACUUUCUUCACCAAGUAAACGUAUUUAUUAUUUUGUUAGAGAAUGUGAUUAUAGAAAUUACUUAGCAUAAUUUAAAGAAAAUUCAUGAUUUUUACUAUAGUAACUUUUCUUGUUAUAUGUGCCGUUAAUGGAUUGGAAAUUACAUAAAUCAUCAUAGAUACACUUAAAAGUUAUUCUUGAGGUCCUCAUUAACACGAUCAAUCAUUUAGGAGAAAUAAAAAAAAUUUCUUCAAAAUUUGAUCCUCAGUUUAAAGCAGCCUGGAACUUGUUUUACUACCUCUAGUUAACUUAAUUAGUGUUGUAGUGUAAUUAUCAACGCCUUAUUUCAAGUGCAGGGAAAAUUCGAGAUAACGCAAAAAUCAAUUUUUUGGUCAAUAUUUGAAGAUCUCUUUUUGUCCCAUACUUGAGAACUAAUUAAAAUUCUGAUAGGAAAAAGAUUACUAUAAAGCAUUCAAAACAUUUGAUUUGACAAAAAUUAAUCAUUACGGUAAGGGUGGUGAUCGUAUACUUGAAGAAGGAGGCUCCAUCGAUUUUAAUCGACAAUUUUCCACAAAUUAGAGCGGUACCAAUUUGAAAACCCUAAUGCAUUUUCGCUUUUUUGUUUCUUUAUAGAACCUCAAGCCCCAUCUUCCCUUUCUUUUAUACAAUUCUCUCAUUUUCAAUUUGUUUUUUCCUAUUUUUGCCUUUCCGUCCUACCAAUAAUGGCGUCAUGCCUUGCCAGGGAGCCGCUUUCCCGGGAGGCCGCCUUGCCUUCGCGAGCGACCCUCCUCUCUCCGCGUGCUACGAUCUUCGGAGAUGAAAAAACGUGACCCCAAAUUUUACUUUCCUCCUUAGAGGUUCGAGUUCGGCCCAUGUCGAGAAAUCGCGAUGGUUUCUGAAUGUGGGUUUCUCCGUUUGCGGAUUAAAAUCAGCGCGGCUGAGACGAGAAGUACCAGCGAGAGGAAAAGCGCUCGUCCCUACCGAUCUGAGCAUCGCAGUACCCGAAGGAACAUGUGCUCGAGUAGCUAAUGUGCAGCUUCUCAUCUCGAAACAUCGUCUCAAUACCUUGUUUUGGAUGAUUGACGAGGGCCGAAUCGAAUCGCGUGUGCAUCUGUUGCUUCAGCACCUGAUAUCGGGUUUGGCGUGGAAGCAUUAGAUCGACGUCUGUGUGGGCGUGAUCGAUGCGGACUACAGAGGCCCGGUUGGGGUGAUCCUGUUCAAUUACUCGGACGUCGACUUUGAAGUGAAGGUGAGUGACAAGACCGCGCAACUGAUCCUUAGUCCGUGAUGAUAGAGAUAAGGCAUAUUGUUUAAGUUAAGUAGUUUUAUUUUGUUUUAUCAUCUUUUCCUGGUUUAGUGAAGUCAGUUAUUGGUGGUCCACUCUGUUUUUAUUCUGGUUAGUAGAUUUGUUUUAGGAUUUGAGUUAUCUUGUAAAGGGAUGAAUUCUUUUUGGUUUAGAUGGAUAGGUAUUUCCUUGGUGCCUUACUUAUUAUACCUUUUACACAACAAAGAAACCGGGGAGAAAAGAAAUUGAGAUUGGGUGCCAGACUAGUGAUUCAAAAUACUAAUCAACCGAAGAUGAACAAUAAGUAUGGGUUGUACCUCUCCAUUGCAAUAAGAGUUUGUUGUGGAGUUUCUCCCUUGCAUGAACAUAGCAUGUGUCAGGUUUGCUGGUGGCGAAAGGAAUAUUAAACAAGCGAGAGCCAAGAUUAUUGUGUUCAGUCGUCUACUGAUUUCCUGGGGCAUGAAUUUUUGUCUUCCUAGCUAUAAGCACUCUUUUCCUUCCUCAUCAAGUGCUUGAGUCAAAAUUAUUUGAUGACACUUUUGAUACUUGGAUAUUCAUACCUGUUAAAAUGUUUUUCCUGUAUAUAGUAACUCCCAAACUUUCUUUACCAAAGAAAGUAUCUUACACUCAUUUGAUAUGAGCAAAUUGGAUUGUCUAGAUUAACCGAUGUCUAGGUAUUUGCCUUUUCAUCUCUGCUUUUGGGUGAUAAGCUGGUGGAAAUUUUGCUCUUCAUUGAGUGUAUUUCAUUGUUAUGCUGUGCUGAAUGCUGAUAAGUUCCUCUGGAUUAGUCAGAGCAUUAUGACUGGUGGCUAUUUAUUAUACCUGUACCAGAUUUUUACCUUGACGAUUGUUAUUAGGAUUGCUAACUGUAUAGGAGGCAAUUAAAAAGAUGCAAGUUGGUUGCAUCGACAAUCAUUCCCAGAUUGGAUUAGGAGUAAGAUCACUGGAGAUGUAGGAUGGGAUUCCUAGUCCCAGUCCACCUACUUUGCCUAUUUAAUUAGGACUCGACCUCAUAGUAAAUCAAAUUAGGCCCCAUUUCUCAUUGUGCAUGACCAAUUGUAUGUCUGAAACAAUAUUUAAAGGCCGAACCUGCUUUUUGGGCUAACUUUGGGGAUUAAACUGUAAGGGGAUUAUAAAUAAAAUUGAGGUGUUACCCUCGUCCUGAAUUAGAUUGGAUGGAAGAUUUAAUUGGUGGUUGUGGGAAGGCUGAAAAUACUUUCUAUGCAGACUUGGGAGAGUCCAUAUGCUUUCACCUGGAUUAAGAAUAACCUUUUAUUGCUGGAGUUGGAAGUGAGCUCUAAUUUCAUAAGAGCUUCGGUUGGGGAUAUGGGAGGUCUGCUGUGCCUCCACAACCAGCAAUGCAACACAAUGCCAUCACCUUUGUACUGCAACCAUCUACAGAAUUCUUUUUUAGGUCACAGCAUACAGCUCCUCACCUAGUCUAUUUCUUUUACCGUCCUCUUGUCUUCUUUUCAAUGCCAUCAUCUGCCUUUGCUUUCAUUUUGUUUUCUUCUUUUCUUUUGCCAUCAUCAGCAGUGCAGAGUCUUAUGAUUAUUGAUCCAUAGUGUGGUCCAGUUUCAAUCAUUUGGGAACAAUCUUAACAACCAUUACCUUAAAGGUUUUAUUUAUAUGAACUUAUACUGCAGCCAUUGCCUCCCAUAUGUGUACUGAUUAGAUCAUAUGCUGUCGUUUUGUGUAGUUGUAAUAUGCCAUCAUGUAUGACCAUUUGAAAAAUGAAUCUCAUUGGCACAUCUAUAUGGGUAUUGGCUCUCGGCAAUCCCUAGAGGUGCUAGAACUCAGGCCCAGUGCUCAUGCCGUUUGCAAGUUUUUUCAAUUGGCUGGGAUCAUCGUGAUUGUAUUUGUAUUGCACCUUGCUAUGACCCCUUUAAUUCCUCUUUUUACUCUAUUUUCUUUCUAGAUGAAUAAUUUUUCUUGCUGUUAAUCAGAUAGUUCAACUGAAAGUUAUAAUUGUGCCCUAGAAAUAAUCAAGUAAUGAAUUAAUUUGAUGGUGACACUUAACUCUGUUGCUCCUAGGAAGGUGAAAAUGUGAAAUCAAACUCUAUUGUGGCUUAUGUUCAUGAGCAACCUGUUUUGGUUUCGUGGUUUCUAUAGCUAGUUUCAUUAUGCAGCUAUAUGUCGAAAUUGAGAGAGUGCGGCUGAUAAAGAAACUUGCAAAAGUUAAAGGAAGAACAAGGUCUUACAGCAGAAGCUGCUGAUUUAAUACAAGAAAUUGCAGUAGCUAGAAGUUGACUUCUGGGUUCACUGAUCUUGUAAUUGGUUUUUCCUUGUCCAGCAUUAUGAGUGGUUUGAAUUGCUGUGGAAAAUUUUGGAGCAUUGGCAAGUACGGAGAAAAUUGCCUUUAUCCUAGAACAAGUAAGGGGUUUUCGUAUUGCUUUUAGCCGUUUAUGCUCUCUUACUAUGAUCAGUUUUUUUAUCAAUGGUUUUGUAGGUUCUUUUGAGCUUAUAUUGCCAGGACUAUGUCCAUGCACAGAUCCAGAAAAUCAGGCCCCCAGUGUUUGAUGAGAAGAAAAGGCCUAAAGAAGGGGAAAGUAUUGUGGAAGAAGCGCCAGCUGAUAUUCGGUCACUUCUGGAGUUGAAACAGAUAUAAUCAGAACCCAUAAUAUGGUGAAUUGGUGCUUUACUUAUUCUAAUGUUGUAUCUACUAUUUUUAUAACUAAAACUUUUUGGCCGAUCAAGCACUACCUGGUAUUCAGGUUGUGGUUCAAGCCAUGGUUUUAUUCAUCAGUUGCAUUCUCUUUUUCCUUUCUAUCUUUAUUGCAAAUUCUGAUGUAAGAGAUGUACAUAAUGGAUUUGAACACAUAUCUUACCUCACAUUCAUGUGGUUAACGAUGUAAGUAUUAUCCACAUUACAUGGGUUACCUUGAGAUUUGUCAUUGCUAUAUGGCAAUAUAUGAGAUUCCAUCAGUGAAGGGGAAACCCAGAGCAGCGGAUACCAGAGAAGCUCUUUCGUAUAAGGCUUUGUCGAGUCUUCACUGAUUUUUUCUAGGCACAGCUGUUCAUUCUGUGAUUUAAUUAGUUGCAGGUUUUAAGAAAAAUCUGCUGGUACUUAGUUUGGUCACCACAUGAUCGGUUGCAGUCAAGCCUUCUUAAUGACACUUCAGAAGAUAAAAAUGUCUCAGAAAUUUCCCAAUUCAGGUACAUCUUUGAAUUGUUUCUUGUAUUUGGUUGUACAUUUUAUUGCGAUAGGUCGAUAAUCUGCCAUAGAAUUUGGUUGGCCGUGCCUUUGUUAUUUUAAUGCAGGUUGUAGCUGAAACAAUUGGUCACAAUGGAGGUUAUCCAAUUAACUGCUCUCUGGAGUACUUUUAGAGAUAAAUUUGAGAAUGAGAAAAACAUGCUUGAAGGCGCACUUGUUGAGAAGGCAGCAGAAGAUCUUAGACGGAGAGUAAGUGAACAUGUAAUUAUAGAACUUUGUCGUUUUUUUUUUCCUUGUUUUCUUUGGAUCAUCAUUCAAAUGCGACUUACUCUAUUUUCUGCAGAAUGUUAUUGUCGUUUUGAAGUAUUACUUGAGGAUUACCUUGAGGAAACUUGCACAGCUUUUAUGCCUCAGCAUCCAGGUUGAUUAUGUUGAACAUUUAUUUAUUUUUCUUAUCAAUGUCAAUCUUUAGGACUGAUUGCCUAGACCACUCAUUUAACCCUAGUAGCCUCUCUGCCCCUGAUACCUGUGGAUUAUGGUUGCUGGACUUGGAUACAAGUUCCAAAAAAGUGGAAAAGAGGUUUUGGUGCCUUGAAGGCCAAGGCUUGUCUUGAGGUAGAGAAUGUUGUCCUUGUAGUUUUUUUUUCUGUGAAUAUUUCGGACCAAUAUAUAUGCAUACACACUAUGCUUAGUCAACUUCUCAUAAAAUUUAUUGUAGCUAUUAGUGUCAAUGUCUGGCAUUGUGAAACCAUUUCUUGUCCCAUGGUGCCUGAAAUUCUGGUGUGCUUUAGAAGAGUGCAAGGAGCUCUGCUAUGACUCACCAUUUCCAGUGUUACAAAAGUAUUUCUCGUGAUUAGAGCUUUCUUAAUGUGCUCAGAAAAUCUAUGUAGCUGAAUCACCCAACGAAAGGAGCUCUGUUUUUGGGGUUCUGUUACCACUGUUGUAGAGAACUUUAAUCAUUCACAUGUCUCGAUCUAUUAAAUCAACACUAUCAUCGGUUAGAGAGACUACAUAAUAGUAAUUGUACAAGCCUGUAUGAUAUUCAAUCAACAUGACUUGUUAGUUCUAUGUCCAUUUUAGGAAGCUGAGAAGCAUCUCUCCAAAAUGGUUGUUUCCAAGUCCCUAGUGCGAAAGAUAGAUCUGCCGAUGGGAAUUGUCUGUUUCCAGACAGCAAAGGAGAGCAAUGAUGUCUUGAACUCAUGGCCUACAAAUUUGGAAAAGCUCCUUGAUCUUGUUGAGGAAAGCUGCUGCCGAAUCCACAAGCAAACUGUGGUUCAUAUGGCUGCUUUGAGAGCUUGGAGAUGUUCUUAGUUGAAUGAAUGACCUCUCUCCCCUCAAGCCUCCCUCUCUCUUACCAAAAGAGAAAAGCUGAAGAGUGCGGUUUCAAGUUGUCCUCUGAGGUGGGGACUAAAGAUAUCACAGAACUCUUGUUUAGCUGUCUUAAAUUUGAUAGCAUAUGUUGCAGGUGGACCAGAUCUAGGCCUUGUUUUGGACUGAAAUGGUACACUGAAUACUCUUUCUACGUGGGAAUAUAUUUUGGUCUUUUCAUCUUUCCUCUUCCCCCCUCCUUGUAAUUGAAGAUUUUUGGAUUAUCAGGGUCCAGAACUUGUACCGAUAGAAUUGGUAUCAGAACAAGAUGUAGACUCAUUCCAACAGAAGUAAGCGCCUUGUUACUAAACUCUGUUUCCCUUUACAAAUUUUGCUGGUGCUAGUGUUUUAUAACAUCAGGGAUAACAUUAGCUCUCAAAAGUAAAGGCGAAUGAAUGCUUUUUUGUAUUUCAUUUCACAUUUGAAUUUUGUUUUAGCAGGGAGAGCUUGUUUCCUUUGGACUUAAUCUUGACUGAUGGCAGUUCUAAAGACCUCUUUUUAGGGAGCUUAUAUAUUGUCAAUAGACUUAGCUUUUCUCCAGGUUGAUGUUGUGAUGUCAUUUCAAAAAGACACUGUUGUGAUGUCAUUUCUCUCUAAACUUUCAGUCACUGGAAUGUGUUUCAAUGUCCACUAGUUAACAUUUCUCUCAACUGUUGGCAUGUAUGUGGGUAAUAAUACAGUAAGAAGCUGGAGAUAUUGAGGAUAAUGUGUUUGUUGUACAACUCUAUUCAGAUUUGGGCCUAAUGGAAAUUCUCUUUACAUAGUUGCUUCCCAUUUUCAUUUUACUAUUGAUGCUUCCAAGUGGCGACUUACGAUUCGUCCAAUUUGUUUCCAAUCUUUUGUGGCUGGCGAAAUAUAGAAAUGAUCACAUUUUGCCUAUUAAUCUUGACAUUUGAUUGGUUUCAUCAAUCAAUUGUUGUCUCGAAUCUCCUUUCUUUACAAUAGAAAAUGUUGAGGGUUUAAACAUCGAGUCUCAGAGUAAAGUGGGGAAUGACUUCUAUGGAAAUCAUGAAGUAGUCUUCGAACUUUAAUUUGUGUCGAGGACAAAUUUAACUGAUGAAUGAAAAAUAGGGAGGAAAUUAGAAAUUGAAAAUGUUUGUGGUGAAAUUAGGUGUCAAAUAUUUAUUUGAUUCGACACUGGCUAUGAUUAGACAAUACAUUAUAAGAUAAGCAUCACACAAACUCAAAUCGACAUGACACGAGUUAAAACCCACGGAGAUGUAAGCAAACCAAUAUCAAAGCUGACAAUAUUUUAUCUAGUGACGGCAAGACUCGGAUGGAGUCCUCUAGAACAACAAUAUAGGAAUUAGGAUUAGGAUGUUGGGCGCCUGGUCGGUGUUAGCAUUGGGCACAACUCUUGUUUAUAGUUGAUACUACUAAUUAUCCAUCCAAUCAUUGGGGUAUGCAUUUCAUGCAUUCCGUUCCUCUCCAAUUAAAGGAAUUCGUUUGGAAAUUGUCGUAGGACAUGUGAUUGUGAUCGCACAAUUGAGACUUCGAGUUUCCCGGGUUUUUUUUUUUUUUUUUGAAACUUUCGAAUCGGUUGAUAAUGUGAUACAAUGUUCCAUCUUAAGCUAUUAACGUAUAAGCUUUGGAUCAUAGAAUAAUGAGGUGUGGUUAGUCUCGUGUACUAAGCCGUUGAGCUUUUUUUUGUCUCCUGUUGUCAAGGCAAGAGGAGAGUGUUUGUAUCUUUGAGUAAAGAAGCGGGUGCCUGCUCAGUAGCAGAAAUAAGCAAACUAUGAAGAUAUAAUAAAACAGGCGUCAAAAUAAUCACACGUUGAGCUCAUGCAAAUUGCAGUCUCUCUCCAAUUAACAGCUUCAGUUUCUCAGAUCACAUCUUCUAAUGUCAAACAAGCUAACAUUUGGAUCCUCUAUCGCACGUCGAAAAAUACCAUAUUCUGAUGAAGAACCUGUUGGCCGAGAAUGUCUAAAAUGAAAUGAAAAGUCUGACAACAGAUGACAUAAAUAGGAAAAAAAAAAGUAUCAUCGAAUAAUUAUUCGAAUUUGGAGAAUCGUUGGCCGAGAAUAAAUAAAUGCAGUAGCGAAAAUAAAAUUCACAUAAAAUGUUAAAAACCAUUGAUUUAAUGAGAGAGAUUAAAAUGACUCGGGCGUAGAGUAACGACCGGAUGAUUUGCGGGCAUGACAUGGCAUGGAGAAAUCUAGUUGGAGAAAAUCAUUCUGAAAUAGAUUUAUUUUGAGAGUUACUUCCCUAGAUGAAUCACUUUCGAUGAAUAAAUAGUAGUUAGACUGUGCAUAGAACAAAUUCAUGCGUCCGCAGGACAUCAACAAAAUCCUCGAGGACAGAGGGAAUCUCUUGUGAGCACAAGGAGCAUGGCAGCAUUAGCUUUUUUUUCUAGGAGAAAGGGAAUCUCUGGUUAGCACGAGAAGCGUGGGAGCAUUUGCUGGUUAGCUUUCUUUUCUAUUAUUUUUAGUAAUAGAAAAGGCCAGCCAAGUCAAGACAGUGCCAGAUCUCAGAUCUCAAUGAAAGCACCGUCCGCAUGUACUGCUGAGAUCACGGCAGGAGCAUGCAAGUAUUGUUCCUUAGUUUUCUCUUCUAUUUUCGUUCAUCAAUGUAAAGAGGCAAGUCAAGUCAAGUCGCGCUGGAUCUCGAGCUUCGAUCAAAAGCACCAGGAGCAUGUGAAAGUUGCACGUUGUUGCAUGUGAGUAUUUGCUUGUUGGGUUCCCCAAGAUGCUGCGGAAAUUACGCGUGCAGUGAGUGUUCUUUCCAAGGCACCCCUUACGGCGAUUCGAAUAGCAUGAAGUAUCGUUGAAUUACUAUUCAAUUACAGAGAUUUGUUAGCCGAGAAUUUACUAACGUGACACCGAAAGAAUAAAAUGGAUGUAAAAUGUAAAAAACCAUUUAUUUAAGGAGAGAGAUAAAAGUGGCUUGCGGGUAGGGUAAUGAUUUGAUAAUUUUUAAUCACAAAGUAGUGUGGAGAAAUCUAGUUUUAGAAAAUUAUUUUGAAAAAGAUUUAUUUUAGUGUUACUUUUCUAGACGAAUAAAAAGAAGGUUACGCGUCCUGAAGACUUUUAAUAACAAAAUCCCACGAUUGAUGUGCUUUUGUCAUUGGCUCAUGUACAUUAGCGGCAUAUUAGAGAAUGAAAGCAAGUCAAGUCAAGACAAUGAAAGCCCAUAGGUAGGUUCCAAGCUAGGUAGCAUGGACACGGCGACAUGAACACACGACACGACACGACACGCGGCACGUCAUUUUUUAAAAAAUAGAGAAUUUUGACACGUUAAAUAUUAAAUAAAUAUUUUUAUAUAUACAUGAUUAAUUAUUAUGUUUAAAAUAAUUUAUUCAAAUUCAUAAAUAAAUAAAUAAUAAAUCAAUACUAAUAACAUGUGUCAAUAAAGUUAUUCAACGUACGCAAAGGUUUUCGAUCCGUUUCUCUCAUCGUCUUGAAAGAAGAGAGAACUUUUACAGAAUUUGCCAAAAAAAAUAAAAUUAUUUAAUGUUUAAUAUUUCUUUUUAGGGUUAAAUGGUCCCAUCCAUUUAUUUGCCCCACCCCACCCACCGCCUGCACACCUCUCUUCCCAAAGUCACGCUGCACGAGCCUUUCUUUUUUCUCCAAGAAGCCGGCGGCACAUCCUCUCUCUCCUUGCUCUUCUUCCAAAAAUUGAAAACCCUAGCAAUCGGCGAUCGCCUUCUUUCUCCUCUCCCUCGCUCGGUCUCCACCUCUCUCACCGCUGCCUCGCUUCCGUUCCCCACUUUGCCGUCGUAGCCUCGCAUCCAGCCCUCCAUCGCAGCCUUUCUGUUUUCCAUCUCGGCGUUGCAGUCGGCGGUCGCAGCCAACCAAGACGAUCGAGAAGUCUUCUCAGUGUUGCAGUCGGCGGUUGGAGCCCUCCCCUGUCGUCGCCUCAGCUCCCUCACCCUUGCCUUCACCCUCCCAUCACUUUCUUCCUUUUGCACUUGCAGAUCCGCCCACAAAUCUCCGAACACGCUCCGACGCGCGUGUCGGAAAGAAUUGACCACGUGUUGGAGCUUCCGACACGUGUUGACCGCAUGUCCGAGCAUGUCAGACAUGUGUCGGGGUAUCUGACACGACACGGAGGCCCUCUGAACGUGUCCGCGCUUCCUGCUUCCCAGUAAAAUUCUGACUGCUGGUGGAGAUCGCGGAAGGAGCAUGUGACUAUUGCUAGUCAAUUUUCUUUUCUACUUUUUCUUAUUAAUAUAAAAGCAAGUCAUGAUGCCGCCGAGUAUUGCGGGUCUCCAAGUCAUAAUGCUGCUUCGACCCAAAAAAGCAAAAAGGUCGCGAUGUUGCAGAAAUUACGCGCUCGAAUAGCAUGAAGAGCCCUGGACCACUGGAUGGCAAGAACUCGGACAAUGUUCGGGCACGCAUAUUGGAGAUUGUUGUGCCUUGAUAAUCCUACUUCGAAGGCUGAAAAUCGGUGGAGAUCCCAGGGUUCUGUUGUUUGAGCAUUCCUCGGGUAAUCAACGAUGCCUUCCUCUUUCUCUUUUUCCUGUUCUAAUUGCUCCAUUUUCUUCUGAUGAGUUGUCCAAGAGUUUCUGUUUUUGUUUGAAUGUGGCUUCAUGUUUGACUACUAAGAGACAUUUCUGCCAUUGCUAGAUCAGGGAUUUUGCAUCUCUCUCCUCUGUUUCCUACUCCAUCGGUCUCCUCUACGAUCCUCUCGAGAUGAAAAGAAGAGAAUUCACUCAUUUAGAAGAUUCGAUCUACGAGGUGUCUUCCUCUUCUACCUCCCCACAUGUAGAUGAUUAUGAAGGCAGAACCAAGAGACCCAAAGGAAAUGAUUACGAAGUGUUUUUGAACUUUAGAGGGGACGACACUCGCAAAGGCUUCAGUGAUCAUCUCUAUACUAUCCUCUUCGAGAAAGGAAUUCAUGUGUUUAGAGACGACGAUGCGCUUCAUGUUGGUGAGGAGAUUGGUCCAGAGCUUCUUUGUAACAUUAGACAGUCCAUGAUUUCGAUCCCGAUUAUCUCCGAGAACUACGCAUCCAGCAAAUGGUGUCUUCGCGAGCUGGCUCAAAUAUUGAAGUGCAAGAGAAGCAGAGGGCAAAUAGUGUGGCCCAUCUUUUACAAAGUGAAUCCCUCGCAAGUGCGUCAUCUUGAAGGGAGCUUCGAAGAUGCUAUCAAAGCACAUAAAGAGAAUAGGAGUGAAAUGGUUUCGAGGGAAUGGGAAAAAGCGCUCAAAGAAGUGAAGGAAUGGGAAGAAGCGCUAAAAGAAGUUGGUUCUUUGAAAGGAUGGGAAUCGGAGAAGAUUCAUAACGGGUACAUUAUUCUCCACUAGAUCAUUCUUUAAUUUCUCACAAGUAGAUCUUUCGUGAAAAAGAACAUAAAUGUUGCCAUCCUAUACUAAGGGCUUGUUUGGUAACAUGCCAAACAAUGCCUGAUUCUGAUUUUUUGUUUCCAGAAUCAAUUUGGGACGAGAAUUGCGUUUGGUUAAAAUUUUUGUUCUUGGGAAUAAAGUUGUUCCCAAAAACAGAUUGAGAAAAGAAUUGAGAAUAAAAAAAAAUGUGAUUCUCCGUCUGAGAAUCAAAAAAAGAAUCAAAACAAUAAAAGUCUCAUUCUUUCCUUCCGACAUCUCAUGAUUGCCGUCCACCACCACCUGCUGCCGUUCGCGGUCGCCGGUCGCUGUUCGCCAGUUCGGCGAGCUCGCCAGGCUAGUGCGAGGUCCGGUGAGCUCGUCGGAGGCAAGUCCAGCCACCGGCAGGGCUUGGGCAAGCCUCGUCAACAACUGGGCGAGGCUCGCCCAACCCCGCCGAGGCUCGGCCUUUCUGGUGGCUAGGCGGGCCUCACCCAGCCCAGCGAUGCUCGCUCGGCCACCGGCGAGGCUCGCCUAACCCCGCCUGGCCACCGGCGAGGCUCGACCUCGCCAGAUUUGGCGAGGCCGAGCAUUGGCAGGGCUAGGCGAAGCCGAGCAUUGACAGGGCUAGGCGAGCCUCGCCCAACUGCCGGCGACGCUCCGGUGAGCGUCGCCAGCCCUCAUUUGGCCGGUCGCCGGUCCGGCCAAAUGAAGAAGAAGAAGAAGAAUAGGAGAAAAGGAAAAAAAAAAGAAAAAAAAGGAAAAAUGUAAAAAAAAAUAUUUAAAGUAUUUAAAAUUAUUUAAAAAUUAAAAGAAAUUAAUUUGGAACAUAAUCAAUUAGCAUGGUAUCAAACACAAUUCUAUUCCAGAAUAAAAAAUUUUGGACAAUUACCAAACGCAUUUUUAUUUAUUCAUAAUCAGUUCCUGGGAACAGAAUCAUUAUCAAACGCACCCUAAAAGUAAUUGUUAUUUUGGCAGGCAUGAAGGAGCAUUGGUUAAAACUAUUGUUGGAAAAGUUAUGGGCGAGUUAAAAAGACUUUUUCUACUAAAUGUUCCCAAGCAGUUGGUGGGAAUUGAUGAUCGUAUCAAUGACAUUAUGAGCUUGAUAGAUGAAUAAUUAAACGAUACAAAAAUUAUUGGACUUUAUGGAAUGGGCGGCAUCGGUAAGACAACUCUUGCAAAGGUGUUAUACAACAAACUCUCUAGUUAUUUUGAGUAUCGUAGCUUUCUGGAAAAUAUUCGAGAAACAUCUCAGCACCAGGGUAUUGAAUGCGUACUGAACAAACUCAUUUAUGAUAUAAUAGGAAGUUCGUGUCGUGAGUCUAGUGUUGACGAGGCAAUAGGUGUCAUCAAAUUUCGAUUUACAAGUAAGAAAGUCUUAGUUUUGCUUGAUGAUAUGGACGAUAGUACUACUCACUUGAAUGCUUUGGUCAAAGACGGUAGUUGGCUUGGAGUAGGAAGUAUAGUCAUCAUACACCAGAAACAAGAGCAUUCUCGAUGAGGCUAAGGCAAGUUACAUGUACCCACUUAAUGAGUUGUCUAUGGAUCAAUCAUUGAUUUUAUUUAGUAGACAUGCAUUUCGAAAGGAUUCUCCUCAAAGUGAUUAUGAGGUUCUUUCUUGUGAUGUCGUAUCUACUACCGGGGGGCUUCCAUUAGCUCUUGAAGUUACUGGUUCAUUCUUAUGUGGAAAGAGAAGAGAAGUAUGGAAAGAUACAUUAAAAAAAUUAGAAAAAAUACCCGAUAAGAAAGUGCAAGAGACAUUAAAGAUAAGUUAUGAAGCAUUAGAUCAUGAGCAAAAACAAAUAUUUUUGGAUAUUGCAUGUUUUUUCAUUGGAUCAUCAAAACAAAAUCCAACUUACAUGUGGGAUGCUUGUGAACUUUUUCCGGAGAGGGGGAUUGAAGUAUUAAGUCUUAUGUCCCUAAUUAAAAUUGACGAAAACAGAAGGCUAUUGAUGCAUGAUCAAUUGAGAGAUCUCGGAAGGGAAAUUGUUCGUCUGGAAAAUCCAAAGGAGCCUCAAGAGCGUAGCAGAUUGUGCAUCUAUGAGGAAGCCCUAGAUGUGCUUGAUAACAAUGAGGUAAGAGUUUUCUUUACUUGUCUUAGUUGGUGAAUGUGGGUGCAUCUUCCCUUUCUUGUUUGAAAUAAAAAUAACUGUCACUCUUAAGUCCCCAAAACUUGUUGCAUCAACUAGCAGAGGAGCUCUUUUGAUUAAUUGCAGUAUUUGCCUGAUUCAAGAUCAUAAUUGAGAAGCAAUUUCUUGGUUAUGAACGAUGUAUAUAUAUCUUUACAUGGUAGUAUCGUGAUGAGGAUACUCUCCUUUUGUAACUUCAAUGCAAAAACAAGACAACAAAAGCAGAAUGUUUGACAGGGUACUCUUAGAUAAAACCUGACAUUUGUAGAUUCUUUCGGCCAUGCUUUCCGCAAUAUUUAUUUGAUGCAUUUGUUUUAUGUUUAGAUUAGUCUUUUCGUCUUUUGGGAGGUCUUUUCUUUCUUUUUUCUUUUACUAAGUAUUGACUUCUUAUGAGUUCUGGUAUCAUAAAUGAGACCAUCCGUGACGAUUUAGCUAUCUUGGUUCCUUAUUUGUUUAAGUUGUUAAGUGUAUCCCUUAGGUAUUAUUGGUUGUGCAAUUUAGGGCCUAUUUGUUAAUGUUCUUUGUUUCUGUUUAUGAAUAAAAUUUCUGUUUUUUUGUUCUAGGGAACAAAAAAAGAACAUAAACGUGUUUGUUUGCGCUUUUGUUCCCAAUCUAUUUUUUUGUUCCCAGGAACACAUUUGGAACAGAAACAAGAAACAAGAAAAACGUGUUUCUUGUUUCUGAAACAAUUUUUAAGAACAAAAUUUCUCUCUCCUCUCUUUUUCUCCUCUUUUUUUUCUUCUUUUCUUUUUCUUUUUUCUUUGGCCGGCGACGCCAUCAAGGGCCGGCGACCUCGCCAGAGCGUUGCCGGCCUUUGACGAGGCUCGGCCUCGCCGGGGGCCGGCGAGCCUCGCCAUGGCUAGGCGAGGCCGCUAGCCCUCGUCGGCCGGUCGCCGGCCAUGGCCGAGGCCAGCAACUGGCCAAAAGAAGAAAAAAAGAAAAGAGAAAAAAGAAAGAAAAAUAAGAAAAAUAAAAUAAAAAUAUUAAAAAUUAAAAGAAACAAAAAAGAACACAAAUUUACCAAACGUGUUUCUGUUCAUUUUUUAUUCUCAGAACAAGUUUACCAAACGCGUUUUUUUAUGCAAAAAUUGUUCUCCAGAACAGAAACACUUUUUUCUAUUUCUAUUCCCUAGAACAAUUUUUAAAUAGAAAUGUUACCAAACGCGCUCUUAUUCCCCCAUCUAUUUUUGUUUUUGCUGAAUAUAGUCCUCUCACUUUUUUGUGCAAUCGAGUCAUUUAUGGUCAAUCACUAGUUGACACCACCCAAUUUGUUGAUGUGGCAUUUGUAUUUAGUUAUGAUACAUGAGCAACCAUGCAAUAUUACCCCUUUUAAACAUACAUUAUUUGUGUUGUAUAGACUUUUUCAUAGUAAUUGAUAGCUUCUUUUUAUAUAUGGCAGGGUUGGUAGAUGCAUUUGAACGGUUAGAUUUGUAUUCGUUCGCAUAUACAUAAUGGGAGUAAAGGAAGUGUUAUUUCACAUAUAAUGGGCAUUAAUUUUGAUAAAUAUAUUUUAGUAUAUGCGUGAAGAGAGGCCUUCCAUUGUAAUUGCAAAUGGACCCAAUUUUUGGAAAUUCAUAAGGUCCAAAUUGCAAAAGGUAUAGUUGGACAAGGAAAAAGUUUGGAAACAACCACUUGAGCUUCUCAUCUUUACAUAGAUUAGAUAAAUAAUAUGCAAUUACAACCUUUCAUUUCACAAAAAUCAAAGUGAGAAGCCUACGCCAUAGUAGUAGGACAACAAAUUGUUUUCAAUGCAUUUUAUUUUAUAUCAAUUGGUGUCAUUUCAUCAUUCAAAACUUAUGGUCCACAUUGUUUCCAAGCUACAGGGCACCAAAAAGAUCGAGGCCCUUUCUCUUGGCAAAUUUAGUAAGGGAAAAAGAUUCGCAGCUGAACAAUUUAAAGAAUUGACCAACUUGAGGUUCCUUCAAGUGGAUGGUGUGAAUUUCACCGGAGAUUUCCAAAGCUUAGUUCCUAAAUUAAGAUGGCUUCAGUGGAAAGAGCGUCCCUCGGAUUUCACUGCGAACAACUUUCAUCCGAAAAAACUAGUUGUACUUGAUCUAUCAUACAGUGCCAUUUUGGAGGACUGGGGAGGAUGGGAUCCACUCAAGGUAAGACAUGAAGAAGGCAUUGAAGUAUUUUUUAAUGUAACAUUUUUUUUCCUUGUACAUUUGAAAAUUGAUUUUCAUAAUUAAACUAGCUAUUUCUCUUUAAUUUCAUACUACUGAAGGACAACAUGGUGCCCAAUGAUUGCAUUUCUCUUUCAUUUGGACUUGUCAUAGGCUUUUUUGAUAGUAUAAGUUGCUUAUGUCUAAUAAGCAAAUAUCUCCUUAGAAAUGUUAUUCGGAAAUAAAUGCAAUUAGCACUUGUACACCCUAACAUUCUUUUGCAAUCGAUGUGCUUGACGUGGCCAAACAUUAUUGAAAGAGGCAUUUAAAAUUAAGUAGGACAACCACCAAGGAGUAGAGGAGCAUGGAGAAUUUUUGAGGAAUUCUAAAAUGUGAAAUACAUAAGGAGUAGCGAAAAAUCACAGGUUGUGACAGUCCACUUACACUGACAUAUCCUUUCUUUCUUCCAGAAGGUGACUGAGCUCAAAGUUCUCAACCUCGAGUGGUGUCAAUCUUUGAAAAGAACCCCCGACUUGUCCACUUUCAGAAGGUUGGAGAAUUUGAAUCUCCUAUGUUGUAAGAAUUUGGAAGAGCUUCAUCCUUGGGAUCCUCUAGAGUCGACAGAUUUCCGGGACUUAAAAGGGACAUUGAUUACUACAUUCCUGAAAGCAUUGGGAAUUUGCAAAAUCUGAGGGUCUUGGAUAUUUGUAGAACUGGCAUAACAGAAUUGCCUGAUGACAUUGGGAUGUUGACAAAACUCCAAAAGUUGGAAGCUUGUCAUUGCAAAAACCUGGAGCGACUACCUAGUAAUAUAUGCGAAUUGAUUGCGCGAGAGGUGCUCCACCUUUCAUGUUGUAUAAAGCUUCAAGAAUUACCUGAAUUGCCCUCCAGCUUAACGGAACUAUGGAUCACCUGCCAGGGGCAGUUUUUGCCCCGUCUUUCCCAGCUAACCUGUCUCAAGACACUCGAUCUUUUUAAUUGCAGUCUUGAAUGUGUCCCAGAGCUUCCCAUUGGACUAAUUGUGCUUGAUAUUGCUAGUUGUGAAAAUUUGAAAGCCUUGACGAAUUUGUCAGACUUGAAACACUUGCGACGUUUCAGUAUAUGUGGAUGCCCAUCUCUCGAAGGAUCGCCCGACGUGUUGAAUUUUAGGUGUACGCAGAUGAGAGAGCUUGGCUUGAAAGAGACCCACCCCCAUCCGAAGUACUUAGUAUUCAAGCGUUAGCAGACGUCAAGAGCUACCGGGGGGCAGAAGAGAAGGAUGGUUGGAUGUACAUGGAAUCUCUCUCUCUCUCUCUACUAGUCAGUGGCCCUACUGGUUUCCCAGGCCCGAAGAUCAAAGCCACUAUUCGCACCGCCCAUCCACUGCCAGGCAGGCAGGCAGGUCGGUCGGCGCGGCGGAGAUGACGACGGCGACGGCAACGCCACGGCUGGCAACGCCCUCUCCAUCCGCUCCAGGUAAACGCACACACGCGUCUUUCGUGUGGUCUCUCAGCUUCAUCUGCAUUUUAGAACCAUGUCGCUUCGGCGUGCGAGCUCAUCGAUUGUUGGGAUUGGAGAUUUUAGUUUGCUCUGUAGUAAAUGUAGGGCAUGAUGCAGAUGAUCGAUCAAUCGCAUUUGAAGUUUAGAGACGAUCCAUCUCAUGUCGUAAAUUUGCAAUUGCAGAUAGUUGGGAUGGCGGUGUUCAAUUUCCUAAAGGUGGCCUUCUACGUCUUCCUGGGACUGUUGCUUGGCAACAAAGCUGCUGAAAUCACUGUGAUGACCAUAUUCUCUUUUGUGGUAACUCCCUUAGCGUUUACUUGUGUCAUGAUGACAUUGACUGCUUUUCUUUCGUCAGUUUCUGGGACUUGAUGGGAUUUUCCACAUUUUCCCCUAUUUUAAGGUGUUCUCGGCGAUUUUUGAUUCGCCUACUUGGUUACUUCUUCUCUCUUUUUUCUUGAAUGAUGAUAGAAGGAAGUUUGGGGUUGAUAUUCCUGUGGAAGUUUAAUGGCGGCGCCUCUAUAUAUGCAUACAAAAAGAUAUGUAAUAAAGCAAAGAGAUUAGCCUGGGGAUAUAUCCUUUCUGACAGGGUAUCAGCGAGUCUUCAGCGCCUGACCACUUAGCUUUGGAGCAGACAACGAACUCAAUAGGUAGAAGUUAGUGGCAUGUGGAUGAACUGAGUAGGAAAUUAGUGCACAAAGCUCUGUGGAUAAGCUGGAUGUUAUUAUUUGGGGUACCAUCUAGNNNNNNNNNNNNNNNNNNNNNNNNNNNNNNNNNNNNNNNNNNNNNNNNNNNNNNNNNNNNNNNNNNNNNNNNNNNNNNNNNNNNNNNNNNNNNNNNNNNNACGUUCGUCUGCCCACUGACUACUAAGUCCGAAAAUUAAAGAUGAACUGUGAUUAUGAGUGGUACCUCUCCAUUGCAAUUAGGGUGUGCCAUGGAGUUUCUCCGUUGCAUGAACAACAGCAUGUGUUAGGUUUGUUGGUGGCAAAAGUCAUAUAAAAAACGCAGGAGCCAAGAUUAUUGUGUUCAGCUGUGUACCUAGUUCUUGGGGCAUGAACUUUUGUCUUCCUAGCUCAAAGCACUCUUUGCCUUCCUCUUCAAGUGAUACAAAGGAGUCAAAAUUAUUUGAUGACAUUGAUACUAGGAUAUUCAUCCAUGUUAAAUUGUUUUCCCUGUAUUUUCUUGCUCCUGAACUUUCUUGUAUGAAAGAAGCAUCUCAUACACAUUGUGAGGAGUGAAUGGGGUCAUCGAGGUUAACCUAUGUCCAAGUAUAUGCCUUCUCAUCUCUGCUUUUGGGUCACAUGGUGGAAUUUUUGCUCUUUGUUGAUGGUAUUUCAUUGUCAUGGUUCAUUGAAAGAUGAUAAGUUACUCUUGGAUUAGGCAGAUCAUUAUAAUUAGUGGCUAUGAAUUAUACCUAUGCAAGAUUUGAAAAUUGUUUCAGGAUUGCUAUCUGUGUAGGAUGCAAUUUAAAGAUGGAACUUGGUCACAUCAAAAGUCAUUCCCAGUUGGGAUCAGAGUAGGAUCAUUGGAGAUGUAGGAGGGGAUUUCUAAUCCCAGUCCCAAAUAUUCUACUUAGCCUAUUUAAUUAGCAAUCAAUCUCAUAGUAAACCAAAUUAGGCUCCAGUUCUCAUUGUGCAUGACCCAUUGUAUGUCUAAAACAAUAUCUAAAGGCCAAACUUGCUAAUUAGGGCUAACUUUGGGGAUUGAACUAUAAGGGAAUUAUAAAUGAGAAUGAGGUGUUGCCCUCAUCUUGAAUUAGAUUGGAUGGAAGAUUUGAUUGGUAGUUGUGGUGAGGCUGAAGAUACUUUCUAUAUAGACUUGGGAGAAUCCAUAAGCUUUUUGCCGGAGUAAGAAUAACCUUCAUGAGAGCUUGGGUUGAGGUAAAUGGACCGUCUGCUGUGCCUCCACAAACAGCAGUGCAGCCCAAUGCCAACACCUUUGUACAGCAACCACCUCUACUGGCUGGGGACGGAAUUCUUUUUCAUGUUACAGCAUAUAGCACUUUACCUUGUCUAUUUCUUACAAUUUCCUCUCUUCUUUUCACUGCCAUCAUCCGCUUUUGCAUUUGUUUUAUUCGCUUCUUUACUUUUGCCUUAGAUGCUUCUCUAGUUAACUUCUUUGAGAGGUACGAGAGCUUCUUCAAUGAUGUGCUUAUGCUGUGGUGAUAAUAGUGCUUUUGUCUUCUACUUUUGAGCUUCAUUCCCUCUUUUCAAAGAUAACAUACAGGUGAUAGUAUAGAAAAAAACGAUAAAGGAUCUAUCACUUUAGACCUUAACUUUCUGUAGGGUCUUACAAUCAUUGAUCGAAAGUUUGGUCCAAUUUCUAUUAUUUUGGGAUCAAUCUUAACAACCUUUACCUUAAGGGUUUGAUUUUAUACUACAGGGAUUGCCUCCCAUAUAUGUACUGAUUAGAUCAUGAAUUGUUGUUUUGUGUAGCUUUGACAUGCCAUCUAUGUAUAACUAUCUAAAAAAAAUAAUGUGCCUGGCAUAUUGACAUGGGAAUUGGCCCUAGGCAAUCUAUUGGGACGUGAGAUCUCUGGCUUGGUGCUUGUGCUCUAGAAUCUAGUAUGGUGGAAUCCUCUAGAAUCUAGUAUUGUGGAAUGCUCUUCAGUUUCUCACCUUCUGUUUCUGGAUUCUCUCCCAUGAUUGCCCCAAAUUUUUACUUUUUGUUCCCCUAUUCAUUUAUGAGUCACAUUACUUCUUUUUCAUGUCUAGUUCACGAUACAAUUCAUGACAUAUCCUUUAUGGGGAUCUUAUAGUGCUUGUGCUGUUUGCAAGUUUUCGAUUGGCUUGUAUCCUCUUCAUAGAGAUACCUCUAUUUGUAUUGUACCUUGCUAUUGUCCCUUUUGGUUCAUUUUUUGACCAUAAUUUCAUUCUAGAGUGACAAAUUUUUCGUGCUGUUAAUCAAAUAGUUCAAAUCAAAGUUUUAAUUGUGAUCAAGGCAUAAUCAAGUCAUUGACUUGAUUGGAUAGUGACCUACAUGUCACUGUUUUCUUAUCCACAGGCUGUGACAACAAUGGUGUAGCAUGCUUUGUAAUAUGUUGACGAGACACCUAAUCUUGAGACCAAGAUAGAGCUUAUUAAGACACUCAACUCUGUUGUUGCUGGGAAGGUGAAUAUGUGAGAAAUCAUAUCCUAUUGCAGCUUAUGUUCAUCAGCAAUCUGCUUUUAUUUCGUGAUGUAGCUAGUUUCGUAACUCAAGUAUAUGUCAAAAUUGAGAGAGCAUGGUUGAUCAAUAAACUUGCAAAAAUAAAGGAAGAACAAGGUUGUGUAGCAGAAGCUACUGAUUUGAUGCAAGAAUUAAGGAUAAUUAGAAGUUAACUUCUGUUGUCACUGAUCUUGUAAUUGGUUUUCCCUCGUCCAACAUUCCUAUGACGGGUUUGAAGUGCGGGUAGAAACUUUUGGAGCAAUGGCAAAGAUGGAAAAAGUUGCCUUUAUUUUUUAACAAGUGCGGGUAUUUUGUAUUGCUUUUAGCCGUUUAUCCAUUAUUACUAUGGUUGGUUUUCUGAUCGAUGGAUUUUGUAGGUUUGUUUGUGCAAGGAGUAUGUCUGUGCACAUAUCUUUUCCAGGAAGAUCAACCCCCGAGUGUUUGAUGCAAAUCCUUCCAUACAGAAGAAAAAGGCUAAAGAAGGUGAAAACAUUGUGGAACAAGUGUCAGCUGAUAUUCUGUCUCUCCUGGAGUUGAAACGGAUAUACGAUGACUCAUGAUAUAAUAAAUUGGUGUUUUGCUUUUUCUAAUGUUGUGUCCACUAUCUUUUAACAAAUUUGCUGUUGCUGAUCAAAUGCCACCUAGUAUUCGGGUUAUGGUUCAAACCAUGAACUUAUAUGGUUUUAUAUAUCUGGCAAAUACUCUUCUUUCUUUCUAGCUUUAUCGCAAACUCCGAUGUUCUAGAUUUACUUGAUAGAUUUGAACUUGCAUCUUAGUUUGCCUCCCAUUCAUGUGGUUAACCAUGUAGGCAUUAUGCUGAAUGCUGAUAAGUUCCUCUGUAUUAGUCAGAGCAUUAUGCCUAGUGGCUAAUAAUAAAACUAUCCAAGAUUUUUACCUUUCAAAUCAUUUUUAGGACUGACUAUCUGUAUAGGAUGCAAUUAAAAAGAUGGAAGUUAGUCACAUCAAAAAUCAUUCCCCGUCCAAAUAUCUGACUUAAUCCCAGGAUUGGGGCAAAUUUUUACUUGUUCUCGUACUCAUGUAUGAAUCACGUUACUUUUUUUGGGGGGGGGGGGGUGUCUAGUUUAGGAUACGUUUCAUGAUAUGUCCUUUAGGGGGAUAUUAUAAUGCUUUUGCUGUUUGCAAGUUUUCAAUUGGCUGGGAUCCUCUUCAUGGAGAUACCUGUAUUUGUAUUGCAUCUCGCUAUUGUCUCUUUUGGUUCCCUUUGUGAACAUAUUUCAUUCUAAAGUGAUGAAAUUUUCGUGCUGUUAAUCAAAUAGUUCAAAUCAAAAUUUUUAAUUGUGUCUAGAUGUACUUGAUUGGACAGUGACAUACAUGUAGCUAUUUUCUAAUCAACAGGCUGUGACAGCAAUGGUGGCAACAAGCUAUACAAUACAUUGAUCAGACCGCUGAUCUUGAGACCAAGGAGGUUAAUUAAGACACGUAACUCUGUCACUGAUGGAAAGGUGAAUAUGUGAAAUCAAACUCCAUCGCAGCUUAUAUUCAUUCAUAAUCUGUUUCUGUUCCGUGGUUUCUAUAGCUAGUUUUUUCAUGCAAAUAUAUGUCGAAACUGAAAGGGCGCGGUUGAUCAAGAAACUUGCAAAAAUAUAGGAAGAUCAUGGCCUUAUAGCAGAAGUUACUAAUUUGAUGCAAGAAAUUGGGAGAUGACUUCUGUUGUCAUUGAUCAUGUAAUUGGUUUUUCCUUGUCUAGCAUUCCUAUUAUGGGCUUGAAUUGUGGAUGGAAACUUUUGGAUCAAUGGCAAAGACAAAGAAAUCGCCUUUAUAUUCUAACAAGUGAGGGUUUUUGUUUAGCCUUUUGUGUACUAUUACUAUGAUUGGUUUUCUGAUUGAUGGAUUUUGCAGGUUCGUUUGUGCUUAGAUAGCCAAGAUCAUGUCUAUGCACAGCACAUAUCUUUUCCAAGAAGAUCAGCCCCGGAAUGUUUGAUGCAAUUCCUUCCAAAGAGAAAAAAAAAAAAGCCUAAAGAAGGUGAAAGCAUUGUGGAAGAAGCUCGCUGAUAUUUGUCACUUCUGGAGUUAAAAUGGAUAUAGUAUGACUCAUGAUACGGUAAAUUGGUGUUUUGCUUUUUCUAGUGCCGUGCCCACUAUCUUUUAACUUAUGUGUUUUUGCCGAUCAAGCACCACCUGGUGUUCAGGUUGUGGUUCAAACCACGGCACAUUCUCUUGUGCCUUUCUAGCUUUAGCGCAAACUUUGACGUUCCAGAUGUACUUUGAUAGAUUUGUACUCGCAUCUCAGUUUACCCUACAUUUAUGUGGUUAACGAUAUAGGUAUAGGUAUUGCUCACACAACAAUGAUUAACUUGAGAUAUGUCGAUGCUACAAGGCAAUAGGUGAGAUUCCAUCAGUGAAGGGAAACCCAGAGCAGUGGACAUUGGUGAGGGGAAACCCAGAGCAAUGUACAAUGGUGAAGCUCUUUUGUUGUUAAGUCUUCACUGCGUGUUUCAAGGAACAGUUGUUCAUUCUGUGAUUUAAUUUAAUGCAGAUUCCAAGGAAAAUCUACUGGUGCUCGGUUCUAUCACCACAUGAUCCUAUGCAGUCAAGCCUUCUAAAUGACUCUUUAGAGGAUAAAAAUCUCUCGGAAAAUUCCCAAUUCAGGUACCAUCUGUGAAUUUUUGUGGGUAAUUGGCUGUACAUCUUGAAAUAUCACAAUCAUGUGCUAUAUAAUUAGUUGACCAUGCCUUCAAUAUUUGAACGCAGGCUGCUUCUGAAACAAUUGGUCAAGUUGGAGGUUAUCCAGUGGCCUGCUUUUUGGAGUAAUGAAGUCGAGAAUGAGAAAAACAUGCUGGAAGGUGCACCUGUUGAGAAGGCAACAGAAGUUCUUAGACAAAGAAUCGUUGAACUUGUACUUGCAGAACUUUGUCUUUUUUCUUCUUUUUGGAUCAUCAUUCAGAUGUGACUCAAUCUAUUUUCUGCAAAAUAUUAUCUUCAUUUCAAAGUAUUACUCGAGGAUUACCUUGAAGAGACUUGCAGAGCUGUUAUGCCUCAACAUUCAGGUCUGAUUGUGUUGAACAUUUUUUUUUUUAAUUGUAUAUCAAUGUCAAUCUUUAUGAAUUGUUGCCUAGACUCCUCAUUUAACCUGAGCUACCUCCCUGCCUUCAAUCCCUGAUUGGGGCAUGGUUGCUGGACUUGGAUACAAGUUCCAAAUUAGUGGAAAAGAGUUUUUGGCAUAUUGAAAGCCAAAGGCUUGUCAUGAAUUUCUGACUGACAAAUAUGGGUACUCUCGGCUUAGUCGAUUUCUGCUGAUAUAUUUUUUUUUGGUAAAAGGUAAGAAUAUUUCUGCUGAUAUACUUGUUGGGGCUAUAAGUGUCAUUGUCUGGCAUCGUGAAACCAUUUCUUGUCCCAUGGAGCCUGAAAUUCUAGUGCACUUAUGAAGGGUGGGAGGAGCUCUACUAUAUUGCUAGUAUCUACACUCAUCACUACCUGUGUCACAAAAGUAUAUCUCACUAUUAGAGCUUUGUUAAUGUGUUUAGAAAUUCUGCAUAGAUGAUUCACUCAAGGAAAAGAGCUCUGUUUUUUUGGGUUCUGUAACAACUAUUGUAUGAUUCACUCAAGGAAAAGAGUUCAGUUUUUUGGGGUUCUGUUACCACUGUUGUAGAGGGCUUUAAUCAAUCGCAUGCCUCAAUUUAGUAAAUCAACACUAUCAUCUAACAGAGAGACGAUAUGAUGAUAUUUAUACAAGCUUGGAUGAUAUCCUAUCAGCAUGGCCUGUUAGUUCUAUAUUAUCAUUUUAGGAAGCUGAGAAGCAUCUCUCCUAAAUGGUUGUUUCCAACUCCUUGGUGGCAAAGAUAGACCGGCUGAUGGGAGUCGUCUGGAAUAGAUGACAAAAGACAGCAAUGACAUCUUGAACUUGUGGACAAAAAGUUUGGGAAAGCUGCUUGAUCUUGUCGAGAAAAGUUGCCACCAAAUGCACAAGGAGACUAUGGCUCAUAAGGCUGUUUGGAGAGCUUGAAGACGUUCCUAGUUGAAUGGAUGGUCUCUCUCCCCUUGAGCGCCCGCGCGCCCCCAAACAAAAAAACAAAAGAGAAGCUGAAUAAUGUUGUUUCACAUUGUGGUCUGAAGUGGGACCGAAGAUGUUCAUCAUAGAACUCUGAGUAGCUGGCUUCAAUUUGAUUGCAUAUUUUGCACAGGGGACCAGAUCUGGGCCUUGUUCUGGAUUGAAACGAUAUACUGAACAAACUGCAUAGGAAUGUAUUCUGUCUUUUCAUGCUUCCUCUUUCCCCUCUUCUUUUAAUGGAAGAUAUGUAGGAUUUUAGGGUCCAAAACUGGUACCAACGAAAUAGGUAUCGCCAACAAGAUGGGCACUCGUGUGGACUGAAAUAAGCGCCUCAUCGCUAAAUUCUGUUUUGUAUUACAAAUUUUACCAGAAAUUGCAGUAACUGGAAUUUAGGAUGUGGUUCAAGCCAUGGCUUUAUUCAUCUGUCACAUUCUCUUUUUCCUUUCUAUCUUUAUUACAACUCUGAUGUUAGAGAUGUACUUAAUAGAUUUGAACACACAUCUUACCUUGAAGUCAUGUGGUUAACGAUGUAAGUAUUACUCACAUUACAAUGGUUACCUUGAGAUUUGUUGUUGCUAUAUGGUGAUACAUGAGAUUCCAUCGGUGAAGGGGAAACCCAGAGCAGUGGGCACAAAUGAAGCUCUUUCAUAUGAAGCUUUGUCAAGUCUUCACUGAUUGUUUUAAGGUGCACUGUUCAUUCUAUGAUUUAAUUUGUUGCAGGUUCUAAGGAAAAUCGCUGGUACUUAGUUCAGUCACCACGUGAUGAUGAUGCAGUCAAGCCUUCUUAAUGCCGCUUUAGAAGAUAAAAAUCUCAGAAAUUUCCCAUUCAGUUACAUCUUUGAAUUGUUUCUAGGUAUUUAAUUGUACAUUUUGUUGCAAUAUCUCAAUAAUCUGCCAUAGAAUUUGGUUGGCUGUGCCUUUGCUGUUUUAACACAGGUUGCAGCAAAAACAAUUGGUCACAAUGGAGGUUAGCCAAUUAACUGCUCUUUGGAGUACUUUCGGAGAUGAAUUUGAGAAUGAGAAGAACAUGCUUGAAGGCGCACUCAUUGAGAAGGCAGCAGAAGAUCUUAGACGGAGAAUAAGCAAACAUGUAAUUACAGAACUUUGUCGUUUUUUCUUGAUUUCUUUGGAUCAUCAUUCAAAUGAGACUUUCUCUAUUUUUUCAGAAUGUUACUCGAGGAUUACCUUGAAGAAACUUGCAUAGCUGUCAUGCCUCAACAUCCAGGUUGAUUAUGUUGAACAUUUAUUUAUAUUCUUUAUCAAUGUCAUUCUUUGACUUAUUGCCUAGACCCCUCAUUUAACCCUGAGCAGCCUCUCUGCCCUGAUACCUGCAGGGUAUGGUUGCUGGAUUGGGAUACAAGUUCCAAAAAAGUGGAAAAGAGGUUUCGGUGCAUUGAAGGCCAAGGCUUGUCUUGAGGUUGAGAAUGUUGUCCUUGUAGUUUUAUUCUGUGAACAUUGCACACUAUGCUUAGUCAACUUCUUCUCAUAAAAUUUGUUAUAGCUAUAAGUGUUGAUGUCUGGCAUUGUGAAACCAUUCUUGUCCAAUGGAGCCUGAAAUUUUGAUGCCGCUUUAGAAGUGUGGGAGGAGUUCUGCUAUGACUCACCAUUUCCAGUGUUACAAAAGUAUAUCUUGUGAUUAGAGCUUUCUUGAUGUGCUAAAAAAUUCUAUGCAGCUGAAUCACUCAAUGAAAGGAACUCUGUGUUUGGGGUUCUGUUACUGCUAUUGUAGAGAGCUUUAAUUAUUUACAUGCCUUGAUCUAUUAAAUUAACACUAUCAUCUGCUAGAGAGACUGCAUAAUAGUAAUUAUACAAGCCUGUAUGAUAUUCUAUCAGCAUGACCUGUUAGUUCUAUGACCAUUUUAGGAAGCUGAGAAGCACCUCUCCAAAAUGGUUGUUUCCAAGUCCCUGGUGGGAAAGAUAGACCUGCUAAUGGGAGUUGUAUGUUUCCAGAUGACAAAGGAGAGCAAUGAUACUUGAACUCGGGCUACAAAUUUGGAAAAGCUCCUCAAUCUUGUUGAGGAAAUCUGCCACCAAAUCCACAAGCAAACUAUGGUUCAUAAGGCUGCUUUGAGAGCUUGAAGAUGUUCAUAGUUGAAUGAAUGAUCUCUCUCCCCUUGAGCCUCCCUCUCUCUUACCAAAAGAAAGGAGCUGAAGAAUGUGGUUUCAUGUUGUCUCUGAAAUGGGGACUAAAGAUAUCAUAGAACUCUCGUGUAGCUGUCUUAAAUUUGAUUGCAUAUUUUGCAAAUGGACCAAAUCUGGGCCUUGUGUUGGACUAAAAUGAUACACUGAAUACACUUUCUACAAAGGAAUAUAUUUUGGUCUUUUCAUCAUUCCUCUUCCCCCCUCCUUAUAAUUCAAGAUUUUUGAGCUCACAGGGUACAGAACUUGUGCAAAUGGAAUUGGUAUCAGAACAAGAUGUUUACUCUUUAAAAGUCCUGUAACUUUUGUCUUUCCAGCUCAAAGCACUCUUUGCCUUCCUCAUCAAGGGAUAUUAAAGGAAUCAAAAUCAUUUCAUGACACUGAUACUUGGAUAUUCAUAUGUGCUAAUUUGUUUUUCAUGUAUAUAGUUGCUCCUGAACUUUCUUGUACUAAAGGAAGUAGCUUACGCUCCUUUGUUAGGAGCGAAUUGGAUAAUGGGGAUUAAACUAUGUCCAAGUAUUUGUCUUUUCAUCUCUGCUUUUGGGUGAUAAGCUGGUGGAAAUAUUGCUCUUCAUUAAUAUAGUCAUUGUUAUGCUACGCUGAAUGCUGAUAAGUUCCUCUGGAUUAGUUAGAGCACUAUGACUGGUGGCUAUCUAUUAUACAUACACCAGAUUUUUACCGUCACUAUUGUUAUUAAGAUUGCUAUCUAUAUACAAUGCAAUUAAAAAGAUGGAAUUUGGUCACAUUGAAAAUCAUUCCCAGUUGAGAUUAGGAGCAGAAUCAUUGCGGAUGUAGAAUGGGAUUCCUAAUCCUAGUCCCAAAAGCCUACCUUGCCUAUAUAAUUAGGAGUCAAUCUCAUAGUAAACCAAAUUGGGUCUCAGUGCUCACUGUGCAUGACCCAUUGCACAUCUAAAAAAAUACCUAUAGGCCGAACCUGCUAAUCAGGGCUAACUUUGGUAAUUGAACUAUAAGGGGAUUAGAUGGGAUGAACUAUAAGUGAGAAUGAGGUGUUGCCCUCAUCCUGGAUUAGAUGGGAUGGAAGAUUUAAUUGGUGGUUGUGGAAAGGUUGAAUUUACUUUCUAUGCAGACUUUGGAGAAUCCAUAAGCUGUUCAGUGAGUAAGAAUAGCCUUCAUGAGAGCUUGGGUUGGGGUAAAUGGAAGGUCUGAUGUGCCUUCACAAACAGCAGUGCAGCCCAUUGCCAACACCUUGUCUAUUUCUUUCAUCCUCCUGUUUUCCUCUUUUCACCGCCAUCAUCUGGUUUUGUGUUUAUAUACUCUUUUCUCUACUUUUGCCCCCAGAUGCUUCUCUAGUUAACUUUCUUUAUGAGGUACAAGAGCUUCUUCAGUGAUGUGCUUCUACUGCAAUGAUAAUCGUGCUUUUGUCUUCUGCUUUUAAACUUCAUUCCCUCUUUUCAAAGAUAACAUACAUGUGUUAGUACAGAAAAUAGAUUAAGAAUCUAUCACUUUAGCCGUUAACUUUCUGUAGAGUCUUAUGAUCAUUGAUCCAAAGUAUGGUCCAAUAGCAAGCAUUUAGGUUCAAUCUUAACAACCUUUACCUUAAGGGUUAGAUUUUAUAUGGCAGGGAUUGUCUUCGUUAUGCAUACUAAUUAGAUCAUGAACUGUCAUUUCGUGUAGCUGUGACAUGCCAUCUAUGUAUAACUAUCUAAAAAAUGAAUGUGCCCGGCACAUCAACAUGGGAGUUGGCUCUAGGCAAUCUGUUGGGAUGCAAGAUCUCAGUCCUGGUGCUUGUGCUCUAGAAUCUAGUAUGGUGGAAUCCUCUAGAAUCUAGUAUUGUGGGAUCCUCUUCAGUUUCUCACCUUGUGUUUCUGGAUUGUCUCCCAUGAUUGGCCCAAAUUUUUACUUCUUGUACUCAUGUACGAAUCACAUUACUUUUUUUUUUCAUGUCUAUUUCAGGAUACAUUUCAUGAUAUGUCCUUUAUGGGGAUAUUAUGGUACUUGUGUUGUUUGCAAGUUUCCAAUUGGCUGGGAUCCUCUUCAUAGAGAUAUCCAUACUUGUAUUGCACCUUGCUUAUGUCCCUUUUGGUGCCUUUUUUUUUUUUUUCCAUAUUUUCAUUCUAGAGUGACAAAUUUUCUGUGCCGUUAAUCAAAUAAUUCAAAUCAAAGUUUUAAUUGUGAUCCAGACAUUAUCAAGUCAUUGACUUGAUUGGAUAGUAACCUAAUAUUGCUGUUUUAUCAACAGGUUGUGAUAGCAAUGGCACAGCAGGCUAUGCAUACGUUGACCAGACACCUGAUCUUGAGACCAAGAUAGAGCUUAUUAAGACACUUAACUCUGUCAUCGCUGGGAAGGUGAUUUUGUGAAAUCAAACUCUACUGCAGCUUAUGAUGAUGAGCAAUAUGUUUUUGUUUUGUGGUUUCUAUACUAGUUUUGUUAUGCAGAUAUAUGUUGAAAUUGAGAGAGGACAGUUGAUCAAGAAACUUGCAAAAUAAAGGAAGAACAGGGUCUUAUAGAAGAAGCUGCUGAUUUGAUGUGAUAAAUUGCGGUUAUUGGAAGUCGACUUCUAUUGUCACUAAUUUUGUAAUUGGUUUUUCCUUGUCCAACAUUCCUAUUAUGGGCUUAAUUUGCAGGUAGAAACUUUUGGAACAAUGGCAGAGGUGGAGAAAAUUGCCUUUAUCCUUGAACAAGUAUGGGUUUUUUGUAUGUCUUUCAGCCAUAAUGCGCUAUUGCUAUAAUUGGUUUUCUGAUCGAUGGAUUUUGCAGGUUCAUUUGUGGGCAGAUCGCCAGGAUUAUGUUCAAGCACAGAUCCUUUCCAGGAAGAUCAGCCACCAAGUCUCUGAGGCGGAUCCUUCUGAAGAGAAGAAAAAUCCUAAAGUAGGUGAAAAUAUUGUGGAAGAAUUCGUCACGUCUGGAGUUGAAACGGAUAUGCUACGAACUCAUGUUUCAGUACGUUGUCGUUUGUCUUUUUCUAAUAUCGUGUCCACUAUCUUUUCACUAAAAAAAAUUUGGCUAUCAAGUACUACCUCGUAUUGAGGUUGUUAUUUAGACCAUGAAUUUGCAUGGCUUUAUUUGUCUGGCACACACUCUUCUUCGUUUCUAGCUUUACCACAAACUCUAAAUUUAAGAUGUACUUGAUGGAUUUGAGCACCCAUCUCAGUUUACCUUGCAUUCAUGUGGUUAACGAUGUAGGUAUUACUCACAUAACAAUGAUUACCUUGAGAUUUGUCCAUAAUGUGAUAUAUGAGAUUCCAUGAGGGAAGGGAAACCCAGAGCAAUGGAUACCAGUGAAGCUCUUUCUGAUGAGGCUUUGUUUUCAUUGAGUUUGUUAAGGCACAAUUGCUCAUUCAGUGAUUUGAUGAAGUGCAGGUUCUAAGGAAAAUCUGUUGGUAAGGGUCCUUUGCUUUCGCGGAAAAUAUCAUGUUUCCGGAAAACAUUUUCCUAGAAGUCAUUUUCCAAAAAAAUGACUUUAUUUUCCGGUGUUCGGCCGAAAUCUAAACUUUAAGUGGAAAAUAUUUUUCAUCGUUCAUUAACUAAUUUAAUUAUAUGGGAAAAUUUAUCAAAAAUUAAAUUUUAAGAUUUUUAAUUGACCAAAAAAUUAGUUUUAUUUUAUAUAUUUUUUAAAAUGAAUUUUUAAUUAUUUGUAUUUUAAAAAAAAUAAAUUUUUUAUCAUUUAUUAUUUUUUCUUUCUUUUUCUUUUUCUUUUUUCCUUUUUCUUUUCCUUCCUCCUUCCUCCUCCUUCCUCCACCGUCACAUGCCUGACAAUGGCCGGUUGCCCGAUAGCCGACCAAGACCCGGUCGCCAGAUCCGGCGAGCUCGAGACUCGACCAAUCUCGCCUGAGCUCACUAGAGCCCGGCGAACCUCUGGCGAGUUCAAGCGAGGCCCGAGCCCCGCCCAGCUCGCCUGAUCUAGCGAGGCUCGAGCUCCGCCCUAGGCCAGCAAGAGCUCCACCUCGCCCGAUCUGGUGAGGCACAAGCUCAACUUCGCCAGAUCGGGCUAGGCGAAGCCUUGCCAGCCUGGGGCGAGGCUCGAGCGAGCUUGUGGCCGGUCGCCAGCCACCGCCGUGGUCGGUGACCGACCAAGGCCAAGAGAGAUGAAAUGAAGAAAGAAAGAAAAAGAAAAGAAAAAAGAAAAAGGAAAAAAAAUUAAAAACUCGAUUUAAAAAAAAAAAGAUAAAAAGAUAAAGAAAGCAUAAAAAUAAAACAAAAAUGUAUUGGUAAAAAGAAGUAAGAUGGAAGAAGUUAUAGAAAAUGUUUUCCACUUCUAAAGGUUGUUUUUUCCAAUGAUGGAAAACAUUUUCCUUGACUAGUUCAUUUUCCAUUAAACGAACGCUGGAAAAUCCGGAAAAUGUUUUUCCAAAAGUCAUUUUCCACAAAACGAAUGUGGAGGGCUUUCACAAGGGGUAAAUUGGUUGAUUUUUCCAGAAAAAAAAAAUCAGUUAUAGGACAAGAAAGGAAUAGAACUAACAAAUACCACUAAAAAUCCUUAAAUAAGUACACCCACACUAUUUAUUUUUCAUUAAUUUUUUUGUCACAAAGAAACCCAAUUAUAUAGCCGGGCAUCAUUUACUCCAAAUUAAUGUUUGUGUUAUAAUAAAUUUCAAGUUGGUAUAUAUGUGUCAUAUUUAUUCCAAACUAAUUUUCACAUCACAAAAUUGGACAAAAGUUAAUGAGGAUAGCACUUUGAGAUUUUCCUAGCAUGUGAAUUAGUUUGGGAUAUAUAUAGGACGGGAGUACUAGUUUGACAUUUUUUAUGACACAAAAAUGAAUUUGGGGUAAAUGGGGCAUGAGUGUACUAGUUUAAAAUUUCUUGACACAAAAAUUAAUUUGAGUAAAUAUGGCACAAGUGUACCCGUUUAAAAUUUCUUGUGAUACGAAAGUUAAUUUGAGUAAAUAUGGCACAAGUGCAUUGGUUUGCUAUUUUUUGUGUCAUUGACUAUAACAAAAUUUUGUGAUAUUUUCAAGUCAACAUCACAAACCUCUGUUGAUAUCAUCAAGUCGUGAUAAUUUGCGUCAUGUAAUUUGCAUCAUGGCAUCAAGUAGAUCAAUUAAAUGGGCAAAUCGAGUCUGGUUUGGGAUGGAUUGAAAAUUGUUCGACUUAAAUAGACCCAUCUAACUCGGUUUGAUCUAUUACUAUGUAAUGCAAAACUAAUGACCUAUACCUGACCCACCACGACCCAUAUUACUAAAGCACUUCUAUGUCUAAUUCAAUCUAGGAAAACUUAUGUGUAAAGUGACUAAGUGCGAGAUUGAGUAAGAGCAAGAAAAAAUGAUAAGAGAAUCAUGAAGCUGGGUUAGGUAUAAGAAAAUCAUGAAUCCAUUGAGGACCCAUUUACUACUCAAAUCUUUUGGAUACCCUUGAAUUAGAGAUGCCAGUUGGCUUGCUAACCCAAUUGACUUGAUGGGCUAGCAAGUCACAAGGCCCGGAUGGGAUUGGGCCGGCUCAAGAUCUUAGGUAUGUCUUUGUUGUUGAAUAAACUUAUCUGGCAAAACAAUUAUCCAUUAAAGGUGUGUUCAUUUCAUGGAAAAAUAAAUUAUUUAGAAAACAUUUUUCAAAAAGUAAUUACUUGUAUCGUUUACAAGAAUAAAUGAAUAGAAUUGUUUUUUUCAUCGUUCAUGAAAAUAUUGGCAUAGAUUGUUAUUAAUGAUGAAAACAUUUUCUACUGUGAUGCACUUCAAAAAUCUUAUUGCAAAAAUCCUAAAAAUCUGCUAGCUGGAAUAACAUAUGUCUUGAUCAAUGAAUGGUGGAGUCUUAUUGUUUGAUGGUAAUUUCCAAAAUAUAUGUAUAAUUUCAUGUUAUCAAAUUUUUAUAUUUUCAUUAUAUAGUAUUAUUAAAAGCAACAGUAAAUUCAAUUUCGAUUUUAAGUAAUAUAUCCUCCCAUCUCAUCGUCAUCUCUCUGCAACAAGUCAAACAGCGACAUGAAUCAACAUCCAAAAUCGAGAUAACUACCUUGUACCACUUGAUUGGUCUCCGGCCAAAUGGAUUUCAGCCGAGUCAAACCUACUCAGAAUUCUCCAAAGAAUCACUAAAACCAAAUCAAUCACUACCUUAUUCCGAAGAAGCAAUGAAUUCAUCCACUCUAUGUGAUGUAACACGAUCUACCAACAUCUCCAGCUCUUGUAUGAAAUCAUUUGAGGUUUGCCCUUCCAUAGGAAAACGUCAAGGUGACCCUUUAUCGCCAUUUUUGUUCUUGUUUGCAGCUGAUGUCUUGUCCAUUAAUUUAUCCCUAAAUAAUGAAGAGAUAACAAAAUAAAAAUCGAUCAAUUACACAUUAAUCAAUAUUCAAUUUAUUGGUCUGAGCUUAUGACAACGUACGACCCAUUCUUUUACUUUAUAUGGAUUCUCUUGAACCACUAGGGCAUUUCUACAUGAACCGGUUCUUACAUUGUGAUUUUGAAUCAUAAGAGAUUUUGAGAAAUGGCAAAUUGUACAGCAUAUGCCAGUGGUUUUGAUAUAAGUAGUUGUGUCUUGAAUCGACCGUGAGGGCUUCGCGAUCUUGGAGUGCAUUUCCGCGAGCCAAGGGAAGUAAGCUUAGUCAAUGCCGUGCAGGAAGGUCAGAACAAAGGCAUUAAACUGAAGAAGGAAAUGUAGAAAUUAUUCUCAUAAACAAUUAAUCUUUUCAUAACAAACGGAUCCAUACAUGAUUGUAAAACACCAAGAUCAAUAAAUACAACGGAAUUAAAGCGUACCUGUUUGAGCCAUUGCUUCAAUUGAAGAAAACUAGAUCACUCUGAUAAUCAGGGAUCUAUUGGAAUAUCAGAUCUUCCUCUCUAUGACCUAUUUCAAUAUAGCAUAUUUUAAUGGGAUUAAAGCAACUUAUAGGUAUAACACACCCUUUUAUAGGCUAGAGAGGGGACCUAGCAAACCCUAAUCAAUAGCGUGUCAACUGGGCCCUUCCCAUUACGGGCUUCAGUCAAACACAAUUGCCUACACUUUGCUGCUCAACUAGGCCCGUUAACAAUAGAUGCCAAUACCCAAUUCAAUCAGAUCACUGUAGGGUUCAACAAAUAUUGGAAUAUCCAUUAACCCGAUUAUUUAAAAUAGAAAAUCAAUUAAUUAAUGUAAGCCCAUAUUAUAGGAAAUUUCCAACAUUCUUCCACUUGGGCUACAUUAAUUAACUUAUUUUAUUUUGAAAAUUUUUUAUAUUGAAAACGACACUAUCGGGUUAAUAACUAAAAUUUUGUUUUAUGUGAGCACAACUUAAAAAAAAUAAAUAUAUAUUCCAAUAAUGGCAUCUCAAUACCAAUCCAAUCCUAUAUAACCUCAAUAUAGGACUAUGGAGAUCAAUGUGUUAAGAAAAUAUCACAACACAAGACCUUCCAUAAUCACAUAUAAUAAGUAUUAUAUUUUCAUGGAUCAUGGGCCUAGUAGUGUAGUAAGAAAUAGUGCCAACAUGUGAUGAAAAUAUACACUAUUUCUAGAGAGGAAAUUGCCUCAGUGCGAUUUCUAAAUAACAUGAAAUUGCCUCAGUGCGAUUUCCAAACAACAUGAAAUUGCACAAUUAUGUCACAAUCCAACAUGAGAUCUCAUAAUCAGUGACAUCCAGUCAUCUUUAAACAAAAUUUGUUUAAAGAUAUUGUUUUAUACUUCCAUUUCUCAAUCAACAGGAGAAAGGAUAACAAUAUAAUCAAUAACAACAGUUAUUAAAAUAAAUACUUUAAUAAACAUCAUAAAAACAUUAUCAAUCUGUAUAUAACUAUAAUAUCCAAAAAUACAAUUUGUAUAACUCCCACUAACAAAAGAAAUCAAAAGAAUCUAAAACACCCAUAUUCUUUACAUGUUCUUUAAAUAAAAUGGGUCGUAAGCCUUUUGUUAGAGGAUCGGCCAAUAUGGACUUAGUUCUAAUAUUCUCAAUUACAAUAUAUCCCUUUUUGACCAAGUCCUUAAUAGUAUAAUGUUUUAUCCAAUUAACAUUUCAACCAUGGCAUUGUUGUUAUUUAUAGCAAAAAUAACUUUUUGUCACACAUAAUGCAAUAAGAUCAAUUAUGGGCAAUAAGUAUUUUAACAAAAAUAAUUAGUACAUUAUAAACUCCAUUUUGGGCAGAGUGUAUAAUGCACCAUUAUUUUUCACAGCAUGAAGUUUAUAAAGUAACAAUAAGGAGAAUUACAUAUAAUUGUCAAUGAUCCAUCCCCUUUGGGCAAACAAAUCAUUUAAAUUAUACAUCUCCAUGAUAUCAAUAUAUAGAUAUGAUAAAAGAGAAUUACAUAUAAUCUUCAAGGUUCAAUCCCCUUUGGGCAGACAAAUCAUUUAAAUUAUAUAUAUCUCCAUUAUCUCAACAUAGAGGGGAAUUACACAUAACUCUAAAAAAUGGGGAUAAGUACACUAAUGGUGCCAUAAGUUGUGUACGGCGCUCACUUUGGUGCCAAAAGUUUCUGUCGGAUCACUUAAGUGCCAAAUCGGAGGAAAAACGCUCACUUUGGUGCCACCGGCGAAAGAUUCCGGCCGUCCGGCGAAAGAUUCCGGCCAAAUGAUUUUUUUUUAAAAAAAAAAAUUGAUAAGCCUUUAAAUGACGUCGUUUUCGGUCCUCCUUAAGAAAACGGCGUCGUUUUGCCGUCCUACGUGGAUGGCUUCAUGGAAACGACGCCGUUUAGCUCACAUGGGGAAGAAAUUAGGGUUUCGGCGAGGUCGAAGCCGUGGCCGUCGUCGGGGCUGGGGUCGGAGUCGGGGUCGAAGCUGCAGCCGCCGAGUGGCCAUCAUCGAGGUCGGGGUCGGGGUCGGGGUCGAAGCUACGGCCGUCGAGUGGCCAUCGUCGAGGUCGAGGUCGGAGUUUGAGCCGCGGCCAUCGUCGCGGUCGGGGUCAAGGUCGAGGUCGGAGCUACGGCCACCGAGUGGCCAUCGUCGGGGUCGAGGUCAGAGCCGCUGCCGUUGAGUGGCCAUCGUCGGGGUUGGGGUCGAGGUCGGGGUCGAAGCCGUGGCCGCUGAGCGCAAGGACCGUCGAGGACGGCGACGGCCGGAGAUUAGGGUUUUCGAAUUGGGGGAGACACCAAACGGCGUCGUUUUGGUGUUUGGAUGUUGACUCAGCUCUCCGACGAGCCACGUCGGCGUAAAAAAUUAAUAAAAAAAGGCCACAUCGGAUUUCCGGCCAAUUUCGUCGGAGUUGGCACCAAAGUGAGCGUUUUUCAAAUUUUUUGGCACUUAAGUGAUCCGACGGAAACUUUUGGCACCAAAGUGAGCGCCGUACACAACUUAUGGCACCAUUAGUGUACUUAUCCCCUAAAAAAUGUAUCCCCUUUAGGCAGAUAAACCUUUUGAAUCACACAUCCCCAUCAUUCAUCUCUAAUAUAUCAAUAUAGAGGGGAAUUACAUAUAACUUUCAAAAAUUUAUCCCUUUUGGACAAAUAAAUCUUUUUGAGUCAUACAUCCCCAUCUUUUAAUUCUGGAAUUUAUCUUCAUGCAAUUUUCAAAUUAAUAUACACAAUAACCCCCUUUGGGCAAGUAAUUGUAUAUACUAAUUUUUAUCAAUAGGAAACUCCAAAAAACCAAAAUUCAUCUAACAAUAUGAAGCACUUUACGACAUGUGCUUCCCAAGAUCAUAUUGCAUUUAUCAAGCAAUAAUUUUUGCCACAAUUUUUUUUAAAUUAUUAUUUUAAUAUUUCGGACUCAUGGAAAAACAAGAAUGGAUAUGAAUGGUUACUAGAAUUAAAGGGAGCCAAAAAUUUCAUAGCUAUCAUUAAUCAUUACAUCAAAAAAUCAUGAGGAUAAUCUUUAUCUCACACUUCCUCACUGUCAACCCUUGGUUGGCAUAUUUAAAUUUGGUAUCUGUUAAAUUUGGGAAAUUUCAUAGUCAUGCAAUAACUCAAUCUCCACCUAUUCGACACAACCAUAUCAUUUGAAUUUAGAAGUAUCCUUCAUGCAUGUUAGCAUGAAACCCACAAGAGAUCAAGCAAAAUCUCUAUAAAAAGAACUUCUAAACCUCAAUCAUGUUAAGCCAGUCCACUCUGAUAAUUUGUGGUAAAACCACACAAGAAGACAUGAAAGGUCCGUUUGGUUUGCCAGAAUUUUCAGUAAUAUUGAUUAAUUUGUAUUUUGACGCUAUAGUCUUCCGUUAGUCACCGGUCCAAAUCUAAAAAAGAUUGUAACCUCGAACAAAGCCAACAUUCAAAUUUUCUAUGGUCCUUUUGCUCUUCUACUUCAUAAAAAUUCUCUAAAAGUGUUACGAGAUUCACCAACCCUAUUAAUCAAACCGCAUCUCCUUUUUUUUUCUUUAGUGUAAAUCACUUCUCUGCUUAAUUGUACCCAUCAAGUUAAAAGGGAAACAAAACUUUGAAAUUCCUGAAAUUAUUAUUAGAAGGAUAGCAUCUAUUUGAAAACCCCAAAAUUUCAUAGCCUCCAACUGACAAUUCACAACUUAUCCUGUGGGAUUAUGGGCCAGCGGACAAGCAGAAAAAGAGGUCAAAACCAGGAUGUCACAAAUCCAACGACAUGACAAAAAACAAGCUCAUCUCUCAAAGACGCUAAAGAGUUUCCAAAGAUCAAACCGUUUCAAUACCAUGUUACCAAUUUCCAAAGCAUUCCACAUUCAAAAAUCCCGAAGAUCAAAUCUUUUAGGAAGGAAUUUCUCGAAAAACCGAAGCGUACAUACAAUCAGCAACAUCAAGAUCACAAGGUCAUGACACGACGAGGAUCAAGCAUUUGAAUUUGCAUGAUCUCGACUAGGAACGACCUCAAACCAUGCGAAUUACAACGAAGGAAGAAAAUAAAAAACAGGAUUCUUUUUCCCUCACACGAACUUCACGAGUCCGCAAUUCAUCCUACAGACCCUCUUCCAUGUAUGCAUCGAAAUGAGAUGGACGAUCGAGCAACAACCACGGAAAGAACUACAUGCAAUGCGUUUGGACUAAUCUACUAACAUGAAUCUCAUUGAAAAACCCAGAGAUCAAAUCAGCAAAAUCGGCCGAAACCCUAAUCCGAACUCAUGAAAGUGCAAAGCACUCCAGUGAGGGCCAGAUUUGAACGCACGUCAAGUCAGAAAGGCAGCUCCAUCCAAAAUACAUCAUCUCCGUAAGUUGUCUUGACCAUGUAAUCAAUGUAACUAAAAUCAUAAUCUUAAGAUGCACAUACAAAGGGACAGAACCCGCCAGGGACAGGUUCUCGUGAAUAAGAGUUCUUGUAUUUACCAUCACAUAACCCAUAUCACUAACUCAUGUAUUCAUGAAUCAUCGACUAUAAAAAAUCAGAAACUUUUCCACAGACAAAAAAAACUCACUUGCUGGAAAAAGAAAAAAAAAACUUUUAAAAGAGCCGUUUUGAUCAGGUAUUAACCAAUUGACUACAAGCAACAAAUCACCUAUGUUGGUCUCUGCACAAAGUACAAGCACCCUCUUCAAAGAACUCUCAUUCUGCAGGAACAAUCAUCCAUAACAAGGAGACAAAAGCAAUGCAGCCAAUCAAUAGAUCAAUUGAGCGCACUAAGAGCAUAACCACCAUCACUAACAGACUGUUUAACUUCAUACCCGAAAAGCAAACCCCAAACGCUCGCCAAAGGGGAACAAACAAUCAGCUAUAAUAAUCUCCAAACCAACCGUUGCUACCGUUAAAUUGAAGAGAAAAACGAAGGUAAAACAAGAAUGUAACUUGAAAUUUUAGAACCUUUUAUGUAUAAACCCUAGAAUUUCAAAUUUAAAAUUCUCACUUGAUUCUCAACGAAAUUAUACAAAUUAUAUAUGGUUGGAAGAUCUCGACAUGUAGAACAAAAGCCCUAUGAUUUCAGGAUCAAUCAAGCAAAAAAUCCACAUGAAAAAGUAAUGCUCAUAUUCGGCUCAAAGAGGAAGAUUUCGAAUUUGUCAUGAAAAAGAUAAAAUUUGGAUUUUACAAUCAUAUAUGACAAGCUCUGAUACCACAUGUAGAAAAUUUAUUCACAGGAACAAUUAAUCUUUUCAUAACAAAUGGAUCCAUACAUGAUUGUAAAACACUAAGAUCAAUAAAUACAACGGAAUUAAAGCGUACCUGUUUGAGCCAUUGCUUCACUUGAAGAAAACUAGAUCUCUGAUAAUCAGGGAUCUGUCGGAAUACCAUAUCUUCCUCUCUAUGACCUAUUUCGAUAUAACAGCUUUUAAUGGAAUUAAAGCAACUGAUAAGUAUAACCUACCAUUUUAUAGGCUAGAGAGGGGACCUAGCAAACCCUAAUCAAUAGCGUGUCAACUGGGCCCUUCCCAUUACAAGCUUCAGUCAAACACAAUUGCCUACACUUUGCUGCUCAACUAGGCCCGUUAACAAUAGAUGCCAAUACCCAAUUCUAUCAGAUCACUGUAGGGUUAAAAAAAUAUUGAAAUAUCCAUUAACCCGAUUAUUUAAAAUAGAAAAUCAAUUAAUUAAUGUAAGCCCAUAUUGUAGGAAAUUUCCAACAGGAAUGCCCUCUGUUGUCUCAUCUACUUUUUGCAAAUGAUUCACUCUUUUUUCCUACAGGCUGAUGAGGAUAAUUGCAGAUGUUUAAGAGGCCAUGGUGCACGAAAGUCAUAUUAGCUGGGGGAGGAAUGAAGAUAGAGUGAUCUGGCCCUAGAAUAGAAGUAUAGCUUUCUUCGUUAAAUUUGCAUACCACUUUGCAAUUUAAUAGAAGAUGAAGCAGAUGACAACAACCCAAAGUCUUCAAGCUGCUCCAGAGUGGUCAGUGAGGUAUUGGAAACUUGUGUUAGAACAUUGUCUGCCCCCAGAGAUGAGAUUCUCUUGUGGAAACUCUGCUGCAAUACUGUUCCUACAGCUGAUAACCUAAGAAAUUUGGCCUUUCGUUGCUUGUAUUUGUGGGAAUUAAGGAAUGAUUGUUGGUUUUUUCCGGGGAAAGUAGCAGAUCAUAACAAAAGUGCCCAUUGGAAACAUCUUCGUUGUUUGAUUAAUUGAUUUCUGAUGGAGAUGAAGAAACUCCUUGAGAUUUUGACUGCUUUGGUCAUGCAGUGAAGUUUUGUUUCAUUUCCUGCUUUUCUUUUCAUCGUUGCAUGGCAUAUGACAUUCACAAGCAUCGCGAGGAAACCUUCGUUAUCUUCAAUGGGAAGGUGAUGGGGAAUGAGAACUCCAAGAUCACGAUUCACAUCAUCAUUUCAUCUUCCGCAACCAGAAUAAUGAAAAUAUGAUGACCAAAUUAAUGACCAAAAAAAUGACUCCGCCAAAAUCACGGAAAAGCGAACAGAGCUACGGCUGCUGUCAAAAUUACUGCAGAAACGCCGGUGAUGCUGAGUGAUGCUGCCAAGUUCCCUGGGGCAGGAGGAACUUUAUCUCCUGCAGGAGAUGCCGCUACCGCUGAGAGAGCCAGCACUGAAGAUGGUGGAGAAGCCGUGCUAGAGGGCAGCAGGGUGGCGGAGAGUGAUGGAGUCGCAGCUUUAGGCGGAAGACUCACUGUGGAAGGUGUCGGAGUCACAGUGCCGCUCGGUGAAGAAACAGUUGGGGAUGACGAAGUGGAGGCGGAGGGCGACGGAGUCAGAGUGGCGGUGGAGGACGUUGGGGUAGAGGCAGAGUGAGAAGGAGUGGCUGCCUUGUGGGGCGGGGCGGCAGAGGAGGACGGUGGCGGCGGAGUGGCAGAGGGGCUUGGCGGUGGUGACGUUGAUGGCAACCUUUUGGCCAGACGAGCAGUGGCCAGGGACGGUGCAGAUGAAGAAAUGCUGGCCAGCGGUGGUGAGGGUGAUCCUUGCCAGCGGGACGGUGGAGAUCGAGAGGGGGUUGGCCCCGUCGCACGAGCCAAAAGCUGUCUCCGUGACUUCGGCCACGUCCCGCGCUCCAUUGUUGAAGUUGAAGACUGCAUGAAGAUCAGAGAACAAGCUGUUGAUUAAGAUGGAACAAGUUUUUGGCGGUGGAACUAAACAAAAAGAAGAGCAUAUGCCGUAAAUACAAAGAAAAUCUCACACAAAAUGACCUUUUCCCACUGUUAAUUUUAGAGAGUGAAUAGAUAUAAUACUAAAAUCAAUUAUAGACAACAUUAUUUAUGUAAAAUAUUUAGUUAUAGUGACAAAUAAGCUUUAUUUUUUAUUAUUUACUUCAGAAAAAAAAAAUCAAUACAUUGAGAGUUUGAGUAGGACAAGCCAAAAAAAAAAGAUCAUUUUAAAAGAAAAAUGUCAAAAGAAUAUCCAUAUAAGUAAUAUUGACUAUUUUUCGAAAGUUAUGUAUUUUAUUUAUGACAUUGAAAACAGAUGAAACUUUCGAAAUUCAAUUUUUUUUUUUUCUAAUGAGCAUUGGAAAUUGCUUCUUCUAUCUUCAAGUUCUUAGCAAGAGGGAUUGGCCUUCUGACGUGCCAUUAGCAACCACAACAAUAAAGCCAAACAUUUUAUGAGUCUCUUGCAUAUAGGAUGCUAUUCGGUGUAGUAAAUGUUAUUCAAUUUUAUACUAAAAUGUCAUUUCUCGGCCUACCUAAAAUGUCUCCGACUUCAAAGGUAUUGCUGUUAGCUUACGCAGCAGCCCCGCUUGCGGGUAUGGUCCACCCCAUGACGUUUCUCACGGUGUAUGUCACCGUCCCUUUCGGAUGUUUGGGCGGCGGCACAGGUGUCGGCGCGGCAGAUCCCAAUAGCAAAGUCAUAAUCGCUGUCACCGUAGCGGCCACUGCAAAAGUACAACCAUGCGAAUGCCUUGCCAUUAGCCUCUCCGUUUUUGAAUUUGAACACCCUUCUUUGCUCUUAAAGCAUCCAGGGCUCCAACUUUUAUAGAAUCGUUUCUCACUAAAAAAAGAAAAAUUACAGGAGCUCGUGGAAUGAUCACAGUCGUGCAUUGCGUUGACCCCUUGGUGGAGCCCCCACUGUUGGAUAUGCGACAGGUGGAACGGGUCGGGUCAGCAGAAUCUUGGUGCUCCUGUAGGAUGUUGAUGACGUGGGGCUUUCACGUCGAUUGUAUUUUAGAGGGGAAUACUUCAUAUAUUUCGUGAAAAUAUGACUUCAAAAAAUAUUUAUUAAAAACAUAAUUGUUUGCAUCAUAUACAAAAAUGAAGAAACGAAAGUAUUGUCAUCGUUAAAAAAAUAGUAAGAUGAAUUAUUGUUUAUUAUGAAAAUAUUUCUCAUUAAUUCAUUACAUUAUCCAAUACAUGCAAUCGUGCUUAAAUUAUUCAUUUCUCGUUAAUUAAUUAUUUUAAACAGGGAGCCUCUGUAACACAUUAUUUUUAGUGUGAUGCAACGGAAUGAAUCUGUCCUCGGAGCAUCGACCAGCUGAGCAAAUCUUUUUGACUUUUGGGAAUCGAUUUUGCUACGUAAAGUCCAUCUCAAAAUUUUAUUUAAACAGUACAAAAGCCUAAUCCCAUUGAAAUAAAAGGAAAAAGCUCUAAGAAAAAAUAGAAGAAAUCGUAACGAUGGAAGAGAUAAAAGAAGCAAUGAGAGCGUGGAAGCACGCUAAUGUAUUUCUGGGGCCAACGCCACAAAACAUCGCUAGAUGUCGUGGAGUCUUGAAAUCUUGUGUCGUGCCAUCAACUCCAGUUGAAGACUGCUCUUAGGAUUAGGCAAUUUGGCUGUGGGGACGUCCAUCCGAAAAAACUAAUGUUAUAAAGUGAAAAGGAGAUCAUAUGUAUAUAAAAAGCAUUUAAAUCCUGUUAUCAAGUGAUAUAAGACAUUUUUCACAUCAUUCUCAUGUGUAAGCCCAAUAAGAAGAUUUUUCAACGUCUCCUUUCAUAUGCAAGCGGGUUUAGAACCUUUAAAUUGCUUAACCUCGUAGUUGGAGCAUAUAAAUACUAUUGCCAAAAGCAAUAUGUGAGAUUUCGACAAUGGUCAUCGGAUGUCAACACAAUGUAUCGUUCCAUUAUCUUUUUCUUUUUCCUAAUUUCAACAAGUCUCAAGUUGAAGGUAGUUUAAUCAAGGGAAAAAAUUAUCAAAAACUCCAAAUUAUACUCAUUGUGACACAAUUAAUCUGAAUUUUUUUGUAAUACCAAAAACCUAAACUUGUACUUGUGUGACCUUUGUCAAGGUUCCAUCAAUGAGCAUCAUUAAACAUUUGCCUACAUGGACAAUGGAAGACAACUAGUGUUUACAUGGUGCUCACGUGGCUUAAGUGAAAUAAUAAGACGUCGUCAUUUUGGCUUAAAAAAUCAUCUAACAAAAUCUUAACAAAUGGUAAAUGUGUCACUGGGCAUAAGUUUGGGGUUUUUGAUAUCCUAAGAAAAAUUUUAAGGCAAACGUAUCACAAUGGACAUAGUUUGGAGUUAUUGAUGUGACAAAAUAAAAUUCAAGAUAAAUGCAUAAUUUGGAGCUUUUAGUAAAAAUUUAGAGCAUCCAAUGUUGAAGAUACUUCUAGAAAAUUAUCAGGCUCCACCGAGGUAUUCACCCCCACGUCAGCUUCUCGCAAAUUCUCCAUACUUUGAGCUAUGUUCAUUAUAAUGAAAAAUUGAAACCAAUUUAGAGUGCGCUUGGUUUGAAGAUACUAGUGUUGCUUGGUUCGGAUGCGUUGGCUCUUGUGUUGAAAUUGAAAACCACUUAUCACGGCAUGUCACGUUCUGUAUAAUUCCACGAGUUGGGCCGGUUGCCUCGUACCGAAAGUGGACCCUUAUUUGAUGCAUUGAACGGGACUAUUAGUGUGGAACUUUAGGUUAUCAAUUGUCAAUUUGCCAUAUAUUUCCUUGCGUGGCCUCUCGCAUAAAAGUUUUAACUCUUAAAUUUUUAUUAUUAUUGAAGGUUACUGAGUUAUUUUAGCAAACUUGGUUACUGCCUGUUAGUUCCAUUCCUUCACUCUGCAUUACUUUCUCAUUUUUUUUUCCAAAUUUAUGCAAAUAUCGGAAAGCAGACUUUUAUUUUGCAGACACGUGUGUGUUGAUUACUAUUAGUUCAAAAAUUGAAAAUAUUUUAAUGGUCCGUCAAACUAGUCAACCAUAUAAGGGCCAUCCAACUCGGAUGAUCCGGGUGAAUGACAUGGCGUGUGGGCCAAGAUAUUUUGGUAACGUUCUAAUUAGAGAUGUCGAUAGGCCGGGCUGGCCCAUUUGACUUGACGGGCUGGAACUAGACAAGGUCCAUGUUGGGUUAGCCUAGCCCAGCCAUGGUCAGACGAAUGGGCUGGGCUGUGGUCCAAGCAUGGUCGUCUCUUGUCCGGCAGGGCCAGCCCAUUGGUCGCCACCGAUAGUAAUCGUAAAGAAGCAUUUGUUAAUUUUGCUUGAGUGACUACGUUUAGCAAAAGACUAGUAGUUUCCUUGCAAGGGAAGCUGCUAACCAAUUCAUCAUUGUUCCUCUCAGUUUCAAAGAAUUCUGUGAUAAGCUCAAACCACAAGUUAUCUCACCCAAAAAGAAAAAAAAAAUUUGAAGCUAUCAAGCUAAUGUAUGUAUGUAUGUAUGUAUGUAUGUAUGUAUGUAUGUAUGUAUGUAUAUGCUAAGUAUUCUCUUGUUGUCUGAUUUUGUUGCUGAAAUCUUCAUUAAAAAUUAGAGAUCUCAUCAAUUUAUUCAACGAUGGAUGUGCUAAUUGAAUGGUGUCGACGAUGCUUUUAUGUAUCGAAAAUCUUAUAAAUCCGCAACAUCUUUUGAUUGGUGAAUGAUAAAGUCUUCUUAUUUGAUGGUACUUGUCAAAAUAAAUUAGUAAUUUCAUGUCAGCAAAUUUCAUCAUUGUAUUAUUGUAUAGUAUCUUCAGAAGUUCUAGUAAAUUCGAAUUUGUAGUAAUACCUCCUGUCAUCGUGUUCUCUUUGCAUCAACAAGCCAAACGGCGACAUAAAUCAAGAUCCAGGGCCGACUCAAUCCAACUCAAGAUUCUCCAUACUGCUUAUUGAUUAUUUCUAUCUCACGAACGCCACUGUCUUAUUCCAAAGAAAGGCAAUGAAUUCAUCCGCUAUGUCUUCUGCAACAGCAUCUCACAAUGUACCAACAUUUCCAACUCUAUCUAAGAGAAGAGCAAACACUAAAUCCAUGAGAAUGGACUCAAGCAGGACUAGACGUGCAAUACCGAGAGACGAGCCAACACUUGGCGUAGAUGUGGUCGCGCCAGUGGUGGGGGAUGGCGGCGGUGGGGAUCCCGGCGGGCUGGAGGUUGGGCCGCUUGGAGGCUCCGUGACGGUGAUGGCCAGCUUUUGACCCUGGGAACAGUGGCCUGCGGUGGUGUAGAGGAUGUAAUAGUCGCCGGCGGUAUCCAGGGAGUAAUUAGCCGGAGAAGUGGACAGGACUGUGAAUGGGGAGUCGGUGUUGCAGGCGUCAUAGUCCUCCUUGGUCACGUCCGCAACAUCGUUGUUGCUCGAGUCGAAAUCGAACACUGCCCCCAAAAAAAGGGAAAAAAAAAUUGAAGGAUCAUGAGCAACAAAGAAUGAAAGCUUAUCGAUCAUGGUCAACGCAAGUACCCCAGAUCAGGGGCAGAGAUGGAUUGGUCUGAUCACAUUCAAACCUUUCAUUUCUUGACGUGUUGACCAGAUCUGUGCUCAAACGUCGUUUGACUUUCUGAUGAGAGAUCUACUUACAAAACAAGCUCAAAAGGUGCACGAACUGAAAUUGCCAUAGUUCUGGAUCUUCUUCAACGUAAAUUUAGAUAUCACGCAUACUUUGCACUCACAAAUAUACAUCAAUUCGAAAGAUUAAUGUUGGGCGAGAACCGAUUUCCAACUCACCUAGAACGUCGCCGACCUCGAAUGUGUGUUGGCUUGCCCAGUCGGAAUAUGCGCCGGCGCUAGAAGGGAUCUUCCAUCCCUCAGAACCUCCCACUGUGUAAUUCGUCGCCUCGGCGCACGAUAAAAGUGCGACCAUGACUCCGAGCAAACAGGCUGUGAUUCCCUAUGCAAGUAAGGCCCCACCAGUACCACCACCACAUCACCUCAUCCGCAGCGCAACACGGAGAAAAUAUUGGGUGGUCCGGACCUCCACAUCAGCGUGGUCCCCGGCCACUCACGAGGUGCCAUGUGGAUGGUGGGCCCACUUGGUGUCUUCUGCCCUCUUCCCCUCUCUCUCUCCUCUUCCUAGCCUGCCGACGCCCUCUCUCCUCCUAGCCUGCACGCUCUCUCUCCUAUCAGAGCAUUUAUUGCGGGGAAAAACUUUUCUCUUUCCUUCGUUUGAGAAAGAAAACGGUCGUUCGUUCCUCUCGUUCCUCUGUCCCUCUCUCCAUUUGUUUCCUUUCGAAAUUUUGAAUCUGAACUUUUCUCCCUCUCUCCGCGCUCGUUGCUGCUCCGUUGUGCAUCAAACAGCCGUUCCCUUCCCGUCGCCGACGGGCCGCCCCUACUCCGGUGCCCGCUCGCUUCUCUCUUCGGGCUCGUUGCUACUCCAUCGUUCGUUCCGGUGUUCCCAGGAUCGCAGAUGCAGCACGGGGAGGAGAAGCAGGCCUCUUCGAGCUCCCCUCAACGUCGGCUCGCGUCGCCCGCCGAGCGAGACCCCCACACACUGGAGGCUCGGAGGCGAGGUUGCUGGAGAAGUUGGUGCUCCAGAGGAGUAGUCGAGGGAGCUGAGAAGGAGGCCGCGAUGGAGUAGUCGAGGGACUUGACGUCGACGCGGCGAAGCCUGAGCUCGGGGCUCUUGACGCGGACGGUGAGGGCAAACCCGAGGAAGGCGGCGCGGAGGAUGAUGAUCGGGGUGAGGGCGUAGACGAAGCACUUGCUGCUGCUGCGCCUCUGGUUGUGGCAAGGCAGUAGCUUGGCGAAGUGGGCGAGCUCCACGUCAUCGCUACGGAGGCAGGGUCCGGAGGGCACGAUUGGGCUGGUCGGAUCUUCUUUAGGCAUCACGAAAGUCGGAGUUCAAGUGAAUGCGAGAGAGCACGGUACCGAAAUCUCUUCGACAUGAUAGUCGACGCGGUGAUCACGGCCAAGGCGGUUGCAGGGCAUGAGAACAUCCCGGUGAUUGUGGCCGAGACAGGGUGGCCAAACUCGAUCCUCGAUGCAGCAGAGAUCGACGCCAACGAGCUCUACUCCGAAAUGUACGUGAAGGGCCUGUUGGGGCACUUGAGGUCGGGGCAAGGGACGCCAUUGAGGAAGAAAGGCGUUGCGGAGGCUUACGUUUACGAGCUGGUCGAUGAGGAAGCAAAAGAGACGACGAGCAGCCAAGCUCGCGCGAGGAACUGAGGGAUCUUGUAUGCGAAUUUGAGCGAGAAGUAUGAGGUCCAAUUCUCUUGUGCCGCCCGCUAUUGUAGGUCGUUGGAGGAGCUGUUGAUUGGGUUCGUGUUGAUGCUGCUGAUUCUGGUCUGGUUGAUAUGGUAUAUACCGAAUUCCCCAUGGUGAUUCCGUUUCGACUGGGGUUUGAUUUCGUUCUUGCUCUUUCUCUUCGAUGGAGCGUGUCCCUCUCGAAGAAGAUGAUUUCUUCACGUCCGCGUUCUGGGUUUGAAUCUUUGAUGGUCUAAAGCACUUGCAACCGGCUGAUUCUGUUGUUUCGUUUUUUCUCUGUUCUUAUGAUAUGAUAUUGAUCUUGAUCUUGAUGUAAUUCUUUUGUUCUUUUAUGGGGGUUCUGGAUGUGUUAGAGAUGGAUUUGAAAUCAGUGGUAAUCGGAUGAAAAGUGGAGUCAUCUGGAAUCUUGCUCGAUCGAGCAAAUUCUUUGUCUUUCUUUUCUUUUCCUAGCGAGCCAGAGGAUUUAUCUUGUUCUUUUCCCUACUGUUGUUUAGCUCGAAGCAAGAAGUUUCUGCAAAUUUUAAUUGAAUGCCAUGGCUCUGCCGCUGUUACUGGUUUCCUGAAUGCGAAAUGGGCGGAGUCAAAUCGAAUUUUUCGUAGCAGUACUUGAACUCAAGGUGGGAAUUCGGAAGAUUUAUGCAUGCUAUCGAGAGUGUGUGGUAAAAUGCAAUGCCUCGCAAAGCUCGAAUCUUUUUAGGUAGAAGAAGAGUUGUAUGCGCAGGCAAAGCAUAUAAUAACAACUGGGCAUUGCUUUGUGCUCAGCGUGAUAGAUCAGCGGCCCCAAUUUGAAUUUGAUUGAAGAUAACCCAAGCUCGAUGCAGCAUAAUGCGAAAGAGGAGAUCGAUUGGAGUUUUUGCUAACCACAGGGCAAUGAUCUGAGAAUCUUUGAUCUUUCACUUUUCUAAAACAAAACAAAGUCAGAAUGGAAUUCGGAAAAUCAUGACAAAGAAGGGAAAUUGCUUUUGGUGCGGUUCUCAAUCCCGACGAUAUUCACGACACCUCAGAAGAACAAAAAUUUACUUGUCACUUUUAACAGUUUCUUUCCCUCUCUUGCAAAAACACUUUGAUGGAGUGACAGGGGAAUGGUGGUUUUGUAAAUUGUCCACUUGCUAGUCAGAAUUCGGUUCGUCAUCACCCCAAAUAUCUAACUAGGACACGAGAAAGAAGACAUAAGAGAGACAAAAUAUGCCAAGAAAUCAUCGGAUAAGGCCUCGAGAUUUCUUCAGACGAUGAAAAUUAGCUUUCACCGAGUACAGUGAAUCAACUUGGGCAAGCAUAACCUAGCAAACUAUCAUUCUAGUUCGCAAAACUAGGAUUUUUGUACAACACUGCUAUUUCCUACUAAAGUUGCGCAUGAAACCUAAAACAAGCCAGCUAAUCUUUCCUCAUUGCACACCCCAACAUAUUCAUACAAGCAGAUAGACAUGCACCCCUAUUCACACACGCGCAAGAGAUUAUGAGCUCAGAGAGAGAGGGAGAUUACAUAAUACAAUCAAUCGCUAUUUACAUUUGCAAGAUUUUAGGAGUUAGUGUGGAUGACCAAAUCCAGAUCCAGCAGAAAGUCUUAGUCCUCUCUUUUUCCCAAAACCAAAUGAAUCUCGUCCUCAAUCUUCAAUCUGUUUCCUUUGUGGUGAAAUGAUCCUGAAAACAUGCUCUUGGCUGUGCAAUUGUCCACCAUAACUACCCAUAUGCUCUUCUUCCUCUACCCUCCGCUGCCGUCGAUCUUGUCUCAGGCUUUAGCACCUUCCUACGCUGCCUCGAACACCCUGCGCGGGUCAUCACCGGCAGAGGUUCAAAGAGCAACAGCGACAGAGCAGCACAACACAGCACAGACCCACUCAAACCCAGCUUUCACACGGUCCCGCAUGUCCGACUGGCAAAAACCUCGGACGAUGACAUAGGAACACAUCAAUCCGCUCAGUGAGUGACCCGUGCUCUCUCGCAUUCACUUGAACUCCAACUUUCGUGAUGCCUAAAGAAGAUCCGACCAGCCCAAUUGUGCCCUCCGGACCCCGCCUCUGGAGUGACGACAUGGAGCUCGCCCACUUCGCCAAGCCGCCAUCUCACCAUAACCAGAGGCGUAGCAGCAAGUGCUUCAUCUACACCCUCGCCCUGAUCGUCAUCCUCAGCGCCGCCUUCCUCUGGUUCGCCCUCACCGUCCGUGUCAAGAGCCCCGAGCUCAGGCUUCGCCGCGUUGACGUCAAAUCCCUCGACUACUCCACCGCGGCCUUCUUCUCAGCUCCCUCGACCGCGUCGCCGGUUGGGGAGGCUAUCCUUCGGAACACUAAGAGAGCAUCUUCUUUGCCGUUGGGCUUCCGCUCACUUGCGAUUCGCCGUCCUCACCGUCUCUGUAACAUGUUCUACAUCCGGAAAUGGCAAGCGGGGACUUCGGCGUCACCCGUAGAGCUUGGGACGUGGUCCACCUUGCGCUGCUGUGGCCGAGGAGAGGCGUUCAGGUGGCUCCUCGCGGUCAAGUUCUGUCUCGCCGUGGUUGGAUUCGUCAAGAGCAUCAGUGGCAGUUGUGGCUACCGCAACUCAAUGUCCAUCCGUUACGGGGAGCGCGAGCUCUCAUUGGACAAGACCCUAGUCUUUCACGUCAAGAUGCAUCGACCCGGAGCAUCCAUGAGGUCCCGCUUUCGCCUCCCUCGCAUCCCCUACAUUAGCGACAAGGACGGCGACUGGGAGAGGAAGAGCCCGGUCACCGUUGAAGAUGGAGGAGAAUGCAGAUGCGGAGGUGGCAGAUGAGGUGGAUACGUAAGUGCGGCGGCGUGGUUUGUCGAACGGCAGGCUCUGUCGUUCCUCGGAGGAGCAGCGUGACGAAGGGGCAGAAUGGACGAGAAAAUAUUAGCUGUAGCGCAGAUGCAGCGGCAGUCAACAAUGCGAAAGCGGGGGCGGUGGCAUGAUUCGUCGGACGACGGCUCCGCGUCCGAUCGGAGAAGAAGCGGAGGGCAAAGCAACCAGGCGCAAGUCAAACGAAAAAAUGGAGAGAGAGAAUUUGUAAGAGAGAAGGAUUGCUAUUACUUCCUUGGGAGGAGAGAGAGAGCCGAAUUUUUCAAAUUUCCCGAGAGGGAAAAGUUUCUGGUGGGCCCAGCAUAGCUUGUCGAAAGGUCAGGAGAAGGCUAGUGUAGGCUAGUGAGAGAAAAAAGAAAAAGAAAAAUGCAGAAGACGGCAAGCGGGCCACGCUUCCACAUGGCGCCACGUGAGUGGUCCGGGACCACGCUGAUGUGGAGGUCCCGAACCACCCAAUAUUUUCUCACGAAACACAUAGCACUUCGCGACCCACAACCUGAGCGGCUCCCGCCCCCGCACCGAACCGCAGCACGACACGCCCUGCCCCUACUCAUCACCUCACGAUCCCAUCGCCACCCACUGCGUCGACCUCGCUCCGCCACUAAGUCAACGCAACCCCUAACAUCCUGGGACAUGUCCGAUGAUCCGCGAGCUCGGGACGGAGCACCAGAUGAUUACGGCUUUCUGUUGGGAUUGUUGGAUUCCCUGAAAUUGGAUUCGACACUAAAUCGAACCCUUAAACUUGUGCGGAAGACGAGCCCGGGAAAAACACAUGCAUCGCCGAUCCUAAGGCACAUCACAAAAUCGAACGUACCUUGUUAGCCACAGAUUAAACACCGACGCCGAUAUGAGGAAGAGAAACUUAUCCUGUUUGAUCCGAUGACGUCAAUUGGCCUUGAAGGGAAAAAAGUGUCAUCUCUUUUUCUUUGUUCUUUCUUUUGGAGGGAGAGAGGGAGGAGGAACGUACAUACUGCCAAAAGAUGUGUUCCUCCCUCUUUAUUUCCCCCUUAUAUUCGUCUCCUCAAAAAAAAAAAAAACGUGUUCCUUCAUCACAUCCCUCUAUCCAUGGGCCCUAAUAUUGUGCGCUGGGCUUUUAGGCCUAACAUGGGCGGACGAGCCAACUUAGGCCCAUCACAUUAAUAAUUAAAAUCAUCAUCUCCCACUCGCACAUGGUGGGCCGAACAGGAUUCUCUUUAACCUCUCUUCAACAUUCAUACCGGUGAAUAAUCCGUGCGACCAGUAUACUUUGAGAGCUCGUUGCCAUAUAUCUGUUAGGAAUAUAUAGCAGCUCAUAAUGGGCAUCACACUCUGAGUAGAUUUAGUAUGCAGUACCCAAGAUCGAUCGAUCACAUUUAUAUCUCUCUUGAUCUCUUUUAAACAAUAAUAUAUAUAUAUAUAUAUAUAUAUUCAUAAUUAUGAUUAUCCCAAAGACAGUCAUAAUUGGUCGACCAGUGAAUACAAAACUACAAUGUAAUUCUCCAAAUUCGAUCUUUCUCUUUCUUUCAAACUCUUAAUUUCAGUUCAGCUUUCUUUUCUAGAAACGUCCCAUUAGAUUGAAUCAACUCAUGACCAUCGGCAACAUUCUAAGAUAGCAAACACUAAAUAGAAAUCUUGAGAAUAAGUAAGAAUCAUGAUGGCACUAAAAUUGAGGAACUUUUUUCCUCAAGAGUCUCACAUGGUAUAAAAGUUGAGAUCAAACUUUUACCACUCUUAUUGGUCGUCUCAUGCAUACGUAGUAUGAAAUACGUAUUAUGGUAUUAACUCAUUUCCCAUGGAGCGUAUGUCUACACCUUCAAUACCGUACAUAUAAUAGUUCAGACAUACCCAAUGUUUAACUUGAGUUCACAUAUCUACUCAUUCACAAAAUUCAUCAAAACUCACAUCUGGUAUCAUAGACAGAUAAAGUAAAAUAUGUUGGAUAUUUUACUUUCGGACAUAGUACAUAUCAUGUCCUAAUCUUAACACUUAGUUAAGGUGACAUAUAUAUUUUAAGCUUGAACUCUCAAUUAUCACAUAGAUAAUAAGCUUAAAAACCGUCUCAUCUCUAUUUAUCAUAUAGUAAAUAGAUGCGAUUACCCGUGUGAGUGGGCCAAUCUUAUAUCUGUCCGACAUACUUUCUCAACUUAAAGUAAUGCAUUGAGCAUUAAGAUGCAUAAAGAUCAAACAAAGAUUCAUAAGCAUUAAUGAUGAAAAACACAAAUUCAUUAAAUGUGAACACUUCAGGGAAAUUAUAAUAUUCAGUACAUCAGCCUUUACGCAGUCCUAGAGAUUUUACAUGACCACAAAACACAUCUCUAGGUAUUGGCUUUUGGAUCUACUACCAUUCUAUGCGUAGAUAUGUACUGUAAGUUCACAUCUUUUCGUGUAACCAUAUCGUUGACAAAGUUAUACUUGGUAUCUAUAUGUUUGGUCUUAUCAUGAUAUUUUGGAUCUUUGGCUAUCACAGUUAACUAACAAAAAAUCUACAGCACUUCCUAUAACACCUAAAUGAUUCAAAAAUCUCUUAAGCCAAACACAUUCUUGUAUUGCUGCUGAUAAUACCACGAACUCAGUUUCCAUCGUGGACAAGGCUAUACACGUUUGUUUCUUACUGCUCCAACAUAUGGCGCAAUUAUUCAGUAAGAAAACAAACCCAGAGGUAGAUUUCCUUUCAUCUAAAUCUCCUCCCCAAUCAGCAUCUAAAUAAGCUUUGAGUUGCAAAUCCUUUCCUUGAUAACUCGGCGUAUAAUCAGCAAAUCCUUUUAGAUACCUCAGUAUUCUCUUAACGGCUUUCCAAUGUGCUUGACCUAGAUUGGAUUGGUACCUACUCACCAUUCCAAUUGCAAAACAUAUGUCAAGUCUUGUACACAUCAUAGCGUAUAUCAAGCAUCCCAACAGCACUAGCAUAAGGAACAUGUUGCAUUUGUUCAUUCUCUUGUGGAGUCCUUAAACACAAUCUAUUGCUCAAUCUUUCGCCUUUUGUAAUAGGAAUUCCUAUGGGUUUACAAUCUUGCAUACGUAAUCGUUCAAGAACCCUAUUUAUGUAUGUUUCUUGCGAAAGAGACAAUGAUCUCUUCGAACGAUUUCUUGAAAUCUUAACUCCAAGAAUGUAUGCAUCAUCACCCAUGUCUUUCAUCUUAAAGUUGGAAGAUAACCAACUCUUCACAGUAUUUACAAACUCCAUAUUACUUCCGGCAAUUAGUAUAUCAUCAACAUAUAAUGAUAUGAUCGCAAAUUGAUCUUUGGAUAUUUUGAUAUAUACACAAUGAUCAUCAUCUAUCAUUGUAAAAUCACAUGUCAUUAUGGCAUUAUGAAAACGUAUAUAUCAUUGUCUCGAUGAUUGCUUAAGGUUGUAUAUCGAUCUCAAAAGUCGACAUACAUUUCCUUAUUGGCCUUCUUUAAUGAAACUAGCAGGUUGUUCCAUAUAUAUUUCUUCCUCUAAUUCUCCAUUGAGGAAAUCAGUCUUUACAUCCAUUUGAUGUAACUCAAGAUCCAUACUAGCCACUAUUGCCAGAAUAAUGCGAAUCGAGGUAAAUUUCACUACAGGAGAAAAUGUUUCUUCAUAAUCAAUUCCUUCAUGUUGGUUAUACCCCUUCGCCACAAGGCGAGCCUUAUGCCUUUCUAUCGAGCCAUCAGCUUUUCGCUUUAUUUUGAUAACCCACUUGUUCCUAAUAGUUUUGCGUCUUUUUGGAAGAUCAACCAGUUCCCAAACUUGGUUUGACUUCAUUGACUCAAUCUCAUCUUCCAUUGCAUGAAUCCAUUUUUCCUUACUAUGGCAAUUUAUAGCCUCAUUAAUAUUCCUUGGCUCAUCCUCAUCCUGUGGAGCAACCAUAAAAGUUUCCCCUUCGAUGUCAAAACGUCGACGAGGAAUACUUUUGCGACUUGUUCGCUGUAUAGGAGAUUGUACACUUUGCACAUCAUUCUCCAUUAUGCUCCCACUCGGAUUAGAUAAUGAUGAUAUCAUCUUAUAAUGUGGUUGUAAUUGAGAGUGAGUUGAAUUAAAUUCAUUACUUCUCAUGUUACUCCCACUUGGACGAACUCCACUAAUAUCAUUAUCUUGAUCCAAGGUUUCAAAUAGGGAGUAAUCUUCACCUAUUUCGCCAUUCUUAGGAAAUUCAUUCUCUAAAAAUGUAACAUUCCGUGAUUCAAAUUAAGUUAUACUCAUACUUUCUUACUCACCUAUGAACACAUACCCUUUCGAGUGUUCGGAGUAUCUUAUGAAAAUACUCUUCUUUCCUCUAGGACCCAAUUUCCCAAACUUGUGAUAGGGCUCAUGAGUAUAGGUAGCACAACCCCAUGGCUUAAGAAAACUUAAGUCCGAUUUUCUACCUGUCCAUAACUCAUAUGGAGUGGAAGUAACUGAUUUGGAAGGCACUCGGUUAAGUAUAUAAGCAGCAGUUAACAACGCAUCACUCCAAAAAGUGAUAGAUAAGUUAGCAUGCACCAUCAUGGACCUAACCAUUUCUAGUAGGAUUCUGUUUCUUCUUUCCGCAACACCAUUUUGUUGAAGAGUAUAUGAAAUAGACAACUGUCUUUCUAUUCCUUUUUCAUCACAUAAUUUUCUGAACUCAUCAGAUAAAUAUUCUCGACCUCGAUCGGAUCUUUUAUUUUUUUAUCUAAUUGAUUUUCUACCAAAUUCAUAAACCUUUUGAAACAACUUAAUGCUUCAGAUUUAUGAGAAAUCAAAUAGACAUAUCUUAAUCAAGUAUAAUCAUCUAUAAACGUGAUGAAAUAAACAGCCAUAUGCAUUCCUCUUACAUUCAUCGGACCAUAGACGUCAGAAUGAAUUAAUUGCAAAGGAAAUUCAGCUAUUUUCCAUUUUUCCAAAUGGUUUCCUUGUUGUUUUUCCUACUAGGUAAUGCUCACAUAUGGGCAAAUCGACUUUUUCAAUAUUGCCUAACAAGCCCUCUUUGGCUAGUAUAUUCAUACGUUAUUGGCUAAUGUGACCAAGUCUAGCAUGCCCACACUCACAUCAUUAUCAUAUGAAGUAGAAGACGUGAAAAGGGAAUAACAAACAUUGACAUCACCACAGUCAACAUUUAGUACAAUAAAACUAUCCAGAAAAUAACCACAACCAUAGUAGUUUGUAUCCAAAUACAAAUCUACACCUCUAUUAUGGAAGUUCAUAUUAAAACCAAGCUUGACCAACACUAAAACAGAUACUAAAUUUCGACGAAUCUCUGAAACAUAUAAAACAUCAUGUAGGAACAAUGUGCGUCCACCACACAUGUUCAAUUGGCAGGUGCCAAUCCCUUUAACUUCAGCUCUAGAGUUAUUUCCCACAUAGAUCCACUUAGUUCCAAUUGGUACUCAUCGGAAUUCCACGAAGAAUCCUUUAUCCUUCGCUACAUGGUCUGUUGCUCCUGAAUCUACAAUCUACAAAUGAUUGGAUUCAGCCAAUAAUACAGAACUUAACACAUAAGCAAAGUUCUCAAAUGUACAAGAGGUGUUUACCUUUUUCGGCUCACAACAGUUGCGAGCAUAGUGACCUUUCUUGUCACAAUUGUAACACCUCACCCUUGACAUUUUCUUCAAUUGAUUACGUUUUCCUUUCUUGUAUUGGUUAACUCUUGAUUUCUUGCAAUAAGGACUUGAUCAUUUGCAUUCCCACAUAUUAAACGAAUCAAUACGCUUGCGUUUAGAGCUCAAAGCCCUUUCUGAGCUAGAACCAGCAUUGCAAAUAUCUAUUUUCGGCUCAAAUGCCGUUAGGCGGUCCUCUACUAGCUUAAGGUGGCGCACGGCAUCCUCAAGAUCUUCCAUAACAUGGUCAAGAGUUUCUAGUGCUUUUUGUUUUUCCAGCACAUAUUGAAUCUUCAUAUUCAAUAUUUCACAAUUGUUGCCAUUCAUAUAAGCAAUUACGUUUUUAGUUGUUGAAACCAUCGAUCUGAACACAUUAGACAUAUAUGCACGAAUAAUUAAUGCCUAUCAUUUAUGCAUCCACUUUGCACUGACUCAUCAUAUCAAUGAAUAAUUUCAAGUAAGGUUUCAUAAUCAAAGGUCACUAUGUUUCCAAUCAUCCUCCAAAAAUCCUAACUUAAAACUAUUAUUAAUAUAAUUGUCUUAUGCAAAAUAAAUUCUAUGAAGUUGCAAAAACUUUUAUGAACUACCCACAGCAGUUAACAAUAACAGAAAACAAAUAAUAUUUGACAUCCAAUAGAAUAAUAAUGCUUUCACAUAAUACAACUAACAUAUCAGUUGCCACACCAACAAUAAUUAAGUAGAAAAGCAUUACAUGAGAUGUCCACAAAGCACACUAAACAAAGACCAGCCAAUACAUCUAACACCAAAUCAAUACACGAACUGGGAAAGAUCCUCUUUUGUUCAAUUUCUUCAUCUUUUCCCUUGUAACAGUAUAGUAAUAAUCAUUUAUAAAAUCCAUCACAAUUUUCCUAUAUGAAGCGGCUCUGUUGACAUCCCAUAUGCGAUUCAACACUCCUUAUCAUUCUGGUGGAAGAGUGUUCAUGAAAAAUCGCACCAUCUCAGAUUGUGGCAAGGGACGACCAUUCCAUAUGACCUUUUGAAUUUUCCCAUUGACUUCAAGAACGUGAUCAAUUAAGUCACCACUCUCCCAUCAAUGAUCAGUCAGCUCAGCUAUUAACUUAGAAAGCUUUUCCUUUUGUUCAUCGGUAAUUGCGCGAAUAGGUGUGCGCAACUUAAGGGGAGGCAUUGUUCCUGCAACAAAUGCAGAACAAAUAAGGGAUCACAUAUAAUCCACAUAGACUUAAUUGGAAAAAGAAACACAUUCUUUGCCUCUCCUUUUUUUUUUGUCAACAGUCAAUAGUCAAAGUCAACGGGUCAACGGUCGGAGUCAACGGUCGGAGUCAACGGUCGGCGGGUUGGGCUGGUCGGACCGGAUGGGCAAACCGACCGGCACGUGCGGCACGCGUGUGCAGCUGAUGUCACGAUGACAACUAACGUCACGAUGACGUCAGCUGGCGCAUGCCGCGCACGUGCGACGCACGUGCCUGUGGCUUCGUAUCGGUGCAUGCGCGCGCAGGUGUGACGCAUGUGCCUGUGGCUUCAUAUUGGCGCGUGCGUUGCACAAGCCGAAGACGCCAGUUUGUUCCGGCUACGCGUAUGGGCGCGUCCGGCGGCCUUUGGUGGCAUUCCGCCAUUCGUCGCACUCGUCUCGACCAGACCUUCCAUCUAACGCCAUCAAAAAUAGAUUUCUACUUACAGAAACUUAAAAAAAUAGAUGAACAGUGCUCGGGUGUCGGGAUUUUUCCGCCCCGAUUGGUGUCGGCCAAUUAAUUUCACAAAAAAUCAAUAAGAAAUCAUCCAUAAACAUAAGAGGGGUCGGGAAAAAUAUGGAAAAAGAUCGGGAAACAAGAACUACGGCUCUGAUACCAAUGUUGGGAUUGUCGGAUUCCCUGAAACCGGAUUCGACACUAAAUCGAAUCCUUAAACUUGUGCGGAAGACGAGCCUGGGAAAAACACGUGCAUCACUGAUCCUAAGGCACAUCACAAAAUCGAACGUACCUUGUUAGCAACAGAUUAAACAUUGACGCCGUUAUGAGGAAGAGAAACUGAUCACGUUCAAUCCGAUGACGUCAAUUGGCCUUGAAGGGAAGAGUGUCGUAUCUUUUUGUUUGUUCUUUCUUUUGGAGGGAGAGAGGGAGGAGGAACGUACGUACUGCCAAAAGGUGCGUUCCUCGCUCUUUAUUUCCCCCUUAUAUACGUCUUCUGAAAAAAGAAACGCGUCCCUUCAUCACAUCCCUCUAUCCAUGAGCCAUAAUAUUGUGGGCCGGGCUUUUAGACCCAACAUGGGCAGACGGGCCAACUUAGGCCCAUCACAUUAAUAAUUAAAACCAUCACUUUCUGGCGUGGAGGGGCCCCCGCGUCAUCGUGAAAGUCUGUGGAAAAACAAUACUUUUCGACGGCAGCGAGAGGAGAAUCGAAGGACGCGGGACACCUGUCUUUAGCGUCCUUGGCUUUCUCUGUCUCUCUUAAUCUUUCUCCUUCGUAGGGGUGCCAGGAUCUCGGGGCCCCCUCUUUUCCCGGAAAAUGGUCUCGGUUUGACGAAGGAUCUGUAGGAGACUCUCAGUUUGGUAAAUGGACCUGAUGAACAGCAAAGCUUUUGCGUCGCAACUUCACCGCAAUUCAAACAAUAUUUUCUCUUCGUAGUACAACCCAAAUCCUUACUUGUACUUGCUUUGCUGUACACCCGCAUCCUUACUUGCUUUAGUAUGCAGCCCAUAUGAGCACUAGCACGACAUUAAAGACAAUGUCCUAUGAAAAGGUAGUUGGACAGAGGGAGGGUGCUUUGCUCGUUCUAGAUUUGGCUAAUUGGCUUAGUCAAAUGCACAAGUAGGGGAAAAGGUGUUUGGAUACCCUUCUCCGCCUGUCCUCUCCAUCUCAAGAUGCCUCAUGCGAGUAUUGACUUCGGCGAGGGACAGAGAGAGGGUGCUUUGCUCGUUCGUAGGUGCAAUCUAGAUUUGGCUAAUUGGCUAAAUGCGGCCAAAUGCAGAAGUAGAGGGAGAAAGGUGUUUGGAUACCAAAUGCGGCCAAAUGCAGAAGUAGAGGGAGAAAGCUGUUUGGAUACCCUUCUCCCUCCGCCUGUCCUCUCCAUCUCAACAAGCCUCAUAUGCGAUAGAUAGCAUCUCUGGGGAGUGAGAUCAGUUUGCGUGAAAGUAAUUCAUUAGAUGGCCACACACCAAGUAGCCACGGCGGCUCUUGCUUUCGGCAUUCUAGGUGAGUAACCUCCGCCUACUAACUGUUGAUCUUCAUCGCCAGUCUUCCUACUCAUCAUGGUUGCAUGCUUUCCUGCUCUCUGAGCUUUUCGUUUUUUUUUUUAUCACGACCUACUGACGGACAAAUGAGAGUCAAAACACACCUAAUGGAGGUGUUGAUUAAUCCCAAAAGUCAAAGUACGACAAAAUCAAUCCUAAAUCACGAGGCUAAUCAUAAUCCUCGCCUACUUACUAGCAGACAUCACCUUCAUUUUUCUUUUCCAUCUUUUAUUAUUAUUGGGGGCUACUAUGUAAAUAAUAAUUUGUUUUGAGCCAUAAAUUUUUAAAGGAUUUGAUCCCAAAAUAAUUUAUAACUAUUCGUUGAAUGGAUUUCACGUCUAACUGGAGUAAGGGCCAAUCAAGAAUAGCAGCCAAAGAUAGUAAAAUACAAACAUAAUUUAUCUUUGCAACUGGGGCAAAGGUCUCUGAAAAUUCUUUCAAGUUUGUGUGGGCACAAGAUCUUUAGUAAUUAGGGGAAGGAAGGAUGUGGUGGAGACGUCCUUGAGGAAAUAAAGGCUGGAUAUUAUUAUCUUUCGGCAGAGAAUAGGAAAGAAAAGGACAUAGGCAAAACUUUUUCUCACAUUUGAAUUAAUUCCAACUCAUGUUCUGGUCAUUUUCUUUUCGGCGGGGUCAAGUCAAGCCCUCAAAGUCUGGAUCACAAAAUUCUCACGUCUGAUAAGAAGUUGUUCGAAAGGUCAUAAUAUGAUGAGGGCCUCCAUACUAGCUAAGUUACGAUGACUUUUGACUUCUUUUAAUUGUUUUGCAGGCACCGUGAUUUUCUUCAUAACCUUUCUUUCUCCACUGUAAGUUAUAUCAUCUUCCUUUGUUCACUAAAAUAAUAAUGAGCUUGUUAGAAAAUUUGGAUGUGAGUGUGCGGAAGCAUGAUUUUGGAAUUGAUGAUAAUUUUUUAUUAAUGAUAUUGUGUGCAAGUGUAUGAUAUAAUUUGUAAUGGAUGGAUAAGGGAUAAACUAGGAUAAUUGAAGGAUAUAUGAUAUGAGAUAUGAGGGAAAAUAAUUUUAUUAAUUGUAGAAAAUAGUUUGAUGAAGANNNNNNNNNNNNNNNNNNNNNNNNNNNNNNNNNNNNNNNNNNNNNNNNNNNNNNNNNNNNNNNNNNNNNNNNNNNNNNNNNNNNNNNNNNNNNNNNNNNNNNNNNNNNNNNNNNNNNNNNNNNNNNNNNNNNNNNNNNNNNNNNNNNNNNNNNNNNNNNNNNNNNNNNNNNNNNNNGCUUCUUUGAGAACAAACAUCUGAAUGUCACUGAUUUGAUGAGAUGUGCUUUAUUUUUAGAAGUGGAAUUAUUUUCCUCUCACUUUUGCCUUAUCUUGGUAUGGUAUUUUGCAACUUGCCUGGUCUAGUCUGGGUGUCAUAUUCCCAUUUCACCAGGCUGAGACAUUAAAUCUUCAUUUUCAUGCAUGUUGAUUUUUUUUUUAAAUUUUCCUGGUAUACAUGAAUAUUGGUCUUGAAUUGAGCUGUGGAUGGCUGUGUGUAGGCAAAGAACUACUGAGGUCACUCUUAGGUGUUGUUGGAGAGGUGCCGGGGUACUAAAAGAGAAGUUGUAGAAGAGUCUAAUGAUCUCAUGAUAGUGGUUAGUUUGUACAUGAGCAUGCCUCUUCCAUCACUUGAAGUGUGGUUAUUGUAUAGUACACUGCCCACUUAGUACCAGAAGCUUCUUCAUCAUUUGAGAGUCUUCAAGACUUGGCUUUUCUUGCAUGCACGUGAAAUGUUGCCGACUCAUUUCUUCUCCAUUAAGCAUACUUAAUUCUUUAAGCAUGUAUAGUCUAGUGUGUUCUAGAUAUUUCAAAAAUGGAUCACAAUUUCUACUUGGUUCGAUGGUAUGUGUGGCAGGCCCACUUUCUACGGAAUUUUCAAGAGAAAAUCAACGCAGGGAUUUCAAUCAAUCACAUACGUGGUGUCACUCAUAAGUGCAAUGCUUCUACUGUAUUAUGGAGCAGUUAAGAAGGAUACCCUCCUAAUUUCCAUAAAUGGAAUUGGCUGCAUUAUCAAGGCUGCUUAUGUGGUUGCUUACCUCAUCUAUGCCUCGAGGAAUGAUAGGGUAAUCCUUCUUGUUAAGAAGCCAAUGAAGGAGUUGGUAUUCUUUUAUGCUUAACCGAAUAGACUGUGAUUUUGUAGAUGUUGACCUUGAAGCUUUUCCUGAGCAUGAACGUACCGGGGUAUGGUGCAGUAUUCUUCACCACUUUCUUCUUAUCAAAAGGAGCAAAGCACGCACAUAUUAUUGGAUAUAUCUGUACAAUAUUCUCUGUAGGAGUAUUUAUUGCUCCUCUAUACAUCCUGGUGAGAAAUUAAUUAAAUUUGACGAAAUCUGGAAGCACGUACAUUUAUAGACAAUUUGCAUAUUUUUACACUAAUUCCAUUAUUAGUAGACCGACUCACUUUGUCAAUUUUCGCUACUAUUAUUGACUUCAUUUUACUGAAAUAGAAUGAAAAUAUAUGGAUGGGCAAGGAAAAGUCAUAAAAACCAAGAGUGUGGAGUUUAUGCCGAUAACUUUAUCAAUCUUCCUCACCCUCAAUGCAAUCAUGUGGUUUUUCUAUGGCUUUCUCAAGAAAGACUUCUUCAUUGCGGUAAGUGGCAAACUGUCGACCCCACAAUCCUUAUUUCAUUCCAAUAAAUCUUGCUUUUUUAUCUGCUUAAUGUAUCCAUACAUGACACAGGUACCAAACGUGUUGGGAUUUCUACUAGGAGGGGUUCAGAUGGCGUUUUACGCCAUAUACAGGAAGAAAAGGGAAGUGGUAGUGGAGCAGCUGCAGGGAGCAGCAGGAAGUAGAAGUGGUAGUGGAGGAGCAGCAGGAAGUAGAAGUGGUUGUGGAGGAGCAGCAUGAAGUAGAAGUGGUCGUGGAGUAGCUGCAGGAAGUAGAAGUGGUAGAGGAGCAGCAUGAAGUAGAAGUGGUAGUGGAGCAGCUGCAGGAAGUAAGGGAGGAGAUAAUCGACGUGGUUGAAGCUGAGCGGAGCCGCGUGUCCACUGGGUAGCACCAUACAUGGCAAUGUUUUUAGUUUUUUUUUUAAUAGAAAUGUUUUUAGUUGAUCAGGCGUCAUUCCAAGAUCUCCAACUACAUGACAAGGGUGGAGAUGACUGACUUUACGUUUUGCUGUUGCUUGGGACAUAUUAUGCUGUAGUUUCUGCUAAGGCUCUUUAGGCCAUCUUAGUCAGACUGUAAGUGCGAGUGAAAAGGCAGAAAGAGCUUUUCGGCCUGUGGAGAGAUCUCUAGCCAAUUCAUGCAUCAACAUUCUCAGGAGACAAGAACUUUGACUCCAAGGCAAAGUAAUUUGGCAUCCCUUACAUAUAGAAAUUGAGUCCAUGACUAACAUGGCAGUCGAUUUCCCUUUUCCUUGUAGUGUCUCUACUUAAAGGAACUACUAGUUUUACUCUGUCCAUUGGCAUUCAUGCAUUUGCCAUGGCUCUGUUGGCAAUAAUUAUCUAUGUUGAGCAAUUGAUGCAUCUCUCGAAAGGUCGAUCAUUUACAUUAUGAAUGACUUCUGCAUGUAUUGGACUUAGUAAUUUUGGUUUAUUAGUCUCUUUCUUUCUCUGUCUUGCUAAGUUGAGUCAACCACUUUUCCCAAAAGGUUAGAGAUGGGCCCACAAGGAAAUUUUCUUGAUGAAUGCAAAAUUAAGCUCCAAAUUAUACCUCAAUCUUUUCGUCUUCCUUUGAUUGCGUCAAAAUUGCAUGUAAUUACGCAGACACAUUGCUUUCAAGAUUCUUCACAUUUUGCCAUUUAGAAGCCUAACUUUUAUCGAGAAAAUAUUGGGUGGGACUUACCCUCCACGUAGGUGGAGGGUAAGUCCAUUCAGAAUCUAACACGUGGCUCUCAUAGGCGAGGGGCCCAGAGGUUCAAAAUUUGCGCGCGCCCUCCCGGGGCCCACAACUCUGACGCUCUCUCUCCUCUGCUCUCCUCUGCGAUCUGUCGAUUCGUCCUCUCUCUUUUCUUUCUCCCCGUUCUCCGUUCCGUUGCGGGGGAGAACAAAAACUGCAGGUGUGCUUCCAUUUGCUCUUCCCCUCCUCUGCUCUCUCUCCUCCACUGGUUGCUUCCAUCUCCACGCCGACGCUGCCGACGCUCCUCCGCACGAUGCCGACGCCCCUCCACCUCCGCCUCCGCCUCCACAGGUUGCCGGCGACGCCCCCGACUCCGACGCCCUUUCCACCUCCGCCGACGCCGACGCCCUUUCCAGUGAACCGCGACGCUGACGCCUCUCCGCCUCUGCCUCCGCCCCCGACGCUUCUGCCUCCGCCUUCGCCCCCGACUCCAACGCCGACGCAACCUCCGCCUCCGCCCCUGAACCCGACUCUGACGCCGACGCCGACGCCCCUCAAGCCGGUUGCCUUCGUCGCCCCCGACUUCGACGCCGACGCCCCUCCGCCUGCGCCUUCGCCCCUGACACUUCUGCCUCCGCCGUCGCCCCCAACUCCAACGCCAUCGCUGAUGCCCCUUCGCCUCCCUCUCACGACCUCCGCCUUCGUCCGUGUCUGUUCUGACGGUAUUAUUGCUUGGGAGGAGCUCUGUUUUACUAUGGUAUACUAGUAAGAUAUCCCAUGUAUGAUGUGAAGGUGCCCUACGUUAUUUGUAAUGAGUUAGUAAAGAUCAGCUGUUUGAUCUUGAGAAUCUUGUCUUUUCAUGUAAAAACACCACUCUUUCUGGUUUUUCUUGAGAAGUCAUAUGCUUUUUUUGCUUGGGUAAUAUAGCAAGUGCUAAAUAGAUCAAAGAUCAUUAUAGUAAGUACGGGCACUUCCAUGGAUAGAACGGGAUAUGAGUGCAAACUUUGGGGUAUUUUAUUUGGACAGCCACAUCUAUCUAUAUGAGUUCUUCCUCUUCUUAGUUCUCAUUUCAUGUUUACUCCAUCACUUAUCUAACUUUAACAUGUUAUCUGUGUAGUUGCAGAUGAGGAGCAGAAAGGACCCGUGAAUCCUUAUGAUGGCAAGGUGUAUGUUCGACGGGAUGCCAUGUCAAAUAAAGUUAGUGGCUUCUUUUCCCUGUUGAGAUGUCUUUGUUGUUGUUGUUGUUUGAACAAUAAAGAAAAUUCCAUUAAGAAGGGUACCAAAGGGGGUACUGCCCCUAUACAAAACAGCUGCAAAGAAAAGCCACACAUAUGCAAUUUUGUACAGAAAGAGGAACACCUUCUAGUAUGUUGAUCAUUACUUGGCAUAUGGAGAUUGUGUGACGUUUAAUUUGUUAUUUGCUGCUAUUCCUUGAUGUAGUCAUCUUCCAAAGGUUUCCAUCUUUUUGAAGAGUUGUGCUGACUGUNNNNNNNNNNNNNNNNNNNNNNNNNNNNNNNNNNNNNNNNNNNNNNNNNNNNNNNNNNNNNNNNNNNNNNNNNNNNNNNNNNNNNNNNNNNNNNNNNNNNNNNNNNNNNNNNNNNNNNNNNNNNNNNNNNNNNNNNNNNNNNNNNNNNNNNNNNNNNNNNNNNNNNNNNNNNNNNNNNNNNNNNNNNNNNNNNNNNNNNNNNNNNNNNNNNNNNNNNNNNNNNNNNNNNNNNNNNNNNNNNNNNNNNNNNNNNNNNNNNNNNNNNNNNNNNNNNNNNNNNNNNNNNNNNNNNNNNNNNNNNNNNNNNNNNNNNNNNNNNNNNNNNNNNNNNNNNNNNNNCGUUACAAAUAUUUUUAUGAUAACAUGAGUGUUCUGCUUGGAAAAAUAUUGAAUAGUUUCAGUCCCUUUUAGUGCAGUUAUCAAGAACUGUUUGGUACUAAUACUUUGUUGAGAAUUGGAGGGGAUGUAAUUCUCAAUUCAAACUUACCUUUUCAUGUCAAUUUUCUUUUGAGAGGUUGAUGUAGGUAGUUGCCUAUAUACUUACACCCUACAUGUCCUUUCUCGAUACUUUACAAGUUUGUUCUUCUUGUCUUUCUGUAUGAAAACUGGAAUUGUCUUUUUUAAUUUUAAGAACUUUUACUGCUCUUAGAAGAAUCUAAUAAAAUUCUGAUGAUAGUUUCGCUUGUUAACAUUCAAUUUUCGAAGUCAUGUGGUUUGCCAAUGUUUGUGUUAUGUGUGAUUAUCCAGGCUGCUUCAAGACUUCUCCACCAUGAGUAUCAGUUGCUGCAUGACCAGCCUGCAAGAUACCAUACCCCCUGGACGGAUUGCCCAAACUCACUAUCUUGAUGUCCUAGUGGAUGGGCCAACUACCAGAGUGUCAUCUAUUCACAGAAGUGAGAAGCUGCCUAGUGUUGAUGGUGUUAGAGGUCACCGACUGCGAGUAUGCCGUGUCUUGCAAGAAGAUGGAGAGUGAAACAGUUUUUUAUCCCCUCUGAGAGAUGAUCAUUCCCUUCAGCCAAGAGAGUCUUUGUUAACAUUCAAAUGGAUGCUCACCAAGGAAGCCAUCCAUUUAUCGGUCAAGAAGAUUCUUCUACCCUGCCUGACAGGACAAUUUUGCAUGAUACUUCUGAUCUGCAUGUCAAGAGAAAACGCAAGGUAAUUCUUAUGCUUCUAAGAGCAGAGUAUUGUCAUCACUUUUUGAUAUAGAUUUAGGGUGACCAAAAAUGUCAUUUUGUUGCAGAUUGAAGAAGCCCAGAUUGCUAGGGAAGUUGAAGCUAAUGAAACCGAAUUCGCAAAGCACUAGAGAAAGAAAAUAUUUUGAGGAGAAAGGUUUUCAUUUAUCACUUAAGGAUAUGUGAGCUUUGUGGAGAAAACUUUGGCAUGUACUGAUAUCCUGUAUUUUUCUAUUGCGGGCUGAGGAAUGAAUGAGGAAAGAGAUGGAAAGAUUUGAUCGUGAAAGAAGGAAGGAAGAAGAAAGGUUGAUGCGUGAACAGCAGAGAGAGGAGGAGAGAUUGCUACAUGAGCAAAGGCGAGAAUCAGAGCGACGGGAGAAGUAUUUACAGAAAGAAUCUAUUAAGGUAAGUAUUUGAGCUUGAUAUUGCAUUUUCACUAGUUAGUUUCUUUUGCUUUAUUUGAUUGGUUAAGCAGCACCUCUUCUUUUCUCUUUUCUUUACCAACUUCUCUGGUUUUUUUGUUUGGAAGGCGGAGAAAAAGAGACAAAAGAAGAGUUUCAUCGAGAAAAAGAAGCAGAGAGAUGAAAAGCUGCAGUGGAGAAGGCCACUGCUUGCAGAAUUGCCAAGGAAUCCAUGGAGCUUAUGAAGGAUGAACAGCUGGAGCUGAUGGAAUUGGCCGCUGCAAGCAAGGGGUUGCCUUCAAUCAUUAAUCUCGAUCAUGUCACUAUGCAGAAGCUUGAGUUGUUCAGAGGUAGCUUUUUUAUAGCGAUUACUGUUAAGACCAGUUUCACUCCAUUGAUUCAUUGAUUGUGUGAUAUUGUUGUUUUAACUAGGAUUCUAUGGCAGCUAAGACAAGCUUUUAAAUUCCUAUGCUCUGUUUUUCUCGUGUACCUUAAAUUCAGUAGAAAGGAAAUAGGGCCUGAUCCUUUCUAGAAAAUUUACCGGCGUUCCAUUGUUGUCAAGAAUAAUUCUAGAUAUACUAAAGUUAUAUAAUUACCAUCAUACUAAAUGAUGUUAACAUUGGAUAUAUGAAUGAGUCACAUCUUGUGAUUUGAAUCUACUCCUGUCAUCACCAAUUUAAUUCAUGUCACUAUCUUGUGAUUUGAAUCUACUCCUGUCAUCACCAAUUUUAUUUGAUAGUUGUAUUUACUAUAUCUAAUCAUGUUCGUUGAUGCACUACUGUAACCUCUCGUGUUUGAUGUUUAUGUAUGGAUCUUCACGCUGAUGAGUUCCUUUCCAUAUUGUCAAGACAUUCGAGUCUGAAGACUGCGGUUAUAGGCACUUCUAAAUGUUUGAAUGGGAGAGUUUUUUUGGUUUUUCUGACGAUGUUGGAUUAGUUAAUUGCUAUAUGUUCAAAUAGUGCGGAUGUUUUGUCUUUUCUGUUUCUGAACGAGCGCUUGCUGUGAACUCAUGCUGUCACUUUGCAUUCAAUUUUGUCAAUCCAGUGAAACAAAGUGAUAAAUACAAUUGACUAUUUUUUUUUUCCUAUUUGCUAAGUGCUUAUCACAAAAUGAAAUCAUUGGCUCAAUAGGACCAGUAAAGCUACAUUGACCAAUAAUUUUGAUCGGAACAGUAUAGAAUUUUUGGUCAAUUAUGCAUUGUGAAAGUGCAAUUUGGAGGCUUUACAUGCAUUGUUAUGACAUCGGUCAGUAAACAGAAAAUGCAACUCAGUACUGGGAGUUUACAAAGUUGUAAAGGCAUGUCACCUGGUGGCUGAUUGUUCAUUUGCGAGUCCAAGUUUGACAACCAACGAAAGCUGUUUACCAUUGAUUAUCGAGUUAAGGUAGGAGCCUGGAUUUCCUGGAGAAAAUGGUUCCUCAAUUAUUACAGACAUCAGCAUAAAUCCUCGUCAAUCAUUCGCUCCAUCAUGCAAGAAACCGGCCCUAUAAUUGCCCUCGACCUGGUCUUUCAGCUGCUGUGUCUGAAUAAUUGGACAAGAACAGGGACGGGUUUGAGUUUUGCCAAGAACAUAUUGUUCUUGCUUAUUCGUCAGUUGUAAUACAGAGAGAGGGAGAGAGAGAGGCAGGAAGAAUGGGGAAAGAGAAAGCGGGUUUGGUCGCGUUGCUGAUAAUUGUGUCGAGCUGGUGUGUAUCGUUGUCCUCCGACUCCUCUUCUUCUUCUUUCAGAGGUGAUCUGAGCAGAGGCAAGGUGCCCUUGACUUUCAGGUUGGUGUCGUCGUCUCUAUGAAUUUUUGUUGAUAAUCCUAAAACUUUGCUCAGAUGUUUGUUUCGAAGGGUCUCAUGAUGUUAUGCAGGUGAUAAGUGCUAAUAACUUCCCAUCAUUUUCUUAUUGCAAACGCAACAUCCGCUUUAUCGACCCAACAAGGACCUAGUAAUCUGCNNNNNNNNNNNNNNNNNNNNNNNNNNNNNNNNNNNNNNNNNNNNNNNNNNNNNNNNNNNNNNNNNNNNNNNNNNNNNNNNNNNNNNNNNNNNNNNNNNNNGUGACCACCCAGAGCAAUGUGACUACGAGGUGGAAUCAGAUGGCGGCUCUUCUCUUGGUGUAAUUGUAAAGGAUGUCGUUUCUUUCAGGUCCUACAGCAACAGCAGGGUUCUUAGUCCUUGUGUCACCCUUGGGUAGGUGAAUUCACAUGCUCUCCCAAUUAUGUUUGGCCAGGCUUACUGACUAUACCAACUCAGCAUUUUAUGAUACCAUGCUUUCUUUUGGCCAGACUGGAAAUUCUUCAUUAAUGUCAGAGAAUUUUACCUUUGUAACCAUUUCUUAUGUGGUGAUAGUUCCUCUACAGAUGUGGAUAUGAUCAGAUACCUGGUCCGUCCAAUCCUUUCUUAGAUGGAGUGCUUGCGCUCGGUAAGGGAAGGUCCAGCAUCGUAUCACAGCUAAGUAGUCAAGGUUUGGUGGGUACUAGGCCACUGCUUGAGUACACGUCGUGGUGGAUUUCUCUUCUUCAGUGAUGAUCUUUAUGACUCCUCCCGCAUCACAUGGAUGCCUAUGUCUCAUGAUUACUCGUAAAUUCUCUGUUCCUCCAUUUUCUCACCAUCUCGAUAUCUCUCAUCUCUCAUAUACUAAAAUUGAACUUUGUUAUAUGUAUCUCAGAAAGCACUAUUCUCCUGGGACCGCAGAGCUCCUCUAUGCAGGGAAACCUACUGGACAGAAAUUAUGAAUGUGAUUGGAGGUAAGAGUCUUCCAUAUGGUGGCAUUUUUAUUGUAAAUUUAGUUUUGCACCCAAGACAUUGUCGUGGAAAAUUUGAAGAGGAAGGAAAUCAUCGAAGAUAUAUGAUUAGACAACAUAAAAUGUCCUCAGAGAUCAUAUCCAUUCAGAUGUUCUGCACUAUUGUGCAAAGCAGAUUUAUUUCAUUUAGUUUUCAUAUCUACCCUCGUUUGUUGGUUUUGCAGACAUAUCGAUGCAGGACAAGAUGGUGAUCUACGACAAUGAGAGGCAAUUGCUGGGAUGUGAAUCUAAAGAUUGCAGUAGACCUCCAAAGCCCAGAGCAUUCGCAGCAAUUGACAGGAAGCUCCUUGCCGUAUCUCUGUACUUCCAGAUCAGAAUCAUGGAAGCGCCGUGCAUCAAACCAAGCCUUCACCUAGGAAGCUCAUCAUUGCCAAGUCACUUGUAAAUAAGCCCUGAUUAAUGUUUUCCUUUGUCUUUACUGUACUGGAUGUUACAAAAUUGCUUACGGGUAUUACCCCAAGUGAACUCAAUUACAGCCAUUCUUAAUAAGUAUUGCCAUGUUGAGGAUCAGUAGAAACUGAUCCUUGUACAUACUUUACCUUCUUGUUCAGCCCACUAUUCCAGAUUUUAUUUACCUGCAGUUGAGCGAAACUCAAGGCAUAUUCCACAACAAGAAGAUGAAUUGUUCUUUGGUAGAAAUAGGAGUUAAGAUUGCCCUCGUCUUCCUUAACAACUAAUUCACACUGAUAAAAUUGAAAACUGCAGCUGGGCUUGCUGUUGCAAUGUUACUACGGUCCUGUUAAAAAAAGGCAUAGGUGUACUAAAUUGGAAAAUCAGCAUUUCCUCCUGCAACGUUCUCUUGUCAAGUAGAUUUCACAUUCUUCUCAUAGUUCACUACUAAUAUUGUGAUAGUGAUCCUGCAGCCCAUGUGAAAAAUUGUACGCCAACCAACUGAAAAAUUUAAAGUCACAGCCCAUCUUAUUCCACGGUCACAGCCCAUCUAUUCCACGGGAUGUCAAUACUUUUCCCUUUCAACCCACCCCAAAUCACAGGGGGAAAAAUGUCGAUCUUUAUCCCUUCACUGAUGAGCUUUAAAACUCCAAACGAAUGGUCAAAACUUGAUAAGGGAUACACUGUUGAAUCAUUUGUAUAUACAUAUCAUCAGUUUUGUCCAAGCCAUGGACAUUAAUUACACCAAACCAAAGCGAAACCCCAACCCCAUCCCUUAAUAAAUGAACAGUCUUUAUACCAUUCUGAUUUCUGACAGCUAUAAUGAACUGGAACAAGUCCAAAAUAGGAGAUCUAUGAAAGAAUUUAAGACAAUCCUAGGACAUAUAGAAGAAUGUUCUCUACAUGAACUAGCUCAAACAUGAUCCUAGGCCUCCACGACGAGCCAACAACCUAAUGGAACAUCGGCCACAGGAUUGAGCAAAGUUCAACGAAUCAAGGCCGCUGCAAUGACACCCAUCCGCACCUCUUGAAUAGUUACCAUCUUUUGUUCAAAGUCCAGCACAUCCAUCAUAGCCAACCCAACCCAUGUAAUGAUAACAAGUUUCAGACUGCUGACCUAACAAGAAUCUAAUACUAGCCUAACAAGAAUGGGGCGAGAUGAUCUUGCUUCGGAAGUGUUUGCUGAUGAUCCCCUCCAAGCCCGCUCUUAGGUGUAUCACAAUAUCCUAUGCAUGGACUCCACCGUCAUACCUCGUUUGGGUGUUGAGCAGCUCCAUCGUCUCUAUGUGAAAACUACCGGCCAUUUUGACUAGCCGUGCAAUCUCCGCCGGAGACGCAGGAUACAAUGGGAUGUUGAAGCAAUCCACUUGCUCUUCACUUAUUAUUCCCUGCAGUGAAAAGCUCGCCCAUUUGUGGGUCUCCAUCAGUUGAAUGAAGUUAAAAGUUCAUGCAGUCUAAUGUUGAUCUCUCUAAUAGAUGACUAUCAUGGGAAAAAUUUUUAGUGGCCUAACAGAUAAGCUGCCAAAAAAGCACAUACUAUAUGAGGGUUCGUCUAGGCUAUUUAUGUUGUGACCGUGCAUUAUCUAUGCUUUCACAGGGGCCUCCGGAUUCAUUCCUCCCAAGAUGUUGAAAAGAGUUUGAUGACCCUUGUACAAGAAAAUGACAAAUAUAUUAAUAUUUAUCUAAAUAAUAUGCUUAGAUAAACUCUUCCUACUCACAACUCGCAUAUCUAAUCCAAAACCCAACAAUUAGUUCCCAUGAACAGUGAUAUUCUUCAAACCAACAUCCAAGACACGUCACUUUACUCUAGUACAGUUUGAGAUCAUUUACGCACCGUAUAUACGAGGGGAAAAAAGGGCGGCUCCUAACAGCUGAAUAAGUAAGAAAACUAAUGCAACAAAAGGUGUUUAAACCAAAAACUGCCGAGUCCCUAACCAGUUUUCGAGAUACAUGAAUAGAAAAAUAUGCAUGGGCACUUAUAAUCCUAUGUGUAUUCCUCAUAGUACACCAUGACCAAGUAAAAAACAACCUAUUUUAAUACCUUCUCCAACAUAACUCCAAAUGUUAGGAAACCAAAUGACAGACCCAUUGAAGACAGAACAAUUAACUUACGGAGUUAAAAGUUCUUUCCAGAAAGGGCUACCGUCGGUGAAGAUAGUGUAGAGAAGAGUCGCCAGCAUCAAACCACCCAAAACAAUGAAAGCGAUUCUAGCAAUUAUAACAGGAAAAUGCUGCUUCUUCUGUUCUACGCCAUCCCUGAAGAAAGAAAUUGCUCAGAUAAAAAGGUAUUCCAGCACACCCAAAAUCAUAGUUGGAAAUGACAUAAUUAGCACAUUAAAACUUUCCAUUUGUUCUUCUCCUCAAGAAAGGGACUGCAGCUCAAAAUUGAAAGCAUAAUUUUGGAGUGGUUGGGCACAUUAGUAACCCGUUAUUAAAACUGAAUAUGUAGAGCAACCUAAACAAUGUCUGAAAGACUCUUAAGAUUUAUAGCUCCAGAGCAGAAAAUUGUUCAUUUACCGUAGUCCGGUGAAGCCAUGAGCUCAUAAUGUCUCCGUAAAGUACUGUAUCCAGAAUCCCGUAGAAACAACAAUGAUAUAAUAAAAUGGAGUGCAAACAUACUUGCUAGAAUGCUGCAACAGAACAUGGUAGAUGGGAUCUUGUGAAGACUCUGAGGUGAAGAGCUUGAGAAAUUGCAAAAGAAUGUANNNNNNNNNNNNNNNNNNNNNNNNNNNNNNNNNNNNNNNNNNNNNNNNNNNNNNNNNNNNNNNNNNNNNNNNNNNNNNNNNNNNNNNNNNNNNNNNNNNNNNNNNNNNNNNNNNNNNNNNNNNNNNNNNNNNNNNNNNNNNNNNNNNNNNNNNNNNNNNNNNNNNNNNNNNNNNNNNNNNNNNNNNNNNNNNNNNNNNNNNNNNNNNNNNNNNNNNNNNNNNNNNNNNNNNNNNNNNNNNNNNNNNNNNNNNNNNNNNNNNNNNNNNNNNNNNNNNNNNNNNNNNNNNNNNNNNNNNNNNNNNNNNNNNNNNNNNNNNNNNNNNNNNNNNNNNNNNNNNNNNNNNNNNNNNNNNNNNNNNNNNNNNNNNNNNNNNNNNNNNNNNNNNNNNNNNNNNNNNNNNNNNNNNNNNNNNNNNNNNNNNNNNNNNNNNNNNNNNNNNNNNNNNNNNNNNNNNNNNNNNNNNNNNNNNNNNNNNNNNNNNNNNNNNNNNNNNNNNNNNNNNNNNNNNNNNNNNNNNNNNNNNNNNNNNNNNNNNNNNNNNNNNNNNNNNNNNNNNNNNNNNNNNNNNNNNNNNNNNNNNNNNNNNNNNNNNNNNNNNNNNNNNNNNNNUACCACCAAGAAAUUCAUUGAAGCGUGACGAGAAUGCUCCGAGAGAGUACUAAAAUAGCCCCCCAUCACAGUUCUCACAGAAAAUUAUCGCAUUUCCCGCUUCUUUCUCACCUCAUAAAUAAUAAAAAACUCGCAUUUUCGAAGGCUCCAAUUAGCUCUUUCAAAAUUUCACCCCACAAUGCAAUCUACAGAUUUCUGUACAAGUCUGCAAUAUAAGCAUCAUUUGCAUAGAACAGUCCCCCGACAACCCAUUCUAGAGUUUUUCUUAUCCAAAGUGCCAUGCUCCAUGAUAGAAUUAACUGAGAGCCUUGUUGAUGUAGAGAAACGGCACAAAAAGGUUCAUUUUCCCUGAAUUCCACUUGACACGUUCUUGAGCUCACAUAAUACACGGUUAACCAGCAACACUAAGCAACCUAGAAAAAAGUUCCAGUUUCUCCAUCUUGGACAUGUCUCUAAAACUGACAAGCUAGUCUCUGUCCUAACAGUGCAUGAGAUGUUUAGCCAAAGUUUGUGGUAGUCAAGGCAAACCAGCCCUAAAAUCUAGGCCCCCACCUUGAAUUCACCAUAUGAAGUUUGAAGCAACAUUGCCAGUAGAGCUGUACCUUAACCUGUGUUUCAAAAUCCAUAACUACUAUAUGGGAACAAAACCACCAAAUUAAAUAAAUAAAUAAAAAUUGCCCACUUAUUACCUCUGUCAUUUCCUAAAUCCUGACUUUGCUGCAAAUUAGAAGAUAUUUGGAUGAAAUCAUCUUAAAGCUGAAGUAUGUGGGACAUAUAUUUCAUUUGGCAAAUUCAAAUUCAAAUUUGCUCUACUCAUAACAAAUGGAAGCUACGGAUGAGAAGCAAAAGUUUCCAAGGCUGAAGAAUUCAUUCAGUCAGAAGUAAUCUUGCACAUAAAAGGUCCAUGAUUAUCAAACUCCAGCAGCUACGAUACAGUCAAAUCAUCAUUCCAGCAAUUGAUUUCCCACUAUCUAACAGAUGAUGAUCCACACAGUCAACCAGGGAACCCAACGAUAAAUUCCCACAACUCGAUUGUCAGGAUAGAACUCAGGCCAAGCUGAGAUACCAAUGUGCUGCAAUACAGGUUGCAGAGGAACAGUGCCAUCUAUAUCAAGAAUAAUCUCUCCUUCAGCAAGCUGGAGGUUAUAUAAUGUUGGUCCUGAGACAUUCUUUGCAGCCUUAAUCACUCUGCAUGGAUGGAACAAAGUAGUAGUUGACAACCAUUUGCUAGUGAACAUCCAAUCCAUUAAAAAGUGCGAAAUAGCAAUCAAGAUGCAUAAUGAAUGUGCAACACUUGAAAUAGUAUGAACGGUGCCUCUCGUGUAGUUGUAAAAACUAUAUUCUUCUCAAAAUGAAAAGAAAGCAACAAAAUCUUCAAAAUUUCACCCCACAAUGCUCCUUCCGGGAACUAGCAAGAAAAAUUAAUGCCUAUGGCUCUAUAUCAUCACUCACGAUGCUUGACAACGAAAUUUUUCCAUCACCUGCCUCCAUCUUGGCAAUAUAUCUAGUCAAAAUACUACAAUGAAACCAAAAUAAACAUCCACGAUCAACAACUGAUUUAAGUUGGACAGAAAUUACAUUAAACAGCAGUUUACCCUCAGAAGGCCAGGGGUUCGGUCCAAAAUGAGCCUUCUACACACGAGGAUCGUCCUCUGGUACUUCCACUUGUAUGUAGUAUCCCUCCUUAUAAUCUCCUACAAAACGUCAAAAAAUUCAUUACUGCUCGAACAAUCUUCAGAAGAUGAUAAGCAGAUAGGUAAUAACAAGUUUCAGCCAAAUCUCUGACUUGAGUUCAUGGUCGUGUGUUAGCAAUUCAAACUCCCAAUUCAGUGGCAGUUCUCUCCAAGAAUACAACCGAAAACAGGAACAAUAACAAAUUGAUCUUCCUUUUCUAGGAAAUGCGACUCAACCACCACCUGAAUACAGACAUCAAAAUCACCAGCUAUUCAUCUAUGUCCACUUUAAGCAGUAAAAUCUUCAGCAGGAUGAUCAGACACAAACCGUUUAUCUGAUUUGCGGGGUCAAGGACUUGAUCGAACAGAGGAGUGUAGCCUCAGUGCUUCUCGUUCCUCGGCAGCUUCAUCUUCUCGCUCAAAGGCAGACCGAAGAACCGCCUGCCCUGGACGAAGACCUCCUCCAUCAAGUCCUGGCUGACUCCAUGAGUUGAUCACGUAGGGAAGGCCGGAAUCCAAGCACGCCUGAGGCCAACGGAUUGGAUUCAUCCGUCAGCGUCCCCCUCGACUAGAAAAAUCUCGGUUUCCUCGGUUUCAUGUACCAGAAAUCGAACUAAACAUAGUGGAAAAAGGCGGGAGAAUCGAAGACUUGUUUGAGUAGGGACGCCGACCGUCGGAUAUCGGAGCUCGAGAGGUCGAUGAGGUCGAGAGUGGAAGCAGGAACUCCGGCAACGUCGACGGCGUUCGCGUCAUCCAUGGUCGCCGUCCGUUCGCCUGACUGAUUUCACGGUGAUGAUGACGACCGACGGGAUCGAGGCCAGACGGGAAUUUGAGUUGCGGGUGAUGGAAGACACGGGGCUGAGAAAAAGAAGAGGAAAAACGACGGCGUGGGACGUUUAAAGAAUCGGCACAGAUAUUCGGUGCGGCCAUCGGUGACGUCCUCGUUCCCCCAUCCUAAUGCUUUCUACAAAUUUUAAAGCAUUCUAGCUGAGUAAUUAUUAUAUUCGAUAUAAAUAAUCAUUUUUUAAAUAAUUCAUUUAUUCUCAAAAAAAUAAACAGCCCUUAAAAUUUGAAAAACCUUACAAAUAUUUAUAUUUACAUGCAUGUUUAUUCUUUUUAAUUUAUUCUUGUGAUAUUUAAUUUUUGAAUGGCUAAGAAAAAUACAGAUUCUAGAAAAGCUAUUCCAUUUUCUGUUGCUCUUCCAAACUAGCAAGGCCUUAUCUCAAAUGAAAAGACGUUUGACCGAUACGACUCCAUGAAGCGUAUUAAUCACAUUCCAUCAAUCAUAUGAAUUACAUGCAUGCUCAUCCAAGUACAAAAAAUGCACGAAUGCCUACACUUUAACUGACGCUUUAUGUAAUGUACCAAGCAACGGUAAAAUGAGUCAAUACAAAAAGGGUAGCCAUUGGUAUUUGCUCCAAUGGUUAAAUGUAGGAAGUAGUUAAAAAAAGUCUUUUUCCAUUUGUUUGCGUGGGACAUUUUGAGACAGAACAUAUGCUUUUAGGAUAUCGAUAGUGUAUAUCCUAUAUCUAUAUCUAUUUACAUACAUAUAUAAGAAUAUUCAAUCGUGGAUAAUACUUUUAGCGCGAAUUAAAAUAGGGACAAUUAAGAAUAUCCAUAAAUGGAUCUUAAGUCUGGCCCUGCCUAGCUUGACACGCAAGGCUCAUGGGCUCUACCUGGCGUGACGCGAGAAGAUGUAGAGCUUCAAGGAAAUAAAGUUCGUCACUCGCAAAUUUACCAACUCUAGAACAUGGAAGCUGCUACACCUUCUGAAGUUGGACAUGAGUUAGACUCUCGAUUGCAAAUCUAGUCGGGGUUUGAAAUGUUUUCCUCUAAUUCAAAAAGCUUAAAAGAAGAUUAGGAACCACCUUGUAUAGUCAUACACACAAUGCAAUAGAAAUGAAAUUACUAAGUACAAAAUAUGAAAAUGCUAUGUUCAAAUUCUCUGAGGUGCUCUCAGCCUUGUUUUCUUGUCAAGGAAGUGACAACUCGAUCUUGUUGAGCUUAACCACGACAAUUUUCCUGUCCAUUAUUUCCUCAAGCAAGUCCUUUGAACAUUCUAGCCAUAACUUUAGUAUCAAGAAGACUAUGCUAUUGAAUUUCGAAAGCGUCGGAUCUUCAUAUUUUGUGCAAAGGAUGUUGUUAUCCAUAAGCACUCUCUCUGGAAUUGUUGCACCUACCCAUUGCCUCAAACUGAGACCUGCGUUGAACAUUUCACCGGUUGGCUUCUUCCCAGUAAUCACUUCCAACAACAAUAUGUUGAAGCCGUACAAAUUUCCUUUGAAAGAGACUUUUCCUUCCGAACCAUACUCUGAAAGCAUCAUAGUUUGUGACAUAAGAACAUCAGCAAUUGAUCUAUUUCCUUUUAGGACAUAAGUAAUAAGAUCAAGAGGCAUACGAGUGCUAAUAUAUCUCUAUUACAUUAUACCAUUAUAUUGGCAAUCAAAUGCUUGAAUUAGCUAAUAUUCGGCAAAUGUACCUAGAGCAAUGUAACCAAUCGUGUCGAGAGUUUGGGUUUAUGUUUCAAGCUUGUUCUCAGCCAAAAUCUUGGCAAUUCCAAAGUCACAGACUUGUGCGACUAGGCCCUCAUUUAGAAGAAUAUUGCUAGGCUUCAAAUCGCAAUGCACAAUGGGUUCCAAUUGGUCAUGGUGGAGAUACUCGAUUGCCGUUGCGGCGACAACCAUUAUCUUCACUCGCUGAUGGAGAUCCAAGUUGUAAUUGUUAGAGUACAACCACUUCUCUAAGCUCCCACAAGGCAUGUAUUGCAGUGCCAAGGCUCUCAGAUUUGCAUUCGUGCAAGUGCUAAUCACCUUGACGAGAUUGCGAUGCUGGAUCAUACGAAAAGUGUCGCAUUCUGCAUCAAAACAUUUCAGAGCACCUUCCAUAUGGAGAUUUAAUACUUUGACCGAGAUGUCUAUCCUACCUUUAUAUACAGAGGUGAAGCUUCCUGCUUUGAGCAAAUUACUUUCACGGAAGUUGUUAGUAGCCAAGCAAAGCUCCCAAUAUGAUAUCAUCGGGUGGUCAAUUAUAGGCAAGUUCUCCAUCAAAUUGAAGCUUUUUUUACUGGUACUCCCACUCUUUCUAAGCAAGCAAAUGACGAGAACUAAAAGUAUAGCUGAUAAAAUUGGCACAACAAUGUAUAGUAUAUGUAGCCACUUGUCCCUUGAUGAUUUCAUUCCAUUUUCUUUGCAUCGUGGGACUUGACAAAUAGCAUUUCCAGAAAGUGCUUCAUUCCCAAUGAAAGGGAGAGCCAGGAAAUUUCCAAAGGGCCCACAAUUAGGAAUCUCUCCUAAUAGCUUAUUAAUGGACAAGUUCAAAAUUUGUAGAUAUGCAAGUCCUUCCAAGGACUCAAGUAUUGUGUUUGAUAACUUAUUGUAGGAGAGAUCGAGGAACUCCAACCCUUUGAGAUGGCCAAUAGAUUGUGGCAUGGAUCCUUGAAACAAGUUCCUCAACAAGUUGAGAGAAGCAAGGCUCUCAAACUCUUGGGUGGAACUCGGUAUGGCACUAGUAAGUCGGUUCCAAGAAACAUCAAUGCUCUCUAUAUCUCUCAUCUUCCCUAUUUCAAGUGUUAGUCCUCCAUUGAAAUAAAUGAGUGACAGAUUGUGGAAGGUGAAUUCUUGAAGGCCCCACAAACUAAAUGGUAUAACCGAUGUCAUGUUAUUCAAGCUUAUGAGAAAACGUAUAAAGGCUGCUAAAGUUUUGAAUGCAAUUCGGGAUUGAUCCUAAUAUCCUAUUUUGCCCAGGCACCUUUUCUCCUAAACCUAUCAAGUUGCCUAUCUCAUCGGGGAUCGGUCUUUCGAGAUGAUCGUUAUCAAGACACAGCCUUUGCAACCUUUCUAGUCCUCCGAUCGAUAAUGGGAUGUUACCGUCUGAAGCAUUAUUGCCCAAAUCUAGCAAAGUCAGUCUCUUCAAGAAACCAUUUCCUCGGGAACACGACCUCUUAUUUGACAAUUGGGAGCAAUUAGAAUUUGUAGGGAACUAGAGAAGUUUUGAUAGAUUCUGGUAUGGAGCCACGAAGCGGGUUGCCUCCUAACGACAAGACUUGUCGCGACGGACAAUUAGAUAAAGCGGAGAGAAAACCAAGCUCCGAAUCAUAUGUCUCUCCUAUUAGCUAACUUAACACAGUAUUAAAGAAUUCGAGGCUCUUCAAGUUGCCCAAACCCGUAUGUAUGGGUCCGCUAAGUUGAUUGUCCUUGACCUUGAAAAUGAUUAGGGUCAAAAAAUUCAAGAAAUACUCUGGGACGUUGUCUCCAUAGCCAUUGCAUGCUAGAUAUAGUUCUUCCAAAUUCGGAAGGCUUAGAACUCUACCUAAGGGAAGGCUUCCAUAGAGGGAAUUUUCCAUCAAAUAAAGCACGAAAUAUUAAAAAUCUCUUGAGGUACUCCACCGGUUAGCAAAUUAUCCGCAAGGCCCAUUAGUUGCAGAUUGACCAAAUUGCCAAUCUCACUCGGAAUCUCCCCUUCAAUGUGGUUAGCUGCGAUGCCUAGCAUGUGCAAGCUCGACAUGUUACUGAUGGUUUGAGAAAUCAUGCCAGUCAAGUUGUUAGCAUAGAUAUAGAGCUUUUGCAGCUUUUGCAAACUGCCUAUAUCUCAAGGAAUGCUUCCCUGAAAACGAUUGUAUGACAACCCCGAUAUGAUAAGCUCUUUGCAUUGGGUUAGCGUCUUUGGUGGCAGGCCACUGAAUUGAUUUUUAUUCAGGGCAAGCAUCUGAAUGUUAGACCAACGAUAGCAAAGAUCGAAGGGAAGACUUCCAGAGAGAUCAUUAUCCAUCAAAUUCACCCAUGUGAGCGAUCUAUUGAAAAGUGCUGAAGGAAUUGAACCUGUGAAAGUGGCAUUGACCAAUAUAAUGACUUGCAAUGUGGAUAUGUUGCCUAGGGAGCUUGGAAUUUGACCUCAUAAGUCGUUUGAGCUAAGACUCAGUUGUUGCAACUUAGGGAAGGCAUCGAAUUCUCUUGGUAUGCCACAUGUUAGCCUGUUUGUCGCGAGUGACAUGACUUCGAGGUUCUGGCAUUGGGUUAAGAUAGGAGGAAUGUUUCUUUUGAACUGGUUCAAUUCAAACAUAAGUUCUUUCAGGCGGCAUAAAUGACCAAUUUCUAUCAGAAUCAUGCCAUAAAAACUGUUGCUGCAGAGAUCAAGAGAAGCCAAGAGAGAAAGAUUCUCAAGGUGGGGAGAGAGUCUUUCCUGGAGACCCUUGUGCGAGAGGUCUAAAGCUAUGACUCUACCCGGUUGCUACAAACAACACCAAUCCAUUCACAAAAACUUGCUUCCACCGUCCAAUUGCCGCCUUUCAUGGUGUUCGUCGGGUUGACUUCCAUCAUCGAUUUGAAGGGGAGGAGAGAAUAUUGAUCUGUAAAGUUGCUGGAAUAGAUGACGGGUUGAAAUAUCAAUAGGAAAGCCAACAGAACAUCAAGAUUGCAUCAAUAAAUGGUUCCCUAAUUUUGACAUGUUCUUGGUGUUCAAUACCAAAACCUACCAAAUGGUUGUCUUAAUUAGGGAAAAAAACAACGUAAAAAAAGACUAACAAUCAAAUGAUGUCCCACAUCACGUCUACGGCAUGUUCUUUACGUUUACACAUUCAAACUUACUUUCAACUCUAUGAGGGUACAAAAGGACCUUUAGACCAAUGCUCUAAGGCAUGAAUGUGAAUAGGGUUUGCAGGGGCAAUAUCAAGUGUCUCAUUGGAAGUUGACUAAUUGAAAGUUCCUAUUAUUGGAAGAGAUUACAUUACUAGUAGUUUGUCAAAUUUUAUCCAUGCUUCAUGUCAUACUUGAACUUUCAAUCGAUUCAAUUAAAUCACUUUUGAUAAAUGUGAAUAUCUUCCCGCAACUUUCAAUUGGUCUAAUUAAGUCCGUAAUAUAUUUAAUAUGCUUUUUGUCAUCCUUUCAUCUAUUAAUAUAAAUGAAAUAUGUCAUGGAUAACAAUUUUAUGUAGCCGAUGUUUGAUGGAGAAAGUUAGGCGGACUUUGUGUGUGUCAUGGUGACUUUAAAUUGUAAAAAUUAUAAUACUCGUUCCUUCGCCCUCGCCCAGAUUUGGCGAAACAUCAAUAGGGAAGCCAAUAGAACAUCAACAAAUGCUAAAAAGAUGAACUUCUCCAUAAUAAGCAGGGUCUCUAUUGAUUGCAUCAAUAGACAGCUCACUAAUUUUGACAUAUUCUUAGUGUUCAAUACCAAAACCUACCAAAUGGUUGUCUCAACCAGGCAAAAAAAAAAAAAAAAACAAUGUAACUAUCAAAUGAUGUCCCUCAAUCACGUCCAUGGCCCGUUCUUUUCGUUACUUUGAACUCUUUGUGUACAAAUGGACCUUUGAACCAAUGCUCCAAGGCACGAAUGUGAAAAUGUUUUGUGAUAACUCUCAUGACCUUCUUGCAUGGGCAAUAUUAAGUGUCUCGUGGGAAGUUGACUGAUUGAAAGUUCCUACUACUGGAAGGGAUCAUGUUACAAGUAACUUGUCAAAUUUUAUCUAUACUUCAUGUCAUAUUUGAACUUUCAAUCAAUUCAAUUAAAUCACUUUUUAUUAAUGUGAAAUAUCUUCCCGCAACUUUCAGUUGGUUUAAUUAGAUUUGUAAUAUAUUUAAUAUGAUUUUUGUCAUCCUUUCAUCUAUCAAUUUAAAUGAAAUAUGUCACUGAUAACAAUUCUAUGAAGUUGAUGUUUGAUGAAGAAAAUUAUACGGACUUUGUGCAUGUCAUGGUGACUUUAAAUUGUAAAAUUAUAAAGCCCGUUCCUUCGCCCUCGCCUAGAUUGGGCGAAAUAUCAAUAGGGAAGCCAAUAGAACAUCAACAAACGCUAAAAAGAUGAACUUCUCCAUAAUGAACAAAGUCUUUUGAAUGCAUCAAUAGACGGUUCACCAAGUUCGACCUAUUCUUAGUGUUCAAUACCAAAACCUACCAAAUGGUUGUCUCAAUUAGAAAAUAAUAAUAAUAAUAAUAAAUAAUAAUAAAUAAAAGGAAAACAAUGUAAAGAAUAACUAUCAAAUGGCAUCCCUCAACCAUGUCUAUGGCCAUUAUUUACGUUUACACAUUCACACUUACUUUCAACACUAUAGAGAGAGGCAGAGAGAGAGAGAGCCAAGCCUUUGUGUCUAAAGCAUGUUUCUGUGCUUAGAUAGUCAAGAGUCACAGGAGUUUUGAGAAGGAACUGAUAUAUAUAUAUAUAUCUUUUAGAAACAUCUCAGAAAGAUUUUUCGGCAAGUAGAGGCCAACGUGGCUAAAGUGGCUCACGAUCUCGGUAAAUGCACUUGCCAAUGCUGCUCAUAGCCCCAUCCACAUGGAAAUUUUUGGUCUCUCUUCCUCAGCCCGUUCAAUUUUCAAUCCUUUGUAGGCUUAGCAACACGCCCACCUCGUCCAGAAAAAUCUUGUCAAACACGCAGAAAGUUGCAUGUACAGUGCAAUCUAUGUAACUAUCGUGGAAAAGCUGACAGACCCAUCCGUUGAAUCGCAGGAGAGUCGGUGCUCAGACGUGUGUGGCAUUUCCUUUUCAUUUCCUUUCUUAAAGUGUGGCAUGUACAAACAGCUAAUUUAGGGGCAAAAUAAGGCGGAAGCGGCUGAACUAUUGCCUCAAUGCGUAAACAUAAACGGAUUAUUGAUUGUAUAUGAUGUAGGUACCCCAUCGGAUGCUCUUCUCUAAGUUCAUUAUGCCCAUUCGUACGAGUUCUCAAAGUAUACCCCUACUUCAGGCAAGUGCGGGUUGACAGGCUUCCACUCUUGCUGGCAAACUCUAAGCUCCUUCCCUUCUGUAUACAUUUAAAUCAGCAUGAGUAUCGUCUAAUCUUUGGGACAAGUAGGUCUGACACUGGACAGGCGGAAACCUGCAAAUUGAUGCGAUUUUGAACAAACUUAGGAUCCCAUGCUGGUGUAAAUUUGCUAAUUUGCACCAUGUAUAAUCACUAAUGGAGUAGCUAUGUUAUACGCAGCGCCCAAAUCCCCACGCAAAAAGGAUCCAACCCUGUAAAGAGAGCACGCGAGCAUGUGGUUGAUCAUUUCAAUUCAUCAGAUCCGGGACAGGUCAAUGCCUAAUUCAAGAGUAAACAUACUUUCCUCAUGAAUCAUGGAGUUAAACUUGAUGCAGUCCUCCUAACAGUGCCUGAAUGAUCCAUAGAUAUGCAAUAUCCACUUCAACAUGCAUUCAAAGCAGAGCACCAGCUAAGCACAAUGCAUAAAGACAUUCAAAUUGGGGAGGAGAACUAGAUCUUAGGACUGAGAACUGAUAAGAGAGGAAGUAGAAUUGCGGUAUCUUGUUUUUUUUUUUUUGGUGAAAAAUUGCGGUAUCUUGUUUAUAUAUAGGAAAGUAACUAAUUUGCAGAAGACAACUUACUUCGGAUCUUUAAAGAGUUGUNNNNNNNNNNNNNNNNNNNNNNNNNNNNNNNNNNNNNNNNNNNNNNNNNNNNNNNNNNNNNNNNNNNNNNNNNNNNNNNNNNNNNNNNNNNNNNNNNNNNUAAGAAUGGAGAACGUAAUGAACGAAAGAUGCUAACUAGGGAAGGCAAAACAAUUAGGCUUCUUUUGCAAAAACCAACGUGGAUCAUCCUUGAUUAUAAUCUCAAGCUGAGAAGAAUUUCCUAAGAGUAUGAUCACAAGUUCAACUGACUUUCCCCUAGAUUGUGAUCUCAAAACUAGGACCUUUUUUGAAUCAGCUUACACCUAUCCAAGAUCAGCUUCAACUGCCCUUUUUCUGGUUGGAGUAGUCACAACUUCGGUCACCAAUCAAUCAGACUUUUUUCAAUACAUUCGACAAUGCUUAAAAGUUCUCUUAAAGGCAUUUGAAGAAUAUUUCAAAAGAUGAGGAGAAAUGUAAGUUUGUGUGUGUGGGGGUGUCUCUGUGUGUCUCUGUGUGCGUGUGCGUGUGUUUGGGGAGAGAGAAGGCCUUACAGAAUACCGUUCUUGACCAUUCCCUAUAACUAGAUGGAGCGUGGACCUGAUUGCAAAAGCAAAAGCAAAAGUUUAGAUGUGACAAACUGAAGGGGAAAAAAAAAAAAAAACAACAGCAACUCAAAUUCAAAAAAAGAAAGAAUAGAGAAUAGCAGGACACCAACUAGAUUCAAGCAAAAAGCUCAUUUCAUAUAUCAUUUAAACAUGUUCCCGUGCAUGAUGACAAUGCAUGUUAAGCCAUUUCCAUGGUCAGAGAUCCCAGAACACAUGCAAAGUUUAGUAUCCAAAAGUUGACCAGUAAGAGUUGAGUGAUAAUAAAAGCACUAGAAUAGCAAAUUUAUGGUUUGAUAUUCAUAAAUUCGUCUCCGUGUACAAAUUAAUGCAGGUCACCAAAAUAUCAUACCAUCUUCAACAACAGUGUUUAACACGGAAAUUUUUCCUGACCAAUGCCAAGAGUAGAUAAUCUUUCGUUACUAAUGGGCCACUGAUAUCAGAAAGAGCCAAGAAAGUGUAACAGAAGAAAUUCUAUUGGAGUUUGGGAAAGGUUAACAAUAUAUAGUAGCCUGCCAUAAGUUAAUCUCCAACCUUCAUGUUCAAAGCUUUCCUCAUGCCAACUUAUCUAUAUAGACUGUUAUUAAAGCAUAUUACCCGAAAAUACAAUUGCUCCAUCGUUCCGCAUAUCACCAAGAUUCACUAUGAAUGCUCUGUACAAAAUGGUCACAGAAAGAAUGUUACUUUUCAGGAUUACUGUGAGAUUCUUCUGUUCCGUACUUGUGAUGAUUAUGUAUAACUGAAUCUAAGCAAUAAUCUGAACAACUAACAGAGGGUAAUUACAUAAGUAAUUUUAGAAUUCAUAUGAUGUGUGGUAGUUCUAUGACUGUCGACCUGCUCAAAAUUUUUACCAGGAAAGAAUGGUGCAAUACCAUUAUGAGCAUGUGUGUAAGAGUGUUUUCUUGCCGAGGGAGGGAGGGAGGUUCACCAGCAAGGCAUCAGAAGGAUUAAACUGAUCAAAGUUAAUAUGUACACUUAGAUGCAAAUUGCAGAAAGGAAUAUAAAUGUGGAUGAGGGCAUCUCUCUGAGUUAAUAAAUGGAAAUCCAUCUUUAUCACCCAUCUGACAAUAUUACUUUCUCUCUAAACUGGCAUAUCACUGCCUUUGUACAAACAAGAACUAUAGUAGUAGAUCAGGGUCAGACAAAGAAGGAUUUUUGUCAAAAAGCUGUCACAAAUAUUGGGGUAGUAUUCCACGCAACAUUGGCAUGAAGCAAUCUUCCAGUCAUGCGUAUAAGGGGAAAUAGUGCACAUUCCCCAAUAAACCAGAAGUACAAGAUUAAAAUAAAGUUAUUGCAAGUCAUAUUUGUAAGCCAUGAAUGAUAAGAACAUAAAUCCUAACAUGAUGAUCUUCCACCAAAAGCGUUACUCUAAAUAUGAAAUCUCUAACAUAAUAAUCUCAAAUUCCCCAUAGUAAUGCAGUUGGCCUUUACCCUCUCAUAGGUUGCACAUAUUCCCAUGUCGGAGGUUUAGCAUCCUUGUUCUUGCAAAUCUGAAUAAGUUCAAAAAGUUUCAUGCGUUAUAACUAGGCAUAAAGUCUGCACCAACAGUUUUAUAGGAGAAAAUUUCAUACUUGGAGACCUGGGACAUCAUCUGUUGCCAACAAGGUAAUAAAUCCAAAGUCCGAAUGUGCCCCAGCUCCAUAUAUUCCUUUAAAGGGAUCAAAGACUAGACCUAAACAAAGAAAAGAAUUUCCAUUGGAUGAGAAGAAAAAUUUGCAGGGUUUAAUAUAAAGUUUAUUGAAGUAAAAUCUACCUUCAUAGUGCAACAAGCGCAAGGUUGCAAUAGGCUCACCAAGUAUUUCUGGCUUGUCAAAAAAAUCAGCCUCCAGAUCAAGUGCUAGAGCAAUGAUCCUUGUAACUACUUUUGCCACAUUUCUGAGUGUGCACAUUUACAAAUAAAUAAAAAAAAUUAAGAAAUUGACUACUGUCGCUAUGUUUAUAGCAACAAAUUACACUUAAUCUUGCGACAAAGAUCAUCUAGGCAUCACUGUUGGAUCUAAAAGUCAAAUGAUUUAGAGUUGGAGACCCUAUUGACUGUAAUAUCAGCCAUCCCACUGUAAGCAAUUAGACACUUGUGUUGAGGCUCUUGGUCAGUGUGAUUAAUGGUAAAUCUUGACGGCUAAAAAUAACUGGUUCAUAUCGUAGCAUAGUAGCUUUAGAACAAUACCCCACAAAAAUGUUUAAUCAGCCACUACAAAUAACCAGAAGAGUUUUACUUUGGCCAACAUAGGAUGAGAGACCAAGAGAGCAUAUUGUUGGAAAUUAUGAUCCAUUUUCUAGAAUUUCCUAGAAUUGUUAAACUUCUAGAAUUCUCUAGAAUUCCCUAGAUGAAUUUUCUAGAAGAAAGAAGAAAACAUUUUCUAGAAGAAAUAAGAAAUGUCCAACAUGUAAGAAGUCUCUAGAAAAACUAGAAUCUAGAAUUUCCUAGAAUAAGCCUAAGUGGAUAACAUUCCCCAUUGUUCUAGAAUGUUGUAUUUAGACUCUAUAAAUAGGAAAGAAGGGGGAGUGUAGCAAACUAACAAAUGUAAGAGAGUGAGAGGAGCAUGAGAAUAUAUUCCAUAUCAUGAAACUCCUCCACCAACACUUCCGACACUUCCUUGUAAAAUUAUUUUAUCAAACUAAUGAAACUAUUUCCCAUAUCCCAUGUUAUUUGUCUUUCAAUUAUCCUAGUCUAUCCCUUGUCCAUCAUCCAUAUACUACACCAUACACUUGCACACACGCCACUAACCAAAAACUAUCAUCCAUAACUCACACACGCUUCCGCAAAACACUAACAUGGUAUCAGAGCUAGUUGCACCCAGGUUCGUAACUGAGCCAGGUGUAAAGGAUCGUGAAGCCAGAGAUAGGCACAUCGGAUGGUUAUGGUCGUUUGUCCUCACCAUCCUCAACUAAGAAGGCCAGAGCCCGAGCGAGAGCCAACGGAGCCAGAGCCGGAGCCAGAGCCAGAACCAAGCCGGAGCCAGAGCCAGAGCCUACGAGAGCCAGAGCCAGAGCCCGAGCUAACAACUACAACUAAGAACAAUUUGAUGCCCAAGACAUAUGGGUCAUCGUUGAAGAGAAGACAUGCGCAUUCGAAGGCGGGUGCAAGUGUUCCGACAAGAGAAUGCAAGGGAUUGCGGAACGAAAAUGGAAUAAAAGACAUGGGAUAAACUACAAUAUCCGAAGUAUCCCGAAAAUGGAUCAAGGGGGAGUGUUGGAAAUUAUGAUCCAUUUUCUAGAAUUUCCUAGAAUUGUUAAACUUCUAGAAUUCUCUAGAAUUCCCUAGAUGAAUUUUCUAGAAGAAAGAAGAAAACAUUUUCUAGAAGAAAUAAGAAAUGUCCAACAUGUAAGAAGUCUCUAGAAAAACUAGAAUCUAGAAUUUCCUAGAAUAAGCCUAAGUGGAUAACAUUCCCCAUUGUUCUAGAAUGUUGUAUUUAGACUCUAUAAAUAGGAAAGAAGGGGGAGUGUAGCAAACUAACAAAUGUAAGAGAGUGAGAGGAGCAUGAGAAUAUAUUCCAUAUCAUGAAACUCCUCCACCAACACUUCCGACACUUCCUUGUAAAAUUAUUUUAUCAAACUAAUGAAACUAUUUCCCAUAUCCCAUGUUAUUUGUCUUUCAAUUAUCCUAGUCUAUCCCUUGUCCAUCAUCCAUAUACUACACCAUACACUUGCACACACGCCACUAACCAAAAACUAUCAUCCAUAACUCACACACGCUUCCGCAAAACACUAACACAUAUUCAGUUCAGAAGUCAGAGGCAAUUUAACUCCCAUUGGGCCACCUUCAAUAUUACAAGAACUUGGCAAUAUCUGAUGCAUAUAGAAGGGGAAGAUGGUGACUAUCAGGUACUGAGAAUGUCCAAAAUACCCCAUCAGAGAAACAGAAGAUCUCUGUAUUAUCUUUUACUUGGAUGGAACAAUAUUUACAUCCUGGAACUAGCAAGAAAAAUUAAUGCCUAUUGCUCCAUAUCAUCUAUAGUAAAAACUCACAAUGCUUGACAAUGAAAUUUUUCCAUCGCCUGCCUCCAUCUUGGCAAUAUAUCUAGUCAAAAUACAACAAUGAAACCAAAAUAAACAUCCACAAUCAACAACUGAUUUAUGUCGGACAUAAAUUACAUUAAACAGCAGUUUACCCUCAGAAGGCCAGAAAUUUGGUCCAAAAUGAGGCUUCUGCGCACGAGGAUCGUCCUCUGGUACUUCCACUCCUAUGUGAUAUCCCUCCUUAUAAUCUCCUAUAAAACGUCAAUAGAUUCAUUACUGCUCGAACAAUCUUCAGAAGAUGAUAAGCAGAUAGGUAAUCACAAGUUUCAGCCAAAACUUUGUCUUAGAGCUUAGCACUUCAAACAACUAGCUCCUUCUUCUGUGUCAGCUCUCUCCAAGAAUACAAUAAAAAAUAGGAAUAAUAACUUCAGACAAACCGUUUAUCUGAUUUGCAGGGUCGAGGACCUGAUCGAACAGAGGAGUGUAGCCUCGGUGCUUCUCGUUCCUCAGCAGCUUCAUCUUCUCGCUCAAAGGCAGACCGAAGAACCGCCUGCUCUGGACGAACACCUCCUCCAUCAAGUGCUGGCUGACUCCAUGAUUGAUCACGUAGAAAAAGCCGGAAUCUAAGCACGCCUGAGGCCAACGGAUUGGAUUCAUGUACCGGAAAUCGAACUGAGAAUAGCGGAAAAAGGCGGGAGAAUCGAAGACCUGUUUGAGCAGGGACACCGACCGUCGGAUAUCGGAGCUUGAGAGGUCGAUGAGGUUGAGAGUGGAAGUCGGAACUCCGGCGACGUCGACGGCGUUCGCGUCAUCCAUGCUCGCCGUCCCGUUCGCCUGACUGAUUUCACGGUGCUGAUGACGACCGACGAUGAUCGAGGCCGGACGGGAAUUUAAGUUGUAGGUGAUGGAUGAGAAGUGGCUGAAAAGAAUGGCAGAAACGACGGCGUAGGACAAAUAAAGAAUCGGUAAAGGCGUACGGUGCGGCCAUCAGUGACGCCUUCGUUCCCCGUCUUAAUGCUUUCUAUAAAUUUUAAAGCAUUUUUUCUAUCUAAUUAUUCCAUUUAAUCAUUUUUAAGAAAAUAUCUUUUAUUUUAUUAUACGAAAUAAACGGAUCUUAAAAUUGGAAAGACCUUUAAAAUAUUUAUAUUUACAUGCAUGUUUAUUGUUUUUAAUUUACUCUUGUGAUACUUCAUUUUUGAAUGGUUAAAAAAAAAACACAGGUUCCAGGAGAGUUAUUCCAUUGCUCUUGCAUACUAAUAAGGCCUUAUGUCAAAUUAAAAGACUUUUGAAGGAUAUCAACGUUAGUAUUUUAAAAUCUCUUAUUUAAUUCAUCGUAUAAGAUGUCAUUGUCUUAAUGCUCUAUUUUAUGUAAUGCAACUAUAAAAUGAGUCAAUACAAAUAGGGGUUAGCAUCAAGACCGAUUCAACUGACAAAUCGUAUUGAAUUAGUCUAGACCAACUAGUUUAAGGUUGAAUUUAAGGAGAAUCAGUACGAUUUCCACUUCAACGAACUUAGAACCAACCUAAGAUCGGCUUGGUUCCUAAUUCCAAGGUCAAAAUUGCCAAUUCUACCCAAGAAUCGACAUAGACAGGUUCCUUGUGUUGAACCGCAAAUUGAAUUAUGGUCUUCACCAUGAAUAAACAACCACAUUUCUAUUUCACCAAAUAUGCUAUGAAGUGAAAAGGUGAAACUAUUACACUUUAUUGUAGGAAUUUAAUUUUUUUACACAAAAUAUAAAAAGUGGACUAAUUUCCAAGUAGAACCAAGAAUCAAUGGGAUCAAGAAGCACUGGUUCCAUAACCAAUCGAUUUAGUUCCCAGUAUCAAAAAUUUAAAAACUGAAAUAGACCUACUCGAGAUUGUCACGAUUUUGAGUGUAAGAGGUGGAAUAAUAAAUAUCAUAACAUCCGUUUCCACUACAUAUUUCCAUUUCAAUCUCUUGCAUAAUCUAUUAAGUCUAUAGAAUACAAGAAAGCUAGAAGAGUAUAAUUAACUAGUUAACUGCUAAUUUAACUCACUAUUACUCUACUCGGGCGUCGGGAGAUUUUGCACCUACAUUGAGGACAAAGAGCUAAAGAGGUAGCUAAAUCUUUGUCUAAUGCUCUGUUUCCAAAGCUUGUUCCUGUGGUUUAACGUAGCGGAAGCGUUAGCCAGUCAAGCGCAUCACGGGAGGACUUCGAGAUCGGACUGAUCUAAUCCCACCUUCGAGAAAGAUCAGAAAGAUUUUUUGGAAAGUAGCAGCCAGCGUAGUAGCUAAAGCGGCUUACGAUCUCAGAUUGUGCUCUUGCUAAUGCUACUCCUAGUCCCACCCACACGGAAAUGCCUGCUCUCUCCUUCUUUGCCCGUCAUAUAUUCAAUCAUUUGUGGGCUUAGCGACACGACUAGCUCAUCCAAGAACCUUGUCAAAUAGCCAAAAGUUGCAUGUACAGUCCAAUCGACCGAAGAACGGCUGAAGCCACUGAACUAUUUCUUCCAUGCAUAAACAUAAGCAGAUUAUUAAUUGUGUAUGCAUAUGCAUGUACGCGCACGUACCCCAUUCGACGCUCUUCUCUAAGCUCAUCAUUGUUGAAAGAAGAUAUGUCUUGAAGAUAUAGAAUUCAGAUAUAGAAUCGGACUGAAUAUUGUGAUUGAUUUGGAUUGUAAUUAAUUUAGGACUAGAAAUAUUUGUUCUCUUAGGAAUAUUUUCUUUACUUUUUUAUUCAAUCCAAUUGUAUGAUAUAUACAUCUCUGUAACACUAUUCAAUACAAGGAAGAACGAUACAAUUCCUACAAUUCCACUUGAGUUUCUUACAUGGUAUCAGAGCCCAAAAUGAGGAUAGAAUCCAAUGGCUACCGUGGCCCAAGUCCAUACGGGCCAGACGGCCCACGUGGGCGAAAUUCUCUUUAUUUCGAUGGGCCGCGAGGAAAUUUCGCGGGAAUCUCCGAUGGGCCGUAUGGAGCAACGACGGCCCAUGCCGUGAAUAGGCCCAAUUCAUUCGGAAAAAAUUACCAAAAGGGCAAGGGGAAGUUGUACUGUGAUUACUGCAAACGCCCACAUCACACAAUUGAAAAUUGCUGGAAGCUCCAUGGCAAACCCGGGGAAAAGGAGAAAGGAAAAUUUUCAACUAUUUCACAAGUAUUGGGCAAAUCAGCAGACAAAUCAAUUUCCCAUGGAGAAUAUCAGGAGCUGAUGGAAGCUUUAAAGAAAUUAGACGCUUCUGACAAAGCAGGGAGUUUCACAGGUAUUUCUUAUUGUCUGAUGAACUCAAUUGCAAUGGAUGCAUGGAUUAUUGAUACUGGAGCUAGUGAUCAUAUUGUCUGCAAUCAAAAAAAAUUUUCCACUGUUGAGAAAUUAUCUUUUCCUAUAUCAGUACAACUCCCGAAUGGAAAUACCACAAAGGUUGAUAUGACAGGAACUGUAAAUCUUAGCCCACUAAUUACCCUUAAAAAUGUCCUUUAUGUCCCUAGUUUUCAAUUUAAUCUCAUAUCUAUUUCACAAGCCUGUCAAGACAACUCCUGUCGUGCCUUGUUUGACUCUAAGAAAUGUCUAUUUCAGGCCCUUUCGACUGGCAAUCUGAUGGGCUUGGGUAGAAUCUAUCAAGGAUUAUACUUUUGGACUGAUCUUCCAACCAAUUUUAAUUCCUCUUCUGUUGCUUUCAAUAAAUCCAUAUGUAAUGUUGACAGCAAUAAAAAUUUCCUUCAUCAUAAAAGAUUGGGUCACACUGCAUUUUUUCCUUGUCCUCAAUGUCCUAUUUGUCCUCUAGCGAAACAAACACGUUCUCCUUUUCCAAAUAGCAACACCCGUGCUGACAGCAUUUUUUCUUUAAUUCAUGCUGAUAUAUGGGGACCAUAUCAUACCGUAAAUCAUGACGGUUCACGGUUCUUUCUCACAAUUGUGGAUGAUUUCUCACGUGCCACCUGGGUUUUUCUCCUUCAAUCAAAAAAUCAAGUUCUAUCUCAUCUUAGAAUAUUGAUCUCUCUAUCCAAAACUCAAUUUGGUAAAUCAAUUCGUCGGAUUCGUACUGAUAAUGGAAAAGAAUUUUUUAGUGGUGAAUGUGCGUCAUUCUUUAGCUCAAAUGGGAUUUUGCAUGAAAGUACUUGUACUUAUACACCACAGCAGAAUGGAGUCGUUGAGAGAAAACACCGCCAUCUUUUGGAAGUGGCGCGGGCUCUUAAAUUCCAGGCAUCUAUACCAGAGGAUUUCUGGGGAGAUUGUGUAGUCACUGCAGCAUAUCUAAUAAAUCGAAUGCCAUCUAGAAUCUUGAAGGGAAAAUCUCCAUUUGAACUUUUAUAUGGGAAGAAACCAGAUUUGAGUCAUCUUCGAGUGUUUGGUUGUCACUGUUAUGUGACUACAGUAGGGCCUCGAGAUAAAAUGAGUCCUCGGGCUCGAAAGUGCAUAUUCAUGGGGUAUGUCAAUCUCAAAAAGGGUUAUCGAGUUUAUGACAAAUCUACUGGGGAUUUCUUUAUCAGUAGAGAUGUGGUUUUUCAUGAAGAUAUUUUUCCCUUCCGGAAUUCUGCUUCCAUGUCUGGAGAUGAUAUUGACACUACUCGUAAAUUUCUGUCAGAAGAAGACUUGUCUUCUGAAGGAAACUAUAUUAUUACUUCCUCUUCGCCACAGCAGACAUUACAUGCAGCAUCACCUUCGCCAAAUGAAGAGCAUUCCAUUGGCCAUCCAGUUGAGGAGGAUUUCAUUGAAGAUGAACCUCAAGUGAUCAAUUCCAUAGAACCCCCACAUAUUGAGGAAACUUCGACAGAUGUGCUGCAUGAGCCACCUCGACGAUCUGGUCGGAUCACUCGCCCACCAACUUGGACAAAAGACUAUGUCUGUUCUUCAUCAAAGUCCUCAGGUACUCGUUACCCUAUAUCCUCCUAUGUGUCUUUUAAUCAACUGUCACCAGACCAUUUCUGUUGCAUUAGUCGCAUUUCUGAGGAAGUAGAACCAUCUAAUUAUCAUGAGGCUGUACAUGAUCCACGAUGGCAAAGAGCCAUGGAAGAAGAACUUAAGGCGUUGAUUAACAAUCACACCUGGGAUGUCGUGUCAUUACCUUCUCAUCGUAAACCCAUUGGCUGUAAAUGGGUAUAUAAAAUCAAAUAUAAAGCAGAUGGUUCUCUGGAAAGAUACAAGGCCCGGUUGGUGGCCAAAGGCUUUACACAACGAGAAGGAUUCGACUACCAUGAGACAUUCUCUCCAGUAGCAAAGGCUGUCACGGUUCGUUCCUUCUUAUCUGUUGCUGCUCUUCGCAACUGGUCACUACAUCAGAUGGACGUCCACAAUGCCUUUCUUCAUGGCGAAUUGGAAGAAGAGAUCUAUAUGGAUCUUCCCCAAGGAUUACGGAGACAGGGGGAGUCUAAGGUAUGUCGUCUCCGUAAAUCUCUUUAUGGUUUAAAACAGGCCUCUCGGCAGUGGUACGCCAAGUUUACUAAUGCACUAAUGAGCGCCGGAUACGAGCAGUCCAAGCAUGAUUAUGCUCUUUUCACUUGGACAAAAGGUACGUCGUCUAUCUACUUAAUGAUUUAUGUUGACGACAUACUUAUUAUGGGAAAUAAUGAUUCCGCUGUGAGGAAGCUUAAGGAAUAUCUUCAUUCCUCCUUUCACAUCAAAGAUUUGGGGCCACCUAAAUACUUUCUUGGAAUAGAGAUAGCUCGUUCUAAUCAGGGGAUUUCUCUCAGCCAAAGGAAAUUUGUGAUGGAAAUUGUGUCAGAAUCGGGAUUAUCAGGAUGCAAACCGUCAGUCAUUCCCAUUGAACAGAAUACAAAGUUAACCAGUGUUGAUUAUGACGCUGGAAUGGCUUCUUCUGAUGAUCUAUUACUGAAGGAUCCGACAAGCUAUCAGAGACUUGUUGGAAAGCUUAUCUAUCUUACCAUGACUAGGCCAGAUAUCUGCUAUGCCGUACAGACUCUUAGUCAAUUCAUGCAUAGUCCAAAGCAAUCUCACAUGAAUGCGGCCUUGAAGGUGGUAAAAUAUCUGAAGAAAUGUCCAGGGCUAGGGAUACUUCUUUCUCAAAAGUGCAAUAUGGAGAUGAUGGCCUUUUGUGAUUCGGAUUAUGCUACAUGUCCUAUGAGUAGAAGAUCCAUUACUGGUUUCUGUAUUAAGCUUGGGGAGUCAUUGCUUUCAUGGAAGACGAAGAAGCAAUCCACGGUAUCUUUAUCAUCAGCAGAAUCUGAAUAUCGAUCCAUGGCGAAAACCGUUUGUGAGGUGGUGUGGUUACGAGGUUUACUUCAGGAUCUUGGGAUACAAGUUAGAGGUCCGACAUUACUCUUUUGUGACAAUGAUUCAGCAAUCAAACUUGCAGCAAAUCCCAUAUUACAUGAGAGGACGAAACAUAUAGAAGUUGAUUGUCAUUUUACACGAGAGAAGAUCAAAGAAGGCAUCAUCAAAACAAGAGGGAUUAGAACCACGGAGCAACCCGCGGAUAUUUUUACUAAACCUCUUUGCCAAAGACAACAUACAUAUCUUCUAAACAAGCUUGGAGUCUUGGAUAUAUACAAGCCACCAGCUUGAGGGGGAGUGUUGAAAAAAGAUAUGUCUUGAAGAUAUAGAAUUCAGAUAUAGAAUCGGACUGAAUAUUGUGAUUGAUUUGGAUUGUAAUUAAUUUAGGACUAGAAAUAUUUGUUCUCUUAGGAAUAUUUUCUUUACUUUUUUAUUCAAUCCAAUUGUAUGAUAUAUACAUCUCUGUAACACUAUUCAAUACAAGGAAGAACGAUACAAUUCCUACAAUUCCACUUGAGUUUCUUACAAUCAUGCACUUAUUUACGAGCUCUCAAAGCAUACCCUCUACUGGACAAGUGCUGGUUGACAGGCUUCAGCUCCUUACAGACAAACUCUAAGUCCCUUCCUUUCUGUAUACAUCUAAAUCAGCAUGAGUAUUGCUGUAUCUUUGGGCCAAGUAGGUCUGACAUACGAUGGGAGGAAGUUUUCACGUGAAUCAAUUUUGAAGAAAUUUAGUUUAGGAUCUGAUGCUGGCGUAAAUUUGGUGAUUUGCACCAUGUCUAAUAACAACUGAAGUCUCGAUCAAGAAACAAAUAAAAACUAAUAACUGGAGUAGCUAUGAUAAAUAAACACCUAGAUCCCCGCGCGCGAAAUGGUUCCAACCCCAUGUGGGCAUGCGACGAUCGUAUCAAUUGAUCAAAUAAGGUACAGCUCAAUGCCUAGUUCCAGAAUAAACAUUUUUCUUCAUGAAACAUGGAGUUAAAACUUAGAGGGAGUCCUCUUAACAUAAACAAAAAGUCCAGGCAUAUGAAUUUGGAUCAUCCUUGGACACGCAAUAUUUACUUCGACGUUCACGUUCAAAGCAGAGCAUCAACACUCAAACAAAAUGCAUAAAGUCAGUCAUUUGAAUCAGGGAGGAGAAGAACUAGAUCUUAGGGCCGAGAUUUAACAUCAUAAGAAAUACAAUAGCGACAUGUUGAUGAUAUAUAAGAAAGAAACUGAUCCACGGAAGACAGCUUACUUGGGAGGAUUUUUCUCUGACAUAAAUGUUGGCAAACACUGGACGAGACAAUCAUGGUUAGGCUCCAGGAAGAAAGCAAUCUGCAUUUCGUGAGAACAUGAGCAUAAAUAAUACUUUUAACAGAGAUUUUAGCCCAAAAAAAAAAAAAAAAAAAAACUCAUCAAGAAAAGAGAAGUUAGUGGAUGAAAUAUGCAAACAAGGGAAAGAAAAACAAUUCGAAUUCUUUUCCAGAAAGUAAUGUGGAUUAUCCCUGAAGAAAAUCUCGAGUUGAGAGGAAGUCCCUCACCUGCUCAACUGACUUGCCACUAAACCGUGAUCUCAAACCUAGUACCACUUUCCAAUCAGCUUACAACUGUCUUAGAUUGUCUUAGAUUGGCUUCAAUUAUACUCUACUCUUCCUAGUACCCUAACCAAUCGGAUUUUUUUUCAAUAGACUCGACAAGCUUCAAAUUUCUUUUGAUGGCUUUUGCUGAAUUUUCCAAAAGAAGAAAAGAAAUGCACAGGCGUGGGGAGAGAGCCAAAAGGCCUAAGAGAAUACAGUUCUUGACCGUUCCCUACAACUCGAUGGAGCGUGGACCUGAUUGCAAAAGCAAAACAAAAGUAUAAAUUAGUAUAAAUUUGACAAAAAGAAGCAAAAAAUCAGCAAGUCAAAUUCUUAAAAAAAAAUAAUAGAGAAUGACCUUGCUAAUUAUGGAGAAUUGCAGGACACCCAUAAAAUUAAUGCGAAAAGCUCAUUUCCUAUAUUGCUGAACACAUUCUGAAGCAUGAUGACAUUGCAUGUUAAGCCUUAUCUGUGGUCAGCAAUCACAGAACACUUACAAGGAUUAGUAUCGAAAACUUGACCAAUAAGAGCAAUAAUAACAAAAACCUUUUCUGGUUUAUUAUUCAUAAAGUGGACUCUGUGUAGAAAGUAAUGCAGGUCAGCAACAUAUCAUUCCAUUUCAACAACUGUGUUUAACUUGGACUUUUUCCCCAUGGCAACUCGGCCAGUAAUUAGGCAAUGUCAAGAGCAGAUACCCUUGCACUACUAAUGGGCUACUAAUAUCAACAAGAGCCAAGAGGGUACAACAGAGGAAAUUCUGGUGGAGUUUGGGAAAGGUUACCAAUCUAUAGUAACUUGCUUUAGAAAAUCUCCAACCUUCAUAUUCAAAGCUUUCCCCAUGCCAAUUUAUUUGGAUAGACUUCUAUUAAAGCAUAUUACCUGAAAAUACAAAUGCUCCAUCGUUCUAGCAUAUCACCAAGAUUCACUAUGAACGCUCUGUACCAAAUAGCCAUGGAAGAAUGUUACUUUUCAGGGUUACUGUGAGGUUGUUAUGUUCUGUUGAAAAGUAAUGCGGAAUAAAAAAGAUGCUUGAGCAAUGAGAUAUUCUCUCCCGAAAUUUUUCCCUCUCAAACUUCUUGCAACUGGACAUAUAUCGUGAGACAGGUUCUAAUAAUUGUGGAAUGUGUAUAAUGCUUGGUAGUUCUAUGACCGUGGACCUGCACAUGAUUAAUCAGGAAAGAAUGGUAGAAAACCAUCUUGUGAGUGUGUCUGAGGGUGUAGAGAGAGAGAGAGAGAGAGAGGGAGGAAGGGAGGAUCAUCAUCAAGGCAUCCAAAGGAUUAAACUGAUCGAAGUUAUUAUGUAAACUUAUUCAGAUGCAAAUCACAGAUAGGAAAGGAGAAGUGGAUGAGGGCACCUCUCUAAGUUUCUGAAUUGAAACCCAUUUUUAUCACCCAUCUGACAACAAUAGUUUCUCUCUAAACGGGCAUAUCGCUGCCUUCAUAUGAACAAGAACUAUAGUAGCAGAUCAGGGUCAGACAGACAAUGACGUUUGUCAAAAAGUUGUGACUAGUCUGGGGGUAGUAUCCCACUCAACAUCGGCAUGAAGCAAUCUUCCAAUAAUGCGUAUAAGGGGAAACAUGUUAUCGUAUACAUGCUCCAAUAAAUCAAAAGUACCAGUUUAAAAGCAAAGUUAUUCCAAGUUAAAUUUGUAAUCCACAAAUCACUAGAAUGAAAAUCCUAACACAAUGGCUUCCACCAAAAGUGUCCAAGUUACUCUAAAUAUGAGAUCUCGAACAUAUUCAUCUCAAGUUCUGUUGGGCUUUACCCUUUCAAAGGUUGCACAUAUUCCCAUGCCUGAGGUUUAGCAUCCUUGUUCUCGCGAAUCUGAAUAAGUUUAAAAGGUUCCCUGCAUUAUAACCAUGCAUAGAGUCUGCACCAACAGUUUUACAGGAGAAUAUUCAUACUUGGAGACCCGGGACAUCAUCUGUUGCUAACAAGGUACUAAACCCAAAGUCCGAAUGUGCCCCAGCUCCAUAUAUCCCUUUAGAGGGAUCUGAGAUUAGACUAAAGGAAUAUCAAGAGGAUGAGAAGAAAGAAUUGUCGGCUUUAUUUUGUAGUUCGUUGAAAUAAAAUCUACCUUUCAUAGUGCAACAAGCGCAAGAUCGGAAUAGGCUUGCUGAGUAUUUCUGGCAUGUCAAAAAAUCAGCCUCCAGAUCAAGUGCUAGAGCAAUGAUCCUUGCAACUACUUUCGCCACAUUUCUGAUGAGAAUAUUCACAAAUCAAAAAAUUACCAAAUUAAACUACCAUCACUUUUUUAUAUCAACAGGUUGCACUUGAUCUUGCCACAUUGAUCAUCUAGGCAUUACUCUUGAGAUAUAACCAGAUACAAAAGUCAACUGAUUGGAAGAUCCUAUGCAAUGAAAACUGUGACUACAAUAUCAGCCUUACCACUAUAAGUAGACAUUUGAGUUGAGGCUCUUGGUCAGUGUGAUUAAUAGUAAAUCUUGACAGCUGAAAAUAUUUUAUUCAAAUUGCGGCAGGGUAGCUUUUGAACAAUUUCCUAGAAAUUGUUGAAUGAGCAGUUACAUAUAACUUGAAGAGAUUUACACUUUGGCCAACAUAGAAUGAGAGCCCAAGAGAGCUUAAGCAAUUUGGCAGUCGGGCAAUUUAACCCCCUUGGGCAUUAAGGGAACUUAGCAAAAUUUGAUGCAACAGGAAGGGGAAGAUGGUCACCAUUAGGAUACUGGAAAAGGCCCAAAUUUCCAGUCAAAGAAACAGAACAUCUCUGUAUUAUCUUUUACUCAGAUGAAAUAAUCUUUCACAUCUUGCAACUCACAACAAAAUUUAAUGCCCGUGGCUCUUUAUCAUCCAUAGCAAAAACUCAUAAUGCCUAACUAUGAAAUUUCUCCAUUGUCUACCUCCAUCUUGGCAAUAUCUCUAUUGAAAACACAACAAUGAAACCAAAAUAAGUACAUAUCACCAGCAACAAUUUGAAGUUGCACAGAUAUCAUAUCAAGCAACUGGUUACCCUCAGAAGGCCAGAGGUUUGGUCCAAAAUGAGGCUUCUGUGCAUCAGGAUCAUCCUCUGGUACUUCCGCUCCGAUGUAGUAUCCCUCCCUAUAAUCUCCUAUAAAACGUCCACGGAAUCAUUGCUACUCGACUGAUCUUCAGAAAAUGAUAACCAUAGAAAUAAUAACAAGUUUCAUCUAAAUCCUUGUUGUAUUACUCAUGGUUUUGUGUUAGCACUUCAAAUAACUCGCUCCUAUUUCUGUGUCAGCUCUGGUGAAGUAUCCUCGCUCCUCCCAGAAUAGAAUUACAACCAGGAAUAAUAACUAACUAAUUGCAUCUUCCUUUUCUAAGAGCUGCUACUCAACCACCAGCCACCAGCUGAUUACAGGAAGCUAUCAAAAUCAUCAGCUGUUCAUCUAAAUCCACUAUAAGCAGCAAAAUCUUCAGUAAUCUGACAACAAAAAACGGAACAAAUGAAUACAUCUGACACAAACUCUAAAUCUGAUUCCCAGCAUCGAGGACCUCAUCCAGCAGAGGAGUGCGGCCUCUGUGCUUCUCGUUCCCCAACAGCUUCAUCUUCUCGCUCAAGGGCAAGCCAAAGAACCACCUGCUCUGGACGAAGACCUCCUCCAUUAAAUCCUGGCUGAUUCCGUGAUUGAUCACGUAGAAAAAGCCAGAAUCCAAGCACGCCUGAGGCCAACGGAUCGAAUUCAACCGCCAGCAUCGUCACGAAUAAAAAAACCUUAGCUUCCUCGGUUCCGGUACCGGUAAUCAAAUUGGAACAUCGGAAAGCUGGGCCUAGGAGCUGUGUUCAAUUCAUAGUCUGUAUAAUUUCGAUUGAUUUUCUGCCAAUUUUGUUGAUUUUUCUUGUUGGUAUAGGUGAUAUCUCAAUCAUCCGUACUCUACCAUGCACCAUUAAUACAUUAACCUGAGAUAUGAUUAAUUAUGUUGCUUUUGAAUUACUCGUAAAAGGAAGGUCUUUUUAAUCUUUUACUAUGUUUGAGAGGUGUCUACUACUCGAUUCCUGAUGCAGUAACUUUCGUUAAGGUUAUGUUUUUUGUCCGAUCUUGAUCAAAGGAAAUUUUCUCAAAUCAAAACGUGGGUAAAUCAGUGACAUGUAUCACUAUAUUAACAUGAAAAACACAGCGCCGCAAUUACUCUUAUCUCUUUCGCCCAUGGUCCGGAGGCGGAUACGCCUCUGAUGUUGGUGAUGGUCAGAUGAGCGGGCAGUGAGCACAGCAGAGGGACAGCGGCGGUAGGGGAAUAAAGGGGUAUAGACCCAUCAGUUCAUGUAACUUCAUUUGUAGUAUCAUUUCCAAAAUCCUUAUGAAUAGGCUCAAACGUUUUUUUCCUCGAUCCAUAGCUCCUCUCCAGAAUGCAUUCCUUGAAGGUAGACUCAUACAAGAUAAAAUUAUCGUGGCCCAUGAAGCAUUCUAUCACAUAAAGUUGAGGGAAAAAGGGAAAGAUGGAUGGUGAGGUAUGAAACUUGAUACGAAGAAAUCAUAUAAUCUGUGUAAAAAGGGGUUUUCCUUGAAUGUGUAAUGCCUAAAAUGGUUUUUGAAAGAAGAUGGGCGAGUUGUUUCAUGUCUUGUGUAACAUCUGUGGCCUGUGAACUAUUACUAAAUGGCAAAAAAUCUGAAAAAUAUAUCCUUUCAUAGGAAUACCCCUUUAUCUCCCUAUUUGUUCUUAUUUGUAGCUGAUGUCUAGUCAAUGCAGGAAGGUCAAAUCCAAGGUACUAAACUGAAGGAGGAAUGCCGUGUUGUGGGAAGAUCUAAAUAUGAGGCACUGGGUUAUGCGAAAGAAAGAGUGUUGGAAAAGGCUUCCGGGCUGGAAAUCUCUCUUGUUAUCUCAAGUUGGGAGAGAAAUGUUCAUGAAAACAGUGGCAAAUGCAGUCCCCGCUUGCUCAAUGUCUUGCUUUGACUUUCUUAAGAAGUGGUGUCAGCAAGUGGAUGUUGCUGGGUCUAGAUUUUGGCGCGGGCAACAGAAAAGUGGGGGAACGGAGCAGUGGAGAAGUUGGGGAAGCUCAACCGAAGCUAAAUCGGAAGGGGGCAUGGGUUUCAGGAGUCUCUCUCAGUUCAACCUAGCUCUCCUUGCCAAGCUUACCUGGAGGAUACAAACUAAUUCUUCAGAAUUCUAAGUUGGGAGGCUCAGCGGACUUUACUUUCCUAAUUGCAGCUUCAUGGAGACAAGAAAAGGAGGGAGGAUGUCUUGGGGAGUAGAAUCUUGGAAGGCAAGGAACUGAUCAAACGAGGAGCUCCAUGGAAGAUAGCCAAUGGAAAAUCUGUUGGCACGUAAAGACAGGCGGGUGAAUUCUAGUAGGGAUUACAAGGUGCAUCCAAUCAACACUGAGCUCGUGGGUAGAAGCCUGGAAUUUUGAAGUUCUCAUUGAAAAUGAAACAAAUCCUGGAACACCAAACCUAUAAGAGGGUAGAUACAUCGAGAGGAACAGGCCAUGGUGCACGAAACUCACUUUAGCCUGGGGAGAAACGAAGAUAAAAAGUGAUCUGGCCGUGGUAUAGAAGUGGAGCUUUCUUAGUUAAAUCUGCAUACCGCUUUGCAAUGUAACAGAAGAAAAAAGCAGAUGACGAAAGCCCAAGUCUUCAAGUUGCCACAUUGUGAUCAGUGAGGUAUAGAAACUUGUGUGAAAUAUUGACUGCCCCAGAAAGAUGAGAUUCUUUUUGGAGACUUUGCUGCAAUGCUGUUGCUGCAGGUGAUAACCUAUGUAAAAGGAAGAUUAGGGUAAGCUCUGAGUUUGUGUUCUGUCAUGAAGUGAAGACCUCCGAGCAUUUGGUAGGUAGCUGUGAAAGAUGUAGAUGUGUUGGUUCUUGGACUAACUUACUUAGCAGGGGAAUUCACUGCCAAGACUAGCUUGGCCCGUUAUUGCCGAGAUAACGGUCUACUUCUUCACAUCUGUCGUGCAACGCGUGCAGUCAUUGACAGACAGAAAAAUCACGUUAUACACUUCCUGGUAUAACCCAAAGCCUUAUGUAUGACCGGUGGAGAUCAUAUUCGCUCCAGUGCUGUAUUUGGUAAACUUGAAGGAGAAAGAGACAUUAAAUUGGGCUCUGUAUGAUUAAACCGUGCAUGAGAUUUGUACUGAUUUGGUCAUGCAAUGAAAGUCAAAAGACAGAAAAAUAAAAGGAGACAUUCCUUUCUUCUGCUUUUCUAUUCAUCAUUGCAUGGCAUGUAAUAUUGACAAGCAUGGUGACGAAAUAUUCUUUAUUCUCAAUAGAAGAAGGACGGGGAAUGAGAACUCCAAGAUCACGAUUCUCAUCAUCAUUUCACCUUCCGCACCCGGUAAAAUGAAGAUGUAAUAACCAAAUUAAUAGCAAAAAAUUGACUCUGCAACGAUCACGGAGAAGUAAGUAGAGCUACGGCCGCGGUCAAAAUUACUGCAGAAACUCCGGUGACGCCAAGCGAUGCUGCCGAGUUCCCUGGGGCGGGAGGAACCGCAUCUCCAGCAGGAGAUGCUGCCGCUGCCGAGGGAGCCGGGGUUGAAGAUGGUGGAGCAGCCGUGCUGGAGGGCGGCAGGGUGGUGGCCGGCGAUGGAGUUGCCGCUUUCGGUGGAGGACUUGAGGUGGAAGGUGCCGGGGUCACGGCACCGGUCCGUGGAGAAGCCGCCGAGGAUGACGGAGCGGAGGCAGAGGGCUGCCGAGUUGGAGUUGUGGUGGAGGACGUCGGGGUGGCAGCAGAUGGAGGAGUGGCUGCGUUGGGGGGAGGGACGGCUGAGGAGGACGAUGGGGGAGUGCCGGAGGGGCUGGGGGCGGUGACGUUAAUGGCAACCUUUUGGCCUAACGAGCAGUGGCCAGGGACGGUACAGAUGAAGAAAUGCUGGCCGGCGGUGGCGAGGGUGAUCCUCGCUGGCGGGACGGUGGAGAUAGAGAGGGUGUUGGUGCCGUCGCAUGAGUUGAAAGCAGUCUCCGUCACUUCAGCCACGUCGUGCGCUCCGUCGUUGAAGUUGAAGACUGCAUGGAGAUGACAAAAUCGUCAUUUGGACCCAAGAAUUAGUAUGCCAAGAGUUGUUCCUUAAAAAUUAAAAAUGUUUAUCGUGAAAUUAAACAAAGGAAAUAGUACUUUUAUUAGAUAAUUAGAGCAUACUACAUCCGCAUGUGAAGUAAAUUUCACACAAGUGACCUUAUUUCAAAGAUUAGAUAGAAAUGAUGCUCAAAUUAACGAUAGAUAAGUCUUGAAUGAAUUUUUCUUAUUAUACUCUCGAUGCUUAUGCCGAUUUUUUUGCUGCGAAAACAAACAUCAAUGCAUUUUUGUUUUUCAAAUAUUUGUGCGAUUGUACAAUCGAAUCAAAAUUUGAUUAUGACUCCGUUUCUUUCACGAAAAAAGAAUAAUUUGAAAAAUAUUUAUCUAAAAAUAAUCACUUAAAUUCGGCAUUUAUGACUCUUGCGCAUGGGAUGUACAAAAUUAGGAAUCCAACGUACUAAUAGGGCGCUAUGACAUUUCAAAGUGAAAUGUCGCUUAGUGCUCUACAAAAUUUACACUAAAAUGUCUGGUCUCAACUUACCUAAAAUGUCUCCAACCUCGAAGAUCUGACUGUUAGCCCAAGCUUCAUACGCCACCGCGCCUCCCGCAGGUAUAGUCCACCCCAUGGCGUCUCCAACCGUGUAAGUCACCACCCCUUUCGGAUGCCCGGGCGGCGGCGCAGGCACUUGCGCAGCAGAUCCCGACAAAAGAGCCACCAUCACCACUGCCGCCGCCACGAAAAUAACACCGCCCAAACGCCUCGCCAUCGCCCUCUUCGUGUUCUCAAGAAACGUCAGGUCGCCCCUGCUCUUCUCUCUAUCUCCUCCUGCUCACGAAAAUCUUCGAAUUCGAAUCCCCUUUUGCUCUUUUGCAGCUCCCGGGGCUUCCCUCUUUUAUAGAACCAUUUUGACAGGAACAAGGAAAGGUCAAAGCAGCUUUCGGAAUCAUCAUUGCCGUCGCGCACUGCGUUGACUCCUUAAUGAUCAUUCUUUAAUGACAUGGGGGCUUUUCAUCAAAUCAAACUGUCGACGGUGCUUUGAGGUUUAAAGGUUUAUAAAUUUUCGAACGGCAGAGUCAUUUUUUAAAUGUUAAUGCUUCAUGACAAUGAACAAUCAAUCUAAUCCUCAAGAGAACCCAGUUAAAGAACACUCUUUGACUUUUGGGGGGAGUUCGAUUUGCUACGUGAAGCGCAAUACAAGGGUGUGCACAAAGACUUUUUUCGAACUUUCAAUCUGUAUUUAGACAGCACAAGAAAAAGUCUAAGCCUUCAUUGGAAUACAGGAAAAAGAAAGCAAACGAGAGCGUGGAAGCACGUUACGUAUGUGAUGAGACGGGUCUGAGGAUCAGCCGGACGUGGGGGGCUUUCACAGGGGUAAAUUGGUUGAUUUUUCGGGAAAGAAAAAAAAAUCAGGUGUAGGACAAAAACGGAAUAGAACUAAUAAAUACCACUAAAAAUCCUUAAAUCAGUACACCCACACUAUAUUUAUUUCACAUUAAUUUUCCCAUCACAAAGAAACCCAACUUCUAUAGCCAGGCAUCAUUUACUCCAAAUUAAUGUUUGUGUUAUAAUAAAUUUUAAGUUGGUAUAUCUGUGUCAUAUUUAUUCCAAGCUAAUUUUCACGUCACAAAAUUGAACAAAAGUUAACAAGAAUAGCACUUUGAGAUUUUUCUAGCAUGUGUGUGUGUGCAUAUAUAUAGGACGGAAGUGCUGGUUUGGGAUUUUUUACAACACAAAAAUGAAUUUAGGGUAAAUGGGGGGUGUACUAGUUUAAAAUUUCCUGUGACGCGAAAAUUAAUUUGAGUAAAUAUGGUACAAGUGUACCAGUUUAAAAGUUCUCGUGACACGAAAGUUAAUUUGAGUAAAUAUGACACAAGUGCAUUGAUUUGGUAUUUUUUGUGGCAUUAACUAUAACAAAAUUUUGUGAUUUUUUUUAGGUCAACAUCACAAACCUUUGUUGAUUAUCAUCAAGUCGUGAUAAUUUGUGUCAUGGCAUCAAGUAGAUCGGUUAAACGGGCAAAUUGAGUCCGGUUUGGGUUGGAUUGAAAAUUGUUCAACUUAAAUAGAUUCAUCUAGCUCGUUUUGAUCUAUUACUAUGUAAUGCAAAACUAAUGACCUAUACUUGACCCACCACGACUCAUAUUACUAAAACACUUCUAUCUCUAAUUCAAUCUAGGAAAACUUAUGUGUAAAGUGACUAAGCGCAAGAUUGAGUAAAAACAAGAAAAAUGAUAAAAGAGUCAUAAACCUGGGUUAGGUAUAAAUAAAUCAUGAAUCCAUUUACGACCCAUUUACUACUCAAAUCUUUUGGAUACCCUUGAAUUAGAGAUGCUACCUGCUAACCCAUUUGACUUGAUGGGUCACCAAGUCAUGAGGCCCAUAUGGGAUUGGGCCAGCCCAAGAUCUUGGGUAUGUCUUUGUUGUUGAAUAAACUUAUCUAGCAAAACAAUUAUCAUGAAUCCAAGCGCAAGAUUGGUAUAAAUAAAUCAUGAAUCCAUUUACGACCCACUUACUACUCAAAUCUUUUGGAUACCCUUGAAUUAGAGAUGUUGCCCGCUAACCCAUUUGACUUGAUGGGCCACCAAGUCAUGAGGCCCAUAUGGGAUUGGGCCAGCCCAAGAUCUUGGGUAUGUCUUUGUUCUUGAAUAAACUUAUCUAGCAAAACAAUUAUCAGUGCGUUCAUUUCAAGGAAAAAUGAGUUAUUUGGAAAAGAUUUUUCAAAAUAUAAUUACUUGUGUUGCUUACAAGAAUAAAUGAAUAGAAAUUUUUUCAUCGCUCGUGAAAAUAUUGACAUAGAUUGUUAUUAACAAUGAAAACCUUUUCUACUUUGAUGCACUACAAAAAUCUUACUCACUGCAAAAAUCCUACAGAUCUGCGAGCUGGAAUAACAUUUGUCUUGAUCCACGUAUGGUGGGGUCUUGUAUGGUGGGGUCUUAUUGUUUGAUGGUAACUUUCGAAAUAUAUGUAUAAUUUCAUGUUAUCAAAUUCUAUAGUUUCAUUAUAUAGUAUUAUUAAAAGCAAUAGUAAAUUCGAUUUCGAUUUGAAGUAAUACAUCCUCUCAUCGCCAUCUCUCUGCAACAAGUCAAACAGCGACAUGAAACAACAUCCAAAUUCGAGAUAACUACCUCGUACCACUUGAAUGGUCUCCGGCCAGAUGGAUUUCAGCCAAGUCAAACCAACUUAAAAUUCUCCAUAGAAUCGCUAAACCAAAUCAAUCACUGCCUUAUUCUGGAGAAGAAGCACUGAAUUCGUCCACUAUAUGUGAUGUAACAGCAUCUCACGAUGUACCAACAUCUCCACCUCUUGUAUGAAUUCAUCUGAGGUUAGUCCUCCUAUAGGAAAACGUCAAGGUGACCCUUUAUCACCAUUUUUGUUCUUUUCUGCAGCUGAUGUUUUGUCCAUUAAUUUCUCCCUAAAUAAUGAAGAGAUAACAAAAUAAACAUCGAUCAAUUACAUAUUAAUCAAUAUUCAAUUGAUUGGUCUGAGGUUAUGACAACGUACGACCCGUUCUUUCACUUUACAUAGAUUCUCUUGAACUGCUAGGGCACUUCUACAUGAACUGGUUCUUACACCACGAUUUUGAAUCAGAAGAGAUUUCAAGAUAUGGCAAAUCGUACAGCAUAUGCCAGUGGUUUUGAUAUAAGUAUUUGUGUCUUGAAUCGACCGUGAGGGCUUCGCGAUCUUGGAGUGCAUUUCCGCGAGCCAUGGGAAGUAAGCUUAGUCAAUGCUGUGCGGGAAGGUCAGAACAAAGGCAUUAAACUGAAGAAGGAAUGCCCUCUGUUGUCCCAUCUACUUUUUGCAGAUGAUUCGCUCUUUUUUCCUACAGGCUGAUGAGGAUAAUUGCAGAUGUUUAAGAGGGCACGGUGCACGAAAGUCAUAUUGGCUGGGGGAGAAAUGAAGUAGAGUGAUCUGGCCCUGGAAUAGAAGUAUAGCUUUCUUCGUUAAAUCUGCAUACCACUUUACAAUGUAACAGAAGAUGAAGCGGAUGACAACAACCCAAAGUCUUCAACUUGCUCCAGAGUGGUGAGGUAUUGGAAACUUGUGUUGGAACGUUGUCUGCCCCCAGAGAUGAGAUUCUCUUGUGGAAACUCUGCAGCAAUGCUGUUGCUACAGCUGAUAACCUAAAAAUUUGGCCUUUCGUUGCUUGUAUUUGUGGUAAUCAAGGAAUGAUUGUUGGUUUUUUUUCCAGGGAAAGUAGCAGAUCAUAACAAAAGUGCCCAUUGGAAACAUCUUCUUUGUUUGAUUAAUUGAUUUCUGAUGGAGAUGAUGAAACUCCUUGAGAUUUGGACUGCUUUGGUCAUGCAAUGAAGUUUUGUUUUUUCAUUUCCUGCUUUUAUUUUCAUCGUUGCAUGGCAUAUGACAUUCACAAACAUCGCGAGGAAACCUUCGUUAUCUUCAAUAGGAAGGUGAUGGGGAAUGAGAACUCCAAGAUCACGAUUCACAUCAUCAUUUCAUCUUUCGCAACCAGAAAAAUGAAAAUAUGAUGACCAAAUUAAUGACAAAAAAAAAAAAAAAAGACUCCGCCAAAAUCACGGAAAAGUGAACAGAGCUACGGCCGCUGUCAAAAUUACUGCAGAAACGCCGGUGAUGCUGAGUGAUGCUGCAGAGUUCCUUGGGGCAGGAGGAACUGCAUCUCCCGCAGGAGAUGCCGCUACCGCUGAGGGAGCCGGCACUGAAGAUGGUGGAGCAGCCGUGCUGGAGGGCAGCGGGGUGGUGGAGAGUGAUGGAGUCGCCGCUUUAGGCGGAAGACUCACUGUGGAAGGUGUCGGAGUCACAGUGCCGCUCGGUGGAGAAACAGUUGAGGACGAUGAAGUGGAGGCGGAGGGUGACGGAGUCGGAGUGGCGGCCGAGGACGUUGGCAUAGAGGCGGAGGGAGAAGGAGUGGCUGCCUUGGGGGGCCGGGCGGCAGAGGAGGACGGUGGCGGCGGAUUGGCAGAGGGGCUGGCGGUGGUGACGUUGAUGGCAACCUUUUGGCCAGACGAGCAGUGGCCGGGGACGGUGCAGAUGAAGAAAUGCUGGCCGGCGGUGGUGAGGGUGAUCCUUGCCGGUGGGACGGUGGAGAUCGAGAGGGGGUUGGCCCCGUCGCACGAGCCGAAAGCCGUCUCCGUGACUUCGGCCACGUCCUGCGCUCCAUUGUUGAAGUUGAAGACUGCAUGAAGAUCAGAGAACAAGCUGUUGAUUAAGAUUGAACAAGUUUUUGGCGGUGGAACUAAACAAAAAGAAGAGCAUAUGCGUAAAAUACAAAGAAAAUCUCACAAAAAAUUGACCUUAUCCCACUAUUAAUUUUAGAGAGUGAAUAGAUAUAAUACUAAAAUCAAUUAUAGACAACAUUAUUUAUGUAAAAUAUUUAGUUAUAGUGAUAAAUAAGCUUUAUUUUUUAUUAUUUACUUCAGAGAAAAAAAAAAUCAAUACAUUGAGAGUUUGAGUACAACAGGCCAAAAAAAAGAUCAUUUUAAAAUAAAAAAGUCAAAAGGAUAUCCAUAUAAGUAAUAUUGACUAUUUUUCGAAAGUUAUGUAUUUUAUUUAGGACAUUGAAAAGAGGUGAAGCUUUUGAAAUUCAAUUUUUUUUUCUAAUGAGCAUUGGAAAUUGCUUCUUCUAUCUUCAAGUUCUUAGCAAGUGGGAUUGGCCUUCUGACGGGCCAUUAGCAACCACAACAAUAAAGCCGAACAUUUUAUGAGUCUCUUGCAUAUAGGAUGCCAUUCGGUGUAGUAAAUGUUAUUCAAUUUUAUACUAAAAUGUCAUUUCUCGGCCUACCUAAAAUGUCUCCGACUUCAAAGGUAUUGCUGCUAGCCCAUGCUUGAUAUGCAGCAGCCCCGCUUGCGGAUAUGGUCCACCCCAUGACGUCUCCCAUGGUGUAAGUCACCGUCCCUUUCGGAUGUUCGGGCGGCGGCGCAGGUGUCUGCGCGGCAGAUCCCAAUAGCAAAGCCAUAAUCGCCGUCACCAUAGCGGCCGCCACGAAAGUACAACCAUUCGAAUGCCUUGCCAUUAGCCUCUCUGUUUUUGAAUUUGAACACCCUUCUGUGCUCUUAGAGCAUCCAGGGCUCCAACUUUUACAGAAUCGUUCUCACUGAAAAAGGAAAAAUUACAGGAGUUCGUGGAAUGAUCACAGUCGUGCAUUGCGUUGACCCCUUGGUGGAGCCCCCACCGUUGGAUAUGCGACAGGUGGAACGGGUCGGGUCAGCAGAAGCUUGGUGCUCCCGUAGGAUGUUGAUGACGUGGGGCUUUCAUGUCGAUUGUAUUUUAGAGGGGAAAUUUUUUUAGUAUUUUAUAAUUCAUAAGCUGAUAUAGAUAGAUAGCAGAUGGCUCAAGCUGAUAAAUAUAGAUCAUGCUCCCACAAGCUGAUAAAACAAUCGUAACUGAUAUAUAUAUAUAUCAAAAGAUCAACCGUUGUGACACAAGUGUAUCGAGGUAGGCCGUGGAUUGUAUAGAGAAAGAGGGGCUAAAAUAUUUUUUUAAAAACAUAAUUGUUUGUAUCAUAUACAAAAAUGAACAAACGAAAAAUAUUGUCAUCGUUUAAAAAAAUGAUAAGUUGAAUUAUUGUCGAUUAUGUAAAUAUUUCUCAUUAAUUAAUUACAUUAUCCAAUACAAGCAAUCGUGCUUAAAUUAUUCAUUUCUCGUUAAUUAAUUAUUUUAAACAAGGAGCCUUCGUAACGCAUUAUUUUUAGUGUGAUGCAAUGGAAUGAAUCUCUCCUCGGAGCAUCGACCAGCUGGGCAACUCUUUUAGACUUUUGGGAAUCGAUUUUGCUACGUGAAGUCCAUAAGCGUCAAAUUUGUAUUUAAACAGUACAAAAGCCUAAUCCCAUUGAAAUAAAAGGAAAAAGCUCUAAGAAAAAAUAGAAGAAAUCGUAACGAUGGAAGAGAUAAAAGAAGCAAUGAGAGCGAGGAAGCACGCUAAUGUAUUUUUGGGGUCAACGCCACAAAACAUCGCUAGCUGUCGUGGAGUCCUGAAAUCUUGUGUCGUGCCAUCAACUCCAUUUAAAGACCACCGCUCUUAGGAUUAGGCAAUUUGGCUGUGAGGAUGUCCAAUCGAAACACUAAUGCUAAAAAGUGAAAUGAGAUCAUAUGUAUAUAAAAGAGCAUUUAAAUCCCUAUGCCAAGUGAUAUGAGACAUUUUUCACAUCAUUCUCAUGUGUAAGCCCAAUAAGAGGCUUUUUCAACGUCUCCUUUCAUAUGCAAGCGGGUUUAGAACCUUUAAAUUGCUUAACCUCAUAAUUGGAGCAUAUAAAUUCUAUUGCCAAAAGCAAUAUGUGAGAUUUCGACAGUGGUCAUCGGAUGUCAACACAAUGUGUCGUUCCAUUAUCUUUUUCUUUUUCCUAAUUUCGACAAGUCUCAAGUUGAAGGUAGUUUAAUCAAGGGAAAAAUUAUCAAAAACUCCAAAUUAUACUCAUUGUGACACAAUUAAUCUGAAUUUUUUUGUUAUACCAAAAACCUAAACUUGUACUUGUGUGAUCUCUGUCAAGGUUCCAUCAAUGAGCAUCAUUAAACAUUUUCCUACAUGGACAAUGGAAGACAACUAGUGUUUACAUGGCACUUAUAUGGCUUAAGUGAAAUAAAUAUGACGUUGUUUUGGCUUAAAAAAAAACACUUGAUAGAAUCUAACAAAUGAUAAGUGUGUCACCAAACAUAAGUCUGGUGUUUUUGAUAUCCUGAGAAAAAUUUUAGGAUAAAUGUGUCACAAUGGACAUAGUUUGGAGUUAUUGAUGUCACAAAAUAAUAUUCAAGAUAAAUGUGUUAUAGUGUACAUAAUUUGGAUUUUUUAGUAAAAAUUUAGAGCAUCCAAUUUCGAAGAUACUUCUAGAAAAUUAUCAGGCUCCACCUAGGUAUUCACCCCUACAUCAACUUCUUGCAAAUUCUCCACACUUUGAGCUAUGUUCAUUAUAAUGAAAAUUUGAAACCAAUUUUAGAGUGUGCUUGGUUUGAAGAUACUAGUGUUGCUUGGUUCGGAUGCGUUGGCUCUUGUGUUGAAAUUGAAAACCACUUAUCACAGCAUGUCGUGUUCUGUAUAAUUCCACGAGUUGGGCCGGUUGCCUCGUAUUCGAUGCAUUGAACGGAACAAUUAGUGUGGAACUUUAGGUUAUCAAUUGUCAAUUUGCCAUAUAUUUCCUUGCGUGGCCUCUCGCAUAAAAGUUUUAACUCUUAAAUUUUUUUAUUAUUGAAGGUUACUGAGUUAUUUUAGCAAACUUGGUUACUGCCUGUUAGUUCCAUUCCCUCACUCUACAUUACUUUCUCAUAUUUUUCUCCAAAUUUAUGCAAAUAUCGGAAAGCAGAUUUUUAUUUUGCAGACACGUGUCUGUUGAUUACUAUUAGUUCAAAAAUUGAAAAUAUUUUAAUGGUUCGUCGAACUGAUCAACCAUAUAAGGGCCAUCUGACUCGGAUGAUCCGCGUGAAUGACAUGGCGUGUGGGUCAAGGUCUUUUGGUAACGUUCUAAUUAGAGAUGUCGAUAGGCGAGACUGGCCGAUUUGACUUGAUUGGCCAGCACGGGAUGAGGUCCAUGUUGGGUUGGCCCAGCCUAGCCGUGGUCAGACGAAUGGGCCGGGCUGUGGUCCAAGCGUGGUCGUCUCUUGUCCGGCAGGGCCGGCCCAUUGAUCGCCACCGAUAGUAAUCGUAAAGAAGCAUUUGCUAAUAUUGCUUGAGCGACUACGUUUAGCAAAAGACUAGUAGUUUCCUCGCAAGGGAAGCUGCUAACCAAUUCAUCGUUGUUCCUCUCGGUCUCAGAGAAUUCUGUGAUAGGCUCAAACCAUAAGUUAUCUCACCAAAAAAAACAAAAAAAAAAAAAAUUUAAGCUAUCAAGCUAAUGUAUGUAUGUAUGUAUGUAUGUAUGUAUGUAUGUAUGUAUGUAUGUACGUAUGUAUGUAUGUACGUAUGUAUGUAUGCUAAGUAUUCUCUUGUUGUCUGACUUUGUUGCUGAAAUCUUCAUUAAAGAUUAGAGCUCUCAUCAAUUUAUUCAACGAUGGAUGUGCUGAUUGAAUGGUGUCGACGAUGCUUUUAUGUAUCGAAAAUCUUAUAAAUCCGCAACAUCUUUUGAUUGGUGAAUGAUAAAGUCUUCUUAUUUGAUGGUACUUGUCAAAAUAAAUUAGUAAUUUCAUGUCAGCAAAUUUCAUUAUUGUAUUAUUGUAUAGUAUCUUAAGAAGUUCUAGUAAAUUAAAUUCGAAUUUGUAGUAAUACCUCCUGUCAUCGUGUUCUCUUUGCAUCAACAAGCCAAAUGGCGACAUAAAUCAAGAUCCAGGACCGACUCAAUCCAACUCAAGAUUCUCCAUACUGCUUAUUGAUUAUUUCUAUCUCACGAAUGCCACUGUCUUAUUCCAAAGAAAGGCAAUGAAUUCACCCGCUAUGUCUUCUGCAACAGCAUCUCACAAUGUACCAACAUUUCCAACUCUAUCUAAGAGAAGAGCUAACACAAUAAGCCCAUGAGAAGGGACACAAGCAGGACUAGACGUGCAAUACCGAGAGACGAGCCAACACUUGGCGGAGAUGUGGUCGCACCAGUGGUGGGGGAUGGCGGCGGUGGGGAUCCCGGCGGGCUGGAGGUCGGGCCGCUUGGAGGCUGCGUGACGGUGAUGGCCAGCUUUUGACCCUGGGAACAGUGGCCUGCGGUGGUGCAGAGGAAGUAAUAGUCGCCGGCGGUAUCCAGGGAGUAAUUAGCCGGAGAAGUGGACAGGACUGUGAAUGGGGAGUCGGUGUUGCAGGCGUCAUAGUCUUCCUUGGUCACGUCCCCAACGUCGUUGUCGCUCGAGUCGAAAUCGAACACUGCCCCAAAAAAAGGGAAAAGAAUUGAAGGAUCAGGAGCAUCAAAGAGUGAAAGCUUAUCGAUCAUGGUCAACGCAAGUACCCCAGAUCAGGGGCAGAGAUGGAUUGGUCUGAUCACAUUCAAACCUUUCAUUUCUUGACAUGUUGACCAGAUCUAUGCUCAAACGUCGUAUCACUUUCUGAUGAGAGAUCUACUUACAAAACAAGCUCAAAAGGUGCACGAACUGAAAUUGCCAUAGUUCUGGAUCUUCUUCUUCGACAUAAAUUUAGAUAUCAUGCAUACUUUGCACUCAUAAAUAUACAUCAAUUCAAAAGAUUAAUGUCGGGCGAGAACCGAUUUCCAACUCACCUAGAAUGUCGCCGACCUCGAACGUGUGUUGGCUCGCCCAGUCGGAAUACGUGCCGGCACUAGAAGGGAUCUUCCAUCCCUCAGAACCUCCCACAGUGUAAUUCGUCGCCUCGGCGCACGAUAAAAACGCGACCACAACCCCGAGCAGACAGGCUGUAAUUUUCGCAUCGGCCAUUUUCAGCUUGGCUCGUGUUGCGAUUUGAAGCCCAGGUCGCCCCCCAAAAAAGACUCUGUAGCUCCUUGUUUUGUCAAGGGGGUGAUUUGAAUCCUGAGAUCAUACAGGUAACAGGCUGCAUUGAGGCACAUGAAUUGAUUGGCCUUGACUGAUUAUCUUAUUUUCCGCGCAGUCGGUGAUGGAGUUUGGGAUUGAAAUAUAAAGUCAAAUAUGCACGCACUCACACUAGAGUUCUGAUGCAGUUAAAUUAUUAUUAUUUUCAGCGAUUUUGAAUGGAUGGCAUCCUCUCUCUCUCAAUAUUUUUCAUAAGUGGCUUGAGCUCAAUUGGGUUUGGGCCCAAAAGACAUGGAAAGCCCACACUGGCCCAUACAUAUUCAAGGAAUUAAAAAUAUCUUUAAAACAGUUAAGAGUAAAAAAAGAGUUUAGAUGGAAUUAAAUAUUCAUGUUCAAAUUCAAAAGAAAACUUGCGGAAGGCAACAAACACCGGAGGGACAGGAUUCGGAAAAGUGGCUAAGAGUAUAGCGAAUAAGCUCAACUGUCUUUAAUUUUUACGAUUAAUAUCACAAAAAAAAAAAUUAUGCAAAUUGUGAUACAAAAUAUCCCAAUUUUUUUAUAUCAUCAAAAACCCUCAACUUCCCAUUGUGAUACAAUUAUAUCAUUUUUUUUUUUGGUGAAAAGGUAAGUAUUAUCAUUUUUUUUGGUGUCAUAAAAUAUCAUAAACUUACAUCAGUGUGAUAAACAUACUAUGAUAUAAUUGAAAUAGAAGGUAUAUGUUUUACAUAUAUAUGCGUUUGGGUUUUUUUGUAACAUAAAAAAUAUAGAGGGAAUUGUGUCACAAUAGACAAGUUUAAGGUUUUUGGUGAUCCAAAAAAAAGUUCGGAGUAUUGGUAAUACAGUGGACAUAAUUUAGAAUUUUUUUGGUGGUAUUUAUCCUUACUUUUAAAGUAUAUUGUGUUAAUUAUAUGGUGAUUGCAUGCUUGGGUCUUAAAACAAAAUUAAUAAUUAGGUUUUAGCAACAACAAAAGGGGAGACUUUGACAUCGGGCCGGGCUUAAACCUGCUCUCACCUGAUAUAUAACUAAUUUUCAUUUUGAGUCCAUCCUGAGAUGAUUCAGGUUUGAAAAACUCUAGCCUGAAACUUUAUGUCGUGCCUAAUGAGGGACAAAAGAUUGGUCAACUCGGUGCGUGAAGUGCCGCAACCGUCAAUGGGUCCUAUUGAGAUUGUGGCCGACGAUUUCGAGUUGGCACUGGUCAGUCCAAUGUAGCGACAAACUAUUUUGAGUAAGCGCUAAUUUGUUAGUCCAUUAAUUACUAUUUGCGUAAUAUCCAAAUCACAGAUAUUGCCCUAUGCAAUCACACAUGAUAUGGAAUCGAAUACUUCCAUCUUAUUUUUGUUUUUUGCUGCAAAUAUAGGUAUAGACAAAAUGGAUGUCCUGUAGUUGGCUCUCACAAUUUCGAAAACGCUUGCACCACAUAUGGACUAUAAAAUGGGGAAUGCAUGGAAAUCAACAUGACUUGUGUUUAUUACAUUGCCCAAUUUAGAUUGAUAAUUAUCAUAUAUAAAUCUGUGAGAAAAUUACCAAAAAAAUUUUAAACAUCAAUCAUAAAUAUUUCAAUCUAAUCAAUUUAGUCCUAACCCUCUCGACAAUUUGCCAAUGUAAUCCAUCCAACUAAUUUUGGAUAAAAAUCACUAAUGUGAACUCUGGCCAUUCUAUAUAACACGAUCGGCAUUGAUAUAGGGAUUUUUACAAAAUUUUUAAUAUUUUAUAAUUUUUUGUUUUCUUGUUUUUCUCUUUUUUUUUUCUUUUCUUUUUACCCUUCUUCCUCCACUAGUUGCUGAGCCUCUGCGAUGGUUGGCAAGGCUUGCUCUUGCCAGAUUUAGCAAGAGUCAGCCUCACUUGCUAAGUAGGGCUCACUCUUGUAGGGGCGAGGUCGUUUAAGGCUGGCGAGGAUUGACGUUACUGGCUUUAGGCGAGGCUUGACAAAGGUUGCCCCUCACCAGCCUCGAGCGUCCAUGCAGGAGGACUGGUGUUGACUAGGUUGCCACGUUAGCACUUUCCAACUAAAAUUGGUCGAAAAAACUAAAUUAACAAAUUGUUAAAAAGUUUAAGACUAAAUUAGCCUAUAGCCAAAAGGUUGAUAACUAAAUUAAAAGAUUUAUGAUUGAAUUAACUGCCGUAUAAUAGGUUAUAAUUAAAUUAGUACAAUUGAGAACUCGGUUAGCCACCACACAAUAUAUUUAGGAUUUUUUGGAUAAUUUUUUUAGUUAAUUUUUUUUAUCAGAAAAGGUAAAAUCUUGUUAAUCUCAACUACUGAAAGAUGUUAAAAUCAAAUCUUCUAAACGAGUAAUAAAAGAGAACAUGUUAACCAUAUCGGUAAGAGAAUCUUUCUACGACUUUUUUUUUAUCCAAGAUGGAUCUUUCUAUAAAACUAGUUCUUUAAAUAGAUCUCUCUUCAAACUAUUUCCCAAACUAGAGUUUCCAUGCCACAUCAUGCUUUUAGGUUGCUUGUCAUCAUGCCUUCAUCCGAGUCACUUCUACAUCUCGCCUCGAAUUAAUUUUUAGCAUGUUGCACAACCUUUCUUUUUAAUAUAUUUAUCACAAAUAUUAAAUCUGAAGAAGAGUUGCUCACAAUCAACCAAGUUUAUUUUAUAGAUUUGUUACUCCACAAAUGUAAUAAUUUAUUAACUUUGAAUUCCAAAUACAAUUUACAAGUGUGAUUUUCUCAUUUGUAAACGGCUAAAAACAAAUGUACAUUGCAAGUAAAUUUACAUACAUUCGUUUUAUCACAAGUUUGACUAGAAUUUAAAAAUAAAUAACUAUACUAUAUCUGAUCAAUAAAACUAAAUUUUUAUCCCUUAAGUUUAACAUUAUGUUCACUCAGGAAGAUUGGUCUUAAAACACCAAUUCACUUUAUGGAAAGAUUACCUUGCAAUUAAAAAAUAUUCUAUUUUAUGUGAAACUUAUAUAUGGUUAAGUUAGCUUAUUCCCACUUAAAAAAAUGGAGACAUGGAAUGAAAGCAUCACUGAGAAAAUUAAACUGGCAUAACAAAUAGAAGUUAAAUAAAAAUUCCAUUCAAUAAAAAUAAAUUGUAAUCCCUUAAGUAUAACACAAGUUUCAUUCAGAAAGAUUGCUCUUAAAAUAUCAACUCACUGUAUGGAAAGAUUACGUUGCAAUUAAAAGAUAUUCUAUUUAAGGUGAAACUAUUUAUGGUUAGGUAGGUAGCAUUAUUCCCACUUAAAAAAAAAAAAAAGAAGAAACAUGGAGUGAAAGAAUCACCAUGAAAAUUAAACUGGCCAUAGAAACUGGUCCAUUUCUAAAUUUUCAUGUGUUAUCGACUCCAAAAAAAUUGGAUCCCGAUCCUUGAUCAGGAAUAGGUAAAUUUCUAUAAUUUAGGUUUUAUGUUAUGUGUUUUGAACUUUUUAUUAUUUAUUUAAUAUUACGUGUUCAUCUUUAAGGAUUUAUGCUAUUGACAAUUGGAGAUUCUUAUUGUUGCAUUUAUUUUCAUUUUGUUUAACUAAAAAAAAGAAUAAAAAAUGAAACAAAAAAAAAAUAAGAAAAUGAAGUUGGCCGAUUCCCAAGUAUAUCUUAGAGCUGACCCUUGAAAACGGAUUGAUAAGGUAGGUUCAGGGUUUCGGGAUAGGCAAGGUACGUUCUAGAUCUAAAAAAAUCAGGGAACCAAUUCCAAUAGGGUAGGUUACCAAUUCCAAGUUUCAAGUGGUACCUGAAUCGACCCUAAAACCGCUCAUCACUAGCUAAUAGAUAAAUGGGAGGUUUGAUUGUGGGGGUUGUUCUUAUUUUGCCCAAAAGAUUUGUUUAGGAGCAUAUUGUGAAUUGAAAUCAUGGGGAGUAGUUCGUAAUCAUUUCUACUAACUUAAAGCCCCAGUCGCCAAUCCCAAUAGCUUACCAAAAACAUAGGGUCUCAUUUUGGGUUGGGUUGGGUUGGGUUGGGGGGAGGGGCUAUGAUUCUCUAUGUUUAAUUGAGCCUUUUUGUUCACUUCUCACUAUUUGAAUUUAUUUUAUUACAUGCACAUGUUAGCUUCUUUUUCUUUAUUUUUGCUAGAAGCAUAUGUUUGUUUCUUCCAUAACAAAACAUGUAACUGUGUAACUGUGUAACUGUAAGAGUGUUUCUAAUGUGGGCUACAUUAAUUAUAUUAUAAUUUAUUGUUUUAUGGGGUUAGUCUAAGGUGAGAUAGAAAGCUUUUUUUAAUUAGUCUAAUAUAGAGCUGGCUAAUGUGGGCCGAGUUGAACCUAGCCUGCAAUGAGAGGAUUUGGAUGGAAACUCUAUAAAUAGUGCUCAAGCUUAUUCUCUAAUUCUAAUUCUCAUAAUUAUCCUCAUAAAUGAGUGUUUACUUAGCACUAAAGGGUGAGAGGCUAUUUCAUUAAGCCAGUGAUACAGAGGGCAAUAGAGGAGAAGGACUUGCACUUGGAUCAUCGCUUUUCCGCUUCCGCAUCAAGAAUGAUAGAUUCCAAAACAUGUGCAUUAAUGUUUCUAUUCGAUUAUAUGUGUGUUCUUGUUCUAGUUAUGGAGAUCAUGGAUUGCACGUUUUAGCGUCUAACAGUAACUGUCAUCCUUGGCUGAUUUUUUUUCUUCUAUUUUUAAUUUGAGGCAAUAUAUUAAACAUGUUAACAAAAUAGAUUCUAGUUUAGAAAAAAGAAAAAGCAAUUCGAUGUGACGAAAUAUUAUGUAAAAAUAAAAUUGGUCAAAGUCAUGUUCUUGUAAUUUAGUCGGUUCAUAAUAUCCAGCCAACGAUCACAAAUACCAUUAACAAAAUGAUAAUCUUUACUAAAAGCUAAGAAAAAUAAGAACGUCAACUUAAAAUAAAAAGUUUAACAAAAAAAUGAGAUAAAAAGUAUCACCCUUUGGCUAGAAUUUCUACAUGUGCUAUGUAAAAUGUUGCAAAUUAUAAAAUUAAAGAGAGUGAUAAAAGUGACUUGGGUGAGAGGGUAACCUUGAUUGAAGUGGUAAUAAGGCUCAGACUUCCCGCACUUUACGUUUUAUGUUGCAAAACUUAAAGUCAAACUACACUUUUAGAAGGCAGAUUGUUAGAAAAGUCCUAAACCUAUUGCAAUGAUGUUAAUUUAGUUUUAAACCUAGUAUAAUAGUGCAAAUUUAGUCCAAAACCUUUUUGACCUAGUGCCAAUUUAUUCUUCCAACUAAUACUGACCGAAUAUUGUUGACAUGGAUAUCGAUUAGCUAAUGUGAUACAAUCAGCACUGAUGUAGGCAACUUUCAGUAAUAGCUAAAUAUUUUUUUUGAAUUUUUAUUUAUUAUUAUUUAUUAUUUUCUUAUCCUUUUUGCUUCUCCUCCUUCUUCCUCAAGCCGGUUGUUGGACCUUGGCAAUUGGCUAAAGGUGAGCGCCAACAAAGUUAAGGUCGAACUUGCUAGCCACUAGUAGCCCUCGCCAAAGGCCAUGAGGGCGGCCGCUAUUGACCUAAACUUUCCUAGUUCCGAAGAUGCCUUGUUCAUUUUGGUGGAUAAUGAUUAGAUUUCCUACAUCUAUGUGCUUGAGCCCUUGUCGAAUAUGGCGAGGCUUAAGCCCUUGCCAGAGGCCGUGAGGUUGCCUGUGAGGGCUUGAGUCCUAGCUAGCCUAGUGUGAGACCACCCUCACCAAAGGCUGGGUGAGGCUUGACCCUCGCUAGAUCCGAUGAGAGCGAGCCUUGCCGACUUAGCACAAGGCCCUCCAUGCAGCCUUUGGCGAGGGCUGCUAGUAGCCAGUUCCCAAGGUCUAGUGACUAGCUAGAGGAAGAAGGAGGAGAAGAAAAAGGAAAAGAAAAAAUAAAAUAAUUUUUUAAAAAUAUUAAAUAUUAUCAAAAAUUGUCCAUAUUAGCAACAAUUGUGCCAUGUCAGCCAACCGACAUCUACAUUAACAAUAUCAAAUCAAAAUUAGUCAGAACGGCUAAAUUGACAUUAAUAAAAGAUUUAGAACUAAAUUUGUGCUAAUGUAAUAUAUUUAGGACUUUUCUAAUACUUUUCCCCACUUUUAUACUAUCAUGGGGAUUACAGUGAUGAGAAAAACGGAAGUUGGGAUUUAGUUCAACGGAUAAGGCACGUAGCAACUUCUACAUCUCAUUGGGCAUUUGAAAAUAAAGUAGAAAGAUCGGGAAAAAUAUAAGACGAGGUUUUGAGGAUGACAUGACAAUUGUUUUAUGGGUGUCUACAAUUGUCACGAAAAAAAUAUUUUGUUUGUCCUAUUUCUUAGACCAUGACAUCAAGGAUUUCAUGAUUUAGGCAAGUUUGGUUUCGUGUACGUAAUGUGGCAUAAGUCCAUGACAAAAACCCAAGUUCUCCAUUUUGGUUGUGUUUUUAUUAAAUGAAUAAAGGCUGCUGUAAUUUCUUCCUGGUCAAUUAAAUAAAGCCGGAUUUUAAAAAUUGUUGUUGCCUGCUUUCACUUAUUUGAAUUUGCCUCUUCAAGAAGGACUCGUAUGUAUCACUUUUGCCGUUCUGCACAAACCAACUCGAAUUAAUAUCCGAUAAAGCCAGUUUUCCUGUUCCGAGGAAUAUAUAACGAUCCGAGUUAGUUAGAAUAUAUUAAGAAUUUAAUCAACUCGAGGCCAUAUUGGGGUAAACAGUCUUAUGAGAAGAAAGCAAGGCUACUCUAUAUUUCAUCCUUCCAUAUUUAUGCUUUGAUUUUCCAGGGUACUGCCUUAAUACUCAAAUUGGGAAGGAGGGGAAGAGGAGGAAAACCAAGUAAAUUUUUGUAACUUUCGCGAGAAGAAGUGAGAGGGAAUUCAAAAUUCUUCUCUCUUCCUUUACUCGAUGUAUCCAAGCAAAGUAGCUUUUCCUUUAUCACGACGGUGCAUGCUUGCUAAAUAGGCAUAGGGCAAAUUAUGCGUUGUUGCUAACAUAGGGUUCAUUAUCAAUUGAAUUCAACUACACAUUAAUUUUAUUCAACAAAUGCAUGGAACUACACUUGACUUCCAAUUGACGGGCAUCGGCCAUUAUCCAAAACAUGCUCCGGUGAACAAUCGAUGUGUCUGUUUAUGUAACAAAACAUGCCAUGGAGAGAAACAUGUUGAAUUGACCCUUGUAAGGCUGAGAUAUCCACGACCUAGCAACUUAGUCAUCUAGAUACUAUCUAUUCCCCUCUCCUCUAGCUUGUGCUGUCUAUUUGUUUUAAAAGGAGGAGGAUAUGACAGCACAAAUGAGAUUAUAGACCAACUAAUGGAGUAGUUUAAGAAAGCAAGGGGUUCUACCAAACACAGCUUGCUUCGAGACCAAAGGGAAUAAUGAGGGGGAUUUUGGGCCUUAGUCGUGGAUCCUCUUUUGUGGGUCUGAUCCUACGGCUUUUGCGCUUUCUUGAAUGACGGAGAAUCAUAAUAACAUUCAGGUUCCCACGUCCACAAAACGGAACAAUGUGAGCAUAGCAUGGAGGUGAUGAGGGUUUCAAGGAAGCUCACUCAAAAUCCCGAUGGAAGUUUCUUGCAUCUUAUGGGAGCAAUUUCAUGGUCACUUCAUGACACUUUUCUGGUGCGAUUUGCCAAGUGAUUUUCGUGAAAGGUGACAUGAAAUUGAAACUGAAAUCAGCUGAAUGUCUAACAUUCGAAAGAAACUAAGCACUUGAAUAGAUCUAUUAUCAUCCAAAAUAAAACCCAAUGUUAUUUCAUUAUUUAAAGGGUUAAUACAUUGAAAAACUCCAAAUUGGUACACAUGUGACAAAUUUACCCUAAACUUUUUUUUUUACCACCAAAAACCCCAAAUUAGUAUAUUUUUGAUAAAUUUAUCCCAAAUUGGUAUACUUGUGAUAACUUUACCCUCUAUUAAUUUUUGUUAAAUUUACAGUCAAAUUAUUAAGUUAAAUUACACGUAACAGUUAACCGGUAUACAAAUUUGGGAUUUUACGCUCUAUUUAUCACAUUUUACAAUUUUGUGAUUUUUUUUUAUGGUAUUAAUCCAAUUUAGCGAAGAGUAUAUUUAUCACAAAUUUACUAGUUUGGGAUUUUUUGCAAUCGAAUAAAUUGAUUUGGGGUAAAUUUGUUAUAAAUGUAUCAGUUUAAGGUUUUUUUUAUGGUCAGUCGGUGUAAAUUUGUCAUAGGUAUACCAUUUUUGGAUUUUUCAUGGUCAAAAAACUAAUUUGGGGUAAAUUUGUCACAUGUGUACCACUUUGGGGUUUUUCAAAAUAUUAACCCUUAUUUAAAUAGGCAAGGCGAGAUAAUAGUUUCAUUAACAAGGGUUAGGUAAUGGUCCAAUUUCGAUUUUCAUUUUUAGCAAGCAAUUCCAUUCCAUAUAUGAAGUGAUAUUGUAUUUGUUUGUGUAAACAGUUAUCUAGAUAUAGUUGCAAUCUCUUUAUGUAAAAACCCUUUUUUGAAAAUCUCAAAAGUUUAUUGGUUGACGUAGGACAAGUUGCCAAUAGUUUCCUAAAAUUAAUUGAUCAGCAAAUGAAUAGAGUUUAGCACAACAUUUAUCAAAGUGAAUAGAUAAAGGUCAGCCGCUACGAGUGAGAGCUACGGACAAUCUAGCAUAAAUCAGGUUGACAAGGAUUUUUCAUAGGAGUGCCAUGGGGUUUCAUUACAAAUACCGGUGAAGAGCAGAUGUUGAAAAUGCAUUUGUCCAGUCCUUUAAGUUAGCUUUGGAACUGUUCUUGUCAAUCCUCCACAACCUCUACCGAAAUUCACUACUCAAUCCCAAAAAUUCUCUGCCCAGCCACACCAAUUUUCCCAAAUUUCUCGCGUAGCUUGUGCUUCACACUACGUUACACUUCCGUUUUCGCAUGCGGCAACGUAAUCGUGGUGUCUUGCUCGCUUCACCUUCCCAUUACAUUUCCCUAAAGACUCCAUUUAUUAAUGGAAAAGCAAGUCAAGUCAAAUUGUGCUUGAUUUCAAAGUUCAAUAAAAGCACCUGUGUAGGUGGCGCGCACCUUCCGUAUGAUGCUAACGAAAUUACGCGUUCAAGCACGCAUAGUAGAAAAAGCAAGGACUAGGAGCAUCUUUAUUGCAAAUGGGUUUUCUUUUUCAUUUUUUUGUUAAAAUAAAAAGCAAGUAAAGUCAAGAAGCACCUGCAGAGGUUCCCCGCAACUUCCUCAUAAUGAUGUGAAUAUUACGCGUGCAAUGACUCAGCAUUCAUGGAGGACUCUGCAAUCAGUAUUCUUCAAGCAUGAAGCUUAAUACCGUGCAAAAGAAAAAUGCACUUUGGUGGAGAAGCCAUUGGCUGAAAAUGUUAUUAACGAAAUAAAAAGCUAAACACCAAAUGAAAUGAAAAAGUAAUUGAUAUUCACUAAAUAAUUAUUCCAUGGUGCAGAGAACCCAUUGGCCAAGACUUUCUAAAUGUGACACCGAAUGUAUAAACCCGCAAUUCCACCAACUCAAGAGGAGCCAACUAUAAUGCCUUGUAGGUCUAUGAAAAGGAAAAAAAGAAGAUUGGCGGAAUCACCUCAUGUACUUAAUUAGAUGGAUUUAAUAUAAUGCUGAAGCUCAAUUAGUUGUUGAUUAUGCAAACAAAAUCAUCAUAAUUUUCUAACUUGCCUAAAUAAGGACUAAGAAAAACCACCUGUAUUAUCAAUUGACUAUCAGUUGCCUCGAUAAUUCUCAUAUACUUACAUUCUCCUAUCAUUAUUGAUAUAUCAAAUGCCUGAAUAUGCUUGUAGCUCCAUCCAAAUUUGGAAACAGAGUCUCGCCCAAAUCCAGUCUUUCGUAGAAAGUGUGCACUAAUCUUCGGCCGACCUCACUCCGAGCUUCAGCAUUGCUCGCUGCUUUUCUUUCCAAUUCUUCGUUUACUUGGAAAAAGCAAGUCAAGUCAAGGUGCACUUGCAUAGGUAGCUUCAAUGCACCUUCUGCAUAAUGUCGCAGAAAUUAUGCCUACAAUGGUUUCCCUUUGGUUUUUAUUUUUUAAUUGCUUUAAUAAUAGAAAAAUAAGUCAACUUGAACUCGUGCUCAGUUUAGAAAAAAAAGCACCCGCAUAUGCUCUAUGCCCCUUCCGCGCAAUGCCGUGAAAAUUCUGCAUGCGAUAAUUACGCUUUUCGUGCAGCAUGCAUCGCAAUCGCAGCGGUUCGAUUAGUGGGAGAUUCUCGGACCGUUGGAUGGCAAGAACUCAGCAUUGUUCAAGCACACAUAGUAGAGUGUUGUGAUGUCAUAUCUCUGCCUUGCUGACACUAGAUGUGUUCGAUAUUGACUAGUUUUGAUAUUUCUCUCGACUCUUGGAAUGUAUGUGAGUAAUACAGCAAGAAGCUUGAAAUAUGGAGGAGGAUGUUUUUCUUCGAGGACUCUUAUCAAAUUUCAGAUUGGCUGGAAGUUCUCAAUACAUGGUCUCUUCCCAUUUUCAAUUGACUAUUAGUUCCAAGUCGCAACCUAAGAUGAUUUCUUUGUCUAAUUUAUAUUCGCUUUUAUCUUCUAACUGGUGAAGCAUAGAAAACAUCAUAUUUCCUAUCAAUCUUGACAUUUGAUUGAUUUCAUCAAUCAUUUAUCAUUUCAAAUCCCUUAUUCUUAUCGGGUUAUAGAUUGAAAUGGGAAAUGAGUGAUUCCUAUGAAAACCAUUAGUUCUUGAACUUUAAUUCGUUUCGUGGAACAUGUUUGAAUGGAACAACAAAAAUAUGGUUCACUUCUUAAGUUUUCGAUUAUACUUUAAUGGGGAUCUCCAAGUCUAGUAAGUAUCAUACGUAUCGUGACUCUCAUGGAAGUAUGAGAAACAACUUGAGUGAAAAGUCAUGAUCUCUUCUUCACUUCAAAAGCUAUUUACUUCAUUGAUAUCGGUGUGUAGAGCUUUAGAUACUUCAUUUCUUAUAAUGUUUUGCAAAUUAAGUGUACAAAAAGGCCUAUGUUGAAUACAAAAGUCCAAAAUUUACAUCAACUCAAAUAAUAUAAAAGAGAAUAUGCACAAAUAUGAAUUAAAUGAUUAGAAACGUCAUGUGGGAUGUGUUUUCAAUUAUACACUUGAGUUGAAAGAAUGUUUAUACCUAUAAGUAAAGAAGUGAGUUCAUGCUCUUAGGAGGAUUUAUAAACUAAGCUGGUUGUCAGAGCAGCAAAAGUAGGCUAAUAUUAUAUAGCUAUAAUACACUAGGUGUCUACGUAAUCACUUCUUGUUGUCAUGUUUAAUUCAAUUCUUCUCCAUUUAAUACCUUCAGUUUUUCAAAUCACAUCUUCUAAUGCUAAAUAAGCUAAUAGUGAAUCCUCCUCUAUUGUGCUGCAAAAAAUUGUAUUUUGGUGAAGAACAUGUUGGCGGAGACUGUCAACAUUAAAUAAAAAGCCUGACUAAAGAUGAUCAUAAAAGGGGAAAAAAAGUAACUGAGUAACCAUUCGAAUUCCGAGAGUUGUUAGCUUAGAAUUUAUUAACGCAAGACCAAGAGAAUAAAAUUUAUGGAAUAUGUUGAAAACUAUUAAUUUAAGGGGAGAGAUAAAAGUGGCUUGGAUAGAGGAUAAUGAUUUGAUAAUUUUAAGCAAAAAGUAAUAUGGAGAAAUCUAGUUUAACAAAAUUAUUUUGAAAAAGAUUUAUUUGAAAGUUACUUUUCUAGAUAAAUAAAAAAGGAAAAGCCUCUUGCAGACUUUUAAUAACAAAAUCCUGUAUAAUCCCCCGAUUUAUACGCUCGUCUGACUCAUGUAAAUUAGCGGUAUAUAAGAGAAUGAAAGCAAGUCCAGUCAAGUCAAGUUUAGCCAGUCCUGGAUCUCUCAAAUUUCAAUGAAACCGCGUGGAUAGGUUCGAAGCACCUUCCCAGUAAUAUGGUGUGAAUCGUGGAGAUCACGGCAGGAGCAUGUGAGUGUUGCUCGUCAGUUCUCUUUUCCACUUUUUCUUAUUAAUAUAAAAAUCAAGUCAACUCACGACGCUGCAGAGUAUUGCGUGUAUGCAAGUCAAUGAUGCCACUUCGACCCAAAAAAAGAAAGAGAAAGUCAUGAUGCUGCGGAAAUUACGCGUGCAAUGAUUAUUCUUUCCGUGGCAUGCCUCACAGCGGUUCGAUUAGCAUGGAGAGUUUUGGACCGUUGGAUGGCAAGAACUCGAGCAUUGUUCGAGCACGCAUAUAAAAGAAUUUCAUGUGUUGGUAAUCCUACUUCGAAGGCUGAAAAUCGGUGUUUGAGCACUCCUCAGGUAGUCAACCGACUCCUUGCUCUUGUCUGUUUCCUAUUUUGAUUGCUCCAUUUUCUUCUGAUUAAGCAAGGAGUGUGAGAGUUCUUUUGUUUUCGUUUGAAUUAACUGAGUCAUGAAAGACAUUUGUGCGAUUCGCAGAUCUGGACCGUGAAGGCUGGCUUUCUUUUAAGGCUCUGCUUGAUCAAUCUCUUAUUUUAUAACAGAAUAAGAAUCUCGUUGGUCAAUCACUCCAUGAUGUACAUCCAUUCAAGAAAAAGGAAAUUGUUCUUUCCGUUCUCUUCCUGUCUCUCCAAUUCCUUUGUUUUCUCGUCACUUCAUUUCCCUUUCAACUUAAAUUGCCAAUCGAAUUGUAAAAGAAGAAAACUCACUCACUCAGAAGAUCCGAAUUCCGGGGUGUCUUCCUCAUUGACUGCUCCGCAUGGAAGAGAUCAUGAAAGGGGAGAUGAACUGCUUAUGAAGUGUUCUUGAACUUUAGAGGGAAAGACACUCGCAAAGGUUUCACCGAUUAUCUCUAUAAUAGCCUUGUCAAUGCAGGAAUUCACGUGUUCAAAGAUGACAAUGAGCUCUGUGUUGGUGAGGAGAUUGGUCCGGAGCUUCUUUGCAGCAUUAUGCAGUCCACGAUCUCAAUCUCAAUUAUCUCCGAGAACUAUGUUUCCAGCAAAUGGUGCCUUCGUGAGUUGGUUCAGAUGUUAAAGUGCAAGAGGAGUAAAGGGCAAAAAGUGUUGCCCAUAUUUUACAAAGUGGAACCCCACCAAGUGCGACAUCUCACGGGGAGAUUGAGAAAAGCUAUCGAUGCACAUAAAAAGAAUACGGAGGAAAUGGUUGUGAAGGAAUGGGAAGAAGCACUCAAAGAAGUCAGCUCCUUGAAAGGAUGGGAAUCGGAGAAAAUUGAUAAUGGGUACCUUAUUCUCCAACAAAACAUUGUUUAAUUAUUCAUAAAUAGAUCUUUUUUCAAAAAGAAUACACAUAUUGCUAUCCUAUAAUAAUAUUCAUUGUUAUUUGACAGGCAUGAAGGAACAUUGGUUAAAAUUGUUGUCACAAAAGUUCUAAGCGAGUUAAAAGGAACAUUUCAGCUAAUUGUUCCCCAACAGUUGGUUGGGAUUGAUGAUCAUAUCGAACAUAUUAUGAGCUUGAUAGAUGCUAAAUUCAAUGGUACAUGGAUUAUCGGCAUUUAUGGAAUGGGUGGCAUCGGUAAAACGACUCUUGCAAAGGUAUUAUACAACAAGUUCUUUGGUCAGUUUGAGAUUCAUAGCUUUGUGGCAGAUUGUCAAGAAGCAUACCAGCGUAAGGGUAUUAAAUGCCUACAAAGGCAGCUCAUAUCUAGCGUAGGAAGUCCAUGUGAUGUGUCUAAUGUGGACAAGGGGAUCCAUCUUAUCAAAUCUCGAUUUGCACAUAAGAAAGCACUCAUUUUUCUUGAUGAUAUAGGUGAUAGUGCUCACUUGAAAUAUUUGGUCGACCGUAAUUGGUCUAAAGUAGGAAGUAUAAUCAUCAUAACAACUAGAAACAAGGAUGUUCUUGACCAAGCUAGUGCAAAUCACACGUACCAACUCAAUGAGUUGUCUUUUGAUCAAUCAUUGAUUUUAUUCAGUAGACAUGCCUUUCAAAAGGAUUAUCCUCCAAGUGAUUAUGAAGAUAUCUCUCGUGAUGUCGUAUCUAUUACUGGGGGGCUCCCAUUAGCUAUUGAAGUUAUAGGUUCAUUCUUAUGUAGAAAGAGAGAAAACGUAUGGAAAGAUACGUUGAAAAAAUUAAAGAAAGUGCCCUAUGAGAAAGUGCGAGAGAAGUUGAAAAUAAGUUACGAAGCAUUAGAUUAUAAUGAGCAACAAAUAUUUUUGGAUAUAGCAUGCCUUUCCCCCGUAACACGAUAUGCAACUUAUAUGUGGGAUGAUUGUGAUUUUUACCCUGGGAUGGGGAUUGAAGUAUUAAGUCUUAUGUCCCUAAUUAAAAUUCACAAAUAUGGAUUGCUAUCGAUGCAUGAUCAAUUGAAAAAUCUUGGAAGGGAAAUUGUUUAUCUAGAAAAUCCAAGGGAGCCUCAAGAGCGUAGCAGAUUGUGGACCUAUGAGGAAGCCCUAGAUGUGCUUGACAAUUGCAAGGUAUGAGUUUUCUCUACUUUUCUUAGUUAGUGCAUGUGGGUCCAUCUUCCAUUUCUUGUUUGAAAUAAAAAUAAGUAUCAAUCUUGAGUCCCCAUGAAUUGCUGCUUCUCUAAGCAAAAGAGCUUUUUUGAUUAAUCAUUGUUUUUGCCUGAUUCUAGAAAUCUAUGGUAAAAAUGAGCAAAAUUUAGAUGACUAGUACUUCAUUGUAACAAAAUCAACACGAAAAUGAAAAUAUAGCAUCAAACAUCUGUAGCAAUAAAAAGAAUCAUAUAUAGAAUGUUUGUAAUUAUCAGUUUUCCUUCCACGUAUAAUGAAAAACCCUCAUCGAAGAAAUACAUGAUAAGAAAGGAACGUAAAACACAUGCAUACCUUUUGUGAUGACAUCCUCGUUUUCAUUUUGAUAUUGACAAUUGCAAACAAAGUAAACACCAAAAAAGUGAGGAAAUUCUACAAUUGAUAGGAGUAAAGGAAGUGUUAUUUCACAUACAUAAGGGCGUGAAUUUUGAUAAAUAUAUUUGAAUUACUAUAUACAUGAAGAGGCCUUCCAUUGUAUUUGCAAAUGGAUGCAUAUUUGGAAAUUCAGAAGGUGCAAACUGCGAAUGGUAUAGGUGGAUGAGGACAAAGUUUUGGAGACAAUCGCUUGAGCUUCUCAUCUUUACAUAUAUUAGAUAAAUAAUAUGCAGCUACAACCUUUCAUUUCACAAGAAUGAAAGGUAGAAGCCUACGGCAUAGUAGUAUGACAGCAAAUCAAAAUCAAUGCAUUUUAUUUUAUUUCAGUUGGUCUCAUCUCAUCAUUCAAAACUUAUGGUCUACAAUGUUUCCAAAAUGUAGGGCACCGGAAAGAUUGAGGUCCUUUCUCUUGGCAAAUAUGGUGAGGGAAGAACAUACGCAGCCAAAAAGUUUAAAAAAAUGACCAAGCUAAGGUUCCUUCAAGUGGAUGGUGCUAAUUUCACUGGAGAUUUCCAAAGCUUACUUCCUGAGUUAAGAUGGCUUCAGUGGAAGGAGUGUCCCUCGAAUUUCACUGCGAACAACUUUCAUCCGAAAAAACUAGUUGUACUCGAUCUAAGAAAUAGUGCCAUUUCGGAGGACUGGGGAGGAUGGGAUCCACUCAAGGUAAGACAUAAAGAAGGCAUUGAAGUAUAUUUUAACUCUAACAUUUUUUUCCUUGUACAUUUGAAACAUUGAUUUUCAUAAUUAAACUAGCCGUUUCUCUUUAAUUUCAUACUACUAAAGGAUAACAUGGUGCCCAAUGAUUGCAUCUCUCUUUCAUUUGGACUUGUCAUAUGCUUUUUUGAUAUUAUAAGUUGCUUAUGUCUAAUAAGCAAAUAUCUCCUUUGAAAUGUUAUUUGAAAGUAAUUGCAGUAAGUACUUGUACAUCCUUAACAUUCUUUUGCAAUUAAUAUGCUUAACAAACAUUUAUCUAUCGACGUGACCAAACACUACUAAAAGCGACAUUUAAAAUUAAAUAGGACAAUUGCAAAGGAGUAGAGGAGCACUGGAAAAUCUUGAGUACAUCCAUGUUAUUGAAGGAAAACAUGGUGCCAGUGAUUGCAUCUAUCCUUCAUUUGGAUUUGUCAUAUGCUUUUUCGAUAAUAUAAGUUGCUUAUGUCUAAUAAUCAAACAUCUCCUUUUAAAUGUUAUAUGGAAAUAAAUGCAAUGAGCACUUGUACACCCUAACAUUCUUCCGUAGUCAAUAUGCCUAGAAUGCAUUUAUCUGUUGGCAUGGCCAAACACCACUAAAAGAGACAUUUAAAAUUAAGUAGGACAACCGUGAAGGAGUAGAGGAAUACAUAAGGAGUAGCGAAAAAUCACAAGUUGUGAAGGUUCACUUACACUGACGUGCCCUUUCUUUCUUCCAGAUAGCGACUGAGCUCAAAGUUCUCACCCUCUCGAAGUGUCAAUUUUUGAAAAGAACGCCCGACUUGUCCACUUUCAAAAGGUUGGAGAUUUUGAAACUUGAAAAUUGUGAGAAUCUGGAAGAGCUUCAUCCUUCUAUUGGAAAUUUGGCAUCAUUGAUCAAGCUGAACUUAAGACGUACAUCGAUCAUGAAAUUAUCUGAAAGUAUUGGGAAUUUGCAAAGUCUAAGGGUCUUGGAUAUUGGUAAAACUGGCAUAACAGAAUUGCCUGAUGCUAUUGGAACGAUGGCAAAACUCCAAAAGUUGAAAGCUGAAUGUUGCAGAAAGCUGGAGCAAGUACCUAGUAAUAUAUGCAAACUGAUUUCGCUAAAGGAGCUCCAUCUUAAUUUAUGUAAGAAGCUUCAAGAAUUACCAGAACUGCCCCCCAACUUAACAAAACUAUCGAUCACUUGCCAGGGGCAGUCUUUGCCCCAUCUUUCCCAACUAACCCUUCUCGAGAUGCUCACUCUUAAUGGAUGCUGUCAGCUUGAAUGUGUCCCGGAGCUUCCCAUUGGACUAUCGCUGCUUCAUAUUUGGAAUUGUGGAAAAUUGAAAGCCUUGACGAAUUUGUCAGACUUGAAACACUUGCAAAAUUUCCAAAUUAUGGAAAGCCCAUCUCUCGAAGGAUCGCCCGACGUGUCGAAUUUUAGGCGUACGCAGAUGAGAGAACUUGGCUUGAAAGAGUCCCGGGGCUUGAUGCGGAGCUUAAUAUUCAAGCGUUCACCCCGCUGGUUUCCUAGGCCCGAAGAUUGAAGCCACCGUUGCCACCGCGCAUCCACCGCAGGCAGGUGGGUAGGUCGGUUUGCACGGCAGAGAUGACGACGGCGACGGCGACGGCGACCAGGCGACGCCACGGCUGACAACGCCCUCUCCAUCCGCUCCAGGUAAACACACCCACGCGUCUCUCGAGCUUUCCUGCGGUCUCUUAGCGUCGCUCCGGCGCGCGAGCUCAUUGAUUGUCCGGAUUGGAGAUUUUAGUUUGCUCAGUAGUAGGUAGUGCGGUAGUUUCGACAGCAAUCGGGUAGGCGGUUGGAGCUGGAAGUCGCGCUGGCUGCCAAGGUUCUGUCGAGAUUUGGUGAGAUCCGUCGAGUUGGUCACGAGCUUAGAUUCGCUGUUUUGAGCUGAGGCUAGCACGUACUGCUUAGUCAAAUUCCUGCAUUGCCGACGUUGUGAAAGCUCUAAAUUGGCUACGAUUGGAUGAUCGAUCAAUUGCAUUUGAUUAUAAAUGAGAAUGAGGUGUUGCCCUCAUCCUGAAUUAGAUUGGAUGGAAGAUUUAAUCGGUGGUUGUGGCAAGGCUGAAUAUACUUUCUAUACAGACUUGGGAGAAUCCAUAAGCUUUUCUCUGAUGUAAGAAUAACCUUUUAUUGGUGGAGUUGGAAGUGAGAUCUACCUUCAUGAGAGCUUGGAUUGGGGUAAAGGAAAGGUCUGCUGUGUGUCCAUAGACAGCAAUGCAGCACAAUACCAACAGCUUUGUACUGCAGCCAUCUUUUCUGGUUGGGGACGGAAUUCUUUUUUACAUGGUAGCACAUACCUCUUUACCUUUUUCUAAUUUUUUCAUCCUCCUGUCUUCUUCUUUUCAUUGCCAUUAUCUGGUGUUGCGUUUGUUUUAUUCUCUUCUUUACUCAUGACCUAGAUGCUUCUCUACUUGACUUUCUCUAGUAGGCAUGAGAGUUUCUUCAGUGAUGUGCUUCCGCUGUGGUGAUGCUCUUGCUUUUAUCUUCUACUUUUGAACUUCAUUCCCUUUUUUCAAAGAUAACACACGGGUGUUAGUGCAGAAGAAAAGAUAGAGAAUCUAUCACUUUAGACCUUAAUUUUCUGUUGUCUUAUGAUCAUUGAUCCAAAGUCCAAGUUCAAUCAUUUUCAGAUCGAUCUUAACAACCUUUACCUUAAGGGUUAGAUUUUAUACUGCAGGGAUUGCCUCCCAUGUGUGUACAAUCAUGUAGCUGCAACAUGCCAUCUAUGUAUAACUAUCUAAAAAAGGAAUGUGCUUGGCAUAUCGACAUGGGAAUGCAAGAUCUUAGGCCUAGUGCUUGUGGAAUUCAAUCUAAUAUUGUGGAAUCCUCUUGGGUUUCUCACCUUCUGUUUCUGGAUUCUCUCUCAUGAUUGCCCCAAAUUUUUACUUUUUGUUCCCCUAUUUAUUUAUGAAUCGCAUUACUUCUUUUUCAUGUCUAGUUCAGGAUACAUUUCAUGACAUAUCCUUUAGGGGGAUCUUAUACUGUUUUCAAGUUUUCAAUUGGCGGGGAUCCUCUUUAUAGAGAUACUUGUACUUGUAUUGUACCUUGCUAUUGUCCCUUUCGGUUCCCUUUUUGACAAUAUUAUCAUUCUAGAGUGACAAAUUUCCCAUGCUGUUAAUCAAAUAGCUCAAAUCAAAGUUUUUGUGGUGAUCUAGAUGUAAUCAAGUUGUUGACUUGAUUGAAUAGUGACCUAUGUGUUGCAUCUUUCUUAUGACAGGAUGCGACGGUAAUGGUGCAACAAGCUGUGCGAUAUGUUGACCAAACACUUGAUCUUGAGACCAAGAUAGAGCUUAUUAAGACACUUAACUCUGUUGCCGGUGGGAAGAUGAAUAUGUGAAAUUAAACUCUGGCGCAGCUUAUGUUCAUCAGCAAUCUGCUUUUAUUUAGUGAUUUCUAUAGCUAGUUUCAUAAUGCAGUUAUAUUUUGAAAUAAAGAGAGCGUGAUUGUUCAAGAAACUUGCAAAAAUAAAGGAAGAACAUGGUCUUCUAGCAGUACUGAUUUGAUGCAAGAAAUGGGGGUAACUAGAAGUUAACUUCUAUUCUCACUGAUCUUGUAAUUGGUAUUUCCUUGUCCUACAUUCCUAUGACAGUUUGAAAUGCAGGUAGGAACUUUUGGAGCAAAGGCAAAGACGGAGAAAAUUGCCUUUAUUUUUUAACAAGUGCGGGUUUUUUGUAUUGCUUUUAGCCAUUCAUGCAUUAUUACUAUGAUUGGUUUUUCUGAUCGAUGGAUUUUGCAGGUUUGUCUAUGCACGUAUCAUUUCUAGGAAGAUCAACUCCCGUGUGUUUGAUGCAAAUCCUUCCAUAGAAAAGAAAAAGUCUAAAGAAGGUGAAAACAUCGUGGGACGAGCGUUAGCUGAUAUUCCAUCUCUUCUGGAGUUGAAACGGAUAUGCAAUGACUCAUGAUACGGUAAAUUGGUGUUUUGCUUUUCGAAUGUUGUGUCCACUAUCUUUGACUAAUUUGUUUUUGCUGAUCAAGUGCCACCUGGUAUUCAAGUUGUGGUUCACCAUGUACUUGUAUGGCUUUAUAUAUCUGGUACAUACUCUUCUUUCUUUCUAGCUAUAUCGCAAACUAUGACGUUCUAGAUGUACUUGAUGGAUUUAAACUCCCAUCUCAGUUUACCUCACAUUUAUGUGGAUAACAAUGUAGGUAUUACUCACAUAACAAUGAUUACCUUGAGAUAUGUCGAUACCAUAAGGGGAUAUAUGAGAUUCCAUUGGUAAAAGGCAACCCAGAGCAGUAGAUAUGGGUGAAGCUCUUUCCUUGUUAAGUCUUCACUGAGUUUUUUAAGGCAAAGCUGUUCAUACUGUGAUUUAAUUAAAUGCAGGUUCUUAGGAAAAUCUGCUGGUACUUAGUUCUAUCACCACAUGAUCCUAUGCAAUCAAGCCUUCUUAAUGCAACUCUAGAGGAUAAACAUCUCUCAGGAAUUCCCCAAUUCAGGUACCAUCUUUAAAUUGUGCUAGGUAAUUAAUUGUUUUUUUGGGGUAAAGUUAGGUAAUUGAUUGUUUUUUUUUUUUUUGGUAAAGGAGGUUAGGUAAUUGAUUGUUGAUCUUGCAAUAUCUCAAUAAUGUGCCAUAGAAUUUGGUCGACCAUACCUUUGAUAUUUUAACGUAGGUUGCUGCUGAAACAAUUGGUCACGUUGGAGGCUCCAGCGGACUCCUCUUUAAAAGAACUUUCAAAGGUGAAUUUGAGAAUGAGAAAACGUGCUAGCAGGUGCACUUGUUGGGAAUUAGACAAGGCCCAAUCAUAGUCAAAAGAAGAAUUUUGGCUUCUCCUUGGCAAGACAAGCUACCUUUCUAGGAGCCUCUUCAGAGAAUCAUUGAACAUGUAAUUACAGAACUAGUUGUUUUUCUUCUUUUCAUUGGAUCAGCACUCAGAUGUGACUCAGUCGGUUUUCUGCAGAAUAUUAUCAUCAUUUUGAAGUAUUGAUCGAGGAUUACCUUAAAGAGAUUUGCAAACCUGUUAUCCUCAGUAUCUAAGUCUGAUUAUGUGGAACAUUUGUUGAUGUUCGUUAUCAGUGUCACUCUUUAUGAAUGAUUGCCUAGACCCCUCAUUUAACCUUCAGCAGCUUCUCUGCUUGUGAUCCCUAAUUGGGGCAUGGCUGCUGGACUUGGACACAAGUUCCUAAUAUGUAUAAAAGAGGUUUUGGAGCGUUGAAAGCCAAAGAUUUGUCAUGGAUUUGAGAAUGUUGUCUUCAUCGUUUUGUUUUGUAAACAUUCUGACCAACAUAUAUGUGUACUUUUUUUUUUUUUUUUUGGCUUAGUCAGCUUCUGCUCAUAAAUUUGUUGUAGCUGUAAGCGUCAUUGUUUGGCAUUGUGAAGCCGUUUCUUGUCCCACGGAACCUGAAUCUUUAAUGCACUUUAGAAACGUGGGAGGAGCUUUGCUAUAUUGCUAGAAAUGGCUAAGCAGCUUUUUCUGCUGGUAUUGAUACUCACCAUUGCCUGUGUUACAUAAAUAUAUCUUGCUAGAGAUCUUGAUUAAUGUGUACAGAAAAUCUUUGUAGCUGAAUCACUUGGAGAAGAGCUUUGUGUUUGGGUUCUCUUACUCUGUUGUUAAGAGCUUUAAUCAAUCACAUUAAAUCAACACUAUCAUUUGACAGACAGACCAUAUAAUGAUAAUUUAUACACGCUGGUAUGAUAUUCUAUCGUCUUGACCUCUUACUUCUAUAUUACCAUUUUAGGAAGCUGAGAAACAUCUCCUUAGAGGUUGUUUCCAAGUACCUGGUGGCAAUGGCAAAGAUAGACCAGCCAAUGGGAAUUGUCAGUUCCAAAACAGCACAACAGUGAGAUUUUGAACUAGGGUGACAAAUUUAGAAAAGCCGCUUGACCUUGUUAAGAAAAGUCGCCACCAAAUCCCCAAGGAAACCACGGUUCAUAAGGCUGCUUGGAGAGCUUGAAUUGAUUGAAUGAAUGAUCUCUCCCCUCUCAAUGCUUCCUAUAGCCCUUCUCCCCUCUCUCUCACCGAAGAAUGCUGUUUCACAUUGUGGUGGGGACUGGAGAUAUGCAUCAUAGAACUUUCGCGUGGCUGUCUUAAAUUUGAUUGUAUAUUUUGUGGGGGGACCAAAUCCCGGCCUUGUUUCUGACUGAAAUGAUGUACUGGAUACACUUUAUCUAUAGAAAUGGAGUCUGGUCUUUUCAUCUUUCCUCUUUCCUCUAUACCCCCUCCUUUUAAUUGAAGAUUUGCUGGCUUUCAGGGUCCAGAAAAUGUACCGGUGGAACAGGUAUCAGCACAAGAUGUGCACUCAUUUGGAUUGAAAUAAGCGCCUUGUUACAGAAUUGUGUUUCACAUUACAAAUAUUGCUGGUGCUUGUAUUUUUUCUAACAUCGGUGAUAACUCUCUAGAUUAAAGGCUUAAUUAAUGCUACUUUUCGAUUUCAUUUCAUAUUCAAAAUGAGCACCUGUUUUUAAGGGGCUUCAUUUCAAUAAUAUAUCUGCACUUUUUAUCUCCCCAAGAGACGUUAUUUUUCUUCAAGUUGAUACCUCUUAGGGAUGGACCUUUGUUCUCUAAAAUUCCAGCUCCUUCAUUUGCUUUGUGGAAACUGAAAAAUAGGGAAAAGCUACAUCUACAUCUUUUGGCUCUGGAAAUAGUCAUGCUCACUAGUAAAUAGCACUCAUUUGUUAGUGAAAAGCACUGUUCUACUUUCUUCACAAAGUAAAUGUACAAAGACACAUAGGCAAAGGAGAGAGAUCAACACAGCUGGAUUUAUGGCGCUCUCAAUCCCCAAAAUUCGCCAGGUUCUUUCAAGCUCCUAGGGUAUGAGUUCGUAGUUUCAACGUCCUUUCAAAUUCUGAAUGAACUGUUUUUGUGUUGAGUUCAAUCCUAAGAAGAUUCACUUUGUUUCUCCAAUCUCUACGCAAUUUUCUCUUCAGCUCGUUUGUCAUUCCAAUGCUGGGAUUUUUUUAUUACUACAUUGAAGAUUUUAUUCUGGCGAGUGAUGUUCUAUUUUGACUUUCCAGUAUGCAAUUUUUUGUUUGCUGCUGCUUUCUUUUUCCUUUUUUUUUUUUCACUUUGAUGAUCUUGGUCUUCAUGAUAUCAGAACUGCGAAAAGAGCAGAGUUUCAAAAUUUAAGAGGAGCAUAAAUGUGUUUCCAAAAAACACAUGAACUAUAUUACAAGUUUGAGCAAGGUUAUCUGUAUGUAUCGUAUUGCUGGAAUGGUGAGAAGAAGCCUUUUAACGAAUUUAUUCACUUUAUGACGAGUAGCAACAUCUCACCAUCUAUCUAAAGUCCACCGGUAUUUACAAUGACCCUCAUGUGUUAUGCACUUACACAAUAAGCUUAUGGCAAUGCGCAUGAACAAGACUAGCAGUGUGACACCGAGAGAUGAAGCAUCAUUUCCAAGUGGUGGCGGAGAUGUGGUGUUGCCAGUGGUUGUGUCUAGUAGUGACAGAGAUCCCGCUGGACUAGAGGUUGGGCCAGUGGAAGUUUCACUGAUGGUGACCACCAAUUUUUGGCCACGAGAGCAAUGGUCGCCAUUAGGAAAGUGUAGAUACGAGCAAUACUCGCCAGCUGCAGCGACGGAAAAGGCCGUCGGUCUGUUUUUUAGGGUGGUGAACGGAGAAGCGGUGUAGCGGUGUUGCAGUUGUUGUUGUCAUCCUUUGACACGUACGCGACAUUGCAGUUGUCGUUGUUGGAACCUGUAAUGAACACUGCAAAAAUGAUGGAAGAUCAUCCGGCUUUGAAGAGUGACACUCAAGAUUGAUUGCAGUUACAAGUAAUCGAGAAUGGACUGGUCAGAGCAAAGUCAUUAAAAAUUACGAUAAGCGAGUAUAUGAUUCCUACUCGAAGAGCACCAAAACGAGAAGGGCGUGUUGGUUCACCCAGUCAAAGGACAUGGUGGUGUUGGAAUGGAUCCUUCUUCGCGCAGAACCUCUGAUUAUUAGUUCUUAGCCAUUUUGGCCGGGCUUCUGCCAUAAUCUCAGGUCGGCCCCUUAGAUCUCCAUUCUUUGUCGAGGGGGUGAUUUUUUAGCGCAAACGAAGGUGGGAAGUAGAUGAUGCGAAUGAUACACAUGGACUGUAUAGUGAGUUACUAGCUUAGUUGCUUCAUCUGAGUAAUAAUACUUUCUUGAGUGGUUGAUGACUGAGAUUGCGAUCGAAAACGAAGAAAGCCUGUACUUAUUGUUUAUUCCCUUUUAAAAUGAUGCAUUCACAACUGUCUUUUGAUGGGAGUGAAAUUACUCAGGCUCUAGGAUGUUGCCGAAACAGAUAGCGGGAUGGGGUGGCAAUGAACGCGAUGCCAUAAUACUCAAACCAAUUAUAAUUGGAUUAAGAAGGACGAUUUGAUCAUGGGCUGCAAUCUCUUAAAUUCUUUAGUCUCUAUUCUAUCCAAUUUCUUGAUCAUUCCAGCCACCGACCAGAAUAUUUUGACUAAUUAAUAUCUAUAAAAGUUCUGCGUUAAAACUAGAUUAGAACAUAUCGCGACUCAGAUCACUUGUAUAAAAUGUCAUAUUGCUUAAUCUGAAUUUCCACUCUGGGCAGUAAAAUUGAUUGCUUUAUGAUCUUGCUGGACCAAUAUCGCAGCUAAGAUGACAUCAGUGUGUUAGCUCAACAUCUCUACAUGAACAGAAGAUCCAUUAGAAACAACUCUCAUGACGAGAAAAGAUCAACGCUGCAUCACAUGGAUCUCAUAUCUAUACUUCGCAAAUUCCAUGAAUAACUCGCAUGAUGUGAAAAAGGGGAUCGGGCGCAUUGCGAGUCUUUCCAAAAAAAUACAGAGAAGAAUUGGGACUCAAAAGGCAUUUUCAGUUGAUGUCGUUUAGGAAUCAAUUGAGCUUUGUUUGUACCAAGCGUCUAACCCUCAAAGCUAGAGAACAACAUUAUAGUGUGUGAUGUCAGCAUCUAUAUAUAAACAUUUGCCCCGAAACGCAAAAUGCAUUUGCGAUAGAGAAAACCAAUAGAAACAGUUCUCAUGAAGAGGGAAGAUCGUUGUUGCGUCACACUAAUCCUAUGUAUGCUCUUCACAAAUUCCACUGAUAAUCCCGCACAAUUAGCCAUGAGAAAAUGCAAUUUUGGAAGCCGAAGAUGACGAGAACAAAAGUUUUUUAUCAAGGCAAAGUGUCAAAUAUAGCAUAACCGUCGUUGUGGGAAUAUUUUCUCGAGCCAAAGAUCAGAAAAGUUGUUGAUCAAGUAGCAUCCCGUGUACUCCCAAACCUGCCCUUUUGAAUUGACGAAACAAUGCAUCAUGACAAGCGAAUCUUUUGAGAAACUGUAAAAAGAGGCCAAACCACACAAUGCAAUUCUAUGAUUUGAACAAUGAAAAAGAACAACGAGAAUUUCUCAGAAAUUUUCAAAUUCAGACUUCAUCAAUAUGGAAUAAGAUGUUGUUCAAAAGGAACUAUGUUUUGAGGAGGGAAUAUAGUAAUAGCAUCCGUCAACCGACCAAUAUCAAUUGAGAAACUGAAUGUUGUGUUUACAUACAAGAUUGUAUUGCUAGUAGUUGGCCGACCGUUGUCAAGAAUGGUUACUUAAAAGGCUUCUUCUUACUCUUUUGGCAUGAAAUUUCUUUUUCUUAUUUGAAUAAAGGACACAAAUAGUAGUCUCGUACAAUAUUAAGAGGAAAAUAUAUCAAUCGGCUCAACAUUCACUAAUAUAUUCAAUUCAAGCGAUUUAAAUUUCUAAUCCUAUUUCAUUUCCGAUUUUAUAUUGAACAAGUGAGCUUUCGUUUCUCACCUUUACUCUAAAUUUCCAACCACCCUUUUGAUUUCCGUUCACAUGCAAAGUCAAAUCAAGUGUGAAAUCUGAAUGGUGUAGAUGGCUGCAACCCACCGGUCGCCUUGGAGGAAAAGAAAAGAAAGGAGAUCUCAUCUUCAUUGCAAAGCAGGCCAGCCCAGCCCAAGUAAUUCUCAGGCUCCAUGGGCCGUCUGGCGAAGAUUUGGGCCAGAAUCUCUAUCGGUUGUUGGAUCUUUUCCAAGGACAGGGACGGGCCAAUCCGAUUCGGAUUGGAUUCGCUUAUGUUUCGGAUCCCCCGAUUUCUCCUCCAUUUUCAUCCAUUUUCACUUUUAUUCCCCUGUGCUCUUUUAUUUAUUUAUAUUAUUUAUUUUUUGCUCUUUUAUUUAUUUAUUAAUUUAAUUUGCUCUCGCAUCAGUGUGUUCAAAGAGGAGGAGGAGGAGAGAGGAGAGGGAGAAACAGACGAGUGGAAGUUUUCGCGAGUGAGGGGUUCACCGGGGCGCUCUUUCUCUCUCCUCUUUCUUCCCCUUUCUCCUAGGUCUCCGAAUCGAUUGUCGUCGGAGACUCUCGCCGAUUGAGAUGGUGAGUUCGCGUCCCCGCUUUCAGAUCUGCAGCGAGUCCUAGGUGGGUGGCAUUGGGGCAACUCAAUAAGGGGGUUCUUAGCGUGUUUUCACCUCAACUUGGUGGUUUAGUACCGUGAGUACUGAAUGUGCGUGACAUUGUUGAGUUAGUGGAUGCGCUAUAUUGUAAAUGAUUUUCUUUCAAGGUCUGACACUUUUUUUUUUGCAUUAUCUAUUGAAUCCAACUUCUCACGGGUAACGAAAUAUUCAAGUUGGCGAGAUUUGGAAGAAUUGAUUAAAAAGAUGUGCUUUUGGGUCCCUUUUGUGGAAGCUUGGAGUUUAUCUCUGUGGAAGAAUUGAUAAAAAGAUGUCUUUUCGAAGUAUUACUCAAGGAUUACCUUGAAGAGACAUGCAGAGCUGUUAUACCUCAGCAUAUGGGUUGAUUAUGUUGAACAUUUGUUUAUAUUCUUCAUCAGUGUCGAUCUUUAUGAAUGAUUGCCUAGAGCCUUCAUUUAACCUUGAGCAGCCUCUCUGCUUGUGAUCCUUGUGGGGCGCGGUUGCUAGACUUGGAUACAAGUCCCAAAAAUGGAAAAGAAGUUUUGGUGCCUUGAUAGUUAAAGGCUUGUCAUGAGGUUGAGACUGUUGUCUUCAUAGUUUCGUUUUGUAAACAUUUCUGACCAAUAUAUAUGUCUAGACUUCACUUUGUCAACUUCUGCUCAUGAAAUUUGUAGCUGUAAGUGUCAUUGUCUGGCGUUUUGAAACCAUUUAUUGUCCCAUGGAGCCUAAAAUUCCAAUGCCCUUUAGAAGGGUGGGAGGAGUUUUGCUAUCACUCACCAUUUCUCGUGUUAACAAAGUAUAUCUUGCGAUUAGAGCUUUCUUAUCGUGUUCUGAAAAUCUAUGUAGCUGGAUCACUAAAGGAAAAGAGCUCUGUUUUUGAGUUCUGUUACCACUAUCAUUGAGAGCUUUGAUUGUUCUAUAUUACCAUUUUAGGAAUCUUAAAAGGAUCUCUCCAAAAUUGUUGUUUCCAAGUCCCUAGUGGCACAGGUAGACCGGCCGAUGGGAGUUGUCUAUUUCCAGAUGACAAAGGACAGCAAUAUCAUCUUGAAUUUGUGGGCGACAAAUUUAGAAAAGCUCCUCAAUCUUGUCAAGAAAAGCUGCCACCAAAUCCACAAGGAAACUUUGGUUCAUAAGGUUGCUUUGAGAGCUUGAUAAUGUUCUUAGUUGAAUGAAUGAUCCUCUCUCCCCUUGAGCGUCCCUCGAUCUCUCACCAAAAGAGAAGCGGAAUAAUGCUGUUCAUGUAAUCAAUGAUUUGAAAAUUACAUCAAAUAUUAUAAGAUACAUUUAAAAGUCAUUUGUGCAGUCAAUAAAUGUUUUGGUCAUUAUUGGAAGAUCUCUUUUUGUCAUGUACUUACAAAACUAAUUAAAAUUUUUAAAAAGAAAAAAAAAUAGCUGCUAUGAAGCAUUGAAAACAUUUUUGUUUGGCAAAAGGAGAUAUUCAAAAUUUUCAAAACAUUUUGUUUGACCAGAUUUAACGUAAGAAAAUGUUUAUUAUAUUCAUUACGACAAGGACCAACUAAUGAUAAAAUCAAAUUUUUCAUUGAUCAAAAAGAGCAAUUGUCGAAACCGAUCAAUUCUAGUAAAAAAAUCUAUUAAACUCUUUUUAAAAUGAACUAGCCAAUCAUAUACUUGAUGAAGAAGACCUCGUCGAUUAUAGUUGACAAUAUACAGCAAAUUGGAGUAUUACCAAUUUGAAAACGCUAAUUGGUCUUCCUCUCUUUGCUGUUUUCUUAACACAACCUUGAAUUCCAUCUUCUUUUUUAUUUGUACAAGUCUUUCGUUUUCAAUUUUUUUUCCUUUUUUUAUUUGCCAUCCUACCUGUAAUCAUUUUAAACGUGGGCAUUUCGACAACGGCAACGUGGUAAGCUUUAAAGAAGAAGAGAUCAAUUUUGAAAAAAUAAUAAUAAUAAUAAUUGAAAAAUUAUCAUUCUUGUUUCUCUCUCGACUUUAAGCCAAUCGUUCCUCUUGCAUGGACUGGAGUGUUGUCAUCAACUCAUACCCCCAUCACCAUCUUCUUCAGCUCGACGUUUCUGAAUGUGGAGUGAUUUCCUCGUUCGUGGAUUUAAAAAUGUUGCAGCUGAGACGGUAAGUGCCGGCUAGAGGAAAAGCGCUCGUCCCUACCGAUCGAAGCAUCGCAAUACCAAAGGAAACAUAAUGCUCGGAUAUGUGAUGUGCGACUUCUUUACCUCGAAACAUUCUCUGUACCUUGUUUUGGAUAAUCGACGAGGGCUGAAUCGAAUCGCUUGUACAUUCGUUAUUCCAGCGCCUAGAUCGGGUUUGGCAUGGAAGUAUUCGAUCGGGGUCGGGUGCGGGUGGACCACAGAGGAUGUCGACUCUGAAGUGAAGGUGGGUGAAAGGAUCGCGUAGGUGAUCACUGAGAAGAUCAUGACUCCCGAUGUUGCAGCGGAGGUCGAGGACCUGGACUUGACUCUGAGACGUGAGGGCGGGUUUGGGUCGACCAUGUGUAAGGCCCAUGCGCUAGGUUUCGGUUGCUACUUUGUUCUCUGUAAGUUUGUUUUCAAUGGGGAUGAGGUUGUGCCUGUGAUGCACGCAGGUCUGGUAGGAGCAUUUUCUUGGUGAGAAAUUUUGUCGAACAAUUGGUGGGUAAAUAUUUGCUAAUUGCUAUGUGUUCAGCCACGCUUUUGAAGUAUUUCCUUGUGCUCUGCCUGUCUCCGUUUAACUGUGAAAUUCGGAUCCUGCUUUUUGAGUUGCCAGUCUGCUGGGGUGAGCUUUGCGGCAAGUAAUUAGUUAGUUGAUUGCUGGCUUACGUGCUAGUCCUAGAUGAUGGUAUUGAGCAACUAAAUAAGGGGAUUUUCAUUGUUUUUACAUAAACUUCUUCGUUUAGUGCCAUAAUUAUUGAAUUUGUGUGACAUUGUUGAUUUAGCAGAUGCACUAUCUUGCAAAUGAUUUUUUUUUCCAGGGUUUGACACCAUUACCUAUUCACUGUUAACUUUCCAUGGAUAAUAAUUUAUUCAAGUUGGUGAGAUUUGGAAGAGUUGCUUAAAAGAUGUGCCUCUGGAACUCUUUAAUGAAUGAAGGUUGGGGUUUAUAUUCCUGUGGAAAUUUAAUGGUGCUCAUGUGCAAACAAAGAGUGGGUAAUAAGCACAAAGUUAACCUUGAGAUAUCCUCUCUGGCAAGGUGCUUGUAUUUACUUAUGGAAGUGAAAUUAAUUAACAUCAGUGAGUAUUCAGCACCCAAGUAGUGCAAAGUGAGUUUCCAACAAUUAGCGUUGUUGAAAGAUUACUGGAUAACUUAAAGGAAGCAUUUAACCACCAUUAAUUAUCAAUAAGUAUCUCCCUGAUCCAUGAAGUCAAUGUAAGAUCACAUGAUGUUGCAUCCUAUCAAACACUAAUUGGAAGUUCUCAUUAACGAAGAACGGAAAUAACUCUUGCAGCUGAGUAGGAAAAUAAUGCACAAAGCUAUGUGGAUAAGCUGGACAUUGUGGUACUAUCUAGUAGGCAAGGCUGGUAAUAGCAAAAUACGUUGAUGUACUUUUACAAGAUGGACCCUGCCUUUGGAGUUGAAGUAAACAUGUGUGUGAGAAUUGACAAAUAGAGAUCCUUAGUCUAUGAUGACAGAGAAAAAGCAUAUUGUUUAAGUUAAGCAAUUUUAUUUUGUUUUAUCAUCUUUUCAGGGUUUAGUGAAGUCGGUAAUCGGUGCUCCACUUUGUUUUUAUGCUGGUUAGUAGAUUUGUUUUAAGAUUUGAGUUCUCUUGUAUAGGGAUAGAUUCUUUUUGUUUUAGAUGGAUAGUUAUUUCCUUGGUGCCUUACUUAUUAUACCUUUUACACGACAAUGAAACAGGGGAGAAAAGAAGUUGAGAUUGGGUGCCAGAGGAGUGAGUUAAAAUACUAAUCAACUGAAGAUGAAUGAUAAGUAUGAGUUGUACCUCUCCAUUCCAAUAAGAGUUUCUUGUGGAUUUUCUCCCUUGCAUGAACACAGCAUGUAUCAGGUUUGCUGGUGGCGAAAGGAAUAUUAAACAAGCAGGAGCCAAGAUUAUUGUGUUCAGUGGUCUACUGAUUCUUAGGGCAUGAAUUUUCGUCUUCCUAGCUCAAAGCACUCUUUGCCUUCCUCGUCAAGUGCUUGAGUCAAAAUUAUUUGAUGACACUGAUACUUGGAUAUUCAUAGCUGUUGUUUUUCCUGUAUAUAGUUACUCCCAAACUUUCUUGUAGCAAAGGAAGUAUCUUACACUCCUUUGAUAUGAGCGAAUUAGAUUGUCGAGAUUAACCGAUGUCCAGAUAUUUGCCUUUUUAUCUCCGCUUUUGGGUGACAAGCUGGUGGAAAUUUUGCUCUUCAUUAAGUGUAUUUCAUUGUUAUUUUAUGCUGAAUGCUGAUAAGUUCCUCUGGAUUAGUCAGAGCAUUAUGACUGGUUGCUAUUUAUUAGACCUGUACCAGAUUUUUACCUUCAUGAUUGUUAUUAGGAUUGCUAACUGUAUAGGAGGCAAUUAAAAAGAUGCAAGUUGGUCGCAUUGACAAUCAUUCCCAAAUUGGAUUAGGAGUAAGAUCAUUGGAGAUGUAGGAUGGGAUUCCUAAUCCCAGUCCACCUACUUUGCCUAUUUAAUUAGGACUCAACCUCAUAGUACAUCAAAAUAGGCCCCAUUUCUUGUCAUGCAUGACCAGUUGUACGUCUGAAACAAUAUCUAAAGGCUGAACCUGCUUAUUGGGGCUAACUUUGGGGAUUGAACUAUGAGGGGAUUAUAGAUAAAAUUUAGGUGUUGCCCUCAUCCUGAAUUAGAUUGGAUGGAAGAUUUAAUAGGUGGUUGUGGCAAGGCUGAAAAUACUUUUCAUGCAGACUUGGGAGAGUCCAUAUGCUUCCACCUGUAUUAAAAUUAACCUUUUAUUGCUGGAGUUGGAUGUGAGCUCUACUUUCAUGAGAGCUUUAGUUGGGGCAUAUGGGAGGUCCGCUGUGCCUCCACAACCAGCAGUGCAGCACAAUGCCAUCACCUUUGUGCUGCAACCAUCUCUUCUUGCUAUGGAAUUUUUUUGUAUUUUUUAGGUCAUAGUAUAUAGCUCAUCACCUUGUCUAUUUCUUUCACCCUCCUCUCUUCUUCNNNNNNNNNNNNNNNNNNNNNNNNNNNNNNNNNNNNNNNNNNNNNNNNNNNNNNNNNNNNNNNNNNNNNNNNNNNNNNNNNNNNNNNNNNNNNNNNNNNNNNNNNNNNNNNNNNNNNNNNNNNNNNNNNNNNNNNNNNNNNNNNNNNNNNNNNNNNNNNNNNNNNNNNNNNGCAGUGAGCAGCGCAUCUGUCUCUCCUUUCUCAAAUUGCUCAUCUUCCUCUACUCUACUCUACUUCACUUCCGCUUCUCGACUAUUUGAAAAACGAAUCUCAUUGGCAUAUCUAUAUGGGUAUUGGUUCUGGGCAAUCUCUAGAGAUGCUAGAACUCAGGCCUGGUGCUCAUGCUGUUUGCAAGUUUUUUCAAUUGGCUGGGAUCCUCAUGAUUGUUUUUGUAUUGCACCUUGCUAUUACCUCUUUAAUUCCUUUUUUUACUCUAUUUUCUUCCUAGAUGAAUAAUUUUUCUUGUUGUUAAUCAGAUAGUUCGACUGAAAGUCAUAAUUGUGCUUUAGAGAUAAUCAAGUAAUGAAUUAAUUUGAUGGUGACACUUAACUCUGUUGCUGCUGGGAAGGUGAAAAUGUGAAAUCAAACUCUAUUGCAGCUCAUGUUCAUGAGCAAUGUGUUUCGGUUUCGUAGUUUCUAGAGCUAGUUUCAUUAUGUAGCUAUAUGUCGAAAUUGAGAGAGUGCGGUUGAUAAAGAAACCGGCAAAAAGCAAAGGCAGAAGGUUUUAUAGCAGAAGCUGCUGAUUUAAUACAAGAAAUUGCAGGAGCUAGAAGUUGAAUUCUGGUGUCUUUGAUCUUGCAAUUGGUUUUUCCUUGUCCAACAUUAUGAGUGAUUUGAAUUGCUGUGGAAAAUUUUGGAGCAUUGGCAAAUACAGAGAAAAUUGCCUUUAUCCUUGAACAUGUAUGGGAUUUUUGUAUUGCUUUUAGCCAUUUAUGCUCUCUUACUAUGAUCGAUUUUUUGAUGGAUGGUUUUGCAGGUUCUUUUAAGCUUAGAUCGCCAGGACUAUGUCCAUGCACAGAUCCAGAAAAUCAGCCCCCUGGUGUUUGAUGCAGAUCCUUCCAAAGAGAAGAAAAAGCAUAAAGAAGGGGAAAGUAUUGUGAAAGAAGCGCCAGCUGACAUUCUGUCACUUCUGGAGCUGAGACGGAUAUAAUAAGAACCCACAAUAUGGUGAAUUGGUGCUUUACUUAUUUACUAUUUUUAACUAGAAUUUUGUUGCCGAUCAAGCGCUACCUGGUAUUGAUGUUUUGGUUCAAGCCAUGGUUUUAUUCAUCUGUCGCAUUCUCUUUUUCCUUUCUUUCUUUAUUGCAAACUCUGCUGUUAGAAAUGUACUUAAUGGAUUUGAACACACAUCUUACCUUGCAUUCAUGUGGUCAAUGAUGUAAUUAUUACUCUCAUUACAAUGGUUUGCUAUAUGGCGAUAGUGAGAUUCCAUCAGCGAAGGGAAACCCGGAGAAUACCAGUGAAGCUCUUUCAUAUGAGGCUUUGUCAAAUCUUCCCUGACUUUUUCAAGGCACGGCUGUUCAUUACGUGAUUUAAUUAGUCGCAGGUUCUAAGGAAAAUCUGCUGGUACUUAGUUCGGUCACCACAUGAUUGGUUGCAGUCAAGCCUUUGUAAUACUUUAGAAGCUAAAAAUGUCUCAGAAAUUCCCCAUAUCAGGUACAUCUUUGAAUUGUUUCUAGUAUUUGGUUGUACGUUUUCUUGCGAUAGGUUGAUAAUCUGCGAUAGAAUUUGGUUGGCCGUGCCUUUGUUAUUUUAACGCAGUUUGCAGUUGAAACAAUUGGUCACAAUGGAGGUUAUCCAGUUAACUGCUCUUUGGAGUAAUUUCAGAGAUAAAUUUGAGAAUGAGAAAACCAUGCUUGAAGGUGCACUUCUUGAGAAGGCAGCAGAAGAUCUUAGAUAGAGAAUACGCAAACAUGUAAUUACAGAACUUUGUCAUUUUUUUUCCUUGCUUUCUUUGUAUCAUCAUGCUGAUGCAACUUACUCUAUUUUCUGCAGAAUAUUAUUGUCGUUUUGAAGUAUUACUCGAGGAUUACCUUGAGGAAACUUGCAUAACUGUGCCUCAGCAUCCAGGUUGAUUAUGUUGAACAUUUAUUUAUUUCUCUUAUCAAUGUCAAUCUUUAUGACUGAUUACCUAGACCCCUCAUUUAACCCUGGGCAGCCUCUCUGCCCCUGAUACCUGUAGGUUAUGGUUGCUGGACUUAGAUACAAGUUCCAAAAAAGUGGAAAAGAGGUUUUGGUGCCUUGAAGCCAAGGCUUGUCUUGAGGUUGAGAAUGUUGUGCUUCUAUUUUUUUUCUAUGAAUAUUUCAGACCGAUAUAUAUGCAUACACACUAUGCUUAGUCAACUUCUCAUAAAAUUUGUCAUAGCUAUCAGUGGCAAUGCCUGGCAUUGUGAAAUCAUUUCUUGUCCCAUGGAGCCUGAAAUUCUGAUGCGCUUUAGAAGUGUGGGAGGAGUUCUGUUAUGACUCACCAUUUCCAGUGUUACAAAAGUAUAUCUCGUGAUUAGAGCUUUCUUAAUUUGCUCAGAAAUCUAUGUAGCUGAAUCACUCAACGAAAGGAACUCUGUUUUUGGGGUUCUGUUACCACUGUUGUAGAGAGCUUUAAUCAUUCAUAUGCCUCAAUCUAUUAAAUCAACACUAUCAUCUGCUAGAGAGACAGCAUAAUAGUAAUUAUACAAGCCUGUAUGAUAUUCUAUUAGCAUGACCUGUUAGUUCUAUGACCAUUUUGGGAAGCUGAAAAGCAUCUCUCCAAAAUGGAUGUUUCCAAAGCCCUAGUAGGAAAGAUAGACCUGCCGAUGGGAGUUGUCUGUUUCCAGACAACAAAGGAGCGCAAUGAUACCUUGAACUCGUGGGCCACAGAUUUGGAAAAGCUCCUUGAUCUUAUUGAGGAAAGCUGCCACCAAAUCCACAAGCAAACUAUGGUUCAUAUGGCUGCUUUGAGAGCUUGGAGAUGUUCUUAAUUGAAUGAAUGACCUCUCUUCCCUUGAGCCUCCCUCUUUCUUACCAAAAGAGAGAAGCUGAAGAGUGUGGUUUCACGUUGUCCUCUGAAGUGGGGACUAAAGAUAUCAUAGAACUAUCGUGUAGCUGUCUUAAAUUUGAUAACAUAUUUUGCACGUGGACCAGAUCUGGGCCUUGUUUUGGACUGAAAUGAUACAGAAUACACUUUCUGCAUAGGAAUAUAUUUUGGGUCUUUCAUCUUUUCUCUCCCCCCUCCUCGUAAUUGANNNNNNNNNNNNNNNNNNNNNNNNNNNNNNNNNNNNNNNNNNNNNNNNNNNNNNNNNNNNNNNNNNNNNNNNNNNNNNNNNNNNNNNNNNNNNNNNNNNNNNNNNNNNNNNNNNNNNNNNNNNNNNNNNNNNNNNNNNNNNNNNNNNNNNNNNNNNNNNNNNNNNNNNNNNNNNNNNNNNNNNNNNNNNNNNNNNNNNNNNNNNNNNNNNNNNNNNNNNNNNNNNNNNNNNNNNNNNNNNNNNNNNNNNNNNNNNNNNNNNNNNNNNNNNNNNNNNNNNNNNNNNNNNNNNNNNNNNNNNNNNNNNNNNNNNNNNNNNNNNNNNNNNNNNNNNNNNNNNNNNNNNNNNNNNNNNNNNNNNNNNNNNNNNNNNNNNNNNNNNNNNNNNNNNNNNNNNNNNNNNNNNNNNNNNNNNNNNNNNNNNNNNNNNNNNNNNNNNNNNNNNNNNNNNNNNNNNNNNNNNNNNNNNNNAGAAGCUUGAAAUAUGAGAAUAAUGUGUUGUUUACCACCUCUGUUAAGAUUGGACUAAUGGAAGUUCUCCUUUACAUAGUGAUACCAUUUCAUUUUCACUAUUGAUGCUUCCCAAGUGGCAACUUACGACGAUUUAUUCGUCUAAUUUGUUUCCCAAUUUUAUCUUCUGGCUGGCAAAAUAUAGAAACCAUCACAUUUUGCUUAUUAAUCUCGACAUUUGAUUGAUUUCAUCAAUCGGUCGUUGUCUCAAAUCCCCCUUUCUUUACAAGAGAAGAUGCUGAGGGUUUAAACAUUGGGUCUCAGAGCAAAGUGGGGCAAGGAUGACUCCUAUAGAAACAAUCAUAUGGUACCCGAACUUUUAUUUGAUUCAUGGGACAUAUUUAGUUGAUGAAUGAAAGAUUGUUUUUUUUUUUUUUUUUUUUGGGGGGGGGGGAGGUGGAAGGAAUUAGGAAUUCAAAUUGUUUGUGCUGGUAGUAGGUGUCAAAUAUUUAUCUGAUUUAACAUUGCCCAUGAUUAGAUAGUAAAUUGAUGAGCAUCACUAUUCAUACCUAAAUUUUGGUGGCCCAAUUAGUUGUUUAUUGCAUGAAAAAAAAUUAGGGAUUAAUUUUUAAUACCUAAACAAAAAUAUUAGAAUUAAAUUGCAUAACAUAUAGUUUUAGGAGCAUUUAUUAUUUGGUUUAUUUUUUUUAUUGUAUUUGCAUUGGACCGGUGAUGGAUUGAUUCAAAUUGAUGGUUCUGAGCUUUAAUUUAGCGAGUUUGUCCAGUGAUCAAAAUCAUGUGUGCCACGUUAGUAAUUUCAUAUUAUUGCCAAGAUUUGAUCAUUAAUACUCAGCAAUAAUCCCUGGGGUAGAUGUGCGUACGUGCAUUUUGGAAAAUUCGGUCAAGAUUAUGGAACGUGAGAAGAGAAGUUGUGGAAGGUGUGGAGCCCAAUAGAGAGGGAGGCGAUUUCUCUGGAGGUCAGCAGCAAGCUCUGGCACUCGUCCAAGCCACGCCUCGUGCCCGACGCGGCGCUGCCCGUCUCCUUGCCGCUGCAGUUCAUCAUCUAAUUUCGCCCUAGUCUGAUCUGGGGAAUUCCCGACAACGAUGAAGCACCCCUCAGCGAGUCCUUUGCAUGCCACAGCAGCCCCCGUGGUCUCUUGAUUAAUUCUUUGCAGGUUCCCGGCGAAAUGACAAGCACUUGUCUAGCCCUUUGAGCGAACUACUGGCCAGGCCACCACGCUUCUGCUGUUGUCCCGCUUCUUUAAACCUGACACCGCCGCCUGCCGUUUUGUCCGUCAUGCUCGACUGUUCUUUCACAGGCUGUCCAGAACAAACCAACGCCCCUGCAUCAAUCCAAGCGAGUGCAAGACGGCUCCUGUAACGAUGAAUCUUCAUCAACAUUAGCGGAUUUAAUGAUGCUUUAUGAAUAACGCUUUUUAUAGGUUCCAGCUUUGGUGACAUAUCAACCCAGCAAAUCUCUGAGAAGCUUUGCAGCCCCUUAGCCGUGUUCACUCAAGUUCUCCGUAGAAGUGUGCUUUCGUGAUCUAGGAAGUGAGUGAGUCAUAGUGUUGUAAAAGGUACACGUUUUAUAGAAUCAUCUACUGAGCUUUAUGUAAGAGUAGCAUCCUCUACAGACGGUAAAAUCUCGAGGAUUACUCAGCCUUGUUGUGGGAGGACUAGGUGAAGUGGAAGUUCGAUUCAGUACAAAUCUGUUUUGCAUCUCUUCAAUCUCUCUUAAUUCCUUUAUUGUCAUUUGGAUACAAGGUACUGCAUCUGCGUGAUAGUUUUCCUCCUAUAGCAAUACAUGAUCCACGUUCUUCUUGAAAAAAAAAAUUAAUUUUCUUAAAACAACCAAUUCACUCUCUUCUUAUACCAAGACACUAUUGUACAAGUUUUCCAUAAAAAAGUUUCAAUUUUCUUAAAAUAUUCAAUUCACCCUCUCUCAACUGUUGCAUUAAUCAUUUCAUUAAUCUCUUUAUACUCUAUUUGUGUUUGUUAAUAAGAGCAAUGAAAAACCUAUCUCACUUACCAAAAUGAAUCUCUUAAAUAAUCCUUUAUGGAUGACCAUUUUAGUUAGUGGGAAAUUACUAAAAUCACAAUAUCCUAUUCUUCUUGCCUAAUUAAAGGGGACUCACAUACCAUCAUUGACAUUUAAUGGCAUUAGAAUUUAAUAAUUAUCUCCUCUAACAUUAUAAAGUACAAUGAAAAAAAAAAUUGAGGAAACCUCUUUGAAGCUUCUUGUAGUUGUAGCUACCGAUUGAAAAGAACAAUGCCUGUAGCUUAAAGAAAAGCUUCAACCUUCAUAAUGUUAGGACAGAUUUUGGUUAACAUGGAAAUGCUUUAAUUAAAUAGUGAAUUUGUGUUCCAAAGAAUCCAAUCUCACAUCAUCAAAAAAAUGGAAAUUUGAUCGGGCUGAACCUAGCUCUGGAGAAUCAAUAGGGUAGAGAGCCGGAAAAUAUAAGCUGACCGCUUAUAUAAAAUAGUCGGGCACAAGGUGCAAUUGCUUGAUUACUUGAAGGCCCAUUAAACAUCACAUUCCUAUUCCCAUUCAGAACAGUUUCAAAUAUGAAAAUAUCCCUUCUCAACCAACUACGCAAACUCUUAAAAGGAUUGAGCUUCCAAUUUAUGUUGACGUAAUUAAUAUGAGGCCCAAAAUAUAUUUAACCUUUAGGUCACCUUCUAUAAAGUUGGACAAACCAGACAUUUUUCAAAUAUUAUUCUAUCGCAUUGGUCAAAAUGAACAAUUUUCUUUUAUUAGAGAGAUGUGCAUAUAUCUUUGGUUUUCUUUCGUAUUCCAAUUUCAAAUCCGCUCAAGGUGCACAACCCAUGGAAGGUCCAGAAGCAGCGUAAGAUGCUCUCAUUUUAUCAUCUUUUUUUUUUUUUUUGAAUAAUUUCUACCGAGAAGAAGGUAGAAUUAAGGUUCAUUUGUAGUCAUCAAUCCAUGGAAAUCGUGCAUCCACUUCUAGCAGAAUUUGUGUCAGUGUUGAUUUUAGGGUUAAUACCCUGAAAAACUCCAAACUAGUACACCUGUGAUAAAUUUACCCUAUACUAUUUUUUUGACAAUGAAAAACGCCAAACCGAUACACAUGUGACAAAUUUACCCAAAAAACUCUAAAUUGAUACAUUUAUGAUAAAUUUACCCCAAACUAAUUUAUUUGACCGCAAAAAACCCCAAACUAGUAAAUUUGUGAUAAAUAUACCAUCCACUAAAUUGGAUUAAUACCACAAAAAAAUCACAAAAAUUGUAAAAUGUGACAAACGGAGUGUAAAAUCCCAAAUUGAUAUAUCAGUCAACUAUCACAUAUCAUUUAACUUAAUGAUUUGAUAGUAAAAUUUAACAAAAACCGACAUAUGGAAAAUUUGUCACAAGUGCACUAGUUUGAGGUAAAUUUGUCAAAGGAAUAUAAGUUUAUGGUUUUUGGUGGUCAAAAAAAUAGUUUGGGGUUUUUUAGGAUAUUAACCAUUGAUUUUAUUCGUCUUCCCGAAAUAUUUAGUUGUUGAUUUUCUUUUGUGGGUCUGAUCUCAUAGCUUUCGUACAUUCUUGAAUGUCGGAAAAUCAUAAUAACAUUUUGGAUCCCACAUCCAUAAAACCAAAUAAUGUGAGCACAGCAUGGAGGUGAUGAGGGUUUCGAGGAAGCUCGCUCGAAAACCUGCGGGAAGUUUCUUGCAUCUUAUGGGAGAAAAUUCAUGGUCACUUCAUGACCCUUUCUGGUGCAAUUUGCCAAGUGAUUUUCGUGAAAAAUGUCAUGAAAUUGAAAUUGAAAUUAGCUAGAUGUCUAACAUUUGAAAAUAAGUAGCACUUGAAUAGAUCGGUUAUCAUCCAAAAAAAAAAUCGCAUUCAUUUCGUCAUAUAAAUAAGCAAUGCAAGAUAAUAAUUUCAUUAGUAGGAUUUGUGCAACCACAUGCAUUCAAUUUAACAAUCAAUGUUUAGGUAAUGACCUAUAUUCGAUUUUUAUUUUUCGCAAACAUUUCCAUUCCAUAAAUGAAGUGAUAUUCUAUUAGUUCUUGUGAACAAUUAUCUAGAUAUAAUUGCAAUCUCUUUAUGUAAAAACCCUCUUUUGAAAAUCUUAAAGGUUUAUUGGUUGAUGUAGGACAAGUUGCGAAUAGUUUCUUAGAAUGAAUCGAUCAACAAAUGAAUAGAGUUUAGCACAGCAUUCAUCAAAGUGAAUAGAUAAAGGUCGGUCCGCUACAAGCAAGAGCUCAGGACAAUCUAGCGUAAAUUAUGUGGAUAGGGAUUUUUCAUAGCAAUGCCACGGGUUUUAAUUAUAGAUACCGGUGAAGAGCAGAUGCUGCUGAAAAUGCAUUUGUCCAAGUCUUUAAGUUAGCUUUGGAACUGUUCUUGUCAAUCCUUCACGACCUUUAUUGAAAUUCACUACUCCAUUCCCUUCCCUGUUUAGUCACGCCAAUUUUCCCAAACUACUUUACCCUUCUGUUUUAGCAUGCAAUAACGUAAUCGUGCUGUCCUGCUCACUUCACCUUCCCAUUACACUUCCCCGAUGAUUCCAUUUAUUAAUGGAAAAAGGAGUCAAGUCAAUCAAAGCACCUGUGUAGGGGGCACGCACCUUCCGCAUAAUGCUAAUGAAAUUAUGCGUGCAAUAACCCACCUACAGUGAUUGCCCUUUGCUUUUUAUUUUCUAAUUGUUCUAUUAAUAGAAAAAGCAAGUCAAAUUGAAGUCAAGUCAUUGCUUUCGAAAAAGAGCGCCUUCGUAGGCUUUACGCCCCUCCCAAGCAAUCCCGUGGAAAUUAUACGUGCAAUAAUUGCCCGCAUAGUGUUGUGAUGUCAUUUCUCUCUUAACUUCAUCAUCUUUUUUUCUUUUUUCUUUUUAAUAUUCUAUUCAUCUUCCGAAAAUACUUGGGCGCACAUCCAUGUUUCCCAUCAUAUCAACACUUGGUUACGAUAAUACAUCAUGAUGUCAUAAAACAAUUUCAUUUUACAUUAUAUUUUUAUUCUUAAUUAUUAUGACAUAUCAUAAUACAGUAUGUUGCAAUAUACGUACCAUAUAUUCUCAUAUCUUUCACUUUUUGGGACAAUCUAGUAGUGGCUGUAAACCUAACAAUUUUAUAUGCUCAAUUGAUAGUUGACACUAACAAAAUUUUGAUUGAACAGUUGAUGACACAAAUUAAAUAGACCGAUGACAUUGAAACACUUGCAUUGGAUGGAUGACAGGGGAUAUGGCAUGAUCGAUGUGCGAAAACACGGAUUCAAAAAACGGCCCCAUCUUCCUCAUAGUUUUUAGAGGCCCUAGAAUCGAUAUUUCUUUCUUUCUAUUUUCUGAAUUUUUGCCCCCACGAUUCUGAUGGCAUGAAAAGAAAAAGCAACCAACGGCAUGACUUUCGGUGCACAAUAGUCUUGUUAAUUUUCAGCCAAAAAAAAAUCUUAUUAAUUUCAACCAUUGAAGUUAUAAUCAAUAUGAGAUUCACAUAAUUGGCUCUUCUAAAUGAAUACUUGAAGAGCAAUUUUUACUUAUAUGCAAGAAAAUAAUUUAUUUUUUUUAUAUACUAAUUAGACAUAAUUAGUAUUUUCAUACGUGCUCAUGCCUUUAGAUUACAACAAAAAUCAUCGUCAUUCAUGGCUAAUUCUUUCCAACUUGUCUUGUUACAGUUCCGUCACCACAGAAUAGCCUUAUGAUUUCUUCCUUGGGAAUUUCGUACUCAGAGAAAAUAGAUUAUUUUCUUUUUUAUCCAGUAAUACUUAUUUGGGCCCACUCCGACAGGACACUUUCGUGAGACCGGUCUAUUAGGAAUCGGUCUUGUGGAUUUCGAAAGAAUUUUUUUUAUUUUUUUUAUUUGGAAGCAUUCUUGAAAAUGAGACGAAAUUAUUUAUAUUUCUUUUGAGUAUGUUCUCCUUAAAUUGUAGUCAUUUUUUGAUUGAUGGUAAACAAUUGGAUAAAGAGAGCAUGUAAUUACAAUUGCAAAAUAAAUGUUUUUUUUUUUUUUUUACGGAAAACAACAUAUAUAUUUAACAUAAUGGGACCUUACACCCUGAAGAUAAAGCAUCCGCAUAAACUAAGUCCAUCAGUACAAUAGAGGAGAAAUGAUCCAGUUGAGGACCGAAUUAGAGGAUUGGGCUUUCGCAGCCCAGUCGGCCACUAGGUUUGUCUCUCGUCGACAGUGACGCAGAUGGAGAUGAGGAAGCUGGAAAGCCAAAAGAAGGUCUCCUCUAUCACAGGUCAAAGCUCCCAUGGCGGCGAUCGUGUACCGUGCACGACUUCGACAAGCUGAAGGUAGUCAGAAUCGAUUUCCAGUCUAGCAUCUUGAAGCCCUUGCUGGUGCAGAUGUUGAAGGGUGAGACUGAGCGCUUGGAUUUCUGUUUCAAAGGCGGAUUUCGCUGGAAAACGUCGCGAAAAAACAUCAAUAAGUCGGCCUCGAUAAUCCCUGCAAAUACAAGCCAUGGAACCAUUGGGGUUACCCGGCUUAUAACUCCCAUCGAUAUUACAUUUCAGGCUACCCAUUGCCAGAGGUUGCCAAAGCUGAUCUGGAUUGAGAAAAGCAAGUCCAGAUCUUGGUUUGGAUGCAACAACAUAGAGCUUGUAGGAUUUGGUUAGAGCCAUAGCCGUGUCGACAACAAGGGAAAGGUUCGGUUUCUGGUUACAAAAGACAAAAUCAUUCCUCAUCCGCCAGAUCUGCCAAAGUAUAUUUGCAACAACUUCUAAUCCAGGUGAGUGGUUAGGUAAAAUCACCUUUUCUAUUAACCAAGAGUCUAUACUGGUAGCUGUAAGAGAUGAGGACAAUAAAUUGAUCUGCGGAUUGGACCAAAUAGCUCGAGUCCAAGAACAUUUUAGAAAAAUGUGUUCAAUGGUUUUCAAGUAGAGGUUGCUUACAGAGAUGGCAUGACGGAUCAGUAAUGAUAUGACGGUGAAACAAAUUAUCUCGGGUUGCGAGGGCAUUGUGGUAGACCGACGGGAGAAAAGUGUGGAGUUUUGGGGCAGUCUUCAUCGCCCAGAUCCGUUGCUAGAGACCGUGCGAAUUCCGGUAAGAUGUCGAGACACUCUGACUAUGUUGAUUGCUGCUUUAUUGUAAAUUGCAUGAUAGUUACUUUUUACAGUGUGCUUACCAGUAGUCGUGAUUGACCAAACUAAUUUGUCUUUUGAGUAAAGAGGUCUAAUUGGUAUGGUAAGAAUUUCUGUGGCGACUUGUGCUUCAAAGAAUCUUUGAAUCACUGAUGUAUUCCAGUCGUGGUGAGUCUAGGCAAUAAGAUCUACCACCAUAACUGGGUUCUUCUCUAGCCGUAGGUCCAUAGAUAAUUCCCAUCAGUAGCCAACGAUCUCCAUGAACUCGAAUAUGAUUGCCAUUACCAAUAGACCAGCAAAGUUCUGGUAAAAGAGCAGCUCUGCCUCUAAGAAGGCUUUGCCAUCCCCAAGAUGGUCGAGUUCCUCUAACGGCCGAUAAAAAAUUUGUCGAGUGAAAAUACAAACCCUUAAAAAGAGCUCCCCAUAAAGAGUCAGGAUGAUUUAGCAAUCACCAAGCCUAUUUUCCCAGCAGUGCUUUAUUCAAAGUAAUAAGGUCUUGGAAUCCCAACCCUCCUUGCAUCUUACUUUCUUUCAAAACAUCCCAUUUUUUCCAAUGCACACCUCCCUUAUUCUAAUUAGUUCUCCACCAAAAUCGGGCAAUACAUUUUUCAAUAGAUGAACAAACAGAAAUAGGUAACUGAAAAAUAGAUAUCGCGUACUACUGAAUAGCCUGAACAACAGAUUUAAUAAGGAUUUCCUUACCCCCUUAGAAAUGAAUUUCUCUUUCCAGCCCUCAAGUUUGGCAGUAACUCUUCCUAUUAUCCAAGAGAACACUUCCUUCUUUGAUCUUUCCCAAUCUGAUGGCAGCCCCAAAUAUUUUCCAGUCCUUUGCAAAACUAGAAUACGAAGUUCCGCAGCCAUAUUAUGCUGUAAAGAGAUUAGACAGUUUUUGGUAAAGGUUAGCCCUGAUUUGUUGCAAUUAAUCAACUGUCCUAUGGCCACACAAUACAAAUUUAAAACGUUGGCUAAGUUCUAGCAUUCCGAGAUAGUACCAUCUAAGAACAAAAUUGCAUCGUCAGCAAAAAAUAAAUGUGACAGGGUAGGACACCAUCUGUUCAACCGAAGGCCUUUGAUAUGUCCUAUACUAACAGCUUGAGUAAUAAGAGUUGAUAAAACAUUAGCCAAGAGAAUAAAAAGAUAUGGUAAUAAGGGAUCAACCUAUCUAAGGCCGCGAGAGGGGUAGAAAUAAGGUAACUGGCAAAAAAAGAUAUACUUAUAUAUGAAAAUGAGAAGCUUAGGGUAUUCUUAUACCUACUCUCUAUUCCUUGAAACUCACAUAUAUUUUAAACAAAAGAAAAUAAGUAUCUAUGGGGUCCGGAAUAAUAAUGGAAUUGAACAUUAUUUUCUAACUCUUUUUAUGUAACUACUGGCUAUUUUAAAAAUAUUCAUUGUACAAAACGACUGCAAGACGAUUAUGACAUGGAGAAUGAUUAGCUCCUAGGAGUAAGCAAAAGCAACUGGGAUUUUUGUGUCUUCUGGAUGAGUACUAAAAGAUCUCUCUUGAAGCUAUUUCUCAAAUUAGACUUCUCUAUGCCACACCAUACUUUUAAGAUUGCAUAGUCAUCACACCUUUAUCCCAAUCACAUCCGCAUCUCUCCUCAGAAUUAAUUUUUAACAUUUUGUAUAACCUUUCUUUUUUUAUGAACCUAUCACAAAUAAUUAUUGAUUUGCACACAUUAAACCGAGUUUUAAUUUAUUGACUUCUUACUCUACAAAGUUAAUAUAUUAUUGACUUCGAAUUCAGAAUUUGGAUGGCAAUAUUUUGAAGCACAGUUUAUGAAUGUGGAAUCAUUAAUUUUGAAUCAAUAAAUGGCUAAUAAAUGUAUAUUGAAAGUCUGUUUAAAUGCAUUUAUUUCUUUAUCGGCAAGAUUGCUCUUAAAAUAUCAAUCAUACUUAAUGCAUGACUAUAAUAAAAUUAACAGUCGAAAAACGGAAGAAAUGCAGGCCCCACCUCGAGAAAACUAGCCUAACAAGUCACUAUCAAGAAACUCCAUUUUAGAUAUAUAUGGUGUUAAUAGAAAAAUAUUAAUGACAAUUUUUUUUUUUUUUGCUCUGAUUACAUCCUGGAUUUCAAUUUUUUUUGCCCAAUUAUUAAAAGCGUUAUUGGAGAAAACAAAUACACUACACAAUGAGAAAAUUGCAUUUCAUGUUCUUUCCUAUAAUAUCUUUUGCAUUCUCGAAACUUGUAUCGCUGCAUCCCAGCAAAAGUAGAGAGCUCAUCUUUUCUGGGGAUUUGAAUAGCAGCAUACUAUAAAUUGGGAUUUAGUAUAGGAAAGGAUGUGUAUAUAGUAACUUUUGCAUUUGAUUGGCCAUUUAAAAAUUUAAGUAGAAAGAUAGGAAAAAGUAUAAAAUCGAGGCUUCGAGCAUGACAUGACAAUUAUUUUCUAGGAGUCUAUUAUUAUCAUGAAAAAAUAAUUUUGGUAUACCUAUACCUUAGAGCAUGACAUGAAGGAUUUCAUGAAUUAGGCAAGUUUGGUUUCAAGUACGUAGAGUGUCAUAAGUCCAUGACAAAAACCCGCGUUCUCCAUUUUGGUUGUGUUUUAUUAGAUGAAUAAAGGCUGUUGUAAUUUCUUCUCUUGGUCAAUUAAAUGAAGCCAGAUUUUAAUAAUUUGCUGUUGCCUGCUUGCUCCUAUUCGAAUUUGCCCCUUCGAGAAGGACUCAAAUGUAACACUUUUGAGUUUUGCCCUUUUGCACAAACCAACCUGAAUUAAUAUUCAAUGAAGGCAAUUUCCCUGUUCAUAACGCCAAUCUAAAUUUAUACAAUAUUCCUGCAGUUACGAGGAACGUACUAUAAUCCGAAUUAGUUAGCAUAUGUUAAGAAUUUAAUCAACUUGAGGCCUUAUUCGGGUAGACAGUCUUAUGGGAAGAAGGCAAGGCCGCCCUGCAUUCAGAAGGCGCUAACUAGAUUGUAGGAUGUCAACUUUUUCUGAUUUUUCGUUGGAACAAGCAGUCAGCGUUUUGAGAAACACUUCACUUGGCUAGUGGAUUUAAUGGGAACAACCUCUUCAUUCUUCGUACGAAAAGCGGGAUCCGUUUUCUCCCUCUUGUUUUCUGGACAUGAAUGACGGUCAUGAGGUUUUCCGUUUUGCCAGUAUAAUUUAUAGAUACAUUUCUUGGUUUUAAUUGCUCUCCUAGAUAGAUGAUAUACUUUCCUGCGGACCUUACUUAACCCACUUUCCGUUCACUCUCUUCGUCGAUUUCCACAUUUAAGCAUGUAUUGAAGGCUGACUUCUUACAUCCCCUCUUAUACGGUUGGAUUUGGAAGAGGCACAUCUACUUAUGUUAGGAGCUUGCGAGAGAUUGCAGGUCAUUGAAUGCAUACCAUGAUGCUUCAACUGCUGCUAGAUGACUUAACUUGUCGAGGAUGAAAAAGACCGUGGAAAGUGGUUCAGGAUGGCAAAAGUGCAAUCGCUUUUAGAUUCAAUCAAGCCCAUUCUCAGCUGAUUAGCCAUGAUACAUGUUUGUUUUGUUCUAUUGGAUUAUAUUGUCCUUCAAGGCAGGAUAUGUUACAAAUGCUACUGUCAAGAGAAUGGCUUGUCAUGCUAAUAUUAAGGGGCUAUUCAACUAUCAAUAAUCGCAUUCACAUCUAUACAAGCACGGGGUACUGCUCAGGGAAUGUCCCACUCUCCCUUCACGUGAUGCACGAGUUUUGCUGACCGAACAUAUGUGACAAUCUUUGCCAGCCCAAUUCCAACCUGUCCACUCGUCGGCCGAAAGAAAGAACCCGGUCAACUAUUGGGCAUCACAGCAUGAUCGCACGGCUUGUAAUGAUGUCUUACUUGACCAUGCAAAAGUGGUUGUGAGAUCGUUAUGGUCUAUAAUAAGGCAACUCUAAAUUACUUGACUCACUUUGCUCUUGCUUUUUGAGAGGAAACCUUUGAAAACUCUUUUAACCAAGACCGUUAUGCUUCCUUCAAUUCACGUCUCAUAGUCUUAAGCCGCAUGCCGUUUUUCAGGUGUAUUCUGCAUAAUUUUAGUGUGAUUUUGUGUUCCCAGGCAUAAGAAAUUCUUCUAUUUAGUAUCUAACAAGACACAAGGGCAAAACGUAUAUUUAUGCUUUGUCUGGGAAGGAGGGGAAGAGGAGCAAAAUGAAGUAAAUUUUGUAACCUUUACGAGAAGAAGUGGGAGGAAAUUCAUAAUUUUUCUCUCUUCCUUUACUCGAUGUAUCCAAGAAAAGCAGCUUUUCCUUUAUCAUGAAGGUGCUUGCUUGCUAAAUAGACCACAAGCAUAGGGUAAAUCAUGCAUUGUUGCUGCCAUAGGGGUCCUUACCAAUUGACAUAAACUAAACGUGAAUUUCAUUUUUCAAGUGCGUAGAACUCCACUUGACUUCCAGUUGAUGCACAUCGGCCAUUAUCCACAAGAUGCUCUGAUGAACAAUCAAUGUGUCCAUUCAUGUGGCAAAACGUACUAUGGAGACAGACAUAUGAAGUUGAUCCUUGGAAGGCGGAGCUGUCGCGCAACCUAACAACUCAGUCGUUCGGAUCCUCCUCCUCCAGCUUGUUCUGUCUAUAUGUUUUAAGAGGAGGAGGAUUUGACGGCACGAAGGAGUUUGUAGACCAACUAAUGGACUAGUUUAAGAAAGAAAAGAAUUCUACUGCGCAGUUUGCUUGGAGACUGAAAGGAAUAAUAAGGAAGAGGGGUACCCAUGGCCAUGUGACCGUCAAGUUUCCAUUAAGUACAUAUUUGAAGUGCUUGACAUUGUGGGCCCGAGUUUUUUUAUUUUGUCGUGGAUUGUCUUUUGCGGUUCUGAGCCGACAGCUUUUGUAUUCUCUUGAACUUUGGAGAAUCAUAUUCACAUUUAGGUCCCCACAUUCAUAUGACAGGAUAAGGCAAGCACAGCACCUUUCGGUGGAUGAGGUGAUGAGGGUUUGGAGGAAACUCAAUCGAAAGCCCUUGGGAAGCAUCUUUGUGGGAGCAAAUUCAAGGUUAAUUCAUUGUUAAAUUAUAUCUCGAGUUUAAGUAUUUGCAAAACGCGAUUCGCUUGAAUAGAUAUGUUAUCAUCCAAAAUAAAACCCAAUGUUUAUUUCAUUAUUUAAAUAGGCAAUGCGAGAUAAUAGUUUCAUUAGCGGGAUUUAGGUAAUGGCCCAAUUUCGAUUUCAUUUUUAGCAAGCUGUUCCAUUCCAUAUAUGAAGUGAUAUUGUAUUUGUUCAUGUAAACGGUUAUCUAGAUAUAGUUUCAAUCUCUUUAUGUAAAAACCCUUUUUUGAAAAUCUCAAAAGUUUAUUGGUUGACGUAGGACAAGUUGCCAAUAGUUUCCUAAAAUGAAUAGAGUUUAGCACAACAUUUAUCAAAGUGAAUAGAUAAAGGUCGGCCGCUACGAAUGAGAGCUACGGACAAUCUAGCAUAAAUCAUGUUGACAAGGAUUUUUCAUAGGAGUGCCACGGGGUUUCAUUACAAAUACCGGUGAUGAGCAGAUGUUGAAACUGCAUUUGUCCAGUCCUUUAAGUUAGCUUUGAAACUGUUCUUGUCAAUCCUCCAGAACCUCUACCGAAAUUCACUACUCAAUUCCAAAAAUUCUCUGCCCAGCCACACCAAUUUUCCCAAAUUCCUCGCAUAGCUUGUGCUUCACACUACUUUACCAUUCCGUUUUAGCAUGCGGCAACGUGGUGUCCUCCUCACUUCACCUUCCCAUUAUAUUUCCCUAAAGACUCCAUUUAUUAAUGGAAAAGCAAGUCAAGUCAAGCUGUACUUGAUUCCAAAGUUCAAUCAAAGCACCUGUGCUGGUGGCGUGCACCUUCCGCAGGGUGCUAACGAAAUUACGCGUUCAAGCGCGCAUAGUAGAAAAAGCAAGGACUAGGAGCAUCUUUAUUGCAAUUGGGUUUUCUUUUCCACCUUUUUGUUAAAAUAAAAAGCAAGUAAAGUCAAGAAGCACCUGCAGAGGUUCCCCGCAACUUCCUCAUACUGCUAUGAAUAUUACGCGUGCAAUGACUCAGCAUUCUUGGAGCACUCUGCAAUCAGUAUUCUUCAAGCAUGAAGCUUAAUACUGUGCAAAAGAAAAAUGCACUUUGGUGGAGAAGCCAUUGGCUGAAAAUGUCAACAUGAAAUAAAAAGCUAAACACCAAAUGAAAUAAAAAAGUAAUUGAUAUUCACUAAAUAAUUAGUCGACGGUGCAGAGAACCCAUUGGCCAAGAAUUUUUAAAUGUAACACCGAAUGUAUAAACCCACAAUUCCACCAACUCGAGAAGAGCCAACUAUAAUGCCUUGUAGGUCUAUGAAAAAGAAUAAAGAAGAUCAGCGGAAUCAACUCAUGUACUUAAUUAGAUGGAUUUAACAUACAUUGAAGCUCAAUUAGUUGUUGAUUAUGCAAACAAAAUCAUCAUAAUUUUCUAACUUGCCCAAAUAAGGACAAAAAAAAAGAAAGAAAACCUCUCUUAUUUACUAUCAAUCGACUAUCAGUUGCCUCGAUAAUUCCCAUAUACUGUACAUUCUCCUGUCAUUAUUAAUAUAUCAAAUGCCCGAAUAUGCUUGUAGCUCCAUCCAAAUCUGGAAACAGAGUCUCACCCAAAUCCAGUCUUUCGUAGAAAGGGUGCACUAAUCUUCGGCCGGCCCCACUCCGAGCAUCAGCAUUGCUCGCUGCUUUUCUUUCCAAUUCUUCGUUUACUUGGAAAAAGCAAGUCAAGUCAAGUCAAGGUGCACUUGCAUAGGUCAAGGUGCACUUGGAUAGGUAGCUUCAAUACACCUUCUGCAUAAUGUUGCGGAAAUUAUGCCAGCAAUGGUUGCCCUUUGCUUUUUAUUUUCUAAUUGUUUUAAUAAGUAGAAAAACAAGUCAAGUUGAACUCGUGCUCAUUUUAGAGAAAAAAAAGCACCCGCAUAUCCUCUAUGCCCCUUCCACGCAAUACCGUGGAAAUUAUGCAUGCGAUAAUUACGCUUUUCGUGCAGCAUGCAUCGCAAUCGCAGCAGUUCGAUUAGUUGGAGAUUCUUGGACCGUUGGAUGGCAAGAACGCAGCAUUGUUCAAGCACGCAUAAUAGAGAGUGUUGUGAUGCCAUUUCUCUGCCUUGCUGACACUAGAUGUGUUCGAAGUUGACUAGUUUUGAUAUUUCUCUCAGCUCUUGAAAUGUAUGUGAGUAAUACAGCAAGAAGCUUGAAAUAUGGAGGAUGAUGUUUUUCUUCAAGUACUCUUAUCAAAUUUCAGAUUGGCUGGAAGUUCUCAAUACAUGGUCUCUUCCCAUUUUCAAUUUACUAUUAGUUCCAAGUCACAACCUAAGAUUUUUUCUUUGUCUAAUUUAUCUUCGCUUUUAUCUUCUAGUUGGUGAAGCAUAGAAACCAUCAUAUUUCCUAUCAAUCUCGAUAUUUGAUUGAUUUCAUCAAUCAUUUAUCAUUUAAAAUCCCUUCUCCUUAUCGUGUCAUAGAGUGAAAUGGGAAAUGAGUGAUUCCUAUGAAAACCAUUGAAUAGUUCUUGAACUUUAAUUCGUUUCAUGAAACAUAUUUGAAUGGAAUGACAAAAAUAUGGUUCACUUCUUAAGUUUUCGAUUAUACUUUAAUGGAGAUCUCCAAGUCUAGUAAGUAUCAUAUGUAUUGUGACCCUCGUGGAAGUAUGAGAAGCAACUUGAGUGAAAAGUCAUCAUCUCUUCUUCACUUCAAAAGCUAUUUACUUCAUUGAUAUCGGUGUGUAGAGCUUUAGAUACUUCAUUUCUUAUAUUAAGUGUACAAAAAGGUCUAUGUUGAAUACAAAAGUCUGAAAUUUACGUCAACUCAAAUAAUAUAAAAGAGAAUAUGCACAAAUAUGAAUUAAAUGAUUAGGAACGUCAUAAUUAUACACCUGAGUUGAAAGAAUGUUUGUACCUAUAAGUAAAGAAGUGAGUACAUGCUCUUAGGAGGUUUUAUAAGCUAAGCUGGUUGUCAGAGCAGCAAAAGUAGGCUAAUAUUAUAUAGCUAUAAUACACUAGGUGUCAAUGUAAUCAUUCCUUGUUGUCGUGUUUAAUGCAAUUCCUCUCCAUUUAAUACCUUCAGUUUUUCAAAUCACAUCUUCUAAUGCUAAAUAAGCUAAUAGUGAAUCCUCCUUUAUUGUGCUGCAAAAAAUUGUAUUUUGGUGAAGAACAUGUUGGCAGAGACUGGCAACAUGAAAUAAAAAGCCUGACAAAAGAUGAUCAUGAAAGGGGAAAAAAAAGUAUUACUGAAUUACCAUUCAAAUACGGAGAGUUGUUAGCUUAGAAUUUAUUAACGCAAAACCAAAAGAAUAAAAUUUAUGUAAUAUGUUGAAAACUAUUAAUUUAAACGGAGAGAUAAAAGUGGCUUGGAUGGAGGAUAACGAUUUGAUAAUUUUCAAGCAAAAAGUAGAAUGGAGAAAUCUAGUUUAACAAAAUUAUUUUGAAAAAUAUUUAUUUUAAAGUUACUUUUCUAGACAAAUAAAAAGGGAAAAGCCUCCUGCAGACUUUUAAUAACAAAAUCCUGUAUAAUCCCCCAAUUUAUACGCUCUUGUCUGACUCAUGUAAAUUAGCAGUAUCUAAGAGAAUGAAAGCAAGUCAAGUCAAGUCAAGUCAAGCCAGUGCUGGAUCUCUCAAAUUUCAUUGAAAGCGCGUAGACAGGUUCGAAGCACCUUCCCAGUAAUAUGGUGUGAAUCGUGGAGAUCGCGGCAGGAGCAUGUGAGUGUUGCUCGUCAGUUCUCUUUUCCACUUUUUCUUAUUAAUAUAAAAAGCAAGUCAAGUCACGAUGCUGCUGAGUAUUGCGUGUCUCCAAGUCAACGAUGCUACUUCGACCAAAAAAAGAAAGAAAAAGUCAUGAUGCCGCGGAAAUUACGCGUGCAAUGAUUAUUCUUUCCGUGGCAUGGCUCACAGCGGUUCGAUUAGCAUGGAGAGCUUUGGACCGUUGGAUGGCAAGAACUCGAUUGUUCGAGCACGCAUAUAAAAGAAUUUCGCGUGUUGGUAAAUCCUACUUCAAAGGCUGAAAAUCGGUGGAGAUACCAGGGUCGUGUUGUUUGAGCACUCCUCAGGUAGUCAACCGACUCCUUUCUCUUUUCUGUUUCCUACUUUGAUUGCUCCAUUUUCUUCUGAGUAAGCAAGAGGCGUGAGAGUUCUUUUAUUUUCGUUUGAAUUAACUGAGUCAUGAAAGACAUUUGUGCGAUUCGCAGAUCUGGACCGUGAAGCCUGGCUUUCUUUUAAGGCUCUGCUUGAUCAAUCUCUUAUUUUAUAACAGAAUAAGAAUCUCGUUGGCCAAUCACUCCAUGAUGUCCAUCGAAUCAAGAAAAAGGUAAAUGGUCUUUCCGUUCUCUUCCUUUCUCUCCAAUUCCUUUCGUUUCUUUUCACGUCAUUUCCCUCUCAACUUAAAUUGCCAAUUGAAUUGUAAAAGAGAAGAACCCACUCACUCAGAAGAUCCGAAUUCCAGGGCGUCUUCCUCAUCGAAUGCUCCGCAUGGAGGAGAUCAUGAAGAGGGAGACAAACGACCAAGAGGGAAUGCCUACGAAGUGUUCUUGAGCUUUAGUGGGAUAGACACACGCAAAAGUUUCACCGAUUAUCUCUAUACUAGUCUUAUCGAUGCAGGAAUUCACGUGUUCAGAGAUGACAAUGAGCUCCGUGUUGGUGAGGAGAUUGGUCCGGAGCUUCUCUGCAGCAUUACGCAGUCCACAAUCUCUAUCCCAAUUAUUUCCGAGAAUUACGUUUUCAGCAAAUGGUGCCUUCUUGAGUUGGUUCAGAUGUUAAAGUGCAAGAGGAGUAAUGGGCAAAAAGUGUUGCCCAUAUUUUACAAAGUGGAACCCCACCAAGUGCGACAUCCCACGGGGAGAUUGAGAGAAGCUAUCGAUGCACAUAAACAGAAUAUGGAGGAAAUGGUUGUGAAGGAAUGGGAAGAAGCACUCAAAGAAGUUAGCACCUUGAAAGGAUGGGAAUCGGAGAAAAUUGAUAAUGGGUACCUUAUUCUCCAACAAAACAUUGUUUAAUUAUUCAUAAUAGAUCUUUUUUAAAAAAGAAUACACAUAUUGCUAUCCUAUACUAAUAUUCAUUGUUAUUUGACAGGCAUGAAGGAACAUUGGUUAAAAUUAUUGUGAAAAAAGUUAUGGGCGAGUUUAAAAGACUUUUUCAGCUAAAUGUUCCCGAACAGUUAGUGGGAAUCGAGGAUCAUGUGCAACAGAUUAUGAGCAACAUAGAUGCUGAAUUCAAUGAUACAGAGAUUAUUGGAAUUUAUGGAAUGGGCGGCAUCGGUAAGACUACUCUUGCAAAGGUGUUAUACAACAUACUCUCUAGUCAUUUUGACUGUCGUAGCUUCUUGGCAAAUAUCCGAGAAACAUCCCAGCAUAAGGGUAUUGAAUACGCACAAAAGCAACUCAUUUAUGACAUAACAAGAAGUUCAUGUGAUGUGUCUAAUGUCGACGAAGGAAUUAGUGUCAUCAAAUCUCGAUUUAUGAGAAAGAAAGUCCUAGUUCUUCUAGAUGAUAUGGAUGAUAUCACUCAAUUGAAUGCUUUGGUUGGGGACAGUAGUUGGGUUGAAUCGGGAAGUAUAGUCAUCAUCACAACUAGAAACAAAAGCAUUCUCGAUGAAGGUAGGAUGGCCUUCACGCACCAACUCAGCGAGUUAUCUUUAGAUCAAUCAUUGAUUUUAUUUAGUAGACAUGCCUUUCGAAAGGAUUAUCCUCCGAGUGAUUAUAAGGGUAUCUCUCAUGAUGUCGUAUCUACUACUAAGGGGCUCCCAUUAGCUCUUGAAGUUAUAGGUUCGUUCUUAUGGAGAAAGAGAGAAGACGUAUGGAAAGGUACAUUAAAAAAAUUAAAGAAUGCGCCCGAUGAGAAAGUGCAAGAGAAGUUGAAAAUAAGUUAUGAAGCAUUAGAUUAUAGGAAACAACAAAUAUUUUUGGAUAUAGCAUGCCUUCCCCUCGAAUUUGAGAGACAAUAUUCAAUGUGUAUGUGGGAUGCUUGUAGUUUUUUUCCCUGAGAUGGGGAUUGAAGUAUUAAGUCUUUUGUCCCUAAUUAAAAUUGACGAAGAUGGAAAGCUAUUGAUGCAUGAUCAAUUGAAAAAACUUGGAAGGGAAAUUGUUUAUCUAGAAAAUCCAAGGGAGCCUCAAGAGCGUAGCAGAUUGUGGAUAAAUGAGGAAGCCUUAGAUGUGCUUGACAAUUGCAAGGUAUAAGUUUCCUCUACUUUUUUAAGUCAAUGAAUGUGGGUCCAUCUUCCCUUUCUUGUUCGGAAAAAAAAAAAAAGUUAGUCUUGAGUCCCCAUAACUUGCUUGCUGCUUCUACAAGCGAAAGCUCUUUUUUGAUUAAUUGUUGUUUUUGCCUGAUUCUAGAAAUCUAUGGUAAAAAUGAGCAAAAUUUAGAUGACUACUACUUCACUAUAACAAAAUCAACACGAAAAUGAAAAGAUAACAUCAAACAUCUGUAGCAAUAAAAAGAAUCAUAUAUGGAAUGUUUGAUAUUAUCAAUUUUCCUUCCACGUAUAAUGAAAAACCCUCAUUGAAGAAACACAUGAUAAGAAAGGAACCUAAAACACAUGCGUACUUUUUGCGAUGAUAUUCUUGUUUUCAUUUCGAUACGGAGAAUUGUCAACAAAGUAAAUGAAAAAGGUGAGGGAAUUCUACAAUUGGGAUUCUUUAAUUUUGAUACUUAUAUUGAUGGCAAGUUUGAUUGAUGUAUUUGGACACUUAGAGUUGUAUUGGUUACAUUCACAUGAUAGAAGUAAAGGUAGUGUUAUUUCACAUACAAAGGGCAUGAAUUUUGAUAGAUAUAUUUGAUUUAGUGUAUGCAUGAAGAGAGGCCUUCCAUUAUAGUUGUAAAUGGACACAAAUUUUGGAAAUUCAGAAGGUGCAAAAUGCGAAGUGUAUAGUUGGAUGAGGAAAAAGUUCGGGAACAACCACUUGAGCUUCUCAUCUUUACAUAUUUUAGAUAAAUAAUAUGCAAUUGCAACCUUUCAUUUUACAAAAUUGAAAGGGAGAAGCCUAUAUGCCAUAGUAGAAUGUCGGCAAAUUGAAAUUAGUGCAUUUUAUUUUAUAUCAGUUGGUCUCAUCUCAUCAUUCAAAACUUAUGGUCCACAAUGUUUCCAAGUUGCAGGGCACCAAAAAGAUCGAGGCCCUUUCUCUUGGCAAAUGUAGUGAGGGAAAAAAAUACGCAGCUGAACAAUUUAAAGAAUUGACCAACUUGAGGUUCCUUCAAGUGGAUGGUGCUAAUUUCACUGGAGAUUUCCAAAGCUUACUUCCUGAGUUAAGAUGGCUUAAGUGGAACCGCUGUCCCUCGGAUUUCGUUGCGGUCAACUUUCAUCCAAAGAAAUUAGUUGUACUCGAUCUGUCAGAUAGUGCAAUUUCGGAGCAUUGGGAAGGAUGGGAUCCACUCAAGGUAAGACUUAAAGAAGGCAUUGAAGUAUUUUUUAACAUGACAUUUUUUUCUUUGUACAUUUGAAAAUUGAUUUUCACAAUUAAAUUAGCCGUUUCUCUUUAAUUUGAUACUACUGAACGAAAACAUGGUGCCCAAUGAUUACAUCUCUCUUCCAUUUGGACUUGUCAUAUGCUUUUUUGAUAUUAUAAGUUGCUUAUGUCUAAUCGGAAAAUAUCUCUUUUGAAAUUUUAUUCGAAAAUAAAUGUAGUUAGCACUUGUACAUUCUAAUAUUCUUUUGCAAUCGAUGUGCUUAGAAAACAUUUAUCUAUUGACGUGGCCAAACAUUACUUAAAGAGGCAUUUAAAAUUAAAUAAGACAACCGCAAAGGAGUAGAGGAGCACGGGUAACUUUUGAGGAAUUCUAAAAGGUCAAAAACAUAAGGAGUAGCAAAAAAUCACAGGUUGCGAUAGUCCACUUACACUGACGUACCAUUUCUUUCUUCUAGAUGGCGACUGAGCUCAAAGUUCUCAACCUCAAUGAGUGUAAAUUUUUGAAAAGAACUCCCGACUUGUCCACUUUCAAAAGGUUGGAGAUUUUACAUCUUGUACUAUGUUAUAAUCUAGAAGAGCUUCAUCCUUCUAUUGAAAAAUUGGCAUCAUUGAUCGAGCUGGACUUAACAGAUUGUGUAUCGAUUACGAAAUUACCCGAAAGCAUUUGGAAUCUACGAAAUAUGAGGGUCUUGGAUAUUAGUGGCACUCACAUAACAGAAUUGCCUGAUGCCAUUGGGAUGUUGGCAAAACUCCAAAAGUUACGUGCUUGGGUUUGCAAACUGGAGGGAGUAUCUAGUAAUAUAUGCAAACUGACUUCGCUAGAGGAGCUCUACGUUGGUUAUUGUGAGAAGCUUCAAGAAUUACCAGAACUGCCCUCCGGCUUAACCUAUCUGUCCUCCGGCUUAACCUAUCUGCCCUCCAGCUUAACCUAUCUGGUGAUCGCCUGGCAGGGGCAGUCUUUGCCCCAUCUUUCCCAGCUAACCCAUCUCAAGUAUCUAUGUCUUUCCCAUUGUCAUCGGCUUGAAUGUGUCCCAGAGCUUCCCAUUGGACUCUCAGAGCUUGCUAUUGCAAGGUGCGGAAAAUUGAAAGCCUUGACGAAUUUGUCAGACUUGAAACACUUGCGAGAAUUCAGUAUUUUUGAAAGCCCAUCUCUCGAAGGAUCGCCCGACGUGUCGAAUUUUAGGCGUACGCAGAUGAUAGAACUUGGCUUGAAAGAGUCCCGGGGCUUCAUGGGGAGCUUAAUAUUCGAGCGUUCACCCCGCUGGUUUCCUUGGCCCGAAGAUUGAAGCCACCGUUCGCACCGCUCAUCCACCGCAGGCAGGCGGGCAGGUCGGUCGGCGCGGCGGAGAUGACGACGGCGACGGCAACGAGGCGACGCCACGGCUGGCAGCGCCCUCUCCAUCCGCUCCAGGUAAACGCAUGCACGCGUCUUUCCUGUGGUCUCUCAGCUUCAUCUGCAUUUUAGAACCACGUCGCUCCGACGCGCGAGCUCAUCAAUUGUUCGGAUUGGAGAUUUUAGUUUUCUCAGUAGUAAAUGUGUAGGGCGUGAUGCAGAUGAUCGAUCAAUCGCAUUUGAAGUUUAGAGUCGAUCAAUCUCAUGUCGUAAAUUUGCAAUUGCAGACAGUUGGGAUGGCGGUGUUCAGUUUCCUAGCGGUGGCCUUCUAGGUCUUCUUGGGACUGUUGCUUGGGAACGGGGCUGCUGAAAUCACCAUGACGACAAUAUUCUCUUUUGUGGUAACUCCCUUAGCGUUUACUUUGUGCCAUGAUGACAUUGAUUGCUUUUCUUUCGUCAGUUUUCUGGGAAUUGAUGGGAUUUUCCACAUAUUUCCCCCGAUUUUCAGGUGUUCUCGGCGAUGUUUCUGUUCGUCUGGUGUACUGCGAUAGAUCUGAUGGAUAGGACCAGUUAUAGAAAGAAGAAGAGAGGCUCCGAAGCAAUAGCGCUCGCGGACUUUUGUGCCUAUUCCUCGAGCUCCCUUUUCCAAUUUUGAUGCUUGAUUUGCCUAUCUGGGUACUUCUUCUUUCUCUUUUUUCUUGAAUGAUGAUGGAAGGAAGGUUGGGGCUGAUAUUCCUGUGGAAGUCUAAUGGUGGAUCCUCUGUAUGUGUAUACGAAGAGAUAUGUAAUAAAGCAAAGAGAUUAGCCUGGGGAGAUAUCCUUUCUGGCAGCAUAUCAGCGAGUCUUCAGCACCUGACUGCUUAGCUUUGGAGGAGAGAGC
This 308983-nucleotide long non-coding RNA is filed under the name Eucalyptus grandis. Its description in RNAcentral is "long non-coding RNA (EGRA_LNC001440)". Lineage: Eukaryota; Viridiplantae; Streptophyta; Magnoliopsida; Myrtales; Myrtaceae. The record is from RNAcentral.